UUCUUCCCAUAUCAGCAGGAAAAUUCACUCCAAUCAUCUCGCCAUUCUACACUUGGGAAAUCAGGUUUGCUUCAAUCUACCAUCCUUGAAUAUAUGCCCCACGUCUUAUUUCUACGUCCUAAUCUUAUUAAGCUUGUAAUUAGUAGUUAGUGCAAGAUCGAAAAGGAGCUAUGGGCAAAACACCAUCCGCACCUGCUGAUAAAAUCACCAUGGGACAAGCGGCGCCUAAUCAUGAAAUAGCAGCAGAUUCAAGUGACAGUGAGAGAACAAUCAGUGAGGGUUAUGUGGGGAUCAUGUAUGGUGGUAGCCAAACCAACGAUGGCAACCUGGAAGGAGAAUCUGCUAAGGUAUUGCUAGCAACAGAUUCAAGUGACAGCGAGAGAACAAUCAGUGAGAGUUAUGUGGGGAUCCUGUAUGGUGGUAGCCAAACCCAGGAUGGAGACCUAGAGGGAGAAUCUGCUAUGGUAUUGCCUGCUGUAGGAGAGAAUACCACGGCGAGAUCUAACAGUCAUGGUUAUACCCGCAGCUUGGAAAUUGAUUCUGCCUCUCGUACUGAGCGGCAUGCUGCCAGGUCAGAUUCUGUUCGAGUGGCACAGCGCCGAGACUGCAUGCAAAUUUACCCUGAGUGGCUGGAGAAAAUUGAUUCAGGCAAAAAGAUGUGGACAACUCUCAAACAAUUUCGAGCAAGUGGGAAGCAUGAAGAGGUUAGUAUAUACACAUGUUCUGGUGUGCUCUGUCAUCAAAUAAUUUUCAUUGUGUGUUAAUCAUCUCAUAACAUAAGGAGUGUUUGCUUGAUGGGCAUUCAGACCAAAUGAUGAACGAAUUAGAUCCUUUUUCCUUUGAUCAAAAACACAUGGCAUUUUUUUAUCAACUAGCCCAUCCUUUUUCUUUGAUCUACUAACAUUGGUUUCAAGUUAUUGUAGAAGUUUCUUGUAGUGACUGGUUAAAUAAUUCACACAUGUUCGUCUAUUUAUGCUAUGUUAUACAAUCUAUCCGAUGAUGAAUAUCCAUUUUUUCUAAAAAUAGUGCAUCUACCUCUAACUAUUUCACAGUCAACAAUCCAAGCCCGAGCCCGGCUUGGCACGGCUCAAAGCACAUGGACAAUGGCUUCUCAAUUUAACUAAUUAUAUUCGGGAUAUUAAAAUGAUAUAAUAUACCUAUAUUUUGAAUAAAAUAUACAUUUGUUGCCAUUUCGGGCUUUUGGGCCGGGCUUCGGGCGAGAAAUUGAAGCCCAAGCCUACCCCAGAUGUCGGGCUUUGCGCUCGGGCCUCUUGGCCGGGUAGUCCAUGAACAGGUUUAGUUUGAUCUAUUCACUCACAUUUUGAUCCUCGUUCAUUAUAGCAUUUAACCAUAAUUCAUAUGAACAUGCACCAAGAGAAUAUAAUAAAGAAAAUGGGUCAAUUUGUGGUAUACAACGCCUUAUUGUGCGACAUCACAAGAACAUUUUUCUCCUUGAUUACAGUAGUAACUAUUGUGCAAUCUUAUAUGUCAAAGCAUAUAUUAUAUGACAAAUUAAGUAUAUUGUUUUGCUUAUUUCAGUAUUACCUUGACAAGGAAUAUAGUCACAAAUUUUGCUCCAAACGCAGCGUUAUUGAGUUCAUACGAAAUGGAUCUGUGAAAGGGAAGCCGGUUCAGAAGGUGCCUAAAUACUUGACUUUCAAACAUAUAGUAAUUAUGCGAAGAUGUAUAUGUUUUUUGUAUUAACUUUAAAGUAUUAAUUUGACACGGUAUCCUAUUUUUGCACAGAGAUCAUCUGAUACUACUACGAACAAUCUUCAGGGUAUGUCCAGUUGGCCCCAUGCAUUUGGAUAUUAUUUUGUCUACUAUUAUUAUUAUAAAGAGAAAUCUAACUGAAACUGAAAUAUAAUAAAUAUUAAUGGAGAGAAAAAUACACAUUAAUGUCCACAUACACAACACAAUUAGCCAGUACUAUCCUAGUUUACAUGAAUUAAUAUUUGCAAUGACAUUUAGGUUAGUCAUGACAUGAUAAAGAAAUUUUUUUUUUGCGAGGUAAGAUAAGGUUUUAUAUAACUGUUCAUGGGGACCUCCUCAUGGUUGCAGAUACAUAGUUUUACAGUGCUUCAUGAAAUAGUUGCAUAUCAUCAUGUCUAAAGAAGAAUCAUGACGGACACAACUUCAAGAAAUUCUUCUUGAAAAUAACAUAAUGUGUAUAUACCUCAUAGAGGAUGUAACUUGUUGGUAGCAUUUAAUAUUGUGACACACUCGCCAUCUUCUAUGCCAGCAUUAUUUGGGUGAUGAUUUAAUAUCCAAAAGCAUACAUCAAGGUAGUUAUGUGUAAUGAUAUUCUUGUGAAAAUAACUUCCAUAGUGUAUACUUGCAUAUAUGUAUUGUUCUAUUGUAUUCUCACAGUUAAUCAUUUUUCUUAAAUUUUUUUUGUUUAUUUAUGUUUAGAGCAAGAUUAUAAAUUAAGCUGAGCAUAAUUUCUGCAGAUUAUAGAUGGCCCACUAAAAGACAAAGGACGAAGGCGCAAACUUCAAGUAAUUCUUCUUGCCACAUAGGUUUUUCUAAUUGUGCGAGGAUACCACUUGUAACUGCCUUUAGUCAUCUAUGUCAGUAGUAUUUUGAGAAGAAUUUCAUUACAAAAUGCAAUGACUCAAAUCAGAUUGUUCAUGAUGAUUCCUAAUUGUAUAACCAAUAAGCUUUACACACCUUCCUAUUUUAGAGUUGUUAUCUUAAUAAGUAUAUACUAUAUGUUAUUAAUGUUGUUGUUGGGUGAGGAACAUUUGGUGCUCACGGUUAGAAUGUAGAAUUUUCUUAACACAACAAGCUAGAGCGAAUGUGGAGGCCAAUAUAGAUUGAAACCAUUAAUUCAUAUUAAAAUGGUCAUGACUUCUUAUUUUUAUUUGACAUAAGUGUUUGUGACUUGUUUGAAUUAAUGUGUUCUGCAAUUAUAUGAUACUUCUAUACUGAUACUAUUUUUAUGAAAUGUGCAGCUAGUUUGUCGACAGGAGCACGAACAACCACAACUUCUACAAAGCUUCCACAUGGUUUCAUCUAGUAUCAUGCGAAAAACAUUGAGACAAUCAAGAUUACUUGAGCAACCUAAAUUAUGUUAGUUGUUACCUGCUUUCAAAUGAAUGUGUCCUCUCAUAGUAUGCAUGUACUUCUGUUGUUGAGGAAUUUAUAUCAUUAGACAGUUCUAUUAUUCAUAAUUAUUGAUUAAUGGGUACAUACCUUCAAUCCUGGAAGAUUGUGAGAUAGCCAGUCAAGGAAGCGAUUUGUUUAUUGAAUUGUGCAUAAUAGGGACAUUUUUACAUUUAAAGGAACAUCGUAGGAAUAAUUUGGUAUUUCGAGAAGAUUUUCCAGUCCCCUGCCCCAACCUGCUGGAGACAGUAUGAGUGCUGACACACACAUUUGUAACGUACCAGCAAGCUAGUGCAGUAGCUUCAGUCACAUGCUCUGGAAGCCCAAUUUGGGUCUUCCUUCAGAAGGCUCAUCAAGGCCAUCAUCACACCAUUCUAGUUAGUUACUUCUGCAAUGAUAUAUGUCCGUGAGAAAAUAAGAAGCUAAGGUUCUAGUAGACUUAUAAUCCUCUAACAGCACCACGUUGGAUAUGCCCGCACAAAUAAAAUAACAUGAGUGGAGUCUAUUUUGUAAGCACAUAUCUUGUCACCAGUCAACUACUAGUACAGUAAGAGCAUCAAAGAGGAAUUCAUUUCAUAUAGAAUAGUCGCAUACAUAUACUUCUGUUCGGCACAUACUGCUCAUUAUCAUGGACAAUGAUGUAGCUAGCUAAAAUGGAGCACGUGGCUAUAUAUAAUGUAAGGAGGGAGGCUCCAGGGAUGAGCUCGACAAACAGAACUAACCUGCUCUUGCGAAGAACCAGUAAGCCUUGCUACAUUGCCACCUGCAUGCUGCAGGGCAUCGCGUCCACCAGCUACUGUGGUAUGUCGCAACUCUGUCCUCUCAUCUUUUCACCGAAGCGGUCGUUGGCGAAUUCUAAUCUUUCUGGAACAACAUUCGUAAUUCCCUGCACUAGAAGGUCAUCAUGAUGCAUCGGCACAUCUGAAUUCUAGCCACAUUAACAAAAUCUUUGCCCAAACCAAAUUAAGGGAGAAAUGAGAAAUGAAGGAGAGCACCAAAUAGUAAGUUAGGUUACACAUAUAUAUAGAAAUGUCGUUCAUAGUAAAAACAACCGGAAGUGUAUCCAUGUUGUUUGCUUAGGUGGCUGAAACCAAGGUCCUAUUCACUGGGAUGAUGAACCUACUAAAUAAAAGGGUUCUCAAAGUCCCCUCAGAACUAGAGUCGAGUAACACAGUCAUGAUCCCAUGGGGUUUCAGGAUAACGACAUGCAAAUGUGGUUAACACAAUCAAAUCUCUCAUUAAGAUUUGUCUUAUUUUUUAUCACUACGGGAAAAUUCAUGUUUGCCGAGUGUCAGUGUCUUUGCUGAGUGCAUUUUGUCGGGCACUCGGCAAACAUAUCUUUGCCGAGUGUAAUCCUGAAACACGGUAAAUAGGUGCUUUGCCGACUGUCGUGGAAAAAACUCUGGCAAAAAAGUAAUAGUUGCUAAAAGGUGCUUUGUUGAGUGUCUUGGAAAUAACUCUCGGCAAAAUAGUGGAACUUGGGCAAAGAUGUGCUUUAUCGAGUGCUACAUUCGGCAAAAGGGGGUAUGCACUGCGCUCACUGUUUUGGCUGUCGAGAUUGCAUACAACCUCGGAUGAAGAUGAUCCAAGAAUCAAAGUUUUACAUUUCGACGAGAUGAAUAAUUUUCAUGUUGAGGACCUUUUCAUUUUAGGCCAUAUUAUUUACAUUUUUUGCCAUGCGAAAAUAUGGUCUCAAAUGAAUAAGGCGGUGGUCAUAUUUAUUGCAUAGUUUAUGACUAUGGGCCUAACCUUGGCAUUUAUGUGCAUCUUGCCAUCACAAACAAUGUUGCCAAAUAGAGUUUCCAACAUUUCAUACAAUAAUAAUUUUUCUAUUUUUGAAGUGUAAAAAAUUGAUACUUUUGUGAAGCUGCUAAAAAUAUCGAGUGCAAAAUGGCAUCACUCCAAUUUUCACAAAAAUAGACCAUAUUUUUUUAGAGAAUUCCCUUUUUUGUGGAUUUUCUAUAUUUCUAGCUACUUUCACACAUUUAAAUGACUUUAUUAUGAUUCCGCGAAAUUAAUUCAAUUUGAACUGUAAUUGUGUGAUAGUUAUGUCCUAGAAAUUUGCAAAAAAUACUUUUAGGUACACAAGUAGUCAUUACAUGGCAAACCCACUUAGAGUUUGAGAGAUUCAACCCCUUGACAUGAAUAGCCAUGCCGGACACUUUCACCCCGUUUUCGAAAAAUGAAACAAAAAGGAUACAAGUUAAAAAAAUGCAAUCCUUUCAUAUGGACUCCUUUUAUGUGUACUAGUGUGGAUGAAAAUACCAAACUUUCAAUAUGACAGUUUUGAAUAAAAAAUAUCCUGCACAAAUGGGCUAUCCCCUAUGAACAUUCAUGGCUUUCAAGUCAAAUGACCAAGGUGAUGACCAUAUUCAUUGCAUAGUUUAUUAUAAUGUGCCCAAAUUAGACAUAUAGGUGAACCUUGCCAUUACAAAUAAUGUUGCAAAAUAGAGUUUCCAACUUUUUGUAAAAAAAAUCAUUUUCUAUUUUCUAAGUGUAAAAAAUGGGUGUUUUUUGUGAAGCUGGUACCAAAAACAGGGUACAAAAUGACACCACUCCAAUUUUCACAAAAAGUAGACCGUAUUUUAUGGACAAUUCCCAAAGUCUGUAGAUUUUUUUCGAAAACUAUAACAAUUGGUGUAUUUUUUUAAUAUUUAAUGAAAAUAAUAUAUAUAUUUUUAAUGGGAAGGGAGGAUAUUUAAAGGAUAGCAUGGACAUCUGAGGGUGUACGUUGAAGCGUUUGAGGUGCCUUUAUGUGCCAGUUUACGACGUGCUCAACCGGCAAUGUGGUAGUAUUAAUCAGUAUAUACUUCUGAUUGUAAAAGAAAUCAAUAUAUAAUUUGUUUGGAUUAUUUUAGUUUGUAGGGCAAACUUAAAAUGGAUUUAUUUAGCCUAUGAUUGUGAAAUCACUAAUUAGGAGGUACGUUUUGCAAAUGUCACACCCCACUUUCAUUGGUGCUGACAGGUGGCACAUGGCAUGUGUGCCACUUGUCACAACAUGGGAAAUUCCCCCUUUUUGUAAAUUCAUUUUUUUAAUCUUUUAUCUCUUGAACCGCGCAUUCAAAUCAUGACCCAUUUUUAUCUUUGGAUUUCUCGCGCCGAGAUCUUUGAAACUAGGUCGCAUGUUAAUAAGUUUCAAUGAACUUUUUCUUCACGAAAAUCAAAAAUCGAAAAAAUAUGAAAACAAAAAAUACAGAAAGCAAAAAAAGAAAAAAAACCUAAAAUCACGGUUGUGCUUUUUUACAUUUUUGGGAAGAACAAUUGUGCUUUCCCCUUUUCGGGAAACACAGUUUUGCUUCUUGUGCAAGCAUAGGUCAUGCUUUUCCCUUUUCAAGAAGCACACGCCAUGCUUCUUUUUUCCGGGAAGCACAUAUGUGCCUUUCCUUUUCGGGGAGCACAGUUUUUCUCUUUUUUUCAAAAAAGCAUAGAUGUGUUUUUCCCUCUUUAGAGAAGCACUACCUAUGCAUCUCACUGAAACAUGUUAUGCUUUUCCUUUUUUGAGGAAGUAUAGUUGUUCUUUCCCUUUUUACAGGGAAGCAAAAAAUGUGCUUUCUUCCUUCUUGGGAAGCUGUGCUUCCCGCGGAAAAGCACCGCCUCAUGAAAAAACAUAAAAAAUGAAAUUUUUUCAUCAAAACCUAGGGAAAACCAAGAAAAAAAGAAAACAUGUGUAAAAAUCUAAGGGUGUAUCAAGCGCACGACACGUGGCAGCAAUUGGACGCAUCACUUGAUGCGCUCUCAGGUCCUAAUAGUGACCUCUGUGGAAUCCGCCGAUGAGAUACUUGUUAGAUAGUUGGAGACCUCGUUGCAUCAAAUAGGAGGGUGGCCACAAAGGGGGCGCAUCCUGGUGGGCCGGCCCAGUAGCGUGCUGCACUCUAUUGCAAAUUGGUCAAAAUGUAAAAAAUUAUGUGUGAGCAAAGCGCGCAUGGCUAGCCACUCAAGCUAAUGAAACUCUGCUAACUACUAGGUCGUGUUGAACUUUAAAAAGUACUAUAUGAUACCCCGCGCGUUGUUGCGGGAACUCUUAGUACUUUACAUGAAGAAGCUUGUGGAGUGAAAAUAUAUAAAUGAUGAAAAAAAUACUUUUUAAAACCUUUGGUGGUACUUUUAGGAAGAUUAUGGAGUGAAAAUAAGUAAACAAUUAAUAUAUUUUUGAAUCUUUGAUGGUAUUUCGUGAAACGUGAGAGAAAUGGUAUAUCAGGGUAUCUCCGUAUUUGUGUAGUUAGAACCUGUCACCCUUUAGCGGGGAAUUAAAUGCAUCACUAACGUUAAAAAUAGAGCAUAUAUAGUAUGAUGGGAAUUUCACUGAAAACAUGGCCAGCCUAGUCUAAAGCUGAAUAUUACACUGAACAGAGAGUGCCCAACACAAAAGCACUAAUGCUUGUUGAGUUAUUUGUAAUAUAGGAGUAGGAUCCUUUCGAAAGACAAAUUCCAAAAUAUUAAAAAGAUCCAACAGUAAGACAUCCAUACACCUUACAGUUUAUACAUGGCGACAAGCUACAUACCAAUCGCUAAAAAAGGUGAAUAUAGAGUCAUGCACAUCAGGCCCUCAUGGCAUAGAUGCAUUUCUAUAUCUAUAUCUAUAUCUAUACCUACUAAUAAAGCAAGAUGCGUUUCUCCAAUUUUUUCAUCCGUUCACCACCGAAAAUACUUUUUUUGUAUCCGAGGUGGUACUAAAAUUUGUGUGGUCCAUCUGCUAGAAAACAAAACAGAAGAAUUUUGUCUAGAAUUUUGUACGUGGGCCGCACGCGCCAAGGCCCAGAAAAGCUACACAUUUAUAUCCUGCGCACGCUGCUGGGGAAUAUUAUUUAUCGCACAGAGCGACAUAUAGUUGGAGAUUCCAAUAUGUGGCCCAAUGUUGGGCUAGCCCAUUUCCUUUUUUCUUUGUUCUUUUUCAUUUUUUUAAUUUUCCCAAAAUCCCUUUUUUAUAAUAAUUUUCGUUAACUCUUCGAAUUUCUAAAUUUGUCCCAUUUUAAAAAAAAAUCCAAAAAAGAUCGAGAUUUGCAAAAUAAAUUCCAUUUUAAAAAUAAUAGAAAUACUAAAAAUAUUAUUUUUAUUGAAAUAUUCACAAUUUAAAAAUAAUGUUCGUGACAAAAAACACAUUUUUGAAAAUGGUUUUGAAUGUUUAAAACAAGUUUCCAUUUUAAAAAAUUGUUCACAAAUUCGAAAAAUGUCCGUUUCUCCGCCUUAAAAAUGGCCAUGUUUUCAAAAAAAUUGUGAAUUUUAAAAAAUCUUCCAAUUUGAAGUUUUCUUUCCUUUUUCCAGAAAUUAGUGCUUUUUCAAAAAAAAUGCUUGUUUGUUUAAAAAAAUCUGGAGUUCACCACAACCACGACAAGGAGGUGGACCAGAAUGAAAAAAAAGGCACGAGAUGGGUAGUGGCCGCCACUCGGACCAACCCCACUACUAUAAACAUCUCGUGGGCCAAACAUGACCCACGAGAACACCACAGCUCUCCGCUCUGUCGUGCCACUAUUGUGGAGAACAUUUUGAUGGACACAUCAAUUAUCUCUCCCGAUGCUUCUCGCAAAAAACUCUCCCGUUGCAACGCACGGGCAUAUGUGCUAGUCUGCCACUAAAAGGACAUGCCUUCAGGGGAUUAGUGUAGCUAGGUGUGAAGAUCUAGACAUAUAAAUGGCAGGAAUGACUUCUUCUUCCUGCCCCUUCUGUGGCAAUAGAGGCCCGACUUCAAUUGGGAUCCGACUGACAUGUUGCUCCCUCUUCAUAAAAUGGAGCUGAUUGUUAUCUAAAAGCAAGCUAGGUAGCUUUGGCAUGGCCAGCAGUAGUACUUGCUACUUUGCCAGUUGUGAUGCAUCACAUGAGAACACAAGGAAGGCUACGUGCUGCCAUGGCCGGACCCUUUGGGGUGCCAAAUGGUGUUCAGAUUUAUAGUAGGUUCCAUUUUUGGUGGGAAUCCAGGGAAAAGAAGGCGAUGGAGUAAGAUGACAACCCAUUCCCAUACUGCCACUCAAAAUCAAAAUGAAGAGGGUAAAUAAAUGUACUUACUAAGAACACACGGAUAACAUACAACUGGCUACAGAAGCAGCCAAACUUUGUAACCCACAGAAACUGGGGAAAUUGUGAAAACUAUUUAUGUAAGUAGAAGCAAAUGUAGUCCAGUUACCUUUCAUGGUAAUGCUUCUCUUGGGCCGAUUCUUAGGAUCCCUGAAGAAUGCCUUCUGUUUUCCCAAAGCAUGAUUCCUUGCUAGAGCAGUACCUUUUGUUCUCUUGAGUUAAGGCGCAGUGGGAAAUAUAUCACUAUCAGCUCUAGUUCAAUUGCUUGUAUUUUACAAAAACAUAUAAUUGAAACAAUUAUCAGGAAAAGUUAUUACCUUAAUCGCGACAACUCUUUGAGCAUGCAAUUUGGCAUCUUGGUGUAAAAUCUUCAUGUGUAAACAAUCUUGUUUUAGCAUCCAGACUCUAUAAUUAAAAGUAAUAAGCUCUUUUAAAGCCGAAAGCAACUAUAUAGACCAAUACAAUUAAACAAAGCCAGCGGGUAGGUUUCAAAUUUGAAGUAGCCGUGCUCCAUAGUUAACUCUCCGGCAUGCAGGCAUUUAGUGUAGUAGAUCCAAGACAUACGUGUGACAGAUUGCAUAUGAACAACAUUUAUUAGUAGGAAAAUAGUACUACCUGAAGGAAAUAUGCCCUAGAGGCAAUAAUAAAGUUAUUAUUUAUUUCCUCAUAUCAUGAUAAAUGUUUACUAUUCAUGCUAGAAUUGUAUUAACCGGAAACAUAAUACAUGUUUGAAUACAUAGACAAACAUAGUGUCACUAGUAUGCCUCUACUUCACUAGCUCGUUAUUCGAAGAUGGUUGUGUUUCCUAACCAUAGAUAUGAGUUAUCAUUUGAUUAACGGGAUCACAUCAUUAGGAGAAUGAUGUGAUUGACUUGACCCAUUCCGUUAGCUUCGCACUUGAUCGUUUAGUAUGUUGUUAUUGCUUUCUUCAUGACUUAUACAUGUUCCUAUGACUAUGAGAUUAUGCAACUCCCGUUUACCGGAGGAACACUUUGUGUGCUACCAAACGUCACAACGUAACUGGGUGAUUAUAAAGGUGCUCUACAGGUGUCUCCGAAGGUACUUGUUGAGUUGGCGUAUUUCGAGAUUAGGAUUUGUCACUCCGAUUGGAGGAGAGGUAUCUCUGGGCCCUCUCGGUAAUGCACAUCACUAUAAGCCUUGCAAGCAAUGUGACUAAUGAGUUAGUUGCGAGAUGAUGCAUUACGUAAGGAGCAAAGAGACUUGGCGGUAACGAGAUUGGACUAGGUAUUGACAUACCGACGAUCGAAUCUCGGGCACGUAACAUACCGAUGACAAAGGGAACAACGUAUGUUGUUAUGCGGUUUGACCGAUAAAGAUCUUCAUAGAAUAUGUAGGAGCCAAUAUGAGCAUCCAGGUUCCGCUAUUGGUUAUUGACCGAAGACGUGUCUCGAUCAUGUCUACAUAGUUCUCGAACCCGUAGGGUCCGCACGCUUAAAGUUCGGUGACGAUCGGUAUUAUGAGUUUAUAUGUUUUUAUGUACCGAAUGUAGUUCGGAGUCCCGGAUAUGAUCACGUACAUGACGAGUAGUCUCGAAAUGGUCGAGACGUAAAGAUCGAUAUAUUGGAUGACUAUAUUCGGACACCCGAAGUGUUUCGGGUGAUUUCAGAGAAAACCGGAGUGCCGGAGGGGUUACCGGAACCCCCCGGGGAAGUAUUGGGCCUUAGUGGGCCUGAGGGGAGAGAGAGGGCAGCAGCCCAGGAGGUGGCGUGCCCCCUCCCAUGAGGAGUCCGAAUUGGACUAGGGGAGGGGGCGCGGCUGUCGGUGUCAAAACUGGCGGAUUUCGGGUAGGGGGUCCCGAACUGUGCGUCUAAGGCGGAUGGUAACAGGAGGCGGGGGACACGAUGUUUACCCAGGUUCGGGCCCUCUUAAUGGAGGUAAUACCCUACUUCCUGCUUGAUUGAUCUUGAUGAUAUGAGUAUUACAAGAGUUGAUCCACCACGAGAUCGUAGAGGUUAAACCCUAGAAGCUAGCCUAUGGUAUGAUUGUUGUUGUCCUACGGUCUAAACCCUCCGGUUUAUAUAGACGCCGGAGGGGGCUAGGGUUACACAGAGUCGGUUACAAGGGAGGAGAUCUACAUAUCCGUACUACCAAGCUUGCCUUCCAGGCCAAGGAGAGUCCCAUCCGGACACGGGACGAAGUCUUCAAUCUUGUAUCUUCAUAGUCCAACAGUCCUGCUAAAGGAUAUAGUCCGGCUGUCUGAGGACCCCCUAAUCCAGGACUCCCUCAGUAGCCCCUGAACCAGGCUUCAAUGACGACGAGUCCGGCCCGUAGAUUGUCUUCGGCAUUGCAAGGCGGGUUCCUCCUCCGAAUAUUCCAUAGAAGAUUUUGAACACAAGGAUAGUGUCCGGCUCUAGAAAAACAAAUUCCACAUACGACCGUAGAGAGAAUAAUAUUUCCACAAAUCUAAUCUGCUGACACAUUCGGCAGCAUGACAUCACACCACGGCCCGGUCAUUAUUCGAACCGUUUUUCUCAACCAGCUACUGCACAUAUCGCGAGGCGGUUUUCUCGGCACGUCUUGUCGAAGCAGAGAUCGUGUCCCCUUGUCACGGGAUUCUCAUCAAUACGGGUGUGGGUAACCCAACCGCGCCAUCAAUUAUGGCGCUUGGGGAAUAAGCGAGUUUACCAGGUAGGUGGGGAGGCGUAUAGUUUCUUCCGCCCUUAUAAAGGGACAAGGAUUCCUCUUUUUACCCACGCCCUCUUCCUCCUUGCUCAUCCAUUCUUGCUCACUCGAGCUCCAGCGCCCAAGUUUGCAUUUCCUCCUCAAACCACUCCAAGCAUGUCCGGAGCGGGAGGCAUGUGGAUGGUCUCCUCCGUCACGGAGGAGAACAUCACAAAGCUACGGGGAGCCGGAUAUCUGGCCGCGGAUAUCGCACACCGGCUGCCAGACGCGGGGCAAAUCGUCCCUACUCCAGAACCCCAUGAGAGGAUGGUUUUUCUUACCCACUUCGUCUGCGGACAGGGAUUUCCCCUCCACCCGUUUGUCCGUGGGCUCAUGUUCUACUACAGGCUAGAUUUUCAUGAUCUGGCCCCCAAUUUCAUCCUCAACAUCUCGGCGUUUAUCGUCGUGUGCGAGGCCUUCCUCCGCAUCAAGCCCCACUUCGGCCUGUGGCUGAAGACCUUGAAUGUUAAACCGAAGGUGGUGGUCGGCCAGCAAGCGGAGUGCGGAGGUGCCAUGGUGGGAAAAAUGCCCAACGUCACCUGGCUCGAAGGCUCCUAUGUGGAGACCAUAAAGGGGUGGCAAUCGGGGUGGUUCUACAUCACCGAGCCGCGUGACACCAACUGGGUGGCGGCCCCCAAAUUUCGAUCCGGAAUCCCCAUGCGGCUCACCUCCUGGAAAGAGAAGGGCCUGUCCUGGGGUUCCUCAGUAGAGCUGACCGGAGUCCAGACAUGCAUCGAAAACAUGAUGAGCAAGAAAAUCAAGCUCGUCAACGUGGUCCAAGUCAUGCUCUUCCGCCGGAUCCUCCCGUGUCGAAGACGGGCAUUCAAUUUGUGGGAGUCCGACCCGACCGAGCACCAGACGCUGCGAGAGCUCUUCGACACGACGCACAAGGACGUCUGGAAGGUGCUAUUCAAGGGUGCCGAGAUACCUCCCCUUACCGAGCACCGCGGGCUCAGUGCAAAGCGCCCUGCUAAUCCGGUAAGUCCUUUAUAUCUUAUAAGAUGUUCAUUUUCCCCAGUUUGACCAUGCGCGGGAUCUAAGCCUCCACGCCAUUUAACAGGACUGGGUAGAGACAGCGGAGCAGAUCGAUUGUCCAGCCCCCCUACCCGAAGAUCCAGCGGAUGCUCUCCUAACGGAGAUGCUGGUUCCGGCGCCUUAUGACGUGCCGGCGAAGAAGGCCAAGAAGAAGGCCACGGGGACCAGGAAGGGUCUCCGGCGCAAGGUUAUAUCGGACUCAUCGUCCGAAAACACUGAGGCGCACUCCUCCCAUGAAAGCGAGGAGGAGGAAGAGGAAAGUUCUCCCCCCCCCAACCGGGGGGGACAAGAAAAGGAAGGCCGCCCCAUCAGGGGAGGCCGAAGGGUCCAAGAAGGGAAGGACCCUCCUCCCGGACUGCUCCACGACGGCUGCUUUCAGUGACGAGGAGUGGUUGCCCAGGGAAAAGCCCCUGGCGAAGUCGUGAGUAUCCGGAUACCCUAACAAUUCUUGGUACGUCUUAUUGUACUGUUUCUUAUCACGCCGCGCAUGAUUAUGGAGCCCAUCUCGAGCCCGCAUCGACGUAUCUUCAUCAGAUGAUUCUCUGGGCCCAUCGGAUAUGAACAACGAUUCACUCCCGACUGCCUCCUCCCCCCGCCCUACGGACGACGCCGAGAUGUUGUCUCAAAGCGGACUGAACCAAGGGGAGACAGUUCCGGGGGCGCCUCAAGGCGACAUUCCAGGCGCUAGGUGCACGAGGGGCAAGACUCCUUUGGGCCCUAACGCCGGGGGCAGCAAGUCUAGCCCCAAGCCAAAUACGGCGCCGGAACCUCCAGUGGUUCCGGAUUCUGUCCGACAACUCCUCGCUAAGGGGGGCAAGCCAUCUGUGCCGAUGGCCUCUGUUCAUCCAGAGGCAUCGGACAACUUGCUGGAAGCGCUUCGUGGCGCUUCCAUUGACGAAGAGCACCGCACCAUUAUGAGUGCGGUGGUCAAGAAGGUUCAGUCCGCCAAGAGCGGACUGACUGAAGCCUGUGCCAGCCUUCUAACAGGCUUUGAGGUAAGUAACCAGAUUAUAAGAGAAUGUUACCACAUAGACAGUAGCCCCUGAUGCUCUGUUUGGCGUUCGCGAAGAAAGGCCGAAUAGAGGAUCAAAUAAUAACCGCAGGAGUCUAAUCAAAAUAUGUCUAUGUGCAUAUGCAGGCUUCACUGCUAGCCGCUGCCGCACAUACUGCGGAGGUCGCCGCACUGAAGCGGGACCUUGAGCGGUCCAAGGAAGAGCUCGGCCUUGCCAAGAGGCAGAUCGAAGAGAACAAAGGUAAGUUAUACCCCGUAUGUAUAUUAUAAAAAAUUUGGUUUUUAGAAUAAUAGGAUCGUCAUGAAUUUUGCUAGGGGCCACGACCAAAGUGGCGUCCCUGCAGAAGGCGCUAUCCGAGGCCGAAGACAAAGCGGCCAAGGAGCGCAUCAAGCGAGAAAAGCAAGAAGCCCGAGUAGGCGAGGUGCAGCAAGAGCUCCAGGCUCUCGCCAAAAAACACGAGUCCUUGGAGCUUGACUCUAAGACACAAGGGUCCGAGCUUGCGAAGGCCCUCGAAAGUGCACAACAUGCCAAGGCCGAAGCCCAAAAGGCUCUCCGGGAAAUUGAGGCGGUUAAGAAGAUAGCGGCGGGUAAGGCAUUCAUUAUGCAAAGCAAGCAUGUGAAGGAAACUUUCUUUUUACUUACCCGAGUUCGGAGUUCUCCAGGAGCGUUCGCAGAUCUACCCCGCAGUGUGUCAGAUGCCGCGGAGUUCUACCGGGCCGAGGAAGGGAGCUCGACGGAGAAGUUGUUCUGGUCUCAGUAUACUCGGACCGAACACCCCAUGCCCUUGAGCGACCAGCUGAAGCAACUGGUCGAGCUCCACAAGGCGGCCGAACAGGCCAUGAAGGGUCUUAUAGUCCGGAUGUGGCCUGGCGAUCCCCUGCCUGAUAGCUACUUCGGUCUGGUGAGGCAGCUUGUGAAUGCCUGCCCACGGCUUGAGGUCGUAAAGCGGUCCGUCUGCAUCGAGGGUGCGCGCAGGGCUUUUGCCCGAGCGAAGGUGCACUGGGCGAAACUGGACGCCAAAAAGCUGGUGAAGGAGGGGCCGUCGGAAGGCAAGGAGCAGUGCCACCCCGAAAAGUAUUAUGACAGUGUCCUGAAGGGUGCUCGCCUUGUGGCGGAGGAAUGUGCUAAGGAUGUAAUAUUCGAAUGAAUGUACUCAUGUGAUCCUGUAAUAUGAAACGAGUUCAUGUGCACUAUGCAACGCUUGUUGAUUUAAAAUAUUACCUUCUGUGAGGCCGUUUAUGAAAUCUGAGAGUUGGCCAGUCGUCGGCUUCUGCCCCCAUGUACCUAGUACUGAGGUGUUCGGGAUAAACCUGAGCACUCUUUAUCCCAAUUUUGGUUCCUUCGAAGGAGGUGUUCAGCACAGCGAACCAGGCAAUCGGACUAUAAAGCUUUAUCACUCUCACUUAGCCAUAGAAGUCUACAAUUUUAAAUUUUGGCGAAGCCCCUAGUAUUCGGAAGGCCAAAUUUGGGGUGCUAUAUACGCCUAAGUCGGGCAAGGCCGACUCCUCGCCCGAAGCGGAAAAAGUCUUUAGGGACUUGAGACCUCUCGAACAUCGACCAGCUCUCGCCUUAUCAUGACAAUCAGUUUUCGGCUUUCUCUACUGAGGUGCUCGUCCGGAAGAACCGGGACACAAUCGCAGUAGUUCUCCCAGUGCUACCUUAGCCGGUAUUGCGGAACGUAAGGUACCAAAAAAUGGGAGCAGGGCAAACCCAACUAUUGACCCAAGACAUGAUUCGGAGCUGAUGCAUAUAGUGCUAUAAGUUCGGGGUGCCGCACUGUCGAAAGUGUUCGGACUUCUCACGCCGUAUUUAUGGGGUAUACUGAAGCCCCUGGCGUACUGGUCGUACCAGAAUGUACGGUUGCAAUUUGUCGUAAAUAGGCAGACAAGAAAAAAGAAAGGGUAAUGCAAUAAUAGACUAACGCUAUGCAUUGUUAUUAAAUAAUACGUCGAAGCGCACGGAUACAAGUAGUGCAAUAAGCAAAAAAUAGGACUAUUUGACAUGUCCUAUCCAAGGGCAAGCUACAUAUGGGUAUUUAAAACAGGUAUUUCGAUCGUUAUUAGAGACCAUCUGGGGAUUCCCUUGUUCGUCAGAGCUUCUUGCUUCCUUGGUAUUUCCUUCCCAUAAUGCGUCCGGCAAUCAGACUGCUGAAAAGGGCUUCCAGAGAGUAAGGUCCUGAAAGAGAAAAAAUGAUAAAGGUAUACAGCCCCUGGGGCAGUUGAGCCGCAUUGUGGGAAGUGUCCUGGUCGUGCCCCCGCCUAUGCCCAUGGUAUUUUUGUGCGUAAUUAUGUACGCGCGUCACAGAUUUCGUCGCUUGACUGGGACUAGGACGGGGGCCGAAUUGCUAGGCGAUCUCUGAACGUGCCAGGCGAUCCUGUUGCAGGUUACUCCGUACUCGCUUGAAGGUGCCCGGGGGCUUUAUCACCGAAUUGGCGGCUUGCCUUAAAAGGCUGCUUUGUGCUUCUGCUGCGCGGGCCGCAGUGUGCUCCUCCAUGCGGAGCGAGCGUUCUAUGUUUCCAUUGACUGUUAUAACCCUACGAGGUCCUGGCAUUCUGAGCUUGAGGUAUGCAUAAUGCGGUACCGCAAUGAAUCUGGCAAAUGCGGUUCGCCCGAGCAGUGCGUGAUAGCCACUGCGGAACGGGACGAUAUCGAAGAUUAACUCCUCGCUUCGGAAGUUGUCCGGAGAUCCGAAGACCACUUCCAGUGUGAUUGAGCCCGUGCAAUGGGCCUCUACACAUGGGAUGACACCUUUAAAGGUGGUUUUAGUGGGUUUGAUCCUCGAGGGGUCUAUACCCAUUUUGCGCACUGUAUCCUGAUAGAGCAGGUUCAGGCUGCUGCCGCCGUCCAUAAGGACUCGAGUGAGGUGAAAUCCGUCAAUGAUGGGGUCGAGGACCAAUGCGGCAUAUCCGCCAUGACGGAUAAAAGUGGGGUGGUCCCUACGAUCGAAGGUGAUCGGACAAGAGGACCAUGGGUUGAACUUUGGGGCGACUGGCUCCAUCGCAUAGACGUCCCUUAGUGCAUGUUUCCGUUCCCUCUUGGGAAUGUGGGUUGUGUAUAUCAUGUUCACCGUUUUCACUUGUGGAGGGAACCUCUUCUGUCCUCCUGUGUUUGGCGGCCGAGGCUCCUCCUCGUCGUCGCUAUGCAGCCCCUUGUCCUUGUUUUCGGCAUUCAACUUGCCGUCCUGCUUGAACACCCAGCAUUCUCUGUUGGUGUGAUUGGCUGGCUUAUCGGGGGUGCCAUGAAUUUGACACGAGCGAUCGAGUAUGCGGUCCAAACUGGACGGCCCGGAUUACUUCUUUUGAACGGCUUUUUCCGCUGACCGGAUUUAGAGCCACUGAAUCCGGCGUUGACUGCCGUGUCUUCGGCGUUGUCGCCGUUGUUGCGGCGCUUGUGUAUGUUACGACGUGGUCUGCCAUUAGUAUCUUUGGUAUCUGAAGUGCCCGGAUUCCUUGAUGUGUUGUUGCUGCGAGCCAGCCAGCUAUCCUUGCCCGUGCAAAAGCGGGUCAUGAGUGUCGUGAGGGCUGCCAUGGACUUCGGCUUCUCCUGGCCGAGGUGCUGGGUGAGCCACUCGUCACGGAUGUUAUGCUUAAAUGCCGCUAAGGCCUCUGCAUCCGAACAGUCGACAAUUUGGUUUUUCUUGGUUAGGAACCUGGUCCAGAAUUUCCUGGCCGAUUCCCCUGUCUGCUGAAUUAUAUGGCUCAAGUCAUCAGCAUCCGGUGGUCGCACAUAAGUGCCCUGGAAGUUGUCAAGGAAUGCAUCUUCCAAAUCCUCCCAACUACCAAUGGAGUCUGCUGGCAAGCUAUUCAGCCAAUGCCGAGCUGGUCCUCUGAGUUUUAGUGGGAGGUACUUGAUGGCACGUAGAUCAUCACCGCGAGCCAUGUGGAUGUGGAGGAGGAAAUCCUCAAUCCAUACCGCGGGAUCUGUUGUACCGUCAUAUGAUUCAAUGUUUACGAGUUUAAAACCCUCUGGGAAUUCGUGAUCCAUUACUUCAUCAGUGAAGCAUAGGGGGUGUGCGGCGCCUCUGUGCCGGGCUAUGUCACGACGCAGUUCAUACGAGUCUUGUCUGCUGUAUUCGGCCCGGCUGGAUUUGCUUUUAGUAUAUCCGGCGUGACGGUCAUCGUCCCGCGUUGGGGCGCGCCCCUGUGAUCCGUAGAUCGAUCUUGUAUGUCCUGCUUUGUUUUCCAAUACGUCUCGCAGGUCCCGCGUAUUGCCCUGGGCCUUUGUGUUUUUGUUUGUCUGGCGACGGGGUGCGGGCUGGACUUCGAGCUGAUAUGCCUCUCUGUCUCGGCCAUGAGGUGGCCGAUCAGCCGCAUCAUACGCUGGAGAUGUAGGUUUCAAUGCUUUCUCCUCGAGUUGGGGUAGAAACCUGCGCUUUGGGUAACUCUUGGUUGGGCGCUCAAGUUCGUAUUCCUCGGCCGCCAGGACUUCAGUCCAUCUAUCCGCUAGCAGAUCUUGAUCAGCUCGAAGCUGUUGUUGCUUUUUCUUCAGGCUGUUUGCUGUUGCUAUAAGCCGGCGCUUGAAGCGCUCCUGUUCGACGGGAUCCUCAGGCACGAUAAAUUCUUCGUCGCCGAGGCUCACCUCGUCUUCGGAGAGAGGCAUGUAAUUGUCAUCCUCCGAUUCUCCGUCUGCUGCCUGUUCCGGAGGGCUAGCUUGUUCAUCCUCCCGCUCUAGGUCUGGCUGGAGGGGUUUAUCAUCGUCUUCGACACUAUCCGGAGCGUUAUUGUCUCUUGUGCCGGUAUCGCUGCUUUUGCUAUGGCGGGACUUAGAGCGGCGCCGCUGAGGUCGGUGCUUGGAUUGCUUCUUGGAGGGAUUAUCCUCCGUUGUCUUAUCGCCAUCCCCCUCUUUGGGGGUGUCCACCAUGUAUAUGUCAUACGAUGAGGUGGCAGUCUAGCGCCCUGUGGGUGGUGGUUCUUGUUCGUCUCCUGCAUCGUCAUCCAUACUGUCGAUGUCUUCGGAGCCGAAGUCGAGCAUGUCGGUUAAAUCAUCGAUAGUGGCUACUAAGUGGGUGGUGGGUGGGGAGCGAAUUUCUUCAUCGUCCGCAUCCCAUUCUAGCCGGACAUAGUUCGGCCAAGGGUCUUCUGACAGGGAGAGAGACCUUAACAAGUUUAGCACGUCGCCAAAGGGCGAGUGCUGAAAGAUAUCUGCGGAGGUAAACUCCAUGAUCGGUGCCCAAUCGGAUUCCAUAGGCACGGACGCGGGCGGCUCGGAGCCCAUGGCCGGGGACGAACCCAACGGUUCAACAACAUGGGUCUUGUAGGAGGUGAAGUCGGUAUUCGGCUCUAUCGCCACUGAUUGUGCGGCCUCCGUGGCGGGGUCCAUCCACCCGUCCUCAGAUGGUGCAAUUUGUUCCUGAUUGAGGGCCGGAGUAGUUGCAGGUGUGAUCUCCCGAACACUGUCCGACGGCAGAGCUAAGUCAUGUCGUCGUGAUUGUGCAGCGCACCUGACAUGGGCUCGAAUCCGCUGAAGAUCAAGUCUCCGUGGAUGUCGGCAGUAUAGUUCAAGUUUCCAAACCUGACUUGAUGGCCAGGGGCGUAGCUCUCGAUCUGCUCUAGAUGGCCAAGCGAGUUGGCCCGCAGUACGAAGCUGCCGAAUACGAAGAUCUGUCUGGGGAGGAAAACCUCACCCUGGAUCGCAUCAUUGCCGAUGAUCGAAGGAGCCAUCCAGCCUUACGGUGACGGCACAGUGUAACUCUCAAUGAAAGCACCAAUGUCGGUGUCAAAACCGGUGGAUCUCGGGUAGGGGGUCCCGAACUGUGCGUCUAAGGCGGAUGGUAACAGGAGGCGGGGGACACGAUGUUUACCCAGGUUCGGGCCCUCUCGAUGGAGGUAAUACCCUACUUCCUGCUUGAUUGAUCUUGAUGAUAUGAGUAUUACAAGAGUUGAUCUACCACGAGAUCGUAGAGGCUAAACCCUAGAAGCUAGCCUAUGGUAUGAUUGUUGUUGUCCUACGGACUAAACCCUCCGGUUUAUAUAGACACCGGAGGGGGCUGGGGUUACACAGAGUCGGUUACAAGGGAGGAGAUCUACAUAUCUGUACUGCCAAGCUUGCCUUCCACGCCAAGGAGAGUCCCAUCCGGACACGGGACGAAGUCUUCAAUCUUGUAUCUUCAUAGUCCAACAGUCCGGCUAAAGGAUAUAGUCCGGUUGUCCGAGGACCCCCUAAUCCAGGACUCCCUCAGUGGCCCCUCUUUCCCUCUCCCUCUCCCUCUCUUUCCUUCCCCCUUCCCUCUUCCUAGUUGGACUAGGAAAGGGUAGUCCUACUCCUACUAGGAGGAGGACUACCCCCUCCUUGGCGCGCCCCAAGGGCCGGCCGGCCUCCCCCCUUGCUCCUUUAUAUAAGGGGGCAGGGGGCACCUCUAGACAUAACAAUUGAUCUCUAGAUCUCUUAACCGUGUGCGGUGUGUUGGAAAUAUGCCCUAGAGGCAAUAAUAAAUGGUUAUUAUUAUAUUUCUUUGUUCAUGAUAAUUGUCUAUUGUUCAUGCUAUAAUUGUGUUAUCCGGAAAUCGUAAUACAUGUGUGAAUACAUAGACCACAACGUGUCCCUAGUAAGCCUCUAGUUGACUAGCUCGUUGAUCAACAGAUAGUCAUGGUUUCCUGACUAUGGACAUUGGAUGUCAUUGAUAACGGGAUCACAUCAUUAGGAGAAUGAUGUGAUGGACAAGACCCAAUCCUAACCAUAGCAUAAAAGAUCGUGUAGUUUCGUUUGCUAGAGCUUUUCCAAUGUCAAGUAUCUUUUCCUUAGACCAUGAGAUCGUGCAACUCCCGGAUACCGUAGGAGUACUUUGGGUGUGCCAAACGUCACAACGUAACUGGGUGACUAUAAAGGUACACUAUGGGUAUCUCCGAAAGUGUCUGUUGGGUUGGCACGGAUCGAGACUGGGAUUUGUCACUCCGUGUGACGGAGAGGUAUCUCUGGGCCCACUCGGUAAUGCAUCAUCAUAAUAAGCUCAAUGUGACUAAGGCGUUAGUCAUGGGAUCAGGCAUUACGGUACGAGUAAAGAGACUUGCCGGUAACGAGAUUGAACAAGGUAUUGGGAUACCGACGAUCGAAUCUCGGGCAAGUAACAUACCGAUUGACAAAGGGAAUUGUAUACGGGAUUGAUUGAAUCCUCGACAUCGUGGUUCAUCCGAUGAGAUCAUCGUGGAACAUGUGGGAGCCAACAUGGGUAUCCAGAUCCCGCUGUUGGUUAUUGACCGGAGAGGCGUCUCGGUCAUGUCUGCAUGUCUCCCUAACCCGUAGGGUCUACACACUUAAGGUUCGGUGACGCUAGGGUUGUAGAGAUAUGAGUAUGCGGAAACCCGAAAGUUGUUUGGAGUCCCGAGUGAGAUCCCGGACGUCAUGAGGAGUUCCGGAAUGGUCCGGAGGUGAAGAAUUAUAUAUAGGAAGUCCAGUUUUGGCCACUGGGAAAGUUUCGGGGGUUAUCGGUAUUAUACCGGGACCACCGGAAGGGUCCCGGGGGUCCACCAGGUGGGGCCACCUGUCCCGGAGGGCCCCAUGGGCUGAAGUGGGAAGGGAACCAGCCCAUAGUGGGCUGGGGCGCCCCCCAUGGGCCUCCCCCUUGCGCCUAGGGUUGGAAACCCUAGGGUGGGGGGGCGCCCCACUUGACUUGGGGGGUAAGUUACCCCCCUUGGCCGCCGCCCCCCCCUAUAUGGGACUUGGCCGGUGCCCCCCCCUCCCAGGGGGCCUAUAUAAAGGGGGGGGAGGGAGGGCAGCAUGAUUACAGCCUUGGGCGCCUCCCUCCUCCCCGGCUACACCUCUCCCUCUCGCAGAAGCUCGGCGAAGCCCUGCCGAGACCCGCUACAUCCACCACCACGCCGUCGUGCUGUUGGAUCUCCAUCAACCUCUCCUUCCCCUUUCUAGAUCAAGAAGGAGGAGAUGUCGCUGCACCGUACGUGUGUUGAACGCGGAGGUGCCGUCCGUUUGGCACUCGGUCAUCGGUGAUUUGAUUCACGGCGAGUACGACUCCGUCAUCCACGUUCAUUGGAAUGCUUCCGCUCGCGAUCUACAAGGGUAUGUAGAUGCACUCCUUUCCCCUCGUUGCUAGUAUACUCCAUAGAUGGAUCUUGGUGAGCGUAGGAAAAUUUUAAAAUUCUGCUACGAUUCCCAACAGUGGCAUCAUGAGCCAGGUUUAUGCGUAGUUACUAUGCACGAGUAGAACACAAAGCAGUUGUGGGCGUUGAUGUUGCCAAUUCUUCUUGACUCUACUAGUCGUAUCUUGUUUCGGCGGUAUUGUGGGAUGAAGCGGCCCGGACCGACCUUACACGUACGCUUACGUGAGACAGGUUCCACCGACUGACAUGCACUAGUUGCAUAAGGUGGCUAGCGGGUGUCUGUCUCUCCUACUUUAGUCGGAACGGAUUCGAUGAAAAGGGUCCUUAUGAAGGGUAAAUAGAAAUUGGCAAAUCACGUUGUGGUCAUAUGUAGGUAAGAAACGUUCUUGCUAGAAACCUACAAGCCACGUAAAAACUUGCAACAACAAUUAGAGGACGUCUAACUUGUUUUUGCAGCAUGUGCUAUGUGAUGUGAUAUGGCCAGAAGAUGUGAUGAAUGAUAUAUGUGAUGUAUGAGAUUGAUCAUAUUCUUGUAAUAGGAAUCACGACUUGCAUGUCGAUGAGUAUGACAACCGGCAGGAGCCAUAGGAGUUGUCUUUAUUAUUUUGUAUGACCUGCGUGUCAUUGAAUAACGCCAUGUAAAUUACUUUACUUUGUUGCUAAACGCGUUGGCCAUAGAAGUAGAAGUAAUCGUUGGCGUGACGACUUCAUGAAGACACAAUGAUGGAGAUCAUGAUCAUGGAGAUCAUGGUGUCAUGCCGGUGACGAAGAUGAUCAUGGUGCCCCGAAGAUGGAGAUCAAAGGAGCAUAAUGAUAUUGGCCAUAUCAUGUCACUAUUUGAUUGCAUGUGAUGUUUAUCAUGUUUUUGCAUCUUAUUUGCUUAGAACGACGGUAGUAAGUAAGAUGAUCCCUUAUAAUAAUUUCAAGAAAGUGUUCACCCUAACUGUGCACCGUUGCGAAGGUUCGUUGUUUCGAUGCACCACGUGAUGAUCGGGUGUGAUAGAUUCUAACGUUCGCAUACAACGGGUGUUGACGAGCCUAGCAUGUACAGACAUGGCCUUGGAACACACGCAAUACACUUAGGUUGACUUGACGAGCCUAGCAUGUAUAGACAUGGCCUCGAAACACGGAGGACCGAAAGGUCGAGCAUGAGUCGUAUAGAAGAUAUGAUCAACAUGGAGAUGUUCACCGAUCUUGACUAGUCCGUCUCACGUGAUGAUCGGACACGGCCUAGUUAACUCGGAUCAUGUUUCACUUAGAUGACUAGAGGGAUGUCUAUCUGAGUGGGAGUUCAUUGAGUAAUUUGAUUAGAUGAACUUAAUUAUCAUGAACUUAGUCUAAAAUCUUUACACUAUGUCUUGUAGAUCAAAUGGCCCACGUUGUCCUCAAUUUCAACGCGUUCCUAGAGAAAACCAAGCUGAAAGAUGAUGGCAGCAACUAUACGGACUGGGUCCGGAACCUGAGGAUCAUCCUCAUAGCAGACAAGAAAGAUUAUGUCCUAGAAGCACCGCUAGGUGCAGCACCAAUCCCAGAGAACCAAGACGUUAUGAACGCUUGGCAGCAGCAUGCUGAUGAUUACUCCCUCGUUCAAUGCGGCAUGCUUUACAACUUAGAACCGGGUCUCCAAAAGCGUUUUGAGAAACAUGGAGCAUAUGAGAUGUUCGAGGAGCUGAAAAUGGUUUUCCAAGCUCAUGCCCGGGUCGAGAGAUAUGAAGUCUGACAAGUUCUUCGGCUGUAAAAUGGAGGAGAAUAGUUCUGUUAGUGAGCACAUACUCAGAAUGUCUGGGUUACACAACCGCUUAUCCCAGCUGGGAGUUAAUCUCCCGGAUGACGCGGUCAUUGACAGAAUCCUCCAGUCGCUUCCACCAAGCUACAAGAGCUUUGUGAUGAACUUCAAUAUGCAAGGGAUGGAAAAGACCAUUACUGAGGUAUAUUCAAUGCUGAAAUCAGCGGAGGUGGAGAUCAGAAAAGAACAUCAAGUGUUGAUGGUGAAUAAAACCACUAAGUUCAAGAAGGGCAAGGGUAAGAAGAACUUCAAGAAGGACGGCAAGGGAGUUGCCGCGCCCGGUAAGCCAGUUACUAGGAAGAAGUCGAAGAAUGGACCCAAGCCUGAGACUGAGUGCUUUUAUUGCAAGGGAAGUGGUCACUGGAAGCGGAACUGCCCCAAAUACUUAGCGGACAAGAAGGCCGGCAACACCAAAGGUAUAUGUGAUAUACAUGUUAUUGAUGUGUACCUUACCAGUACUCGUAGUAGCUCCUGGAUAUUUGAUACCGGUGCGGUUGCUCAUAUUUGUAACUCAAAACAGGAACUGCGGAAUAAGCGGAGACUGGCAAAGGACGGGGUGACGAUGCGUGUCGGGAAUGGUUCCAAGGUCGAUGUGAUCGCCGUCGGCACGCUACCUCUGCAUCUCCCUACGGGAUUAGUUUUAAACCUCAAUAAUUGUUAUUUAGUGCCAGCUUUGAGCAUGAACAUUGUAUCUGGAUCUCAUUUAAUUCGAGAUGGCUACUCAUUUAAAUCCGAGAAUAAUGGUUAUUCUAUUUAUUUGAGAGAUAUGUUUUAUGGUCUUGCCCCGCUGGUCAAUGGUUUAUUCUUGAUGAAUCUCGAACGUGAUGUUACACAUGUUCAUAACGUGAGUACCAAAAGAUGUAAAGUUGAUAACGAUAGUCCCACAUACUUGUGGCACUGCCGCCUUGGUCACAUUGGUGUCAAGCGCAUGAAGAAGCUCCAUGCAGAUGGACUUUUGGAGUCUCUUGAUUACGAAUCAUUUGACACGUGCGAACCAUGCCUCAUGGGUAAGAUGACCAAGACUCCGUUCUCCGGAACAAUGGAGCGAGCAACCAACUUAUUGGAAAUCAUACAUACCGAUGUGUGCGGUCCAAUGAGUGUUGAGGCUCGCGGAGGAUAUCGUUAUGUUCUCACUGAUGAUUUAAGUAGAUAUGGGUAUGUCUACUUAAUGAAACACAAGUCUGAAACCUUUGAAAAGUUCAAGGAAUUUCAGAGUGAGGUUGAGAAUCAACGUGACAGGAAAAUAAAAUUCUUGCGAUCAGAUCGUGGUGGAGAAUAUUUAAGUCACGAGUUUGGUACACACUUAAGGAAAUGUGGAAUCGUUUCACAACUCACGCCGCCUGGAACACCUCAACGAAACGGUGUGUCCGAACGUCGUAAUCGCACUCUAUUGGAUAUGGUGCGAUCUAUGAUGUCUCUUACCGAUUUACCGCUCUCAUUUUGGGGCUAUGCUUUAGAGACUGCCGCAUUCACUUUAAAUAGGGCUCCGUCGAAAUCCGUUGAGACGACACCGUAUGAAUUAUGGUUUGGGAAGAAACCUAAGCUGUCGUUUCUAAAAGUUUGGGGAUGCGAUGCUUAUGUCAAGAAACUUCAACCUGAAAAGCUCGAACCCAAGUCGGAGAAAUGUGUCUUCAUAGGGUACCCUAAGGAAACUAUUGGGUAUACCUUCUACCUCAGAUCCGAAGGCAAGAUCUUCGUUGCCAAGAACGGGUCCUUUCUGGAGAAGGAGUUUCUCUCGAAAGAAUUGAGUGGGAGGAAAGUGGAACUUGAUGAGGUGAUAGUCACCCCUUCCGAACCGGAAAGUAGCGCAGCGCGGGAAGAUGUUCCUGUGGUGCCUACACCGACUGGGGAGGAAGUUAAUGAUGAUGAUCAUGAAGCUUCGGAUCAAGUUACUACUGAACUUCGUAGGUCCACAAGGACACGUUCCGCACCAGAGUGGUACGGCAACCCUGUCCUGGAAAUCAUGUUGUUAGACAACGGUGAACCUUCGAACUAUGAAGAAGCGAUGGCGGGCCCGGAUUCCGACAAAUGGCUAGAAGCCAUGAAAUCCGAGAUAGGAUCCAUGUAUGAAAACGAAGUAUGGACUUUGACUGACUUGCCCGAUGAUCGGCGAGCCAUAGAAAACAAAUGGAUCUUUAAGAAGAAGACGGACGCGGAUGGUAAUGUGACCAUCUACAAAGCUCGACUUGUCGCUAAGGGUUAUCGACAAGUUCAAGGGGUUGACUACGAUGAGACUUUCUCACCCGUAGCGAAGCUGAAGUCUGUCCGAAUCAUGUUAGCAAUUGCCGCAUAAUAUGAUUAUGAGAUAUGGCAGAUGGACGUCAAAACGGCAUUCCUUAACGGCUUCCUUAAGGAAGAGUUGUAUAUGAUGCAGCCGGAAGGUUUUGUCGAUCCUAAGAAUGCUAACAAAGUAUGCAAGCUCCAGCGCUCAAUCUAUGGGCUGGUGCAAGCAUAUGUGAUGAUCAAAGCGUUUGGGUUUACACAGACUUAUGGAGAAGCCUGUGUUUACAAGAAAGUGAGUGGGAGCUCUGUAGCAUUUCUCAUAUUAUAUGUGGAUGACAUAUUAUUGAUGGGAAAUGAUAUAGAAUUCUUGGAAAGUAUAAAGGCCUAUUUGAAUAAGUGUUUUUCAAUGAAGGACCUUGGAGAAGCUGCUUAUAUAUUAGGCAUCAAGAUCUAUAGAGAUAGAUCGAGACGCCUCAUUGGUCUUUCACAGAGUACAUACCUUGACAAGAUAUUGAAGAAGUUCAAUAUGGAUCAGUCCAAGAAGGGGUUCUUGCCUGUAUUGCAAGGUGUGCAAUUGAGCAUGGCUCAAUGCCCGACCACGGCAGAAGAUAUAGAAAAGAUGAGUGUCAUCCCCUAUGCCUCAGCCAUAGGGUCUAUUAUGUAUGCCAUGCUGUGUACCAGACCUGAUGUAAACUUUGCCGUGAGUUUGGUAGGAAGGUACCAAAGUAAUCCCGGCAUGGAACACUGGACAGCGGUCAAGAAUAUCCUGAAGUACCUGAUGAGGACUAAGGAUAUGUUUCUCGUUUAUGGAGGUGACGAAGAGCUCGUCGUAAAGGGUUAUGUCGACGCUAGCUUCGACACAGAUCUGGAUGACUCGAAGUCACAAACCGGAUACGUGUAUAUUUUGAAUGGAGGAGCAGUAAGCUGGUGCAGUUGCAAGCAAAGCGUCGUGACGGGAUCUACAUGUGAAGCGGAGUACAUGGCAGCCUCGGAGGCAGCACAGGAAGCAGUCUGGAUGAAGGAGUUCAUUACCGACCUAGGGGUGAUUCCCAAUGCGUCGGGCCCGAUGACUCUCUUCUGUGACAACACUGGAGCUAUUGCCCUUGCGAAGGAGCCCAGAUUUCACAGGAAGACCAGGCAUAUAAAGCGUCGCUUCAACUCCAUUCGUGAAAGUGUUCAAAAUGGAGACAUAGAUAUUUGUAAAGUACAUACGGACCUGAAUGUAGCAGAUCCGUUGACUAAACCUCUCCCUAGGGCAAAACAUGAUCAACACCAGGACGCAAUGGGUGUUCGAUUCAUCACAAUGUAACUAGAUUAUUGACUCUAGUGCAAGUGGGAGACUGUUGGAAAUAUGCCCUAGAGGCAAUAAUAAAUGGUUAUUAUUAUAUUUCUUUGUUCAUGAUAAUUGUCUAUUGUUCAUGCUAUAAUUGUGUUAUCCGGAAAUCGUAAUACAUGUGUGAAUACAUAGACCACAACGUGUCCCUAGUAAGCCUCUAGUUGACUAGCUCGUUGAUCAACAGAUAGUCAUGGUUUCCUAACUAUGGACAUUGGAUGUCAUUGAUAACGGGAUCACAUCAUUAAGAGAAUGAUGUGAUGGACAAGACCCAAUCCUAAGCAUAGCAUAAAAGAUCGUGUAGUUUCGUUUGCUAGAGCUUUUCCAAUGUCAAGUAUCUUUUCCUUAGACCAUGAGAUCGUGCAACUCCCGGAUACCGUAGGAGUACUUUGGGUGUGCCAAACGUCACAACGUAACUGGGUGACUAUAAAGGUACACUACGGGUAUCUCCGAAAGUGUUUGUUGGGUUGGCACAGAUCGAGACUGGGAUUUGUCACUACGUGUGACGGAGAGGUAUCUCUGGGCCCACUCGGUAAUGCAUCAUCAUAAUGAGCUCAAUGUGACUAAGGCGUUAGUCACGGGAUCAUGCACUACUGUACGAGUAAAGAGACUUGCCGGUAACGAGAUUGAACAAGGUAUUGGGAUACCGACGAUCGAAUCUCGGGCAAGUAAAAUACCGAUUGACAAAGGGAAUUGUAUACGGGAUUGACUGAAUCCUUGACAUCGUGGUUCAUCCGAUGAGAUCAUCGUGGUACAUGUGGGAGCCAACUUGGGUAUCCAGAUCCCGCUGUUGGUUAUUGACCGGAGAGGCGUCUCGGUCAUGUCUGCAUGUCUCCCGAACCCGUAGGGUCUACACACUUAAGGUUCGGUGAUGCUAGGGUUGUAGAGAUAUGAGUAUGCGGAAACCCGAAAGUUGUUCGGAGUCCCGGAUGAGAUCCCGGACAUCACGAGGAGUUCCGGAAUGGUCCGGAGGUGAAGAAUUAUAUAUAGGAAGUCCAGUUUCGGCCACCGGGAAAGUUUCGGGGGUUAUCGGUAUUGUACCGGGACCACCGGAAGGGUCCCGGGGGUCCACCGGGUGGGGCCACCUGUCUCGGAGGGCCCCAUGGGCUGAAGUGGGAAGGGAACCAGCCCAUAGUGGGCUGGGGCGCCCCCCAUGGGCCUCCCCCUUGCGCCUAGGGUUGGAAACCCUAGGGUGGGGGGGGCGCCCCACUUGACUUGGGGGGUAAGUUACCCCCCUUGGCCGCCGCCCCCCCCCCCUAGAUGGGACUUGGCCGGCGCCCCCCCCUCCCAGGGGGCCUAUAUAAAGGGGGGAGGGAGGGCAGCAUGAUUACAGCCUUGGGCGCCUCCCUCCUCCCCGGCUACACCUCUCCCUCUCGCAGAAGCUCGGCAAAGCCCUGCCGAGACCCGCUACAUCCACCACCACGCCGUCGUGCUGUUGGAUCUCCAUCAACCUCUCCUUCCCCUUGCUGGACCAAGAAGGAGGAGACGUCGCUGCACCGUAUGUGUGUUGAACGCGGAGGUGCCGUCCGUUCGGCACUCGGUCAUCGGUGAUUUGAAUCACGGCGAGUACGACUCUGUCAUCCACGUUCAUUGGAACGCUUCCGCUUGCGAUCUACAAGGGUAUGUAGAUGCACUCCUUUCCCCUCGUUGCUAGUAUACUCCAUAGAUGGAUCUUGGUGAGCGUAGGAAAAUUUUAAAAUUCUGCUACGAUUCCCAACACGGUGCCCCCCUCCACCAUAUUCCACCUCAGUCAUAUCGUAGCGGUGCUUAGGCGAAGCCCUGUGUCGGUAGCAACAUCAUCACCGUCAUCACACCGUCAUGCUGGCGGAACUCUCCCGUGAAGCUUUGCUGGAUCGGAGUUCGUGGGACGUCAUCGAGCUGAACGUGUGCUGAACUCGGAGGUGUCGUACGUUCGGUACUUGGAUCGGUCGGAUCGUGAAGACGUACGACUACAUCAACCGCGUUGUGCUAAACGCUUCCGCUUUCGGUCUACGAGGGUAUGUGGACAACACUCUCCCCUCUCGUUGCUAUGCAUCACCAUGAUCUUGCAUGUGCGUAGGAAUUUUUUUGAAAUUACUACGUUCCCCAACACUACCGUAUAUUGAACUAACACUAACUGUAUCAAGAAGCCAAUAGCAUGUAAUUUCAGCUUGCAAGAAAGCGCCACUUACUCUUAAAGAUCGGUUAAUCUACAUGGCAACUUCCAGGGAUGGUGAUGGAUAAGUACAGUUGGAUUGUUUUUAGGUGUUAAUCUACUAUUAUGAAAAUCAUCUUCCUUUACUUUCAAGGGAGAACUGUAGAGGGGAAAGAACAUCAUUUUUUAAUCUAAUGAUCCAUCACUUAUUCACAACUAUUGCAACAACCAAGUAUGUUGGAUGCAAGGAGGAGGUGAGAGUGCAGGCAGCAUGUAUGCCACAUCAUGCGAACAGGUGGGGAUCAUGUUAAGUCAAUGCAGAAGGAUGUGUUGUGUGCCCGCGCACCGUCAGCACCGUCGUGUAAAGUAAACUAAAUCUGGGGACCGGUGCUCUACCUUCCUAGCUACUUCGACUGGAAAUCAUAUCCUCCACACUAAAUAAGAAACACCAUUUAGGUCGAAGUAAUAGAGGGGAAAGAGACCACUCACCUCCGACAAUCUCACGCGUGGCUCGCGUGAAGGUCGGCUUGAAUCCACGGUGUUGGGCUAGCGUAGCACCCCUGGCGGCGAUCAUGGGGCUCCGAGAUGGCGUCACCGUGUAGAUCUCUGGUGUUGUUGGCCAUAGACGGCUUUGUCGACGGCGACGCAUUAUGGAAAGAUGGAGAGAUAAAAUAGGGGAGGAGAAGAAUCAGGAAGACAAUAGAGAUUUAUUGGUGAAGGGGAGAUGAACGGAAUCAUCGGGCGAAGAGGUGAUGGCUCGUGCCGCGUCAGUAUUUUCCCCGGGGAGGAAGGGAUGAUGCAGCACAGCUACGGUAGGUAUUUCCCUCAGUGAUGAGACCAAGGUUAUCGAACCAGUAGGAGAACCACGCAACACUAUGUAAACGGUACCUGCACACAAAGAACAAAUACUUGCAACCCGACGCGUAAGAGGAUUGUCAAUCCCUCCCGGGUAAAAGAUAGAUUGGUUUGUAGUAGAUUGGAUAAAUAGAUCUCGCGGAAACGCAAAAUAAAAUAAAUAACAAAAAAUUGCAUCAAGGUAUUUUGGGUUUUUAGAAUAAUAGAUCUGAAAAUAAAACAGGCAAAUAAUAGAUCGGAAAGCAAAUAUGAUAAAGAAUAGACCCGGGGGCCGUAGAUUUCACUAGUGGCUUCUCUCGAGAAAAAUAGCAUACGACUGCUGAACAAAUUAUUGUUGGGAAAUUGAUAGAACUUAAAAUAAUUAUGACGAUAUCCAGGCAAUGAUCAUUAUAUAGGCAUCACGUCCAAUAUUAGUAGACCGACUCCUUCCUGCAUCUACUACUAUUACUCCACACAUCGACCGCUAUCCAGCAUGCAUCUAGUGUAUUAAGUUCAUGGAAAAAUGGAGUAAUGCAAUAAGAAUGAUGACAUGAUGUAAACAAGAUCUAUUCAUGUACGAAUAGACCCCAUCUUGUUAUCCUUAAUGGCAACAAUCAAUACGUGUCUUGCUGCCCCUUCUGUCACUGGGAAAGAACACCGCACGAGCGAUCCCAUCACAAAGCACCUCUUCCCAUGGCAAGAAAAGUCGAUCUAGUCGGCCUAACUAGACCAAAGAUUUGAAGAAGAAAUAUGAGGCUAUAAGAAUCAUGCAUAUAAGAGAUCAAAACUCAAAUAACUUUCAUGUAUAAAAUAGAUCUGAUCAUAAACUCAAAGUUAAUCGGAUCCCAACAAACACACCGCAAAAAGAGUUACAUCAAAUAGAUCUCCAAGAGACCAUUGUGUUUAGAAUUAAAAGAGAGAGAGAGGAAGCCAUCUAGCUACUGCCUACGGACUCGUAGGUCUAAAAUGAACUACUCACGCAUCAUCGGAGAGGCACCAAUGAGGAUGAUGAACCCCUCUGUGAUGGUGUCUAGAUUGGAUCUCAUGGUUCCCAAACUUGCGCAGCUGGAAUUGUGUUUCGUCGACUCCCCUAGGGUUUUUGGUUUUUCGGGUUAUUUAUAGAGCAAAGAGGCGGUGCGGGAGGGCACCGAGGUGGGCACAACCCACCAGGGCACGCCUGGGCCCCAAGGUGUGCCCAGGUGGGUUGCGCCCCCUCGGGGCACCCCUCUGGUACUUCUUUGGCCCAAUUUGUUCCUUCUAGACCAGAAAAAUUCUCCAAAAAGUUUUGCUGCGUUUGGACUCCGUUUGGUAUUGAUUUUUUGCGAUGUAAAUAACAAGCAAAAAAACAACAACUGGCACUAGGCACUAUGUCAAUAGUUUAGUCCCAAAAAAUGAUAUAAAGUUGCUAUAAAAUGAUUGUAAAACAUCCAAGAAUGAUAAUAUAACAGCAUGGGACAAGCAAAAAUUAUAGAUACGUCGGAGACGUAUGAAGAGGCAAUAAGAGGAAGGCGCAGCAAUCAGUGCGACGGUGGUAAAAAAAUACACGAUUCGUUCCGUUGAAAAGGGAAAAAGGAAGCAUUGCUGACGUGGCAGAUUUGCUUACGUGGAUGGCUGCAUGUUGAUUGCUGAUGUGGAUAGGCUACAUGUCAAGAGAAAUAUGGUAGUGGGGAUGAACUAUUUAUGUAUUAUAGAUGUGCAACAUCACAUCUAAACUUUUUAUGUAAUUUUGAAACACGAUGGUUUUAAAAAUGGAUAUUUUUUGGAACACAAACUUUUUUCAAAUUUAUGAAUAAUUUUUUGAAAACUUGAACAACUUCUUGAGUCUAUGAACAUUUUUUUGAACACGAACUUUUUUUCAAAAUUUCAAAACGCAAUUAUUUUUUUAAUGCAACCUUUUUCAAAAUUUCAAAACAUUAUUGUUUUUAAAGUGAAUAUGUUUUAAAAUUAUAGACAAAAUUUGGAAGUUGAACAUUUUUUGAAAAACACCCGAAUUGUGGAUGUUUUCAAAAAACGUCAAAGAAUUUUGAAAAACAUCAAACGUUUUUCAAAGCACGGACAUUUUCUGGAAAAAUGAAAAAAAACAAAUUCGGAACAUCUUUUAGAAAUUUUGAAUUUAUGAAAAAAGAAAAAGAAAUAGAAAAUGGAAAAAGAAAGAAAGCAAGGAAAAGCAGUGAAGAAAGAAAUCAGAAAAAGGGAAAAAACCUGAAAAUAGUGUAAAAGACCGAUCCUAGCUACUUGGGCUGGUCCAUCUACGGUUUACUCGCUGCUCAUUUCGGAGAUUUCUUUUAGGGGUAAAACCAAGUUUUAUACAUCAAACACCAUAGUGUGUGGGAUAGAGUUUGGGUCGUGGCAUUUGCCAAACCAAACAUGGCGUCCCAGACCUAACGAAAGAGAAAACCUGCCUAGGUUAUGUGCUUCGACAUUUACAGCAUGAUCUUUAGUUUGCUCACAUUUUUGAGAGAAAAUUUAGCCUUGAUGGGCUGGGAAAUUGGGCCAGCCAUCCUCGAGUGCGACCGGCUUGUCUUUGUCUAGUAUAAGGCCCAUCACGUUGGCCAAGAGCCCACCCUUAUUUUUUUCUAUAGGACCCAUAUAUGUUCGGUUCCUUAAGCACGACGGGUCGCCUCCCAGCCUCCCUCGCCCGCUCGACAGCUCCCCCGCCAUCGGAACUAGGCCCUCGACCCUCCCCCCACCCCAAGGUUGCGAGCAUGUCCCUUCCCGACAUCUCUUCCACGUGGCCUCGCCCCACCCCACGUUUUCCCCCAAGUGCUUUGUCGAGUGUCGUGGAAAAAACUCUUGGCAAAAUAGUGGAACUCACGCAAAAUCUGCUUUACCGAGUGCUACACUCGGCAAAAGGGGGUAUGCAGGGAAGCAAAAUCGUGCUUUUCUCCUUCUCGGGAAGCUGUGCUUCCCGUGGAAGGCUUCAUCAAAAACCAGAAAAAAAGAUUUUUUUUUUCAUCAAAACCUAGGGAAAAUAAAAGACAAAAAACACGUGUAAAAAAAAUUUAAGGGUGUACUAGCACACAACAUGUGGCAGCAGUUGGGCACAUCACUUGAUGCGCUCUUAGGGCCUCAAAGUAACCUCUGCGGGAACCCUCAACGAGAAACCCAUUAGAUAGUUGGAGUCCUCCUUGCGCCAAAUAGGAGUGUGGCCACAAGGGGAGCGCGUCCUGGUGGGCCGGCCCAGCAGCCUGUAGCACUCUACCGCAAAUUGGUCAAAAUCUAAAACAUGACGUUUGAGCAAAUCACGCAUGGCUUGCUAGUCAAGCUGAUGAAACUUUGCCAAUUACUAGGUCGCGUUGAACAGUAAAAACUAUGUGCAACAUCACAUAUGAACUUUUUUUGAAAUUUCAAAACACGAUUGUUUUUAAAAUGAAUGGUUUUUGUAACAUGAACGUUUUUCAAAUUUAUGAAUAAAAUUUGGAAACUAGAGCAAUUUUUUGACUCUAUGAAGGCUUUUUUUAAACAUAAACUUUUAAAAAAAUUUAAAACAUGAUUAUCAUUUUAAUGCAACCUUUCUUAGAUUUCAAAACACGUUUUUUUUAUUGAAUUUUUUUAAAUCCAAACAAAAUUUGAAAACUUGAACAUUUUUAAAAACACUCGGAAUUGUGGACAUUUUCUAAAAAACAUGAAGGAAUUUACGAAAACUUGAAACUUUUUCAAAGCACGAAUUUUUUUUGGGAAAAAUGAGACAAAAUCAAAUUCUGAACAGUUUUUCAAAAAAAUAGGAAUGUUGAAUUUAUGAAAAAAAAGGAAAAACUAUGAAAGAAAGGAAAAUCGGUGAAGAAAGAAAACAAAAGAAGGAAAAAACUAAAAAAUAGUGUAAGAAAAAAAUCCUAGCUACUUGGGAUGAUACAUAUGCGGUUUGCUCGCUGCUCAUUUUCCAGAUUUUUUUAGGGGUAAAACCAAUUUUUAAUCAUCAACCACCAUAGAGUGUGGGAUUGAGGUGGGGUCGUGGCAUUGGUUAAACCAAACAUGGCGUCCCAGACCUAACGAAAGAGAAAGACUGGCUAGACUAUGUGCUUCAACAUUGACAGCAUGACCUUUACAAGAAAAAAUACUAUCAAAUAAAGACGGUUGCAACUAAAUCUCAUUGAUAAUGGCUCGUUUCCCACAUAGUUUGCUCACAUUUUUUGAGAGAAAAUUUAGCUUUGAUGGGCUGGGAAAUCGGGCCAGCCAAUCUCGAAUGCGACCGACUCGUCUUUAUCAAGUAGAAAGCCUGCCACGUCGCCCAAGAGCCCAGCCUUAUCUUUUUUUACAGGACCCGUAUAUGUUCUAUUCCUACAGCAAGACCGGUCACCGCCAAGCCUCUCUCGCCCGCUCGAUAGCUCCCCCGCCACCAGGGCUAAGCCCUGGAUCCCCCACCCCCAGGUUGCGAGCUUGUCCCAUCCCUCCCUCUCUUCUGCGCAGCCUCGCCCCACCCCGUCUUCUCCCCCAUCGGUGCUUUACCGAGUGUCUUGGACAAAACUCUCGGUAAAAUAUUGGAACUCUGGCAAAAUGUGCUUUCCCGAUUGCUACACUCAGCAAAAGGGGGUAUGCACUGCACUGUUUUGGUUGUCCAUAUUGCAUACGACCUCGAAUGAAGAUGAUUCCAAAAUCAAAGUUUUUCAUUUUGACGAGAUGAUUAAUUUUCAUGUUCAGAACUUUUCCAUAUUAGGCCAUGUUAUUUACACUUUUUGCAAUGCCAAAAUAUGGUCUCAAAUGGAUAUGGCGGUGGUCAUAUUUAUUGCAUAGUUUCUAACAAUGGGCCUAAACUUGGUAUUUUGGUGCAUCUCGCCAUUACAAACAAUGAUGCCAAAUAGAGUUUCCAAUAUUUUGUACAAAAAUAAUUUUCCCAUUUUCUAAGUGUAAAAAAUGGAUAUUUUGUGAAGCGGGUAAAAAAACAUAGUGCAAAAUGGCACCACCCCAAUUUUCAUAAAAAGUAGACCACAUGUUUUAGAAAAUUCCCAGGUUUUGUGGAUCUUCUAGAUUUCUAGCUACUUUCGCACAGCUAAAUUCAAAUUUGAACUUUAAGUGUGUGAUAGCUCUGUCCUAAAAAUUAGCAAAAAUGUAAUUUUUUUAGGUAUGCAAGUAGUCAUUUUAUGAAUGACCACUUAAGUUUGAGAGAUUCAGCCCCUUGCCAUGACUAUCCAUGCCGGGUAUUUUGACCCCAUUUUGGAAAAAUGAAACAAAAAGGAUACAAGUUCAAAAAAUGCAAUCCAUUCGUAUGGACUCCUUUUAUGUGUACUAGUUAGGAUGAAAAUAGCAAACUUCAAUAUGAAAACUUCGAAAGAAAAAUAUCCAUCACAAAACGAGUUAUCGUGUAUGAACCUUCACGGCUUUCAAGUCAAACGACCAAGGUGACGACAACAUUCAUUGCAUAGUUUAUUAUAUUAUGCCCAAAUUAGACAUCUAGGUGAAUCAUGCCAUUACAAAUAAUGUUGCAAAAUAGAGUUUCCAACUUUUUGUGCAAAAAAAUCAUUUUCUAUUUUCUAAGUGUCAAAAAUGGGUGUUUCUUGUGAAGCGGGUUCAAAAAAUAGGGUGGAAAAUGGCACCACUCCAAUUUUCACAAAAAGUAGACCAUAUUAGAUGGACAAUUCCCAAGUUUUGUAGAUGUCUAGCUAAAACUAACAAUUGGAGUAUUUUUCAAUAUUUAGUGAAAAUAAAAAAUGGGAAGGGGGAUACUUAAUGGAUAGCGUGGACAUCUGAGGGUGUACCUUUAAGUGUUGGAGAUGCCUUUAUGUGCUGGUUUAUGUCGUGCUCAACCUGCAAUGUACUAGAGUUAAUCAUGUUGGGUAACGUUGCAUGGAAAAACAAAAAAAAUUCUACGCACACGCAAUGAUCUAUCUAUGGAGAUGCAUAGCAACGAGGGCGAGAGUGUGUCUACGUACCCUCGUAGACCAAAAGCGGAAGCGUUUGACAACGCGGUUGAUCUAGUCAAACUUCUUCUAGCUCCGACCGAUCAAGCACCGAACGUACGGCACCUCCGAGUUCUGCACAUGUUCAGCUCGGUGACGUCCCUCAUCUUCUUGAUCCAACAAGACGUCGAGGAAGUAGAUGAGUUCCAUCAGCACAACGGCGUGGUGACGAUAAUGGUGAAGUGAUCCGCGCAGGGCUUCGCCUAAGCACCGCGAGAAUAUGACCGGGGAUGUAAACUAUGGAGGGGGGCACCGCACACGGCUAACAAUUUAUGUUGUGUGUUCUAGGCGCCCCCUUCCCCACAUAUAUAUAGGUGGGAGGGGAGCAGAGGAAGCCAGGGGCGCCCCAAGUAGGAUUUGAAUCCUACUUGGGUUUUCCCCAAGUGGCGCCCCCCUUCCUUUUUCCACCGUAGAAGAAAGGAAGGGGAAGAAGAGAAGGAAGGGGGCUGAGCCCCCUCUUCUCCUUCUCCUAUUCGGCCACCUGCCAUAGGGGGGCGCGCCACCCCUUGUGGGCUGGUGUGCUCCCCUCUCAUGGCCCAUAUGGCCCAUAUAUUCCCCCCGGUGGUUCCGAUAACCCCCCCUCCCCGUACUCCGAUAAAUACCCGAUACAUUCCGGAACACUUCCGGUGUCCGAAUACUAUCAUCCUAUAUAUCAAUCUUUACCUCUCGACCAUUUCGAGACUCCUCGUCAUGUAUGUGAUCUCAUCUGGGACUCCGAACAACAUUCGGUCACCAAAUCACAUAACUCAUAUAAUACAAUAUUGUCAUCGUUAAGCGUGCGGACCCUACGGGUUCGAGAACAAUGUAGACAUGACCGGCACACCUCUCCGGUCAAUAACCAAUAGCGGAACCUGCAUGCUCAUAUUGGAUCCUACAUAUUCUACGAAGAUCUUUAUCGGUCGAACCGUUAUGACAACAUACAUUAUUCCCUUUGUCUAUCGCUAUGUUACUUGCCCGAGAUUCGAUCGUCGGUAUCUGCAUACCUAGUUCAAUCUCGUUAUCGGCAAGUCUCUUUACUUGUUCUGUAAUACAUCACCGCACUGACGGAUGGGUCUUGUCCAUCACAUCAUUCUCCUAAUGAUGUGAUCCCGUUAUCAAGUGACAACUCAUGUCCAUCGUUAGGAUCCCUUAACCAUCUUUGAUCAACGCACUAGUCAAGUAGAGGCUCACUAGGGGCAUAGCGUUUGUCUAUGUAUUCACACAUGUAUUAAGGUUUCCGAUCAAUACAAUUCUAGCAUGAAUAAUAAACAUUUAUCAUGAAUAAGGAAAUAUAAAAUAACAACUUUAUUAUUGCCUCUAGGGCAUAUUUCCUUCAAAUCAGUAUAUGUGUGCAUGCUUGGUUGUUAGUGAAUUGUUUUAUGUAUAUGUGUGUAUACUUGGUUGGGCCAACUUUGUGUAUUACAUUUGUGAAAUACAAACUUAAUAUAUGCCACAUUUUUGUGUUAACGACUAAUAAGUAUAUACAUAACUAUAUUUUGCCCUGUUUUUCCUCCUCUAGAAGAAAAGGUCCCACGCUUUUCUCCUCCUCCCAUCGGCGCCGUAGCUGGUCCGCCCCAUCUCCGAUGGCCUUUGGGCCACGAAGGUGAGUAGGACCUCAGGCCCUCGCUGGCGGGAGGGGACCCGUUCUCAUUCUUGUUUGGUUCAAUGUCUUGCUGGAGCUGUGUUGUGGCUGCGAUGUAUCUCAGUAGGAGUAAUGUUUCACAUGUUCUAUCCCCAUCUCGAUGGUGCCUCUAGCGUCAUCGAAGGGCGUGUGGAGGUGUGUCUCUGUCGGAUUUCGCAGGAUUCGGUUGGCGUUGGUCUUCAGUGGAUCUGUUUGGACACGGUCUUUGUUCCUCUUUGUGGUGUUUAUACUAUUGAUCCUUCCGAUCUAUGACUUUCUUCAUCGACGAUGGUUGCUGCUUUGGUGCGCUGGUCCUAUGGGUCCUUAGCACGACAACUUCCUGACUAUUGACUACAACAAGGUUUGCAUGGCUCCAGCGACGGGGGGGUGAUGGCGAUGCACAGCUUGCUUCGGUGCUUGUAGUCAUCGCUAGGUGGUCCACGGACCUGGUUGUAAUUUUUCGUAUCUCUGGUGUUCUUUGUACUGCCAUGAUUGAAGAUGAACAGAUUGGAAGUUUCUCACGCAAAAAAUAAAUAUAUAAAUAACUAUUUUAACAAAAUUCGCAAAAAAACUAUUUUAGCAAGUAAUAAAUUUUGACACCAAUUAUAUGGUAGUAAUUAAUAUUUCCCCUAAUAAUAUCCGCAUUGGAUCCAGGUUUUAUACUAUGUAUACAGACGGGAGUAUGUUUGGAUAAUUGUGUGAACACAAGGAUAUAUCCUAGCAAAAAUAUUUUUAGCAACAAGUAGUUAAUGAAUUAAUAUAUGCUAGCUAUACUCUGCUGGUGAAAACAUGGAUUAGCUGUACAAAGCAUGCAACACGGCUUCACUCCCCUUUAUAUUCCUGGGCAGAACACAACUUCAGAUCUAAGUUUUAUGUUUGUCUACACACUCCCAUCUUCUUCCCAUAUCAGCAGGAAAAUUCACUCCAAUCAUCUCGCCAUUCUACACUUGGGAAAUCAGGUUUGCUUCAAUCUACCAUCCUUGAAUAUAUGCCCCACAUCUUGUUUCUGUGUCCUAAUCUUAUUAAGCUUGUAAUUAGUAGUUAGUGCAAGAUCGAAAAGGAGCUAUGGGCAAAACACCAUCCGCACCUGCUGAUAAAAUCACCGUGGGACAAGCGGCGCCUAAUCAUGAAAUAGCAGCAGAUUCAAGUGACAGUGAGAGAACAAUCGGUGAGGGUUAUGUGGGGAUCAUGUAUGGUGGUAGCCAUACCCACGAUGGCAACCUGGAAGGAGAAUCUGCUAUGGUAUUGCUAGCAACAGAUUCAAGUGACAGCGAGAGAACAAUCAGUGAGGGUUAUGUGGGGAUCCUGUAUGGUGGUAGCCAAACCCAGUAUGGAGACCUAGAGGGAGAAUCUGCUAUAGUAUUGCCUGCUGUAGGAGAGAAUACCAAGGCGAGAUCUAACAGUCAUGGUUAUACGCGCAGCUUGGAAAUUGAUUCUGCCUCUCGUACUGAGAGGCAUGCUGCCAGGUCAGAUUUUGUUCGAGUGGCACAUCGCCGAGACUGCAUUCAAAUUUACCCUGAGUGGCUGGAGAAAAUUUAUUCAGGCAAAAAGAUGUGGACAGCUCUCAAACAAUUUCGAGCAAGUGGGAAGCAUGAAGAGGUUAGUAUAUACACAUGUUCUGGUGUGCUCUGUCAUCAAAUAAUUUUCAUUGUGUGUUAAUCAUCUCAUAACAUAAGGAGUGUUUGCUUGAUGGGCAUCCAGACCAAAUGAUGAACGAAUUAGAUCCUAGGUUCUCCAAAAGAUGACAUUGUGUUUUGCUUCAGUUACCUGAUAAAUUUUCAGCCUUUGCGUCAAAAUGAUCAUCUGUGUAGGAGAUAUGCCCUAGAGGCAAUAAUAAAUGAUAUUAUUUAUCUCCGAGUUCAUAAUUAUGUUUAUGUUCCAUGCUAUAACUGCUAUGGUUCUUGAGUCUGCAAUAACCACGAGGCUCGGAGGAAGACUCAUAUGCACGUGUGGAAUAAUAAACGGUAAAAUGUAUUCCUAGUCUGGCCUCUAAGACUAGCUCAAGUGUUGCAUGAUGGUUAUGUUUUCCUGAUCAUGGGCAUGUCUAUGUCAGCAACCUUGAGGGCAUAAUGUUAAGAGAACAUUUGUGUUGAAUCGACCCGGCAUGAUGUUAUGCUAUGAGAUUCAUUCGUCACAAGUUUAUUGGUACAUAACACAGAGAUGGUUAACGUUUGCAUGAUUCCUUAGACCAUGAGAGUAUCGAGUUUCUUCAUGCUUUCUUCAUGAACUUUGGGGUUUGUUAAACGUCAUCCGUAAAUGGGUGGCUAUUACGGCGGCUUACGGGUUCAUGGAAAAGUGUGUCAAGUAACUUGAUAGCUCAAGAUUGGGAUUUGCUCCUCCGACGAUGGAGAGAUAUCUCUGGGCCCUCUCGGUGUUACGGUAUCCAUCAUCGUCUGGCCAGACACUUUGUGAUUUGAUCGCGGGGAUGCCGGAACACGAUAACGAGAAAAGAGAACAAUACCGGUAAUGAGGUAACUAGCAUAGUGGACAAGUUGUUGAUCCACGGGAAUGCCAACAUGUCUCACCUCGGGUAUUUGUAACAUAUCGCGAAGCAACAGGAAUAGCACACGGCAACUGGAGGUUCACUCGAAUAUUUAUUCGUGUGGGUAUAGGGGUCAAUAUGGGUGUCCACGGCUCCGAUGUUGAUCAUUGAUCGGAAGGGGUUCCGGUUCAUGUCUAUACUUCACCGAACCUAUAGGGUCACACACUUAAGGGUCAUCUAUCUGCUGAAUACUAGACAGGGAGUCUGAGAGAAAAUCACCGAAAAAGUUUCGGACAACGGAAUCGUACCGCAGAGAGAGGUCAUCGGAUAAGUUUGGAUGAUACCGAAAAGUUGUUUCGGGAUACACCAUUAAGUCAAAUUGGUUUCGGCACAUGCCUGAUAAUUCUUGGAGGAUGCCAGAAUCAUUCUGGAAGCUUUUUGGAAUUUUCUGAGAUAAAAACCGGAAAUGUUCCGGAGCUGCCGGAGCCACUUCAGAUGCGUUUCGCAGAUGAAAAUCACUAAAACCGGAAUUGUUUCGGAACGCGUUGAAAAUCAUUUUAGUGGGUACUGGAAAUGUUCGUAGCCCACAUAAAUAUUUUCAGUUCGAUCAGACGCUGGAAAAUGUCGUCGUGAAUAGUGAAAAUCAGCUUUAUGGUUACUUUAUGGAAAGCCACCUUUUGGGGCUUUGCUCCAAAAGAUCUUGGGGAUGACAUGGAUGGAUAGGAGCCAUUUUUUGGGCCCCUCAUGGGGGUGUGGCCGGCCACAUGGGGUAUCCCCCCUUGGGGACCCUCUUGUUCCUUGGUUUCACUCCUAGGUCCUUGUGGAAGGACUUCAUUCAUGUGCAUUUUGGGUUUUUUGUGAAACUACCCUACCCCCUUGGGAUUUCCUAUAAAUAGAGGUGGAGGGGCAGCCCUCCACACUCAUCCCUUGCUCUCAUACACAUGCCAUGCAUUAUCUGGCUUCUUCUCUCCCUCCCACGAAAAGAGUUUCGUAGAGCCGUAAGGCUGUCUGGGUUCCGGCAGGAACUAGUUCUGGACGGCGAAGCCCUGCCGGAUAGAUGACACCGUAUGUGUGCAACUCUGUAGAGAGAUCGUAGUUUUGGUCUUAGUUCGUGAGUGCCUCCCGAAGGGCUGUCCAUGUGACCGUCCGAGUUUUGAAGGUCCUCCCGAAGGGCUGUCCGAGUGACCGUUCGAGUUUCGAAGGUCCUCCCGAAGGGCUGUCCGCGACACCGUCCGGGGGGCUGUUCGACCGCCUCCCGGAGGGCUGUCUGAGGAGCAGAUAAGGGUAUACAUCCUCGCGGUUGGGAGGUUGUAAAUCCUAGCUGCGGGGAUCUGCACCGCCGAUCGUCAUCGACUCUACUUCCCGCUGCGCUACGAGUCGGUAACGAAAAAGAUCAAACCAUGUAUGCAGUCUCCAUAGUGGUCCUGGGCUGGUGCGUAGGUCGGAAAUUUUUUGUUUUCUGCUGCGUUACCCUACAGUGGCAUCAAGAGCCGUGCUAUGCGUAGAUGCAGGUUUCGAUCUAGAAUACAUGGAGAUGUAUGGGUAUUGCAUAAUAUAAUUAGGUAGUAGAUGAGAUCUAUUGCUGAAAAUUAUUUAUGCGGGUGACAGAUGAAAUCUGUUACCCGAGGUUCUUGUUGCUUCCCUAGAAUUUGCGUUUGCUCAAUCUCGAGACAGCAUGGUGGAAUUUGACAAAGUUCUGGCAAUCCGUGAUCCUGAUUGAUCAUGGAAGUGCUAUCAGUUCUUUGGGUUCUGCCGUAGUCAAAAGAAAGAUGAAAUUCGCAGAUGAAAGGGCAUUGCAGAUAUGAUCUGCACGGGGGUCAUGCGUAUGACGAAGUUUAGUAUGGGGCUCGAGAUUUAAUUAUCCCGUGUUUCAUACACCCCGAGAUGUUAAUCUAGCAACCUGAAUAAUCAUACUUGAUGAUGAACGUUGGUCGCUGCGGUUUAAGUCAAAACCUUAGAAGCCACGUAAAAUACAUUUUGCAUAAACCGAUUAGAGGCGUCUAACUUGGUUUUGCAGGAUGUGCAUGUGAUGUGGUAUAGCAGUGCUCAUACUAAUUUGAUUAUGUAUGAGAUGACUAUAUGAUGUAAUUUGAUUAACAUGACCUGUGUGUCAUGAUUCGGCAUGAUGGCUGGAGCCAUAUGAUUGCACUUUAAUGACCUGCGUGUCAACCUUGUUGUAAUGCAUUAUUUUGUUAGCUAUAGAGAUAGCAAUAUUAUCUGGUGCAUCGACAAGGUGGUGGCAAUCUUCGCGAAGGUGAACACCGACGAGAAUGCCGAAGACGAAGAAAUGAAAUACUUCUCCGUCAGAAAGGGCUAUACCAUAUCAUGCUAUUAUGAAUUGCCUGAGAUGUUUAUCCCUUAUGAUGCACCCUUCUUGAUUGCGCGGUAGUCGCUUUUAUUAGGGUGAUCUCUCACUUAAAAUAUCAAGUAGUUAGUGUUCUCCCAAGUGUAGCACCGUCACGGCACCUAUCUUUUCGGGGUGCGCCAUGGAUGCAUGGGUACGAACGAUUAGAGAAGUGUGAGGCGGGUGAGGUCAGACCUCGCAGCAAGAUCACUUGGUUGUCUUGACGUUCAUGGCAGGAUCGUCCUGAGCUCGGAACACACGCAUCGAAAGAUGAGCAAGAGUCACAUAGAGAUGUGAUCGGCAAGUUGGCCUACCGAUUAAAAUUCCCGUUAUGAGAUGAUGAUUCUAUGGCGAUGAAUUGAAGUCUGGAUCUUGUAUCACUCAAAAUUAAUUAUGAGAGAUAUUGAUUUGAGUGGGAGUGCACUAUUGAAUUAACAUGUUUAAUUCUCAGUGCAAUUAAUUAUGAACACUGUCUAAGUGUUUUUUGCAUAAUAGUUGUAGAAUAAUGGCUCGCAUUUCCACCUUCCCUAUUAAAAUUGAAUAGCUGUUAAAUAUCUGGUUAAAACUUUACGAUUGGUAACGUAAUAUGAGGAUUGUCCUCAAAAGUGCCGAGAAGGACUUUGUCCUAUCGCAUGCUUUCCGUAUCCUCCCGCUAAUGUUAUGGAUCAUGUGACUCUCGUCCUUCGAUCCAAAAGCUAGAAUUCUGUUACGGUCAAGUGGAAUAUGGUUGCUUCCAUGAAACCCAAACUUCGAAAGUUGGGAUAGUUAUAUGAUAUUCAUGGAACUGAAAAUUAUUUUCAGAUACAAACAAAGCAAUGUUUGUUUGCAAGUAUUAGUAAAAGUGUUUACUAUGCAUUUGACUAUUGGGAAAGGGAUCCAGAAGAACGCCUGUCAUAUAAUGAAAGGUGAAUAAAACAACAACUUAAAGAGAAAGGAAGUGUCCAAAGGGUGUUAGUAUGACUUACACGCCUAGGAAGUCCGGGGCUAAUGCCACUCUUAAGUUGGGUGCUUCUUCUGAGAGUAGGAGAAAUACUAAAAGUUAAACUGUUAGAAGUAUAAAGGCAAAAGGAAAGAAGACUGGAAUAUCCAGCUCAUGUAUGAAUGUCAUACAAGUUUUUGAUGUAUAGAAGGCUGGUCAAAGAUAUAGUUCUUGUGAAUUAUGGUUAAACAUGUUAAUCACUAAUUCUUGGGUAUUGUGAGUUCAUCACAAAAUUGCCCGCUCGAUUGCAUUCUGUUGCAACUCGAUGUAAGAACUACUAUGGCCUGAAAGACUAGCUAGAAAUGAGGUUAAGGUAUACACAGGGAACAUAGUAAAUGUUACUAUACCUUCCAUCGGUGUAUUGCCGUCUGUAUUUAUUUUCAUAAUUCAUUUAGAGUUUUACAAACUCUAUCCCAUUGCAUAAGGUAUCUUGCAAGAAGGUUGUUCAUAAGAGAACUUUUUAUGUUCGAUGUUAUGAAUAACACAAGGGCCAUACUUUCAUUAUGAAUGAGAUGUAUGUUAUGAAUAUUGAUAAUAAUACAAUACCUCUGGGUUUACUUUCAUAAUUCAUUUUAGAGUUUCAUACACUCUAGCCCAUUGCACAAUGUUUGUUGCAAAAGAGUUGUUCAUAAAAACAACAAUUGUUGUUAAGUAUUAUGAAUAACAUGAAGGGCCAUGCUUCCAUCCAAGAUGGCAUGUAUGUUAUGAAUAUUGAUGGUAAUAUGAUACAUCCAUAACACUGACGCUAAAUGUCGCAAGACUAAAAGAAUACCACACAAGUGUGGCACUACAUUUGGUCACAUUGGAGAAACCGCAUGGAAAAUUCCAUUAUGAUGGAGUUUGAAGUCUUCUUGAUUUUGAAUCAUCUGACACUUGCAACUUUCCUCCGAAAAGUGAAGUGACUAAAAUACCGUUCACAGGCCAUAAGGAACGAACAACAAACUUAUUAGUGAUCAUACAUUUGAUGUGUGUAGUCCGAUAAGUGUUGUUAGUGGUGGAUUUAUUUAUCUUCAGAAAUGACUCAAGUAGAUAUAUGGAUAUUUACUUGAUGAGACGUAAGUCUGGAUCUUUUGAAAUCAUUCGAAAGGUUCUCAAAAAUGAAGUAGAAGUUAUUGUAACAAGAAAAUUAUGUUUCUGCAAUUUGAUUGCACAAAGGAAUAUUUGAGUUACAUGUUUAGCGAAUGUCUGAUGAGUUGUGAAAGGGGUUUCAUAACUUGCACCUCCCGGAACACCACUGCAAGUGGAAAGUCUGUGGAGAUGUAAUCAAACCAUUUAUGACAUGGUAACGUGAAAGAUGACAUAAAUAAAUUUGCCAUUAUCCCUUUUAAAGUGAUGCUUUAGAGACUGCGGCUUUUACACUGAAAAGAGCUACAUCGGGUCUGUUGAAAUGAAGCCAUGGUAUGGUACGCCCAACCAUGUUAUAUCUUUUCUUAACAUUUGGAAUAUGGGGCUUGUGUAAAAGGUUACAAACCUAUUCCAAAUCAGACAAGUGCUACUUUGUAGGUUAUACCAAAAUGUUGGGUAUUCCUCCCUCACUAUACCGAGGCAAAUAGUUUUGCCGCGAAACGGUGUGCUUUUAAAGAGAAUGGUUCUUUCAAAAAGGUGAGUGGGAGAAUAGUGCAACUCGACGAGAUAAACAGUAUCUACGUCAUCAGAUCAAAGGAAAGAGACCUUGGAAGUAAUUCCAGAGUUUCCUACUGCGACUGAUACGGAAGUCUCUACAAUAAAAUGUAUGAACUUCGGUCGAACUUGCAGCUGAACCACGUAGGCAAGGCUCGUGCAAACCUCUCAGGUGCGCAAACGAGAUAUUGUUGUUAGACAACAUUAUGCCUACGAUACACAAGGAAGCGUUGAUGGGCCCUGACUCCGGAAUUGGCUAAAUGCCAAUACAACCCGAGUUAGUUUCCAUAUAAGUGAUUCAAGAUUAAAACCUUGAUACACCUUUUGGAAGACUUAGAGUCUAACGAAUAUUUAUGGAACUUAAAACUGAUACGGAUAAAAUGUUUUAUCCAUAAAGCUUGACUUGUUGAAAUAACAAGUUCAAGAGUUGACUGCGAUGAGGUUGUUUUCAUCGUAGCGAUGCUUAAAGUCGGUUCGGGUUGAACUAGUAAUUAAUACAUAUUUCAAUCAUGAGAUAUGAAACAUGGAUGAUAAAAGGAUUUCCAUCUGAUGGAAAUGAAAGCUAGGACUUGUAUAUGAUAUAGUCCAAAGUAAUUUGUCGAUCCAGAGGAUGCUAGUAGGUAUGCAAACUUCAGAGUUCCAGCAAUGGACAGAAGAGAGCAAAAUGGAGUUGGAAUCUUCGGGUUUUGAUGAAAUGGUCAAAGGGGUUUUGACUUCAUCAAUGGGUAACGAAGAUGCUUGUAAUUCAAGAAAGUAAGUGGGAGCGUACUAAUAUUUCUAAAAACCUUAUGUGCUUGGCACAUUGGUAAUUGGAAAUAAAUUUCUUCACACAAAUUAGGACUUCAUUUGAAAAUAGUUUUUCGAUGAAGUGCUUAGGCUAAAUAGCCUCAAUAUUAGGCAUGAUGAUCUAUUGAGAUAGAUUUACCUAAUGGGGCUAAGCAAUGAAUACAUAUUGACAAGAUGCUAAAACCUUUUAGCAUUUAAAACGCCAAGGAGUGAUUCUUGCCAAAGUCACAUGGAAAGAGUUUUUGCAAGACUCGGUGUCCCAAAACACUGAUGAGUAAAAUACAUGAUGCAGAUUCCACACACUUUUGUGUUUGGAUUAAUCAUGUAUUCCAUGGUAUGUAAAACAACCAGAUAUGUCCGAUACUCCCAUGGUGUUGCGAGUAUGGAUACUAAAGUGAUCAAAGUACUGAUCGUGGGACAACAGUGAAAGAUGUCAUUGAGUACUAGAGUAAGUACUGAUGAUAUGUUUUCUUGCAAGCGGAGAUCAUGAAGAGUUCGUUGUAAAAUGUUACAUCGAUAGUCUUCAUCUUUUCACCGUGCGAUUUUCGAUUUAAGUUAAGGGUUUUGUGUAACACACAAUGUGGUGGCACAGUUAGUUGGAAUUUGUUCAAACUAGUUACUGUGGCGAAUUCUAUAACAAGGGCUAAGUAUGUUGAUGCUUUAGAAGCGACAAAGAAGAUGUUGAAUCAUAUAGUUCAUUCAUGAACUUAGUAUAGUUCCAAGAUGUCUUUUGACAAUGGGACACUACUGCAGGUAGUUGCUCCAAAACUCAGUCUGAGGAAUCCAGGUUCGACCUGUGAUUCACAUACAUACAAAGCCAAGUCCACACAAAAUAUGAAUUUUGUGAAAACGUGAAAACACGAGGACAUGCAAAGAUACACACGGAACUGAAGUCGUCAGAUCCGUUGGACAUCAGGCUAUACCACAAGCGAAGCAUAUUUACACCGGUGUGGCACAGGUGUAAAGUGCAUUAGCAUUAACUAGAUUAUUGACUCUAGUGCAAGUGGGAGUCUGUAGGAGAUAUGCCCUAGAGGCAAUAAUAAAUGAUAUUAUUUAUCUCCGAGUUCAUAAUUAUGUUUAUGUUCCAUGCUAUAACUGCUAUGGUUCUCGAGUCUGCAAUAACCACGAGGCUCGGAGGAAGACUCAUAUGCACGUGUGGAAUAAUAAACGGUAAAAUGUAUUCCUAGUCUGGCCUCUAAGACUAGCUCAAGUGUUGCAUGAUGGUUAUGUUUUCCUGAUCAUGGGCAUGUCUAUGUCAGCAACCUUGAGGGCAUAAUGUUAAGAGAACAUUUGUGUUGAAUCGACCCGACAUGAUGUUAUGCUAUGAGAUUCAUUCGUCACAAGUUUAUUGGUACAUAACACAGAGAUGGUUAACGUUUGCAUGAUUCCUUAGACCAUGAGAGUAUCGAGUUUCUUCAUGCUUGCUUCAUGAACUUUGGGGUUUGUUAAACGUCAUCCGUAAAUGGGUGGCUAUUACGGCGGCUUACGGGUUCAUGGAAAAGUGUGUCAAGUAACUUGAUAGCUCAAGAUUGGGAUUUGCUCCUCCGACGAUGGAGAGAUAUCUCUGGGCCCUCUCGGUGUUACGGUAUCCAUCAUCGUCUGGCCAGACACUUUGUGAUUUGAUCGCGGGGAUGCCGGAACACGAUAACGAGAAAAGAGAACAAUACCGGUAACGAGGUAACUAGCAUAGUGGACAAGUUGUUGAUCCACGGGAAUGCCAACAUGUCUCACCUCGGGUAUUUGUAACAUAUCGCGAAGCAACAGGAAUAGCACACGGCAACUGGAGGUUCACUCGAAUAUUUAUUCGUGUGGGUAUAGGGGUCAAUAUGGGUGUCCACGGCUCCGAUGUUGAUCAUUGAUCGGAAGGGGUUCCGGUUCAUGUCUAUACUUCACCGAACCUAUAGGUUCACACACUUAAGGGUCAUCUAUCUGCUGAAUACUAGACAGGGAGUCUGAGAGAAAAUCACCGAAAAAGUUUCGGACAACGGAAUCGUACCGCAGAGAGAGGUCAUCGGAUAAGUUUGGAUGAUACCGAAAAGUUGUUUCGGGAUACACCAUUAAGUCAAAUUGGUUUCGGCACAUGCCUGAUAAUUCUUGGAGGAUGCCAGAAUCAUUCUGGAAGCUUUUUGGAAUUUUCUGAGAUAAAAACCGGAAAUGUUCCGGAGCUGCCGGAGCCACUUCAGAUGCGUUUCGCAGAUGAAAAUCACUAAAACCGGAAUUGUUUCGGAACGCGUUGAAAAUCAUUUUAGUGGGUACUGGAAAUGUUCUUAGCCCACAUAAAUAUUUUCAGUUCGAUCAGACGCUGAAAAAUGUCGUCGUGAAUAGUGAAAAUUAGCUUUAUGGUUACUUUAUGGAAAGCCACCUUUUGGGGCUUUGCUCCAAAAGAUCUUGGGGAUGACAUGGAUGGAUAGGAGCCAUUUUUUGGGCCCCUCAUGGGGGUGUGGCCGGCCACAUGGGGUAUCCCCCCUUGGGGACCCUCUUGUUCCUUGGUUUCACUCCUAGGUCCUUGUGGAAGGACUUCAUUCAUGUGCAUUUUGGGUUUUUUGUGAAACUACCCUACCCCCUUGGGAUUUCCUAUAAAUAGAGGUGGAGGGGCAGCCCUCCACACUCAUCCCUUUCUCUCAUACACAUGCCAUGCAUUAUCUGGCUUCUUCUCUCCCUCCCACGAAAAGAGUUUCGUAGAGCCGUAAGGCUGUCUGGGUUCCGGCAGGAACUAGUUCUGGACGGCGAAGCCCUGCCGGAUAGAUGACACCGUAUGUGUGCAACUCUGUAGAGAGAUCGUAGUUUCGGUCUUAGUUCGUGAGUGCCUCCCGAAGGGCUGUCCAUGUGACCGUCCGAGUUUUGAAGGUCCUCCCGAAGGGCUGUCCGAGUGACCGUUCGAGUUUCGAAGGUCCUCCCGAAGGGCUGUCCGCGACACCGUCCGGGGGGCUGUUCGACCGCCUCCCGGAGGGCUGUCUGAGGAGCAGAUAAGGGUAUACAUCCUCGCGGUUGGGAGGUUGUAAAUCCUAGCUGCGGGGAUCUGCACCGCCGAUCGUCAUCGACUCUACUUCCCGCUGCGCUACGAGUCGGUAACGAAAAAGAUCAAACCAUGUAUGCAGUCUCCAUAGUGGUCCUGGGCUGGUGCGUAGGUCGGAAAUUUUUUGUUUUCUGCUGCGUUACCCUACAAUCUGAUACUUCUACGAACAAUCUUCAGGGUAUGUCCAGUUGGCCCCAUGCAUUUGGAUAUUAUUUUGUCUACUAUUAUUACUAUAAAGAGAAAUCUAACUGAAACUGAAAUAUAAUAAAUAUUGAUGGAGAGAAAAAUAGACAUUAAUGUCCACAUACACAACACAAUUAGCCAGUACUAUCCUAGUUUACAUGAAUUAAUAUUUGCAAUGACAUUUAGGUUAGUCUUGACAUGAUAAAGAAAAAGUUUUUUUUGCGAGGUAAGAUAAGGUUUUAUAUAACUGUUCAUGGGUACCACCUCAUGGUUGCAGAUACAUAGUUUUACAGUGCUUCAUGAAAUAGUUGCAUAUCAUCAUGUCUAAAAGAAGAAUCAUGACGGACACAACUUCAAGAAAUUCUUCUUGUAAUAUAACAUAAUUUGUAUAUACCUCAUAGAGGAUGUAACUUGUUGGUAGCAUUUAAUAUUGUGACACACUCGCCAUCUUCUAUGCCAGCAUUAUUUGGGUGAUGAUUUAAUAUCCAAAAGCAUACAUCAAGGUAGUUAUGUGUAAUGAUAUUCUUGUGAAAAUAACUUCCAUAGUGUAUACUUGCAUAUAUGUAUUGUUCUAUUGUAUUCUUACAGUUAAUCAUUUUUCUUAUUUUUUUUGUUUAUUUACGUUUAGAGCAAGAUUAUAAAUUAAGCUGAGCAUAAUUUCUGCAGAUUAUAGAUGGCCCACUAAAAGACAAAGGACGAAGGCGCAAACUUCAAGUAAUUCUUCUUGCCACAUAGGUUUUUCUAAUUGUGCGAGGAUACCACUUGUAACUGCCUUCAGUCAUCUAUGUCAGUAGUAUUUUGAGACGAAUUUCAUUACAAAAUGCAAUGACUCAAACAAUCAGAUUGUUCAUGAUGAUUCCUAAUUGUAUAACCAAUAAGCUUAACACACCUUCCUAUUUUAGAGUUGUUAUCUUAAUAAGUAUAUACUAGAUGUUAUUAGUGUUGUUGUUGGGUGAAGAACAUUUGUUGCUCAUGGUUAGAAUGUAGAAUUUUCUUAACACAACAAGCUAGAGCGAAUGUGGAGGCCAAUAUAGAUUGAAACCAUUAAUUCAUAUUAAAAUGGUCAUGACUUCUUAUUUUUAUUUGACAUAAAUGUUUGUGACUUGUUUGAAUUAAUGUGUUCUGCAAUUAUAUGAUACUUCUAUAUUCAUACUAUUUUUAUGAAAUAUACAGCUAGUUUGUCGACAGGAGCACGAACAACCACAACUUCUACAAAGCUUCCACAUGGUUUCAUCUAGUAUCAUGCGAAAAACAUUGAGACAAUCAAGAUUACUUGAGCAACCUAAAUUAUGUUAGUUGUUACCUGCUUUCAAAUGAAUGUGUCCUCUCAUAGUAUGCAUGUACUUCUGUUGUUGAGGAAUUUAUAUCAUUAGACAGUUCUAUUAUUCAUAAUUAUUGAUUAAUGGGUACAUACCUUCAAUCCUGGAAGAUUGUGAGAUAGCCAGUCAAGGAAGUGAUUUGUUUAUUGAAUUGUGCAUAAUAGGGACAUUUUUACAUUUAAAGGAACAUCAUAGGAAUAAUUUGGUAUUUCGAGAAGAUUUUCCAGUCCCCUGCCCCAACCUGCUGGAGACAGUAUGAGUGCUGACACACACAUUUGUAACGUACCAGCAAGCUAGUGCAGUAGCUUCAGUCACAUGCUCUGGAAGCCCAAUUUGGGUCUUCCUUCAGAAGGCUCAUCAAGGCCAUCAUCACACCAUUCUAGUUAGUUACUUCUGCAAUGAUAUAUGUCCGUAAGAAAAUAAGAAGCUAAGGUUCUAGUAGACUUAUAAUCCUCUAACAGCACCACGUUGGAUAUGCCCGCACAAAUAAAAUAACAUGAGUGGAGUCUAUUUUGUAAGCACAUAUCUUGUCACCAGUCAACUACUAGUACAGUAAGAGCAUCAAAGAGGAAUUCAUUUCAUAUAGAAUAGUCGCAUACAUAUACUUCUGUUCUGCACAUACUGCUCAUUAUCAUGGACAAUGAUGUAGCUAGCUAAAAGUGAGCAUGUGGCUAUAAUGUAAGGAGGGAGGCUCCAGGGACGAGCUCGACAAACAGAACUAACCUGCUCUUGCAAGGAACCAGUAAGCCUUGCUACAUUGUCACCUCCAUGCUGCAUGGCAUCGCGUCCACCAGCUACUUUGGUAUGUCGCAACUCUUUCCUCUCAUCUUUUCACCGAAGCGGUCGUUGGCGAAUUCUAAUCUUUCCGGAACAACAUUCGUAAUUCCCUGCACUAUAAGGUCAUCAUGAUGCAUCGGCACAUCGGAAUUCUAGCCACAUUAACAAAAUCUUUGCCCAAACCAAAUUAAGGGAGAAAUGAGAAAUGAAGGAGAGCACCAAAUAGUAAGUUAGGUUACACAUAUAUAUAGAAAUGUCGUUCAUAGUAAAAACAACCGGAAGUGUAUCCAUGUUGUUUGCUUAGGUGGCUAAAACCAAGGUCCUAUUCACUGGGAUGAUGAACCUACUAAAUAAAAGGGUUCUCAAAGUCCCCUCAGAACUAGAGUCGAGUAACACAGUCAUGACCCCAUGGGGUUUCAGGAUAACGACAUGCAAAUGUGGUUAAGACAAUCAGCUCUCUCAUUAAGAUUUGUCUUAUUUUUUAUCACUACGGGAAAAUUCAUGUUUGCCGAGUGUCAGUGUCUUUGCUGAGUGCAUUUUGUCGGGCACUCGGCAAACAUAUCUUUGCCGAGUGUAAUCCUGAAACACGGUAAAUAGGUGCUUUGCCGACUGUCGUGGAAAAAAACUCUGGCAAAAAAGUUAUAGUUGCUAAAAGGUGCUUUGUUGAGUGUCUUGGAAAUAACUCUCGGCAACAUAGUGGAACUUGGGCAAAGAUGUGCUUUCCCGAGUGCUACACUCGGCAAAAGGGGGUAUGCACUGCGCUCACUGUUUUGGCUAUCGAGAUUGCAUACAACCUCGGAUGAAGAUGAUCCAAGAAUCAAAGUUUUACAUUUCGACGAGAUGAAUAAUUUUCAUGUUGAGGACCUUUUCAUUUUAGGCCAUAUUAUUUACAUUUUUUGCCAUGCGAAAAUAUGGUCUCAAAUGAAUAAGGCGGUGGUCAUAUUUAUUGCAUAGUUUAUGACUAUGGGCCUAACCUUGGCAUUUAUGUGCAUCUUGCCAUCACAAAAAAUGUUGCCAAAUAGAGUUUCCAACAUUUCAUACAAAAAUAAUUUUUCUAUUUUUGAAGUGUAAAAAAUUGAUACUUUUGUGAAGCUGCUAAAAAUAUCGAGUGCAAAAUGGCAUCACUCCAAUUUUCACAAAAAUAGACCAUAUUUUUUUAGAAAAUUCCCUUUUUUGUGGAUUUUCUAUAUUUCUAGCUACUUUCACACAUUUAAAUGACUUUAUUAUGAUUCCGCGAAAUUAAUUCAAUUUGAACUGUAAUUGUGUGAUAGCUAUGUCCUAGAAAUUUGCAAAAAAUACUUUUAGGUACACAAGUAGUCAUUACAUGGAAAACCCACUUAGAGUUUAGAGAUUCAACCCCUUGACAUGAAUAGCCAUGCCGAACACUUUCACCCCGUUUUGGAAAAAUGAAACAAAAAGGAUACAAGUUCAAAAAAUGCAAUCCUUUCAUAUGGACUCCUUUUAUGUGUACUAGUGUGGAUGAAAAUACCAAACUUUCAAUAUGACAGUUUUGAAAGAAAAAUAUCCUGCACAAAUGGGCUAUCCCCUAUGAACAUUCAUGGCUUUCAAGUCAAAUGACCAAGGUGAUGACCAUAUUCAUUGCAUAGUUUAUUAUAAUGUGACCAAAUUAGACAUAUAGGUGAACCUUGCCAUUACAAAUAAUGUUGCAAAAUAGAGUUUCCAAAUUUUUUGUACAAAAAAUCAUUUUCUAUUUUCUAAGUGUAAAAAAUGGAUGUUUUUAUUGAAGCUGGUACAAAAACAGGGUACAAAAUGGCACCACUCCAAUUUUCACAAAAAGUAGACCGUAUUUUAUGGACAAUUCCCAAAGUCUGUAGAUUUUUUUCGAAAAAUAUAACAAUUGGUGUAUUUUUUUAAUAUUUAAUGAAAAUAAUAUAUAUUUUUUUUAAUGGGAAGGGAGGAUAUUUAAAGGAUAGCAUGGACAUCUGAGGGUGUACGUUGAAGCAUUGGAGGUGCCUUUAUGUGCCAGUUUACGACGUGCUCAACCGGCAAUGUGGUAGUAUUAAUCAGUAUAUACUUUUGAUUGUAAAAGAAAUCAAUAUAUAAUUUGUUUGGAUUAUUUUAGUUUGUAGGGCAAACUUAAAAUGGAUUUAUUUAGCCUAUGAUUGUGAAAUCACUAAUUAGGAGGUACCUUUUGCAAAGGUCACACCCCACUUUCAUUGGUGCUGACAGGUGGCGCAUGGCUUGUGUGCCACUUGUCGCAACAUGGGAAUUUCCCCCUUUUUGUAGAUUCAUUUUUUUAAUCUUUUAUCUCUUGAACCGCGCAUUCAAAUCAUGACCCAUUUUUAUCUUUGGAUUUCUCGCGCCGAGAUCUUUGAAACUAGGUCGCAUGUUAAUAAGUUUCGAUGAACUUUUUCUUCACGAAAAUCAAAAAUCGAAAAAAUAUGAAAACAAAAAAAACAGAAAGCAAACAAAAGAAAAAAACCUAAAAUCACGGUUGUGCUUUGUACAUUUUUGGGAAGAACAAUUGUGCUUUCCCCUUUUCGGGAAACACGGUUUUGCUUCUUGUGCAAGCAUAGGUCAUGCUUUUCCCUUUUCAAGAAGCACAGGCCAUGCUUCUUUUUUCUGGGAAGCACAUAUGUGCCUUUCCUUUUCGGGGAGCACAGUUUUUCUCUUUUUUCCGAAAAAGCAUAGAUGUGUUUUUCCCUCUUCAGAGAAGCACUACCGAUGCAUCUCACCGAAACAUGUUAUGCUUUUCCUUUUUUGAGGAAGUAUAGUUGUGCUUUCCCUUUUUACAGGGAAGCAAAAAAUGUGCUUUCUUCCUUCUCGGGAAGCUGUGCUUCCCGCGGAAAAGCACCGCCUCAUGAAAAAACAUAAAAAAAUGAAAAAAAAUUCAUCAAAACCUAGGGAAAACCAAGAAAAAAAAGAAAACAUGUGUAAAAAAUCUAAGGGUGUACCCAGCGUACGACACAUGGCAGCAAUUGGACGCAUCACUUGAUGCGCUCUUAGGUCCUAAAAGUGACCUCUGUGCAAUCCCCCGAUGAGAUACUUGUUAGAUAGUUGGAGACCUCGUUGCAUCAAAUAGGAGGGUGGCCACAAAGGGGGGCGCUUCCUGGUGGGCCAGUCCAGCAGCGUGUUGCACUCCAUUGCAAAUUGGUCAAAAUGUAAAAAAUUAUGUGUGAGCAAAGCGCGCAUGGCUAGCCACUCAAGCUAAUGAAACUCUGCUAACUACUAGGCCGUGUUGAACUUUAAAAAGUACUAUAUGAUACCCCGCGCGUUGUUGCGGGAACUCUUAGUACUUUACAUGAAGAAGCUUGUGGAGUGAAAAUAUAUAAAUGAUGGAAAAAAUACUUUUUAAAACCUUUGGUGGUACUUUUAGGAAGAUUAUGGAGUGAAAAUAAGUAAACAAUUAAUAUAUUUUUGAACCUUUGAUGGUAUUUUGUGAAACGUGAGAGAAAUGGUAUAUCAGGGUAUCUCCGUAUUUGUGUAGUUAGAACGUGUCACCCUUUAGCGGGGAAUUAAAUGCAUCACUAACAUUAAAAAUAGAGCAUAUAUAGUAUGAUGGGAAUUUCACUGAAAACAUGGCCAGCCUAGUCUAAAGCUGAAUAUUACACUGAACAGAGAGUGCCCAACACAAAAGCACUAAUGCUUGUUGAGUUAUUUGUAAUAUAGGAGUAGAAUCCUUUCGAAAGAGAAAUUCCAAAAUAUUAAAAAGAUCCAACAGUAAGACAUCCAUACACCUUACAGUUUAUACAUGGCGACAAGCUACAUACCAAUCGCUAAAAAAGGUGAAUAUAGAGUCAUGCACAUCAGGCCCUCAUGGCAUAGAUGCAUUUCUAUAUCUAUACCUACUAAUAAAGCAAGAUGCGUUUCUCCAAAAAAAAUUAUCCGUUCACCACGGAAAAUACUUUUUUUGUAUCCGAGGUGGUACUAAAAUUUUUGUGGUCCAUCUGCUAGAAAACAAAACAGAAGAAUUUUGUCUAGAAUUUCGUACGUGGGCCGCACGCGCCAAGGCCCAGAAAAUUUACACAUUUAUAUCCUGCGCAUGCUGCUGGGGAAUCUUAUUUGUCGCACAGAGCGUAAUAUAGUUGGAGAUUCCAAUCUGUGGCCCAAUGUUGGGCCAGCCCAUUUCCUUUUUUCUUUGUUCUUUUUCUAUUUUUCUAUUUUCUCUUCGAAGUUAUAUUUUCCUUUUCCCAUAAAUUCAUUUUUUUAAUUUUCCCAAAUUUCCUUUUUUAUAAUAAUUUUCAUUAAAUCUUCGAAUUUCUAAAUUUGUCCCAUUUUCAAAAAAAUCCAAAAAAGAUCGAGAUUUGCAAAAUAAAUACCAUUUACAAAAUAAUAGAAAUACUAAAAAUAUUAUUUUUAUUGAAAUAUUCACAAUUUAAAAAUAAUGAUCAUGACAAAAAACACAUUUUUGAAAAUGCUUUUGAAUGUUUAAAACAAGUUUCCAUUUUAAAAAAUUGUUCACAAAUUCGAAAAAUGUCCGUUUCUCCGCCUUAAAAUGGUCGUGUUUUAAAAAAAUUGUGAAUUUUAAAAAUCUUCCAAUUUCAAGUUUUCUUUCCUUUUUCCAGAAAUUAGUGCUUUUUAAAAAAAAUUGCUCGUUUGUUUAAAAAAAAAUCUGGAGGUCACCACAACCUCGACAAGGAGGUGGACCUGAAGGAAAAAAAGGCACGAGAUGGGCAGUGGCCGCCACUCGGACCAACCCCACUACUAUAGACAUCUCGUGAGCCAAACAUGACCCACGAGAACACCACAGCUCUCCGCUCUGUCGCGCCACUAUUGUGGAGAACAUUUUGAUGGACACAUCAAUUAUCUCUCCAGAUGCUUCUCGCAAAAAACUCUCCCGUUGCAACGCACGGGCAUAUGUGCUAGUCUUCCACUAAAAGGACAUGCCUUCAGGGGAUUAGUGUAGCUAGGUGUGAAGAUCUAGACAUAUAAAUGGCAGGAAUGACUUCAUCUUCCUGCCCCUUCUGUGGCAAUAGAGGCCCGACUUCAAUUGGGAUCCGACUGACAUGUUGCUCCCUCUUCAUAAAAUGGAGCUGAUUGUUAUCUAAAAGCAAGCUACGUAGCUUUGGCAUGGCCAGCAGUAGUACUUGCUACUUUGCCAGUUGUGAUGCAUCACAUGAGAACACAAGGAAGGUUGCGUGCUGCCAUGGCCGGACCCUUUGGGGUGCCAAAUGGUGUUCAAAUUUAUAGUAGGUUCCAUUUUUGGUGGGAAUCCAGGGAAAAGAAGGCGAUGGAGUAAGAUGACAACCCAUUCCCAUACUACCACUCAAAAUCAAAAUGAAGAGGGUAAAUAAAUGUACUUACUAAGAACACACGGAUAACAUACAACUGGCUACAGAAGCGGCCAAACUUUGUAACCCACAGAAACUGGGGAAAUUGUGAAAACUAUUUAUGUAAGUAGAAGCAAAUGUAGUCCAGUUACCUUUCAUGGUAAUGCUUCUCUUGGGCCGAUUCUUAGGAUCCCUGAAGAAUGCCUUCUGUUUUUCCGAAGCAUGAUUCCUUGCUAGAGCAGUACCUUUUGUUCUCUUGAGUUAAGGCGCAGUGGGAAAUAGAUCACUAUCAGCUCUAGUUCAAUUGCUUGUAUUUUACAAAAACAUACAAUUGAAACAAUUAUCAGGAAAAGUUAUUACCUUAAUCGCGGCAACUCUUUGAGCAUGCAAUUUGGCGUCUUGGUGUAAAAUCUUCAUGUGUAAACAAUCUUGUUUUAGCAUCCAGGCUCUAUAAUUAAAAGUAAUAAGCUCUUUUAAAGCCGAAAGCAACUAUAUAGACCAAUACAAUUAAACAAAGCCAGCGGGUAGGUUUCAAAUUUGAAGUAGUCGGGCUCCAUAGUUAACUCUCCGGCAUGCAGGCAUUUAGUGCAGUAGAUCCAAGACAUACGUGUGACAGAUUGCAUGUGAGCAACAUUUAUUAGUAGGAAAAUCGUACUACCUGAAGGAAAUAUGCCCUAGAGACAAUAAUAAAGUUAUUAUUUAUUUCCUCAUAUCAUGAUAAAUGUUUAUUAUUCAUGCUAGAAUUGUGUUAACCGGAAACAUAAUACAUGUGUGAAUACAUAGACAAACAUAGUAUCACUAGUAUGCCUCUACUUGACUAGCUCGUUAAUCGAAGAUGGUUGUGUUUCCUAACCAUAGACAUGAGUUGUCAUUUGAUUAACGGGAUCACAUCACUAGGAGAAUGAUGUGAUUGACUUGACCCAUUCCGUUAGCUUCGCACUUGACGUUUAGUAUGUUGCUAUUGCUUUCUUCAUGACUUAUACAUGUUCCUAUGACUAUGAGAUUAUGCAACUCCCGUUUACCGGAGGAACACUUUAUGUGCUACCAAACGUCACAACGUAACUGGGUGAUUAUAAAGGUGCUCUACAGGUCUCUCUGAAGGUACUUGUUGAGUUGGCGUAUUUCGAGAUUAGGAUUUGUCACUCCGAUUGCCGGAGAGGUAUCUCUGGGCCCUCUCGGUAAUGCACAUCACUAUAAGCCUUGCAAGCAAUGUGACUAAUGAGUUAGUUGCGAGAUGAUGCAUUACGUAACGAGUAAAGAGACUUGCCGGUAACGAGAUUGAACUAGGUAUUGAGAUACCGACGAUCGAAUCUCGGGCAAGUAACAUACCGAUGACAAAGGGAACAACAUAUGUUGUUAUGCGGUUUGACCGAUAAAGAUCUUCCUAGAAUAUGUAGGAGCCAAUAUGAGCAUCCAGGUUCCGCUAUUGGUUAUUGACCGGAGACGUGUCUCGUUCAUGUCUACAUAGUUCUCGAACCUGUAGGUGAUGGGGAUCGUUGCAGAAAUUAAAAAAUUUCUACGCAUCACCAAGAUCAAUCUAUGGAGUCAUCUAGCAACGAGAGAGAGGAGUGCAUCUACAUACCCUUGUAGAUCGCGAGCGAAAGCGUUCAAGUGAACGGGGUUGAUGGAGUCGUACUCGUCGUGAUCCAAAUCACCGAUGAUCGAGCGCCGAACGGACGGCACCUCCGCGUUCAACACACGUACGGUUGGGAAGACGUCUCAUCCUUCUUGAUCCAGCAAGGGGGGAGGAGAGGUUGAUGGAGACCCAGCAACACGACGGCGUGGUGGUGGAAGUAGCGGGGAUUCCAACAGGGCUUCGCCAUGCGCUACCGGAGGAGGGAGAUGUGUCACGGGAGGGAGAGGGAGGCGCCAGGGCUUCGGUGCUGCUGCCCUCCGUCCCCCCUCUAUAUAUAGGGCGCCUGGGGGGCGCCGACCAAGGGGGGGACUUGCCCCCCAAGUCAAGUGGGGCGCCCCCCACCCCUAGGGUUUCCAACCCUAGGCGCAGGGGAGGCCCAAGGGGGCGCACCAGCCCAACAGGGGCUGGUUCCCUUCCCACUUCAGCCCAUGGGGCCCUCCGGGAUAGGUGGCCCCACCCGGUGGACCCCCGAGACCCUUCCGGUGGUCCCGGUACAAUGCCGGUGACCCCCGAAACCUUCCCGGUGGCCGAAACUGGACUUCCUAUAUAUAAUUAUUCACCUCCGGACCAUUCAGGAACUCCUCAUGACGUCCGGGAUCUCAUCCGGGACUCCGAACAACUUUCGGGUUACCGCAUACUAGUAUCUCUACAACUCUAGCGUCACCGAACCUUAAGUGUGUAGACCCUACGGGUUCGGGAGACAUGCAGACAUGACCGAGACGACUCUCCGGUCAAUAACCAACAGUGGGAUCUGGAUACCCAUGUUGGCUCCCACAUGUUCCACGAUGAUCUCAUCGGAUGAACCACGAUGUCGAGGAUUCAAUCAAUCCCGUAUACAAUUCCCUUUGUCAAUCGGUACGUUACUUUCCCGAGAUUCGAUCGUCGGUAUCCCAAUACCUUGUUCAAUAUCGUUACCGGCAAGUCACUUUACUCGUACCGUAAUGCAUGAUCCCGUGACCAAACACUUGGUCACAUUGAGCUCAUUAUGAUGAUGCAUUACCGAGUGGGCCCAGAGAUACCUCUCCGUCAUACGGAGUGACAAAUCCCAGUCUCGAUUCAUGCCAACCCAACAGACACUUUCGGAGAUACCCGUAGUGCACCUUUAUAGCCACCCAGUUACGUUGUGACGUUUGGCACACCCAAAGCACUCCUAUGGUAUACGGGAGUUGCACAAUCUCAUGGUCUAAGGAAAUGAUACUUGACAUUUGGAAAAGCUCUAGCAAACGAACUACACGAUCUUGUGGUAUGCUUAGGAUUGGGUCUUGUCCAUCACAUCAUUCCCCUAAUGAUGUGAUUCCGUUAUCAAUGACAUCCAAUGUCCAUAGUCAGGAAACCAUGACUAUCUGUUGAUCAACGAGCUAGUCAACUAGAGGCUCACUAGGGACAUGUUGUGGUCUAUGUAUUCACACAUGUAUUACGAUUUCCGGAUAACACAAUUAUAGCAUGAACAGUAGACAAUUAUCAUGAACAAGGAAAUAUAAUAAUAACCAUUUUAUUAUUGCCUCUAGGGCAUAUUGCCAACAGUCUCCCACUUGCACUAGAGUCAAUAAUCUAGUUACAUUGUGAUGAAUAGAACACCCAUAGAGUUCUGGUGUUGAUCAUGUUUUGCUCUAGGGAGAGGUUUAGUCAACGGAUCUGCUACAUUCAGGUCCGUAUGUACUUUACAAAUAUCUAUGUCUCCAUUUUGAACACUUUCACGAAUGGAGUUGAAGCGAUGCUUGAUAUGCCUGGUCUUCCUGUGAAACCUGGGCUCCUUAGCAAGGGCAAUAGCUCCAGUGUUGUCACAAAAGAGAGUCAUCGGGCCCGACGCAUUGGGAAUAACUCCUAGGUCGGUAAUGAACUCCUUCACCCAGAUUGCUUCUUGUGCUGCCUCUGAGGCCGCCAUAUAUUCCGCUUCACAUGUAGAUCCCGCCACAACGCUUUGCUUGCAACUGCACCAACUUACUGCCCCACCAUUCCAAAUAUACAUGUAUCCGGUUUGUGACUUAGAGUCAUCCUGAUCUGCGUCGAAGCUAGCAUCGACGUAACCCUUUACGACGAGCUCUUCGUCACCUCCAUAAACGAGAAACAUAUCCUUAGUCCUCUUCAGGUACUUCAGGAUAUUCUUGACCGCUGUCCAGUGUUCCAUGCCGGGAUUACUUUGGUACCUUCCUACCAAACUUACGGCAAGGUUUAAAUCAGGUCUGGUACACAGCAUGGCAUACAUAAUAGACCCUAUGGCCGAGGCAUAGGGGAUGACACUCAUCUUUUCUCUAUCUUCUGCCGUGGUCGGGCAUUGAGCCGUGCUCAAUUGCACGCCUUGCAAUACAGGCAAGAACCCCUUCUUGGACUGAUCCAUAUUGAACUUCUUCAAUAUCUUGUCAAGGUACGUACUUUGUGAAAGACCAAUGAGGCGUCUUGAUCUAUCUCUAUAGAUCUUGAUGCCUAAUAUAUAAGCAGCUUCUCCAAGGUCCUUCAUUGAAAAACACUUGUUCAAGUAGGCCUUUAUGCUUCCCAAGAAUUCUAUAUCAUUUCCCAUCAACAGUAUGUCAUCCACUUAUAAUAUGAGAAAUGCUACAUAGCUCCCACUCACUUUCUUGUAAACACAGGCUUCUCCAUAAGUCUGUGUAAACCCAAACGCUUUGAUCAUCUCAUCAAAUCGAAUGUUCCAACUCCGAGAUGCUUGCACCAGCCCAUAGAUGGAGCGCUGGAGCUUGCAUACCUUGUUAGCAUUCUUAGGAUCGACAAAACCUUCCGGCUGCAUCAUAUACAAUUCUUCCUUAAGAAAGCCGUUAAGGAAUGCCGUUUUGACGUCCAUUUGCCAUAUCUCAUAAUCAUAGAAUGCGGCAAUUGCUAACAUGAUUCGGACGGACUUCAGCUUCGCUACGGGUGAGAAAGUCUCAUCGUAGUCAACCCUUGAACUUGUCGAUAACCCUUAGCGACAAGUCGAGCCUUAUAGAUGGUCACAUUACCAUCCGCGUCUGUCUUCUUCUUAAAGAUCCAUUUAUUUUCUAUGGCUCGCCGAUCAUCGGGCAAGUCAGUCAAAGUCCAUACUUCGUUUUCAUACAUGGAUCCUAUCUCGGAUUGCAUGGCUUCAAGACAUUUGUUGGAAUCCGGGCCCGCCAUCGCUUCUUCAUAGUUCGAAGGUUCACCGUUGUCUAACAACAUGAUUUCCAUGACAGGGUUGCCGUACCACUCUGGUGCAGAACGUGUCCUUGUGGACCUACGAAGAUCAGCAGUAACUUGAUUUGAAGCUUCAUGAACAUCAUCACUAACUUCCUCCCCAGUCGAUGCAGGCACCACAGGAACAUCUUCCCGCGCUGCGCUAAUUUCCGGUUCGGAAGGGCUGACUAUCACCUCAUCAAGUUCCACUUUCCUCCCACUCACUUCUUUCGAGAGAAACUCUUUCUCCAGAAAGGACCCAUUCUUGGCAACAAAGAUCUUGCCUUCGGAUCUGAGGUAGAAGGUAUACCCAAUGGUCUCCUUAGGGUAUCCUAUGAAGACGCAUUUUUCCGACUUGGGUUCGAGCUUUUCAGGUUGAAGUUUCUUGACAUAAGCAUCGCAUCCCCAAACUUUUAGAAACGACAGCUUAGGUUUCUUCCCAAACCAUAAUUCAUACGGUGUCGUCUCAACGGAUUUCGACGGAGCCCUAUUUAAAGUGAAUGGGGCAGUCUCUAAAGCAUAGCCCCAAAAUGAGAGCGGUAGAUCGGUAAGAGACAUCAUAGAUCGCACGAUAUCCAAUAGAGUGCGAUUACGCCGUUCGGACACACCAUUCGCUGAGGUGUUCCAGGCGGCGUGAGUUGUGAAACUAUUCCACAUUUCCUUAAGUGAGUGCCAAAUUCGUGACUCAAAUAUUCCCCUCCACGAUCUGAUCGUAAGAAUUUUAUUUUCCUGUCACGUUGAUUCUCAACCUCACUCUGAAAUUCCUUGAACUUUUCAAAGGUCUCAGACUUGUGUUUCAUUAGGUAGACAUACCCAUAUCUACUCAAGUCAUCAGUGAGAGUGAGAACAUAACGAUAGCCUCCGCGAGCCUCAACACUCAUUGGACCGCACACAUCAGUAUGUAUGAUUUCUAAUAAGUUGGUUGCUCGCUCCAUUGUUCCGGAGAACGGAGUCUUGGUCAUUUUGCCCAUGAGGCAUGGUUUGCAUGUGUCAAAUGAUUCAUAAUCGAGAGACUCUAAAAGUCCAUCAGCGUGGAGCUUCUUCAUGCGCUUGACACCAAUGUGACCAAGGCGGCAGUGCCACAAGUAUGUGGGACUAUCGUUAUCAACUUUACAUCUUUUGGUAUUCACACUAUGACUAUGUGUAACAUCACGUUCGAGAUUCAUUAAGAAUAAACCAUUGACCAGCGGGGCAUGACCAUAAAACAUAUCUCUCAUAUAAAUAGAACAACCAUUAUUCUCCGAUUUAAAUGAGUAGCCAUCUCGCAUUAAACGAGAUCCAGAUACAAUGUUCAUGCUCAAAGCUGGCACUAAAUAACAAUUAUUGAGGUUUAAAACUAAUCCCGUAGGUAAAUGUAGAGGUAGCGUGCCGACGGCGAUCACAUCGACCUUGGAACCAUUCCCGACGCGCAUCGUCACUUCGUCCUUUGCCAGUCUCGGUUUAUUCCGCAGCUCCUGCUUUGAGUUACAAAUAUGAGCAACCGCACCGGUAUCAAAUACCCAGGAGCUACUACGAGUGCUGGUAAGGUACACAUCAAUAACAUGUAUAUCACAUAUACCUUUGGUGUUGCCGGCCUUCUUGUCCGCUAAGUACUUGGGGCAGUUCCGCUUCCAGUGACCACUUCCCUUGCAAUAAAAGCACUCAGUCUCAGGCUUGGGUCCAUUCUUUGGCUUCUUCCCGGCAACUGGCUUACCGGGCGCGGCAACUCCCUUGCCGUCCUUCUUGAAGUUCUUCUUACCCUUGCCUUUCUUGAACUUAGUGGUUUUAUUCACCAUCAACACUUGAUGUUCCUUUUUGAUCUCCACCUCCAUUGAUUUCAGCAUUGAAUAUACCUCAUGAAUGGUCUUUUCCAUCCCCUGCAUAUUGAAGUUCAUCACAAAGCUCUUGUAGCUCGGUGAAAGCGACUGAAGGAUUCUGUCAAUGACCGCGUCAUCCGGGAGAUUAACUCCCUGCUGAGACAAGCGGUUGUGUAACCCAGACAUUUUGAGUAUGUGCUCACUGACAUAACUAUUUUCCUCCAUCUUACAACUAAAGAACUUGUCGGAGACUUCAUAUCUCUCGACCCGGGCGCGAGCUUGGAAAACCAUUUUCAGCUCUUCGAACAUCUCAUAUGCUCCGUGUUGCUCAAAACUCUUUUGGAGCCCCGGUUCUAAGCUGUAAAGCAUGCCGCACUGAACGAGGGAGUAAUGAUUAGCACGCUGCUGCCAAGCGUUCAUAACGUCUUGGUUCUCUGGGAUGGGUGCUUCACCUAGUGGAGCUUCUAGGACAUAAUCUUUCUUGGCAGCUAUGAGGAUGAUCCUCAGGUUCCGGACGCAGUCCGUAUAGUUGCUGCCAUCAUCUUUCAGCUUGGUUUUCUCUAGGAACACGUUGAAGUUGAGGGCAACAUUAGCGUGGGCCAUUUGAUCUACAAGACAUAUUGUAAAGAUUUUAGACUAAGUUCAUGAUAAUUAAGUUCAUCUAAUCAAAUUAUUCAAUGAACUCCCACUCAGAUAGACAUCCCUCUAGUCAUCUAAGUGAAACAUGAUCCGAGUCAACUAGGCCGUGUCCGAUCAUCACGUGAGAUGGACUAGUCAACAUCGGUGAACAUCUUCAUGUUGAUCGUAUCUUCUAUACGACUCAUGCUCGACCUUUCGAUCUUCCGUGUUCCGAGGCCAUGUCUGUACAUGCUAGGCUCGUCAAGUCAACCUAAGUGUAUUGCGUGUGUAAAUCUGGCUUACACCCGUUGUAUUCGAACGUUAGAAUCUAUCACACCCGAUCAUCACGUGGUGCUUCCAAACAACGAACCUUCGCAACAGUGCACAGUUAGGGGGAACACUUUCUUGAAAUUAUUGCGAGGGAUCAUCUUAUUUAAGCUACCGUCGUUCUAAGCAAAUAAGAUGUAAAACAUGAUAAACAUCACAUGCAAUCAAAUAGUGACAUGAUAUGGCCAAUAUCAUUUUGCUCCUUUUGAUCUCCAUCUUCGGGGCGCCAUGAUCAUCUUCGUCACCGGCAUGACACCAUGAUCUCCAUCAUCGUGUCUUCAUGAAGUUGUCACGCCAACGAUUACUUCUACUUCUAUGGCUAACGUGUUUAGCAAUAAAGUAAAGUAAUUUACAUGGCGUUGUUCAAUGAUACGCAGGUCAUACAAAAAUAAAGACAACUCCUAUGGCUCCUGCCGGUUGUCAUACUCAUCGACAUGCAAGUCGUGAUUCCUAUUACAAGAACAUGAUCAAUCUCAUACAUCACAUAUAUCAUUCAUCACAUCCUUUUGGCCAUAUCACAUCACACGACAUAUGCUGCAGAAACAAGUUAGACGUCCUCUAAUUGUUGUUGCAAGUUUUUACGUGGCUGCUAUAGGUUUCUUAGCAAGAACGUUUCUUACCUACGCCAAAACCACAACGUGAUAUGCCAAUUUCUAUUUACCCUUCAUAAGGACCCUUUUCAUCGAAUCCGUUCCGACUAAAGUGGGAGAGACAGACACCCGCUAGCCACCUUAUGCAACUAGUGCAUGUCAGUCGGUGGAACCUGUCUCACGUAAGCGUACGUGUAAGGUCGGUCCGGGCCGCUUCGUCCCACGAUGCCGCCGAAACAAGAUAAGACUAGUAGUGGCAAGAAAAUUAACAACAUCUACGCCCACAACAAGUUUGUGUUCUACUCGUGCAUAGAAACUACGCAUAAACCUGGCUCUGAUACCACUGAUGGCGAUCGUUGCAGAAAUUAAAAAAAAUUCUACGCAUCACCAAGAUCAAUCUAUGGAGUCAUCUAGCAACGAGAGAGAGGAGUGCAUCUACAUACCCUUGUAGAUCGCGAGCGGAAGCGUUCAAGUGAACGGGGUUGAUGGAGUUGUACUCGUCGUGAUCCAAAUCACCGAUGACCGAGCGCCGAACGGACGGCACCUCCGCGUUCAACACACGUACGGUUGGGAAGACGUCUCCUCCUUCUUGAUCCAGCAAGGGGGAAGGAGAGGUUGAUGGAGACCCAGCAGCACGACGGCGUGGUGGUGGAAGUAGCGGGGAUUCCAACAGGGCUUCGCCAAGCGCUGGGGGAGGAGGGAGAUGUGUCACGGGAGGGAGAGGGAGGCGCCAGGGCUUCGGUGCUGCUGCCCUCCCUCCCCCCCUCUAUAUAUAGGGCCCCUGGGGGGCGCCGGCCCUAUGAGAUCCCAUCUCCAAGGGGCCGGCGGCCAAGGGGGGGACUUGCCCCCCAAGUCAAGUGGGGCGCCCCCCACCCCUAGGGUUUCCAACCCUAGGCGCAGGGGAGGCCCAAGGGGGGCGCACCAGCCCACCAGGGGCUGGUUCCCUUCCCACUUCAGCCCAUGGGGCCCUCCGGGAUAGGUGGCCCCACCCGGUGGACCCCCGGGACCCUUCCGGUGGUCCCGGUACAAUACCGGUGACCCCCGAAACCUUCCCGGUGGCCGAAACUGGACUUCCUAUAUAUAAUUCUUCACCUCCGGACCAUUCCGGAACUCCUCGUGACGUUCCGGAUCUCAUCCGGGACUCCGAACAACUUUCGGGUUACCGCAUACUAGUAUCUCUACAACUCUAGCGUCACCGAACCUUAAGUGUGUAGACCCUACGGGUUCGGGAGACAUGCAGACAUGACCGAGACGACUCUCCGGUCAAUAACCAACAGCGGGAUCUGGAUACCCAUGUUGGCUCCCACAUGUUCCACGAUGAUCUCAUCGGAUGAACCACGAUGUCGAGGAUUCAAUCAAUCCCGUAUACAAUUCCCUUUGUCAAUCGGUACGUUACUUGCCCGAGAUUCGAUCGUCGGUAUCACAAUACCUUGUUCAAUCUCGUUACCGGCAAGUCACUUUACUCGUACCGUAAUGCAUGAUCCCGUGACCAAACACUUGGUCACAUUGAGCUCAUUAUGAUGAUGCAUUACCGAGUGGGCCCAGAGAUACCUCUCCGUCAUACGGAGUGACAAAUCCCAGUCUCGAUUCGUGCCAACCCAACAGACACUUUCGGAGAUACCCGUAGUGCACCUUUAUAGCCACCCAGCUACGUUGUGACGUUUGGCACACCCAAAGCACUCCUAUGGUAUCCGGGAGUUGCACAAUCUCAUGGCCUAAGGAAAUGAUACUUGACAUUUGGAAAAGCUCUAGCAAACGAACUACAUGAUCUUGUGCUAUGCUUAGGAUUGGGUCUUGUCCAUCACAUCAUUCUCGUAAUGAUGUGAUCCCGUUAUCAAUGACAUCCAAUGUCCAUAGUCAGGAAACCAUGACUAUCUGUUGAUCAAUGAGCUAGUCAACUAGAGGCUCACUAGGGACAUGUUGUGGUCUAUGUAUUCACACAUGUAUUACGAUUUUCGGAUAACACAAUUAUAGCAUGAACAAUAGACAAUUAUCAUGAACAAGGAAAUAUAUUAAUAACCAUUUUAUUAUUGCCUCUAGGGCAUAUUUCCAACAGUAGGGUCCACACGCUUAAAGUUCGGUGACGAUCGGUAUUAUGAGUUUGUGUGUUUUGGUGUACCGAAGGUAGUUCGGAGUCCCGGAUAUGAUCACGGACAUGACGAGGAGUCUCGAAAUGGUCGAGAUGUAAAGAUUGAUAUACUGGAUGACUAUAUUUGGACACCGGAAGUGUUCCGGGUGAUUUCGGAGAAAACCGGAGUGCCGGAGGGGUUACCGGAACCCCCCGGGGAAGUAUUGGGCCUUAGUGGGCCUGAGGGGAGAGAGAGGGCAGCAGCCCAGGAGGUGGCACGCCCCCUCCCAUGAGGAGUCCGAAUUGGACUAGGGGAGGGGGGGCGGCCCCUCUUUCCCUCUCCCUCUCCCUCUCUUUCCUUCCCCCUUCCCUCUUCCUAGUUGGACUAGGAAAGGGGAGUCCUACUCCUACUAGGAGGAGGACUACCCCCUCCUUGGCGCACCCCAAGGGCCGGUCGGCCUCCCCCUUGCUCCUUUAUAUACGGGGGCAGGGGCACCUCUAGACAUAACAAUUGAUCUCUAGAUCUCUUAGCCAUGUGCGGUGCCCCCCUCCACCAUAUUCCACCUCGGUCAUAUCGUAGCGGUGCUUAGGCGAAGCCCUAUGUCGGUAGCAACAUCAUCACCGUCAUCACGCCUUCGUGCUGACAGAACUCUCCCGUGAAGCUCUGCUGGAUCGGAGUUCGCGGGACGUCAUCGAGCUGAACGUGUGCUGAACUCGGAGGUGCCGUACGUUCGGUACUUGGAUCGGUCGGAUCGUGAAGACGUACGACUACAUCAACCGCGUUUUGCUAAACGCUUCCGCUUUCGGUCUACGAGGGUACGUGGACAACACUCUCCCCUCUCGUUGCUAUUCAUCACCAUGAUCUUGCAUGUGCGUAGGAAUUUUUUUUAAAUUACUACGUUCCACAACAGUGGCAUCCGAGCCUGGUUUUAUGCGUUGAUGUUAUAUGCACGAGUAGAACACAAGUGAGUUGUGGGCGAUACAAGUCAUACUGCUUACCAGCAUGUCACACUUUGGUUCGGCGGUAUUGUUGGAUGAAGCAGCCCGGACCGACAUUACGCGUACGCUUACGCGAGACUGGUUCUACGGACGUGCUUUGCACACAGGUGGCUGGCGGGUGUCAGUUUGUCCAACUUUAGUUGCACCGAGUGUAGCUACGCCUGGUCCUUGAGAAGGUUAAAACAGUACUAACUUGAUGAACUAUCAUUGUGGUUUUGAUGCGUAGGUAAGAACGAUUCUAUCUCAGCCCGUAGCUGCCACGUAAAACUUGCAACAACAAAGUAGAGGACGUCUAACUUGUUUUUGCAGGGAAUGUUGUGAUGUGAUAUGGUCAAUGCAUGAUGCUAUAUUUUAUUGUAUGAGAUUGUCAUGUUUUGUAACCGAGUUAUCGGCAACUGGCAGGAGCCAUAUGGUUGUCACUUUAUUGUAUGCAAUGCAAUCGCCCUGUAAUUGCUUUACUUUAUCACUAAGCAGUAGCGAUAGUCGUAGAUGGAAUAGUUGGCGAGACGACACGAUGCUACGCUGGAGAUCAAGGUGUCGCGCCGGUGACGAUGGUGAUCAUGACGGUGCUUCAGAGAUGGAGAUCACAAGCACAAGAUGAUGAUGGCCAUAUCAUAUCACUUAUAUUGAUGGUAGUGAGGGAGUCCUGGAUUAGGGGGUCCCCGGACAGCCGUACUAUAUCCUUUAGCCGGACUGUUGGACUAUGAAGAUACAAGAUUGAAGACUUUGUCCCGUGUCCGGAUGGGACUCUCCUUGGCGUGGAAGGCAAGCUUGGCAAUACGGAUAUGUAGAUCUCCUCCCUUGUAACCGACUCUGUGUAACCCUAGCCCCCUCCGGUGUCUAUAUAAACCGGAGAGUUUAGUCCGUAGGACAACAACGAUCAUACCGUAGGCUAGCUUCUAGGGUUUAGCCUCUAUGAUCUCGUGGUAGAUCAACUCUUGUAAUACUCAUAUCAUCAAGAUCAAUCAAGCAGGAACCGAACCUGGGAAACAUCGUGUCCCCAGCCUCCUGUUACCAUCCGCCUUAGACGCACAGUUCGGGACCCCCUACCCGAGAUCCGCCCGUUUUGACACCGACAUUGGUGCUUUCAUUGAGAGUUCCACUGUGUCGUCACCGUAAGGCUAGAUGGCUCCUUCGAUCAUCGGCAACGAUGCGAUCCAGGGUGAGGUUUUCCUCCCCGGAUAGAUCUUCGUGUUCGGCGACUUCGUACUGCGGGCCAACUCGCUUGCCAUCUGGAGCAGAUCGAGAGCUAUGCCCCUGGCCAUCAGGUCAGGUUUGGAAACUUGAACUAUGCUGCCGACAUCCGCGGAGAUUUGAUCUUUGACGGAUUCGAGCCCAUGUCAGGUGCGCCGCACAGUCACGACGAGCAUGACUUAGCUCUGCCGUCGGACGGUGUUCGGGAGAGCACACCUAUGCCUACUCUGGCCCUAGCUCCGGAGUCGAUUACGCCGUCCGAGGGCGGGUGGAUGGACCCCGCCUCGGAGGCCACACACUCAGUGGCGAUAGAGCCGGAUACUAAAUUCACCUCCUACGAGACCCGUGUUGCCGAACCGUUGGGUUCGUCCCCGGCCAUGGGCUCCGAGCCGCCUGCGUCCGUGCCUAUCGAAUCCGAUUGGGCACCGAUCAUGGAGUUUACCUCCGCGGAUAUCUUUCAGCACUCGCCCUUUGGCGACGUGCUAAACUCGUUAAAGUCUCUCUCCCUGUCAAGAGACCCUUGGCCGAACUAUGUCCGGCUAGAAUGGGAUGCGGACGACGAAGAAAUUCGCUCCCCACCCACCACCCACUUAGUAGCCACUGUCGACGAUCUAACCGACAUGCUCGAUUUUGGCUCCGAAGACAUCGACGGUAUGGACGACGAUGCAGGAGAUGAACAGGAACCACCGCCCACAGGGUGCUGGACAGCCACUUCAUCACACGAUGUAUAUAUGGUGGAUACACCCAAAGAAAACAAUGAUGAGGAACGGAAGGAUGCAGCAAAGGAUAGCUCCCUCGAGAAGCAACCAAAGCGACGGUGUAGGCGCCGCUCCAAAUCCCGCCUCGGUAAAAACAGCGAUAACAGCGCAAGAAAAAAUAACACCCCGGUCGACUCCAGAGGAAGCGACGACCACAUUGACCCAGCGAUAGAGCAGGAUGAACCAGCGAACGGCAAACAUAGUAUGGAGCCGCUGUCCGAUCACGUUGACGCCGAGGAUAAAGCUCAUCAACCUCUCUCCGGAGAGGAAAACAGUCCAGACGACGACGCACACAUCAUCCCGGAAAGGCACUUGGAACAAGAGAACCUCCGUAGAAGGCUUAUUGCCACCGCGAGGAGUCUGAAGAAGCAGAAGCAAAGGCUUAAGGCCGCGCAGAAUACGCUCAACAGUAGAUGGAACAAAGUGCUCGACACUGAAGAAAAGUAUGGUGGUAGUUGCCACACAAAGAGCUAUCCAAAGCGCAAGCUAUUGCCUGAAUUCGAUGAUGAGGCCUUAGAGCCCACACACCCGAAAAAUAAAACGGCUGACCCGUCGGAUCGACCACCUCGUGGCCGCGAUAGGGCGGCUAACGAGGCCGCACAUAAGUCAGCACAUGAUCCACAUAAGGACUUGCAUCAAAACGCCGGCGUGACCAGAUCCAUCUACGGAUCUAGGAAGCGAGCUCCAGCGCAUAAUCAAAACCGAACACUACAACCGUCAGAACGCCAUGACACAUCCAAAUACAGGGGUACCGCGCACCCCCUAUGUUUCACCGAUGAGGUGCUGGAUCACGAAUUUCCAGAGGGAUUCAAACCCGUGAACAUAGAUGCGUAGGACGGAACGACGGACCCUGGGGUCUGGAUUGAAGACUUCAUCCUCCACAUCCAUAUGGCUCACGGAGACGAUCUCCACGCCAUCAAAUACUUACCCCUCAAGCUGAAAGGACCAGCUCGGCACUGGCUGAAGAGCCUCCCCGAAAAUUCAAUUGGAAGUUGGGAGGAGCUUGAGGAUGCUUUUAGGGCCAACUUUCAAGGGACAUGUGUCCGACCUCCGGAUGCAGAUGAUUUAAGUCACAUAAUUCAACAACCCGGAGAGUCAGCCCGAAAGCUUUGGAAUAGAUUCCUCACUCAGAAGAACCAAAUCAUCGACUGCCCGGACGCCGAAGCCUUAGCAGCUUUCAAACACAGCGUCCGAGACGAAUGGCUCGCCAGACACCUCGGCCAAGAAAAACCAAGGACAAUGGCAGCCCUAACAAGCCUUAUGACCCGCUUUUGCGCGGGCGAAGAUAGCUGGCUGGCCCGUAGUAGCACCAGCGAUCCAGGCACAUCUGAAGUCAGGGAUGGUAAUGGAAAACCACGACGCAGUAAAAGCAAGCGUCGAAAUAACGAAGACGGCCCAGACAACACGGCGGUAAACGCCGGAUUUAGGGGCUGUCAACCCGGUCAGCCUCAACAAGAUUCUAGACAAAUUAUGUCAGAUUCACGGCACCUCCGAUAAACCUACAAAUCACACCCACAGAGAAUGCUGGGUCUUCAAGCAGGCCGGCAAGCUAAACGCCGAACACAAGGGGAAGGAGACACCAAGUGAAGAGGAGGAUGAGCCUCGCCAGCAAAACACUGGGGGACAGAAAAAAUUCCCACCAGAGGUCAAAACAGUGAACAUGAUUCACGUAACAAAAAGAAGGAGCAAACAUGCACUCCAAGACUUAUGCGCUGUAGAGCCCGUCACCCCGAAAUUCAACCCUUGGUCGGCCUACCCGAUUACUUUCGAUCGCAGGGAUCACCUGACAGGUAUCCGACACGGAGGAUUGACUGCCUUGGUGCUAGACCCAAUUAUUGACGGAUACCACUUCACCCAAGUCCUCAUGGACGGCGGCAGUAGUCUUAAUCUGAUAUAUCAGGACACAGUCCGCAAAAUGGGGAUAGACCCGACAAGAAUCAGCCAAAGUAAUACUACCUUUAAAGGGGUAAUACCAGGCCCAGAGGCCCGCUGUAUGGGGUCUCUAGUACUAGAGGUUUUAUUCGGUUCUCCCGACAACUUUCGAAGUGAAAAGUUAACCUUUGACAUCGCUCCAUUCCGAAGCGGCUAUCAAGCACUACUCGGAAGAACAGCUUCCGCUCGUUUCAAUGCGGUACCGCAUUACGCUUCUCUUAAGCUUAAGAUGCCCGGUCCACGUGGCAUCAUCACAGUCAGCGGAAAUAUCGAGCGUUCCUUACGCGCGGAAGAACGUGUGGCGGCUUUAACAGCCGAACACUAAACGGACUCUCCAACCAGAACAAAUGAUCGGUCGUCAAGACCAGGGACACGGCUAGACGAGUCCGGCGCACCACUAGCUGUAACAGCUUAGAUAAACCUGAGAUCGGUAUGAUGGAUAUACCCCCGUAGGUGGUACCAGGGGCUUCCCGUAUGUAAAAAGGAUUACAGUUCGGCUCGACCUUACUUAUCUUGAAUUUUACUGGUUUAUUGAGAAUAACCAAUUUUUCGCACGACAACUUUCACCUAAGUUCUUCUCUUUUAUAGAUGAUAAUCGUGCUACACCCUUCCAGGAUGCGGCACAACGGAGACACAUGCGCAGAGCAACAGGGCCCCGCUCAAAGGUUUCUUUUUAGAUUAAGACCCUGUGUAAACCUUUUUUACUGUCUCUUGUUACUUCACAUCCUCCGGAUACUCAUCAUAACCGAGAAGGAUGCUGACGUUAGUGGCAUUUUGCCACGUCAGAAUAAUGCACGUACCUGGACACUCAGGGUUCAUUAUCAAGGGAGUUACCCAGCCCGAUAUAUGUUGUAAAGACCGAAUACCUUAGGGAGUGUUCGGCGUCGCGAGUUUGGCCUUAUAUGCAUCAGCUCCGAAUCAUGUCUUUGGUAAAAUGUUGGGUUUGCCCGCCUCCCGCGUUUUGCUACCUUACGUUCCUCUCUAUCGGCUAAGGCGGCACCGGGAGAACUACUGCGAUUGUGCCCCGGUUCAUCCGGACGAGCACCUCAGUAGAGAAAGCCGAAAACUGACUGUCAUGAUAAAGCGUGAGACUGGUCAACCACUCGAUGACUCAUCAGAAUCUUCGGGAUUCCUCCGCAUUAACGAACGACCGGUUUUCCUGGUCAUGUACGUAUGCGCACCGUAUUCGGAUAGCCGCAGAAAUACCAGGGGCUAUAUAGUAGCCCCACUGUCAAACUCCUAUGGUUAAGUGAAAGUGUUAAAGCAAUAUAGUCUGAUUGCCUCGUUCGCCACGCUACCACCUCCUUAAUGGACCAAGACGUUGGAUCAAGUGUGAACACGCGCUUUCGCGAACACCCCCGCAUUAUAUGCGUGGGGGCUGAAGCCGACGACUGCAAACUUUCAGGAGAUAUAUAUAUAUAUAUAUAUACACACACACACAUAAGCGACCGCACAGGAGGCAUAAUAAUACUUUCAGGAAAAAGUAUAAACAAAGCCUUUAUAAUUAAAAUAACAUUGUUCUUACAAUUGGGAUACAUGUCACUAGAACAUGAUAUUCUUCGAGCACUGAGCCUCUAUUAAACGAGCGCCUUCUAGGACUUCUUCAAAAUAGUGCUCGACCGAUACCCGGCCUACGGCCGAACUCUGGGUUGCAAUAGCGGUGGCCUCCAUUUCUGCCCAGUAUGUCUUGACACGGGCAAGAGCCAUCCGUGCACCCUCUAUGCACGCCGACCUCUUCAUAGCGUCGGUAUGCGGCACAGCACCAAGGAAUCGUUGCACUAAGCCAAAAUAACUAUUCGGCCUUGGUCCUUCUGGCCAAAGAUUAUCCACAACAGACCUCAUGCCAAGCCCGGACAACCUAUGGAGCUCGGCCCACUCGGCCAUUCGCUCAUUUAACAGAAGCGGACGCACUGGAACAUUGAACUGCGACCAGAACAGCUUUUCCACUUCGUGAUCUUUUUGAUCUCUGAAAAACUCGGUCGCAUUAGCAGCACUUGCUGCCAAAUCCAAGUAUGCGUCUGCAGAACUCCAUAAUUGAUCCAGAAGGGCAUACUUAGGAUCUCCGAACUUCGUCCGCAACAAAAAGGGCUUCCCAGCCGCGAUAUCUCCGGCUUGACUUAGCUCCUCCUUCGCCGCUCUAAUUUUAGAGCGGGCUUCCUUGGCUGCUACCGUGGCUUUCUCCAGGUCCGCCGUCUUUGUCUGGCUUUCCUUUUCAAGAAGCUCAUAACGGUUGGCGGCAUCUUUCAGUUCAAUAGCCAUCUGGGCUAUUUUCUCUUUGCUCUGGCAAUGCGCAGCCUGUUCGGCUCUUAGCUCUUCGACCGCCUUUAGGGCGGCCGCAUCACUCUUCCUGGCUUGUUCCUUGGCUCGGGCAAGUUCUGCCUGAAGGGUCUCCACGGUGACAGCCCCAUCUGCAGUCACAACAUAUUACAGAUACUAGCAUCAUGCUCCUCUUAAUAUGUGUUGAUCAUUGGAGAAUACAUACCCUGUGCCUCAUCAAGCCGCUUAUUUACAAGCACGAUGUCGGCAUCUGCCGCAUCAAGUUGCCGCUUCAGUUCGGCAAACUCACCAGUCCGGCGAUCCACGGGACCCUCAGCCGCCUGCACAUGAAAGCAACACGGUUAUUACCUAGGACUUUGAUCCUCUAUUAGCCAUCUUUUUCGACAGCAACCAGAGUCUCAGGGGCUACUUGUAACGCCCACGAUGUGGCUAUAUCUCUCACGUGUCGAGGCAUGACUUAGAGGCAUAACCGCAUUGUGGUUUUGUCGCAAGAAGGGUCAUCUUCACACAAUCCCAUGUAAUGAACAAGAAUGGGAUAAAGAGUUGGCUUACAAUCGCCACUUCACACAAUACAUAAAUAUAAUCCAUACAUCAUCCAAAAUACACACAUAUAGACCGGCUACGGUCAAAAUCCAAAUGAAAAUAAGAAAACCCCAAAUGCUAGAUCCCCGAUCGUCCCAACUGGGCUCCACUACUGAUCAUCAGGAAAAGAAACAUAGUAACGACCACGUUCCUCGUCGAACUCCCACUUGAGGUCGAUCCCAUCAUCUGCAAUGGCAUCGUCGGCACCUGCAACUGUUUUGGUAGAAUCUGUGAGUCACAAGGACUCAGCAAUCUCACACCCGCGAGAUCACGACUAUUUAAGCUCAUAGGAAAGGAUGGUGAAAUUGGGUGGAGCUGCAGCAUGCACUAAGCAUAUAUGGUGCCUAACAUACGCAAAAGAGAGCGAGAAGAGAAGCAACGGAACGGUCGUCAUCUAGUAAUGACCAAGAAGUGAUCCUGAACUCCUACUUACGUCAUUCAUAACUCAAACCGUGUUCACUUCCCGGACUCCGCCGAGAAGAGACCAUCAGGGCUACACACACGGUUGAUGUAUUUUAAUUAAGUUAAGUGACAAAUUCUCUACAACCGGACAUUAACAAAUUCCCAUCUGCCUCAUAACCGCGGGCACGGCUUUCGAAAGAUAAUACCCUGCACGGGUGUCCCAACUUAGCCCAUCAUAAGCUCUCACGGUCAACGAAGGAUAAACCUUCUCCCGAAAAGACCCGAUCAGUCUCGGAAUCCCGGUUUACAAGACAUUUCGACAAUGGUAAAACAAGAACAGCAAGACCACCCGCUGUGCCGACAAAUCCCGAUAGGAGCUGCACAUAUCUCGUUCUCAGGGCACACCGGAUAAGCUAAGCGUACAGGUACCAACGUAACCCAAGUUGCCAAGGGACGGUCCCGCACGGUGCUCUAGUUUGGACCAACACUCGGAGGAGCACUGGCCCGGGGGUUUAAAAUAAAGAUGACCCUCGGGCUCUAGAAAACUCGGGGGGAAACGGCUUAGGUGGCAAAUGGUAAAACCAAGGUUGGGCCUUGCUGGAGGAGUUUUAUUCAAGGCGAACUGUCAAGGGGGUCCCAUAAAUCACUCAACCGCGUAAGGAACGCAAACUCAAGGAACAUAAUACCGGUAUGUCGGAUAACUAUGGCGGCAAGAGUGGAACAAAACACCAGGCAUAAGGCCGAGCCUUCCACCCUUUACCAAAUGUAUAUAGAUGCAUUAAUAUAAUAAGAGAUAUUGUGAUAUCCCAACAUAAUAACCAUGUUCUAACAUGGAACCAACUUCAACUUCACCUGCAACUAGCAACGCUAUAAGAAGGGCUGAGCAAAAGCGGUAACUUAGCCAAACAACGGUUUGCUAGGAAAGGAUGGUUAGAGGCUGACAUGGCAAUAUGGGAGGCAUGAUAUAGCAAGUGGUAGGUAGCGCAGCAUGGCAAUAGAACGAACAACUAGCAAAGCAAAGAUAGAAGUGAUUUCGAGGGGUGGUCAUCUUGCCUGCAAGGUUCUCAGAGUUGUCGAAAGCUUGAUCCUUGUAAGCGUACUCAACAGGUUCCUCGUUCACGAACUCGUCUCCCGGCUCUACCCAAAACAAGAACACAAGCAACGGAACCACAAUCAAUCACGGGAGAUGCACAAGCAACAUGAUGCAAAACAUGUAUGAUAUGCGAGAUAUGAUAUGCGAUGCAUAUGCGUGCCCCGGAAGGAAAAUGAUGAACAAGACAGUAACUUGGCAAACCAAGCAUGCCACUGGAAAGAUGAGAUGAUUUCGGUUGAAAUCGAUAUAAAGAUCACCGGAAACGGAUGCACUGUUUGCAAAUGGCAAGCAAAACAAGAAUGACACGAAUCUGCGAUUAACAGCAUGAUAGCACAUAGAAUGCAACAAGUUACAAUGCUAGAGCACUCCAACAUAGCAACAAAGCACAUGGCAGUAAUCUACAAGAGAUGCUUGACAAAAGAUGAACACUGAGCUACGGCUAGAUCACAAUAUAAAAGGUUCAAACAAGCAUGGCAAAAGAGCAAAAGAUAACAUGGCAGAAACAGCAUCAGGUAGGUUCAGAGCACGAAAUCAACAUGCUACAGGAACUUAACAUGGCAAAACAAAGCAUGGAAGUAUUCUACUAAAUGCAUAUGAAAAAAAUCCCUUACUGACCAUAAGCCAAAAAGGACCAGAAGAUAUGAUGGCAACCAUGUGAACAUAGCAAGUUCCGUUAACAGGUUUCAGACUUGGCAGAAAACAGAGCAUGGCAGAAACAAUAAUAUGAAGGCAUCUUGGUGAGCUUGAUGCACUCACCACAAAGCAAUGCAUGACAAAACAAGCAUACCUACAGCAACAUGGCAUGUUUAUCAAGCUAUCCAUGGCAAGAGCAAGUACAUAGCAUGAAUGAAACAACUACAACAAGCUUGGCAAAAUUGAAUAACACGUAAACAAUCUGCCAGAAAUAUUUUAUAGAAAAAGUAGAGCAAGCUUGAGUCAUGCUAUGGCACUCCAUAAUUGCAAACAAUGGCAGGAAUGGAUCAAUUACAAUAAUAUCUACAAAACAUCCUUACUGAACAUCUCCAAAAUAAGCAUGGAUCUCUCUGUAGACCCAUGGAUACAUAGCAACAAAAUAACAGCAGACAAAGACAGAAAUUACCAAGUCUCUGAAAUCAGAAACAUUACGGAGCCUAGUUUGCACGCUUGUUCUAGUCACCACAGAGAUCAAAAAAUACAUGGCAUACACCUCUGUAAAUAUGGCAUGGCAUACAACAAAACACAUGUAGAGCUCAUGCCCAUAAGAUGCACAGAUUAAAUGCAACAAAAAUAACAAAUCGCCAAGUUCUGCUAAGUAACAGCAGAUAACAGCAACUAGCACUCUUGCACCAGAUAUUUGGUUAUCAAGAGGGACUCAAAUGAACAUGUUGCAAUGGAACAAAAUGAAGAGCAUCACUAGAAGAAUAUUUCGAUAUAUUACACGCGCGAAACGGAGCUAUAUGCAGAGAGUUAUGAUCCUAUGAACAUGGGCAUAUAACGUCAAAUCUUUCAGGACUUGGAGAAAAAACAGGGAAGAAGGAAGUCAACCACUGGAGAUCUAGAUCGGGCGGCUUCGAGCUCGGGCCGCCGGAGCUUCGGCCGGAGCAGAGGUGCGGUCGCCGGCGUCCGACGUGGAGGAGGGAGACGGCGAGGCGGCGAGGUGGAGGAAGGAGGCGGCGGCGCGACGGUGGGAGGCGCCGCGGGGUCGGACGCGGCGGGGCNNNNNNNNNNNNNNNGGGCCCGCACGGGAACUGGCGCGGAGGAGACGGGCUCGGGAGGGCCCGCGGCGGGCUUCGGCGGGCCGGCGGGCUCGCGGCGAAGUGGGGCGCCCGGGGUGGUGACGUGGCGCGCCCCGAUUGGAUGAGGGCGGCGGCGCUGGUUCGUCCGGCGGCGGCGGACGCGUCCGGCCGCGGAGAGGGCGAUUUUUAGGGUUUGGACUGCGAAUGAUUUCGGGAGGGGUGCAAAUAUAUAGGUAGAGGGAGCUAGGAGAGUCCAAAAUGAGGUGCGGUUUUCGCCCACACGAUCGUGAUCGAACGACCUAGAGCAUGGAAGUGACUUAGAGGGGUUUUGGGAUGUUUAGAGAAGGGUUUUUGCUGCACACACAAACGGACUUUGCGGAUGCCCAGUUAACCGUUGGAGUACCAAACGACCUCCAAAUGGAACGAAACUUGACCGGUGGUCUCCCGGUGGUAUACCAAGGCCACUUGACAAGCCUCGGUCCAUUCCGAGAGCGUUCGACACCCGCUCACGAAAGAAAACAAGAGGGGUGCGCCGGAGGAGGUGGGAGCGCCGGAUUACAAAACGGACAAUGGGGAAAAUGCUCGGAUGCCUGAGACGAACACGUAUGCAAAUGCAAUGCACAUGAUGACAUGAUAUGAGAUGCAUGACAUGAACAAAAUGCAAAACGAAAGACAAAACCCAACCACGAAGGGAAUAUCGUAACACAUAGCCGAAAAUGGCAAGAGUUGGAGUUACAAAUAUGGAAAGUUACAUUCGGGGUGUUACAACACUCCACCACUACGAGGGGAUCUCGUCUCGAGAUCUAGGACUGAAAGAACUCCGGAUAUUCGGAACGGAGAUGGUCCUCGCGUUCCCAGGUGGCUUCUCGGUCGGAAUGGUGCAACCACUUCACUUUCAGGAAUUUGAUUGACUUGUUGCGAGUCUUGCGCUCAGUUUCUUCAAGAAUAGCAACGGGGUGCUCAUGAUAAGACAGAUCUUCUUGGAGGUCAAUCUCUUCGAAGUUGAUAGUGCGCUCAGGCGUCUUGAAGCACUUGCGGAGCUGUGACACGUGGAACACAUCGUGCACGUUCGCGAAGUUGGAGGGAAGCUGAAGUUGAUAGGCGAGGUCACCUCUUUUGCCAAUGAUCUUGAAAGGACCCACGUAUCUAGGGGCAAGCUUCCCUUUGAUACCGAAGCAACGAAUGCCUUUCAUUGGAGAGACGCGGAGGUAGACAUGGUCUCCGAUCUCGAAAGCCACAUCACGGUGCUUACUAUCAUAGUAACUCUUCUGGCGCGAUUGCGCGGCUUUGAGAUUUUCACGGAUGACUUUACACAUUUCUUCAGCCUCUGUGAUUAAGUCAUUGCCAAGAAGUUGGCGUUCACCAGUCUCUGACCAAUUGAGAGGAGUACGGCACUUUCUGCCAUAGAGAAUCUCGAAUGGGGCCUUGCCCGAACUCGCUUGGAAGCUGUUGUUGUAGGAGAAUUUGGCAUAUGGAAGACAAUCUUCCCAUUUCAUGCCAAAGGAAAUGACACAAGCCCUGAGCAUAUCUUCAAGAAUUUGAUUGACUCGCUCGACUUGGCCACUAGUUUGAGGAUGGAAAGUUGUGCUGAAGCGAAUGUUUGUGCCCAUGGCCUUCUGGAAAGAGUCCCAGAACUUAGAGGUGAAGAUGCUUCCACGAUCUGAAGAAAUCAAUUGUGCAAUGCCGUGCAAGGAGACAAUCCUGGAGGUCUAUAGCUCUGCCAACUGCGCUGCUGUGAUAGAUUCUUUGAUUGGAAGGAAAUAGGCCACUUUAGAAAGCUUGUCGAUGACAACGAAGAUAGCAUCAUUUCCACGCUUGGACUUGGGAAAUCCAGUCACGAAGUCCAUUUCGGUAUGAUCAAACUUCCACUCUGGGAUAGCAAGAGGUUGGAGGAGACCAGCUGGUCGUUGGUGUUCUGCUUUCACUCUUCGACAGACAUCACAUUCAUUCACGAAUUGAGCAAUCUCCCGCUUCUUUGAGUCCACCAAUACGACUGCUUGAGGUCAUGGUACAUCUUCGUACUUCCAGGAUGAAUGGACAGAAGAGAAUUGUGCGCCUAGUUCAUUAUGACUUUCCUUAGAUCACCUUUAGGAACCACAAUCCGGUCCUCGAAGAAUAAAGUGUCUCUGUCAUCAAUGCGAUAGCACUUGUAUUUGGAAAGACCCUUGUCGAUACCACGUUUCACCUUCUUCACCAUGGUAUCCAGGAGUUGUGCCUCACGAAUCUGAUCUUCCAAAGUAGGAGAGACUAUGAGGUUGGCAAGAAAGCCUUGAGGAACAACUUGGAGAUUCAGCUUGCGGAAAGCUUCACAAAGAUCCGGUUGGAAUGUCUUGAGAAUUAAGAUGUUGCAAUAAGCCUUCCUGCUUAAAGCAUCUGCAAUGACAUUGGCUUUGCCUGGAGUAUAUUCAAUACUCGGAUUGUACUCUUGAAUCAUUUCGACCCAUCGAGUCUGCCUGAGGUUGAGGUUGGGCUGAGUGAAGAUGUACUUGAGACUCUUGUGAUCGGUGAAUAUGUCCACUUGUCUUCCCAACAAAAGAUGUCGCCACGUUAUUAAUGCAUGGACAACUGCCGCCAACUCAAGAUCGUGAGUGGGGUAGUUCUUUUCGUUGGGCUUCAACUGACGAGAGGUAUAGGCCACAACUUUCUUCUCUUGCAUUAACACAGCACCGAGACCUUGGAGAGAAGCAUCACAGAAAACUUCAAAUGGCUUGGAUUCGUCAGGAGGAGUUAAGACAGGAGCUGUGACUAGUUUCUCUUUGAGAGUGUUGAAAGCAACGUCACACUCAGGAGACCAGACAUACUUCACAUGCUUAUGGAGGAGGUUGGAAAGAGGCUUUGGAAUCUUAGAAAAAUUCUCAAUGAAUCUUCGGCAAUAGCUUGCAAGACCAAGAAAACUGCGGAGCUGCUUGACAUUCUGAGGAGGUUCCCAAUUCACAAUUGCGGACACCUUCUCGGGAUUAACAGCGAUGCCCUUGGCAGAGAUGAUGUGACCAAGGUAAAGAACUUCAUCAAGCCAAAACUCACAUUUUGAGAACUUUGCAUAGAAUUGAUACUCUCUGAGCUUGUCGAGCACCAAUCGCAAAUGUUUGGCAUGAUCCUUCUUAUUCUUGGAGAAGACCAAUAUAUCAUCGAGAUACACCAGGACGAAUUCAUUGGUAUAGGGGUUGAAGAUGAAAUUCAUCAUCCGAGAGAAUGUUGGAGGAGCAUUGACAAGACCGAAAGACAUGACAGUAUAUUCAUAAGAACCAAAGCUUGUUCUGAAUGCUGUCUUGGGAAUAUCUUCUUCACGAAUGCGAAUCUGAUGAUAACCCAUACGAAGGUCAAGCUUGGAGAAUACUUUAGCACCUUUGAGUUGCUCGAAUAGCUCAUUGAUGUUCGGAAGUGGAUACUUGUUCUUGAUAGUCUUCUUGUUCAAUGGACGGUAGUCGACACAAAGUCGGUCUGUGCCAUCCUUCUUCUGGACAAAAAGAACACCACAACCCCAUGGAGAAGAACUCGGUCUGAUCAAACCCAGACGCUCUUGUUCAUCGAGUUGUUUUUUCAAUUCCUUCAGCUCCUUGGGUCCAAGCUUGUAUGGACGCUUGCAAACGGGUUCCGUGCCAGGCUCUAGAUCGAUAACGAACUCAACUGGCCGGUGAGAAGGCAUACCCGGAAGCUCUUCUGGAAAGACAUCUUGGUACUCACAAACGACUGGAAUCUGAGAGAUGGCAUUCAAUUCGCCCUUCUCAUUGAGAGAAAAUAACCGAAUGGUUUCAUCAUGAGCGGCAUAAAUGAUAACAUCCUCAGAAGAGUGUGUCAAUUGAAUUUCCCUGGCAGCACAAUCAAGUUGAGCCUUGUGCUUAGAAAGCCAGUCCAUCCCGAGAAUUAGAUCAAUAUCCGAGUCACCAAGAACAAAAGGUUUAGACAGAAAUUUAUAGUUGCCCAUCUUGAUAGAAACAUCCGGAAUCAUUGUGGUAGCCCUCAUAGAAGAGCCCGGAGAAACAACUCCCAUGGUGUCGUGGAAUUGUCACGGCAGAUGUCCUCGAGCUAGGACUUAGUCGUGGAGCCAUCGCAGCUAGGAAGCUUGAAGGGGUUAAUGCGGGACAAGGAACUCGAGGGUUUAUACUGGUUCGGCCCCUUACGGUGAAGGUAAAAGCCGACGUCCAGUUUGAGGUGGUAUUGAUUAGGGUUACGAUCACCAGGGAGCUAAACUGCUAUGCCCGGCUCUCGAUGAGAUUGUUCUCGUCCCUAAACCGCUGCCGGGUCGUCCCUUUAUAUAGGGAGGCUGACGCCCAGCAGUUCUCAGAGUCCCGGACGGCUCAUAAGAGUGUCCGGCUCGGACCCUCGACUACUCUUGCCUUACACUACAAUUUCUACCAUAAUAAUGAUUGUAACUACGGGCCUUAAGCCAUAUCCGGGUCUUAAGCCCAUCUUUGGCCCACCGUCUUUAAGCUCGGCGCAGGGCUUCUGGCAAUGACCAUAUGAGUAACCCGGCCCCUCCUGGCGGGUGACUCUAAGGUAUAUAUCCUCAACAUUAGGCCCCAGAUUGAUUUGAGCCGGCUCACGUCAAUCUUCCAUUCCUUCGACAGAAAACCUCCGGCUUACAAUUGUGUGAAGGCCAUAACCCGGCGUGACGUCAUCCUCUGGACUCCGGAUAAUCCGCCGUGACGUCAUCUUCCAUUAAGCCCGUUCUUUACUCCGCCAGAUCCGCAAUGGAUCUUUACCUUUACUGUCAUCCCGAAAAUCAAGGCGUUUCGUGGGGAGAUAACCACGCCGUGGUCUCCUUGAUUCUCGCGCCCACUUAUGAGCUCGCCCUUAUAAAUAGGCCGGCCCGACGGGCCUUUCUCACUCUCCCUCCUCUGUCGUCUCCUUCCUCUCACUGUCCCGUGCUGCUCGAGCUCCGCCGCCGUCGCCGCCGCGGGUCUUCUCGUCGUCACCAGCUCAGGCCGCUGCAUCACCCUGAUCUGACCAGAGAAACGCGACGACCUCCGCGACUCUCCAGCCCCUGUAAGUCCUGCUUGUCCUGUAGAAUAGAUCUGCCGUAGGGUUCGUCCGCGUUCUUCGUGUUCGUUGCCAUCGCCCACAAGGUCCGCUAGUUUUCUUUUUUACUGCUCCUUUUUGAUCUUAGCCCGUAUGGAACCACUGCGGUAGAUGUUUUAGCUCCCAUUUCAAACACAGGUAGACUUCUGUUCACUGCAUAAAGGCCUCAUUCGAGCUCAAGAACUCCCCUGCAUCUGCUUUUAGGUCUAGAAAUUUUCUUUUUACCCGACCAUUUUGAUCCAAAAUAUUUACCGUAAAGUGUGAAACCUGUUUUCACCACACUUAGUAAAAAACUGCCCUCAUUGAGCCAUGGCGGUUUACAUUUCCGGCUUAAAGAAACCACGCGCCGUAGAACCUUCCGACUUAAAGGAGACCAUGCACCAUAUAAUUUUCCGGCUCAUCUGUGAUAAGGCCGUAGACAAUCGAAUUACUCUCAAUACUUCAGGCGGCUUAAAUAGCCUAGUGCACUUAGAUAUAUGUCAUUAGUCCCCUCCGUAAGCCGCCACUUAAUACUGAAUUACAACUUUCCUCCGGCUUAUACUUAAACCGGACGUUUCCUUUUAUCAUAGGCUGCCGACUUUCACCAUGCCUCCCAAAGCUCCUAAAGCCUCUAUCACUUGCAAUUGGAUGAGGUCCAAUGUCACCAACGAAACGCUAGCAGAGUUUGUCAAGUCAGGCCACCUGCCAAAGAAGGAUGUCAUCUCCUACCGCGCCCCUGACCCGUCAGAAGAGAGACCACAGCCAAAGGACGGGGAGGUGAUCAUUUUUGCAGAUCACAUGAGCCGGGGCUUCGCACCGCCCGGCUCAAAGUUUUUCAGAGACGUUCUGAAUUUCUUCGAUCUGCGGCCUCAGGACAUAGGACCCAAUUCAGUGUCCAAUAUCUGCAACUUCCAAGUGUUCUGCGAGGUUUACCUUGGAGAAGAACCUAGUCUGCUGCUCUUCAGAGAGCUUUUUUACUUGAAUCGCCAGAACGAGUGCGCCAACGGGCCAAGUUUGGAGCUAGGCGGCAUCUCCAUUCAGAGACGGAGAGACUGUCUUUUCCCUUAUGCCGAGCCGCCGAGUCACCCAAAGGACUGGAACAUGACUUGGUUCUAUUGCCAAGACACGUCACCGGCUGAUGAAAGUCCGCUGCCCGGCUUUCGCCCAUCGCGUCUGGAGUCAACACACCCACUGUCAGACAAGUUGACUCAAGCGGAGCGCCAGCCUCUGCUCCCCACCAUAAACAAGAUCAAGGCUCUCCUGGGCAAUGGUCUCAACGGAAUCGAUUUGGUCCGGGUCUGGAUCUCCUGGCGGGUGAUCCCAUUGAGCCGCCGCCCCGGCUUAAUGUGCGAGUACACGGGCCGAAAGGAUGACCCUCAGAGACACAGCCGCAACGAUCUUCCUGAAGAUGUUGCAGAGGAGAUGACCAAGGCUCUUUUAAACAAGAGCCUGGCAGACUGCGGAAGGACCGGGUUAGCCCCCUUCUGCAAGACCAACCCAGCCCCAGCGGUAAGCCGCCAAUCUGAACAUCUUAUCUUCUUCUGUAUAUAACUUUCAUCUGAAUCGUUUUAAGAAAUCAUCAUUGUAUUUUUCAGGCUGACGACAAGUUCUGGCGGGUCAAAUAUGACCAUGAGGCGGCCAAGAAGGCCAGAAAGGCGAAGAAAGCCGCCAAAAAAGCCGCUCCCCGUAAGAAGGGAAGUAGGCCAACUACUUCGGAGCUGAUGCAACUAAGCGACAGCUCCGAGUCAGAGGUAACCCCUGAACCUGUAAGCUCUUUGUUAUGUUUUAUUGUUUAUUUCUGUCCGCCUUACCAACACUUGUUCAUCAACAGGAUGACACCGGAGCCAGUAACCCGGUGGUUGAAGAGGUAAUGUCACUUUCCUCCGACUCGGAGCCCUUGCCAAGGCUGAAAGUCCGAAGGGUAACCCGGAAAGUAAGCUUUUCACAUCCUUUAGCUUAUCAAGAUCCUCAAUUUAUUUUGAAGAGACAGGUUCAUGAGAGCCGGCGUCACACCCGGACCAACAAGGACACCGACCUCUCCUCCGGGUUACCUGACGCAUCGAGGAAGCGCCGAACUGAGGUUAUUUCCCACUUGUACCCUUUUCAUUCGUUGGCGGGUGUUAUACGUCAGCCACUCAAUUCUUCUGACUCAAAUUAUCAGGAGACCUCCCCCUCUUCGGGCGACUCUAUGCAGUCGAGUCUUCCGGCUUUCAAGAACGCGCCCGGGUAAUGAUAACCAUCUCAUGUUAUACUUGUAUUUACUUACCCUUUUGUGCUUAACGUUUCUGUCCUUUCAGUGCCCAAGCCAAGCUCACCAAGAGGGCAAAGAAGGCCAAGCCAGUCGAAGAGCCGGAGUUGCCUGAGCCGGAGGCAGCAGAUCAAGAACCGCCAGCUGCCUCCGCUCUCGAAGCCGCCGCUCCAACCAACAAGGCAGCUGCAGAGGCUUCUGCUAACCCGGAGACCUCCGGCUCGGCUCAACCAGCAAAUGAUCCGGACGCGGUAAUCACCCGGAUGGAAUUUGUUGAGCCGGGGAGACCUACCGCACUGGCCAAGUGCUCCGCCAAGGGGGAGUUGCUCCAGCCCCGCCGGGUGAACCUGGACCUCUCCGACUACGCCAACCUGAGCAUUGGAGAGCUCAUCUCUGGCUACAUCAGCCAAGUGCACAAGAGCCGGGACGCAGAGGUUGCCAUGGUGAACCAGAUCCAGCAGAAAUCUGAGGUAUCAUUCUGCUGUCCUCUUACUUACUGCAUAGUUACCUUUACCAUGCUAGCCCCCAAGUUGACGACUUAUGAUUGAAUAUGUUGUAGACUUAGGUUCCGGCUUACUCAAUUGAACCGGCAGUUUGUAGAUAGAUACGUUCAAUAUGCAUUAGCCCCCAAGUGCCAAGUGUCUUUGCUUGGAAAACGCUUGGGACUUUAAAUUUGUAUAGUAACCGUUCCUGCCAUAACCCGGAAAUUUAUGCAGGCUGCUGGCAAGAAGCUUGAGGCUGACCUCGCUGAUCUCAAGAACCGGCUGAAGAUGCAAGAGAUGGAGACCCGGAAGGCAAAUGCCAAAUUUGUGUCCAGCAUCGCCGCGCAAGAGAAGCUGAAGACGGAGUUUGAUGCGGAACGGAAGGCGUGGGCCGAAGAGAAGGCCGCAUUGGUGAACCGGGCUAAACAGGCGGAGAAGGCUCUCUCCGAGAAGACCGCCGAGCUCUCCGGCCUAAAGCGCCAAGUGUCCCAGAUGGUGGCCGCAAUCUUCGGUAAGUCGUCUCACCGGCUUUCAUCAAGCUUAGAAUUUUUAUAUCUCAUAAUUCAUCCUUGUCGGCGGCUUAUCUAACUCUGUUAAACAGGUCCCAGAAGUGCCAACCUCAACCAGAGUGUGGUAACCAAGCUGAAGGCCGUGUAUACCCUGGUGGAGCAACUCUACACCGGGUCACAGCAUGCCUUGGCUGUGGUGGCCCUAUCCAACGAGGUGCCGACUCACCUGGCGGAAGUCCUUCGCCGGCUCGCCGUUCUGCCUCAACGGAUCCAAGAGCUGCGACGGGCCUCUGCAAGAGCCGGAGCGAUCGCUGCGCUGAGCCGGGCCAAGGCAUUCCUGCCGGAGUUAGACCCGGCGGACAUCGCCCUUGGCUAUCCAAGCCUGAAGGAAGACGGCUCCGCUUUCAAUCAGAAGGACUUCGCAGCUUGCGUGAAGGCCGUACGCCCGGUGGCCACUCUGAUUGGCAAUGAUACAGAUCUGACUAAGUAUCAGCCGGGCUACGAUGCAAAAAAUCAGAGGAUCCCUACUCCACGCUAUGAAGCCCUCAACUUGAUCCCGCCGGCUCGUCAGCACACCUUCGCCCCGGAGAUUGACCCGGCCGGGUUAAUUGACGAGGAAGCCCAAUUCGAAGCUCUCAGCGGCAUCGACUGGAAGUCAUCAACUUUCCAGGUCUUGGGAUCAGCCGGAGGAGAAGAUAGGAACGAGCCGGAGACUUCAACUCAGCAAGCGUCGUAACUCGGCUGGCGGUUUACCAAACAAUGCCUCACCCUUUUGGACUCAACGAGUCUGGUAACAGAGUAGGACCAACACUUUAUCUUUGCCGUGCCAUCGUGCACGCCUUGAAUGCUUGAAGUUUUAUUGAAGUUAUCUCCUUUAUAUUUCUCCGGGUCAUUCAUUCCCCUUAGUCUCAAAUAAUUGCCUCUAACUAUCCUGCAUAGAAAGACGAAUCACAGUCUCCAGGCGGCUUACCGCCCUGAGAAUCAUAUGUUUUAGAUAUAUAACCCGGAAUAUGAAUCAAAAAAGACUGGCUCUCAGGUAUGUCCUUAAUACAGCCGUAAUAACACAAUUUGCGGUCUGCAAGCAUACUUCCGGUUUAGAUAACCCGGAUAAUAAGGUUGGUACCUUAAUUCCGAUUUACUUGUCUUAAUGACACCCAUUGUGUUCAACUAACACUGUAAAUCAAAGUUAAGCCGGCAAAGUGAGACCCGGCCGUACACACUUGGAAAUAAUCAGACGGAACUUGCUAUAAAGCAGAGGAACUUAGGGGCUUCCGGUUCGAAUACGACCAGAGACCCGGCCCAAAGGGGUUAUGCUGGGAUUCGAAUACGAUCAUAUAGCCCCCAGUGGGUGUGGCGAUGUCAAUCAAGAGGGUAUCGACAGCUAUGUUCUCUUUGGUUCGAAUACGACCCAUGUUUGAACAGGAAGCCCCCAAAUGACUUUAAGAAUUGUUUAACGACGCUGAUUCGAAUACGAUCCACGUCGGUUCUCAAAGGGGUUAAACUAAGAUUCAAAUAUGAUCAAAGAAAACGCCCCAAUGAGCUCGGCACUUUGCCAAUCAAAUGGGUAUCGACAGCUAUGUUCUCUUUGGUUCGAAUACGACCUAUGUUUGAACAGGAAGCCCCCAAGUGACCUUAUCGCCUACGGCUAGAUUCGAAUACGAUCAUAAGCCGGAUCCUCCUUCAAGUUAUCAUGUAAUCUGGCAAUGAAAAUAACACGUGCACAUUUGGAGGAUAAAAAAGGACAGAGGUCCUGCUUUAUUGCUUAUCAUAAUAUAUACAUGGCUUAGAAAAGUAUGUACAUCAUGAGAGCCGGUGGCUCAAGUGUAGUAAGGCCGAAGCUGAGCUAUGUUCCACGGCCGACGGGUCUCUUCCUCCGAUUUACGUGAAUCUUUGUGCUCCCGAAUGUCAAUGAGGUAAUAUGACCCGUUGUGCAAAUUCUUGCUGACCACAAAGGGCCCUUCCCAAGGCGGGGAUAGCUUGUGUGCAUCUGUUUGAUCCUGGAUGAGCCGGAGCACGAGAUCACCUUCCUGGAAGACCCGGGAUUUAACCCGGCGGCUAUGAUAACGGCGCAGGUCUUGUUGGUAAAUCGCUGAACGGGCUGCUGCCACAUCACGCUGUCCGUCCAACAAGUCAAGAGCAUCUUGGCGCGCCUGUUCAUUAUCCGCCUCAAUGUAAGCCGCCACUCGAGGUGAGUCUUGACGGAUGUCACUGGGGAGGACUGCUUCUGCCCCAUAAACCAUGAAGAAAGGCGUAAAACCUGUAGACCUGUUAGGAGUAGUGUUGAUGCUCCAUAACACGGAUGGCAACUCCUCCACCCAACAACCCGGCGUCCGUUGCAAAGGGACCAAAAGCCGGGGCUUGAUGCCCUUCAGAAUCUCCUGAUUAGCUCUCUCCGCCUGACCAUUGGAUUGAGGAUGGGCCACCGAGGAAACAUCAAGUCGGAUAUGCUCUCUUUGACAAAACUCCUCCAUGGCGCCUUUGGAUAAAUUGGUGCCAUUGUCAGUUAUAAUGCUGUCUGGAAAACCAAAGCGAAAGAUCACCUUUUUCAUAAACUGAACCGCCGUGGCUGCAUCACACUUGCUAACGGGCUCCGCUUCAACCCACUUGGUAAACUUGUCAACUGCCACCAAAAGGUGGGUCUUCUUAUCCUUGGAUCUUUUGAAAGGCCCAACCAUAUCCAGCCCCCAGACUGCAAAGGGCCAAGUAAUUGGGAUCAUCCUCAGCUCUUGAGCCGGUACAUGAGCCCGUCGCGAGAACCUUUGGCAACCAUGACACUUACUGACCAAGUCCUCUGCAUCAGCAUGAGCCGUCAACCAAUAAAAACCAUGACGAAAAGCCUUGGCCACAAGAGACUUUGAGCCGGCGUGAUGGCCACAAUCCCCUUCAUGGAUCUCACGCAAGAUCUCUUGCCCUUCCUCAGGGGAAACACAACGCUGAAACGCUCCCGUAACACUGCGGUGGUGCAACUCACCAUUGAUAACAAUCAUUGACUUAGUCCGCUGGGUUAUUUGCCUGGCCAAAGUUUCAUCCUCAGGCAACUCGCCCCGGGUCAUGUAAGCCAGAUAGGGCAUUGUCCAGUCUGGUAUGAUAUGGAGAGCCGCCACCAGUCGUGCCUCCGGGUCGGGGACAGCCAAAUUUUCCUCUGUAGGCAACUUAACAGAAGGAUUAUACAGGACAUCCAGGAAAGUAUUAGGCGGCACCGGCUUUCGCUGAGAGCCUAGCCGGCUUAAAGCAUCAGCCGCCUCGUUCUUCCUGCAAUCAAUGUGCUCUACUUGGUAGCCCUGAAAGUGCCCAGUAAUGGCAUCAACUUCGCGGCGAUAAGCCGCCAUGAGAGGGUCCUUAGAGUCCCACUUGCCUGAUACUUGUUGAGCCACCAAGUCUGAGUCACCGAAACACCUUACCCGGCUCAAGCUCAUCUCCUUAGCCAUCCGAAGACCGUGGAGCAAGGCCUCGUACUCAGCCGCAUUGUUAGUGCAAGGAAACAUCACCUGUAGCACAUAAUGGAACUUGUCACCUUUAGGGGAAGCCAAUACAACUCCAGCCCCCGAGCCCUCCAACUGCCUGGACCCAUCGAAGUGAAUAGUCCAAUAUGAGUUAUCUGGCUUUUGCUCGGGCACUUGUGACUCUGUCCAAUCGUUGAUGAAAUCCACCAACGCCUGAGAUUUAACAGCAGUGCGUGGCACAAAUUUGAGACCAUGAGGUCCGAGCUCGACAGCCCACUUAGCCACUCUCCCUGUGGCCUCUCUGUUUUGAAUGAUAUCACCAAGAGGGGCAGAACUGACCACGAUUAUGGGAUGACCCGAGAAAUAAUGCUUAAGCUUCCGGCUUGCCAUGAACACACCAUAAACAAGCUUCUGCCAAUGUGGGUACCGCUGUUUGGACUCGAUAAGCACUUCGGUGACAUAAUAAACCGGCCGCUGAACCGGAUGCUCCUUACCCUCUUCCUUGCGUUCCACCACCACAGCCACACUGACGGCUUGUGUGUUCGCCGCGACGUACAGUAAUAAUGGCUCCUUAUCAACCGGAGCAGCAAGGACUGGGGGCUCUGCCAGCUGCUUCUUCAAAUCCUCAAAAGCGGUAUUAGCUGCAUCAUUCCAGACAAAGUUAUCAGUGUCUUCAUCAGCUGAUAUAAUGGCAUGGCCUUCUCACCCAAACGGCUUAUAAACCGGCUUAAAGCAGCGAGGCGACCCGCCAAACGCUGAACGUCAUUUAUACACGCCGGCUUAGCCAGGGAGGUGAUGGCCUUGAUCUUCUCCGGGUUAGCCUCAAUGCCUCUGUCAGAAACCAAAAAACCCAAGAGUUUGCCUGCAGGGACACCAAAGACACACUUGGCCGGGUUAAGCAUCAUCUUGUAGACCCGGAGAUUAUCAAAGGUUUCUCUCAAAUCAUCUAUCAGGGUUUCCUCCUUUAUGGAUUUAACCACAAUAUCGUCCACAUAAGCAUGAACAUUGCGCCCAAUCUGUUUAUGAAGACAGUUCUGCACGCAACGCUGAUAAGUCGCCUGUGCACACUUGAGUCCAAAGGGCAUGGAUACAUAGCAGAAGGCUCCAAAGGGAGUGAUGAACGCCGUCUUCUCCUGGUCCUUAACUGCCAUUUUAAUCUGAUGAUAUCCAGAAUAAUCGUCCAGGAAACUUAAGCGCGCACAACCGGUCGUAGCAUCAAUAAUUUGAUCAAUACGGGGAAGGGCAAAAGGAUCAGCCGGACAUGCUUUAUUUAAGUCCGUGUAGUCCACACACAUCCGCCAAGUGUCGUUUUUCUUGAGUACGAGCACCGGGUUAGCUAACCAUUCUGGGUGGAAGACUUCAACAAUAAACCCGGCCGCCAAGAGCCGGGCCACCUCUUCGCCAAUGGCUUUCCGCCUCUCUUCAUUAAACCGCCGAAGGAACUGCCUGACCGGCUUAAAUUUCGGAUCAACAUUGAGAGUGUGCUCAGCGAGUUCUCUAGGUACACCUGGCAUGUCAGAAGGUUUCCAUGCGAAGAUGUCCCUAUUCUCACGGAUGAACUCGAUGAGCGCGCUUUCCUAUUUUGGAUCCAGAUUGGCACUGAUGCUAAAUUGCUGAGAUGAAUCUCCUAGAACGAAAUCAACAAGUUUAGUCUCAUCAGCCGACUUAAAUUUCAUUGCCGGAUCAUGCUCCGUAGUCGGCUUUUUCAGAGAGGUCAUAUCUGUUGGGUCAACAUUGUCUUUGUAAAACUUCAACUCCUCUGUUGCACAAACAGACUCUGCAUAAGCUGCAUCACCUUCCUCACAUUCCAAGGCCACCUUCCGGCUGCCGUGAACCGUAAUGGUCCCAUUAUGACCCGGCAUCUUGAGCUGUAAAUAUAAGUAACACGGCCGUGCCAUGAACUUGGCGUAAGCCGGCCGCCCAAAUAUGGCAUGGUACGGACUUCUUAUCUUGACCACCGCAAAGGUCAAUUUUUCCACCCUGUAGUUCUUCUCAUCUCCGAAGGCCACUUCCAACUCGAUCUUGCCGACUGGGUAAGCCGACUUACCAGGUACCACACCGUGGAAAAUAGUGUUUGAUUGGCUGAGAUUCUUAUCAAUCAACCCCAUACGACGAAAUGUCUCAUAAUAGAGGAUGUUGAUGCUGCUGCCUCCAUCCAUGAGUACCUUAGUGAACUUAUAUCCUCCCACCUGAGGAGCCACCACCAGGGCCAAGUGAUCCGGAUUAUCCACCCGGGGAGGGUGAUCCUCCCUACUCCACACUAUAGGUUGCUCAGACCACCGCAAGUAGCGUGGAACCGCCGGCUCAACAGCAUUCACAGCCCUCUUAUGAAGCUUCUGAUCUCGCUUACACAGACUGGUGGUAAACACAUGAUACUGCCCACCGCUAAGCUGCUUUGGAUUGGUCUGAUAACCUCCCUGCUGCUGUUGAUGACCCUGGCCAGACUGCUGAUUAAAGCCCCCUUGACCGUUCUGAGGGUUAGAAUUUGAGCCGCCGCCCGGGCCAUGAAAGCCGCCGGCGCCUGACCCGCCGCCCGGGCCAUUGUAAUUCUUAAAGGCCUUCAUGAUUGCACAAUCCUUCCAUAGAUGAGUUUCUGGCUUCUCUCUAGAGUCAUGCCUUGGACAAGGCUCAUUCAACAGUUGUUCCAGUGUCGGGCCUAACCCGCCGCCUCGGGGAGGGGGCCUCCCCUUGCGUCGCUGGUUAUUACCUUGUGAGCUGGCGUUGGCUACAAACUCUAGGCUGCCAUCGGCCUCGCGCUUGCCUCCUCAUUGGUUUCCCGGGUUAUGCUGAGGGCCCUUGCCAUUGCCGUUCUUCUUUCCCUUCCCUGUCCUUUCAUCAUCUGAAGCGGGGUCCUUGGUACUAUCAGAAUCGGCGUACUUGACAAGAGCCGCCAUCAGUGUACCCAUAUCAUUGCAGUCGCGCUUAAGCUGCCCGAGUUUCAUCUUCAGGUGCACAAAACGACAAUUCUGCUCCAACAUUAAGACUGCAGAGCCGGCAUCCAUUUUAUCCGAGGAAUGUAUUAUCUCCUUAACCCGGCGAACCCAAUGUGUCGUAGACUCACCCUCCUGCUGCUUGUAGUUAGUCAAAUCCACAAUUGACAUAGACUGCCUACAGGUGUCCUUGAAGUUUUGGAUGAACCGGGCCUUCAGCUCAGCCCAAGACCCAAUGGAAUUCGGUGGUAGCCCUUUCAACCAAGUGCGGGCAGUCCCAUCUAACAUCAUGGUGAAGUACUUAGCCAUGGCCGCUUCACUGACCUCCAGCAGUUCCAUAGCCAUCUCAUAACUCUCGAUCCAGGCUGCGGGUUGUAAGUCUGCUGUGUAAUUAGGCACCUUCCUAGGGCCUUUGAAGUCCUUGGGUAGACGUUCGUUGCGGAUAGCUGGCACUACACAAGGGACACCCCCAGUCCUGGUAGGGAUACCCACGUCGACGGAAGCCGUCGGAUAAGAUGGGGGAGUCUGGUAAGCCGUCAGCUGGGGCACCUGCUCCGCCUCUUGCCGUGCUCUGUCUUGGUCUGCUGCGUGGAAGGCUCCGUUAUGAGCCGGGCCAUGGCCAGGGGGCGGGUCAUGGCGUCGGACGUUACUUGAGCCGGUCGCUGAGACCAUGUGCCUGCUGUAACUCGGGCUCCGGCCUGGGCGAGGGGUCGAGUGUAUCAUGUCCCGGCUAUAGGAGUACGCCUCUUGCUGCGCCAGUGCUGUCUGAAGGAGUUCCCUGACCCGGCGGGUUUCAAUAGCCGUCGGAGAGUUGCCGUCAACUGGGAGAGCCGCCAGCCGUGCCGCCGCGGCGACCAUGUUCUCCAGCGGGUUAUUAUAAUGACCCGGGGGUAUUGGCACGUACUGAGGCGGGGCUGGGGGCACCUGGGGAGGCCCCAUCACUUGUGGCUGAAUAGGGGUCCUAGACCCGGGCACUAUGACCCCUGGCGGGUUACUAGAUCCUGCACCUGGCGUGUUGAAGAGGUUUUGUGGAUCUUAAACUGGAGGGAGUCGAGAUUGGGCCUUUUGAUGCCUCCUUCUCAGGACCUCAUUGGACGCGUUUUGAUCCAUCGUGAGCCGGAAGGACUGCGCUUGAAUCAACUGUGUUUGGGCGUCGAGAGCCGCCCUUUCCGCAGCCAUCCUGAUCCCUUCUGCUGCCAGAUCCUCCUUAGCUUUCACUAGGUCCAAUUUUAACUGCGCCACGUCCGCAUCAUGCUGAGCUUGAUCUGCCGGGUCGACCGUGGCGGUUAACAGAGCCGUCAUCUUGUCCGUGAGAUCCAUUAGUACCUGAGCCGGCGAGGGCACCGGGUUUCCUGCUCCAGCAGCGGGGUUCUGAACAGACUGUGCACCGGCCAUAAAGACUCCAACCUGACUUGGCGGCUCAAACGGGUCCGGCAUACUGUCACCAUCGGAACAACCCAUGAGCCUGCCAUCUUGAAGUUGAUACAACGAGUUUGACUCAUCGGUGGACGACUCGCCGUCAGAGCCGGCGGCCGCCUCAUCACCAGAUCCAGAUCGAUCAGAGGGCCCUCCAUGGAUACAUCCCACAAAAGCAUGCCUUAAGGCAGGCCGGGCCCGGGCGGGUCGUGCACGCUGAGCCGUCUUGAUGAGAUCGGCGCAGAGACCCGGCUCACCAAUCUUGCCAAUGAAAACAUGAAUUCCGCCGAAGGGGACCCGGUACCCGUACUCAAUUGAGCCGGCGUCGGGGCCCCAGUUUGCAUCGUCGAUGUAGAGCUUGCCGCGACGACUCUUGGUCAUCCGGCCCACAGCGUAUCCCUUGAGCCCUUCAAAGCUGCCCUUCAAGAACUCAAAUCCACCGUGCGCUGGCCCCACGGUGGGCGCCAACUGUCGUGGAAUUGUCACGGCAGAUGUCCUCGAGCUAGGACUUAGUCGUGGAGCCAUCGCAGCUAGGAAGCUUGAAGGGGUUAAUGCGGGACAAGGAACUCGAGGGUUUAUACUGGUUCGGCCCCUUACGGUGAAGGUAAAAGCCUACGUCCAAUUUGAGGUGGUAUUGAUUAGGGUUACGAUCACCAGGGAGCUAAACUGCUAUGCCCGGCUCUCGAUGAGAUUGUUCUCGUCCCUAAACCGCUGCCGGGUCGUCCCUUUAUAUAGAGAGGCUGACGCCCAGCAGUUCUCAGAGUCCCGGCCGGCUCAUAAGAGUGUCCGGCUCGGACUCUCGACCACUCUUGCCUUACACUACAAGUUCUACCAUAAUAAUGAUUGUAACUACGGGCCUUAAGCCAUAUCCGGGUCUUAAGCCCAUCUUUGGCCCACCGUCUUUAAGCUCGGCGCCGGGCUUCUGGCAAUGACCAUAUGAGUAACCCGGCCCCUCCUGGCGGGUGACUCUAUGGUCUAUAUCCUCAACACAUGGGUUUUUCCAACAUUUCCGAAAUGAAAUCAUGCUUUGCAACGAAUGAUCUUGACAUGAAACAAUGCGAUGCACCAGUGUCAAAAGAACUUUUGCAGGAAAGUCAUUAACAGGAAGAUUACCCAUUAUCACAUCAGUAGACUCCUCUGCUUGAGCUGCAUUCAUCAUGUUCACCUUUGCAGCCUUGGGAUUAUGCUUGACCACUGCAUUGCUGGAAGAUCUGACAGGAGGAGGAGGCGGAAGACGCCUUUGGUUGAAGCAUUUGUUUGCAUAGUGACCUUUCUGCUGACACUUGUUGCAAGUCACCUUUGAGAGUGGACGAUGAUAAGGAGCAUUCGACUUUGGAGCUUGAUUCUGAGACUUGUUCUGAUAGCCAGGGUUGGAAGAGUGGGAAGAUCCAUGGCCACCUUUGUUCUUCUGCUGGUAAGGCUGACGAAACGGAGGAGGAGGCAACCAGAACUUCUGUUGCUUAGCAGCCAUUAGCGAGGAAGAAGAAGAUUGAACUGCGUCCCUGACUCUCUUCAUAGAAGUCUCACACUUGAGCUGAGCAGCCUCUUGCUUCAGUGCCAUGUUAUAGAAUUGAUCAAACUGAGUAGGCUCAACAAGAACGAGAGCUAACUGCAGAUCCUCUCUAAGGCCACCUCUGAUGUGAUAGAUCAUGCUCUUUUCAUCAGGAACGUCUUGUUUAGCGAAGCGAGCAAGUUUCUGAAACUGGAUGUUGAAUUGAUACAUAGACACGUUGCCUUGCUUGAGAUUGCGGAACUCCUCACGCUUGCUCUCAACAACACUUUGUGGAAUGUGGUGCGCUUUGAAGUCCCGACAGAAGUCAGUCCAAGUGAUCACACGACCUCCUCUGGAAUCUUUGUAUUGUUGAUACCAAUCAGCAGCUUGGUCCUUGAGCUAAAAAGAAGCGAACUUGACAUAAUCCUCAGGCCUGACAUUGCUACAUUCAAAAUGCUUGUUGAUGUCCACGAGCCAAUCAUCGGCAUCCGUGGCCUCGGCACAGUAGCUGAAAGACUUGGGUUGAUUUGGGAGAAACUGAUUGAGUGUAGCGAAAUGAGGCUGAUUGUUGCCUUGACUUUGAUUUCCUUGAUUGCCUUGCCCUUGGGUGCGUUCUUGCAAGAGUUGCAGAAUCAUCUGGGCAUUUGCAUUGGUGGCUGCCAUGAUAGCUUGCCAUGCCUCCGGAGGCGGAGGUGGUGGCGGAGGGUUCGCCUGACUCCCUUCAUUGCGAUCCGGAUUCUGACGCGUUGGCGGAGCCAUCCUGAAGAGGGUGACAUCCAUUAGCAUCUUGAUAGACAAAUAGACAAGUAGAAUCAACGGAUAGAAAUUGCAACAUAUAGUCUUCACAAUAAACAUUCGAACGAAGAUGAACGAAUGAAUUCCAUAGUAAAUCACCACACUUCCAUUAAGUUGAGAAGCCACUUAAAAAAAGGUAUGGAAUCAACAUUUGACUUCGAAGCAACUCGAAUACCAAAAUACAAAACAAAACAAGAUAUUGGCUUGCAGAAUAAGCCGAAACAAACAUAUGAUAGAAAUUUCGUCCGAAGUUUUCGUGGUGGGGCCCACACGGGCUCGAUCGUACAGCACCAUCAUGUACAAGGCAGUGCACAUGACAUACGAAGCGUCCCCGAGUCGGCAUAGCCAAGGACUCUUUAAGACACUACGAGACCACUGUAAAACCAACCGUGGAAAGGCGGACCACUAGACGUCGAACCCCAAUCUCAUAUCAUGCGUCUGUCGGAAAGAUAUCCUAGGAGCUACUUGAAUUCCCACUUAUAAACUCCCGAAACUUUCUAGUUAUGCAAUCUGGUGUUGGGGAUACAGGGGACACAAAAUAUAUCACCCAAACUAGCAAUCCCUAGAUCCAGCUGUAUCCAUCCGUCAACACAUAACCAAGAAACCUUCGGAAAUCGUGUACCUCAACCUUCGAAAAGCAUCUGUUAUACGAGUUAUGGCAAUACUCUCGAACUCCCGCCCCAGUACUGGGUGGCGUCGAGGUGAUCUCACCAACAACUGCAUAAAAGAGAUUUCGAUGUCGGCGAAACUCAGGUAUUCCAGAACUGCAACGAUAAAAUUGUGACGACAACACCUCGGAGCUCAACUCCCCGGAACACUGCCACAACCCCUAAAUGUCAGGAGGCACCAAGAACAAUGUUCUCGUCACAAAACCAUCGGAACGAUUCUAUGAUACCCGCGUGAUCCUUAAAAAAAUUUAGUGAAAUUUGAGGAGAGAAGAGUCAAAACUUCUACAUCAGGAGACCUCACUAGAGCGACGAAGGGACUGAGGAGUAAAAAGAAUCCUACUCUCCGAUAUAUAUAAUCCUAAGACUCAAAAACAUUUCUGUUCCAGACUCAACUACGCCAGCGAUUCGAUCAAGCAGGGGCUCCUAAGUCGGGGAUGGCUCUGAUUACCAACUUGUAACGCCCACGAUGCGGCUAUAUAUCCCACGUGUCGAGGCACGACUUAGAGGCAUAACCGCAUUGUGGUUUUGUCGCAAGAAGGGUCAUCUUCACACAAUCCCAUGUAAUGAACAAGAAUGGGAUAAAGAGUUGGCUUACAAUCGCCACUUGACACAAUACAUAAAUAUAAUCCAUAAAUCAUCCAAAAUACACACAUAUAGACCGGCUACGGUCAAAAUCCAAAUGAAAAUUAGAUAACCCCAAAUGCUAGAUCCCAGAUCGUCCCAACUGGGCUCCACUACUGAUCAUCAGGAAAAGAAACAUAGUAACAACCACGUUCCUCGUCGAACUCCCACUUGAGGUCGAUCCCAUCAUCUGCAAUGGCAUCGUCGGCACCUGCAACUGUUUUAGUAGAAUCUGUGAGUCACAAGGACUCAGCAAUCUCACACCCGCGAGAUCACGACUAUUUAAGCUCAUAGGAAAGGAUGGUGAAAUUGGGUGGAGCUGCAGCAUGCACUAAGCAUAUAUGGUGGCUAACAUACGCAAAAGAGAGGGAGAAGAGAAGCAACGGAACGGUCGUCAUCUAGUAAUGACCAAGAAGUGAUCCUGAACUCCUACUUACGUCAUUCAUAACUCAAACCGUGUUCACUUCCCGGACUCCGUCGAGAAGAGACCAUCAGGGCUACACACACGGUUGAUGUAUUUUAAUUAAGUUAAGUGACAAAUUCUCUACAACCGGACAUUAACAAAUUCCCAUCUGCCUCAUAAACGCGGGCACGACUUUCGAAAGAUAAUACCCUGCACGGGUGUCCCAACUUAGCCCAUCAUAAGCUCUCAUGGUCAACGAAGGAUAAACCUUCUCCCGAAAAGACCCGAUCAGUCUCGGAAUCCCGGUUUACAAGACAUUUCGACAAUGGUAAAACAAGACCAGCAAGACCACCCGCUGUGCCGACAAAUCCCGAUAGGAGCUGCACAUAUCUCGUUCUCAGGGCACACCGGAUAAGCUAACCGUACAGGUACCAACGUAACCCAAGUUGCCAAGGGACGGUCCCGCACGGUGCUCUAGUUUGGACCAACACUCGGAGGAGCACUGGCCCGGGGGUUUAAAAUAAAGAUGACCCUCGGGCUCUAGAAAACCCCGGGGGAAAAGGCUUAGGUGGCAAAUGGUAAAACCAAGGUUGGGCCUUGCUGGAGGAGUUUUAUUCAAGGCGAACUGUCAAGGGGGUCCCAUAAAUCAUUCAACCGCGUAAGGAAUGCAAACUCAAGGAACAUAAUACCGGUAUGUCGGAAAACUAGGGCGGCAAGAGUGGAACAAAACACCAGGCAUAAGGCCGAGCCUUCCACCCUUUACCAAAUGUAUAUAGAUGCAUUAAUAUAAUAAGAGAUAUUGUGAUAUCCCAACAUAAUAACCAUGUUCUAACAUGGAACCAACUUCAACUUCACCUGCAACUAGCAACGCUAUAAGAAGGGCUGAGCAAAAGCGGUAACUUAGCCAAACAACGGUUUGCUAGGAAAGGAUGGUUAGAGGCUGACAUGGCAAUAUGGGAGGCAUGAUAUAGCAAGUGGUAGGUAGCGCAGCAUGGCAAUAGAACGAACAACUAGCAAAGCAAAGAUAGAAGUGAUUUCGAGGGGUGGUCAUCUUGCCUGCAAGGUUCUCAGAGUUGUCGAAAGCUUGAUCCUUGUAAGCGUACUCAACAGGUUCCUCAUUCACGAACUCGUCUCCCGGCUGUACCCAAAACAAUAACACAAGCAACGGAACCACAAUCAAUCACGGAAGAUGCACAAGCAACAUGAUGCAAAACAUGUAUGAUAUGUGAGAUAUGAUAUGCGAUGCAUAUGCGUGCCCCGGAAGGAAAAUGAUGAACAAGGAAGUAACUUGGAAAACCAAGCAUGCCACUGGAAAGAUGAGAUGAUUUCGGUUGAAAUCGAUAUAAAGAUCACCGGAAACGGAUGCAAGGUUUGCAAAUGGCAAGCAAAACAAGAAUGACACGAAUCUGCGAUUAACAGCAUCAUAGCACAUAGAAUGCAACAAGUUACAAUGCUACAGCACUCCAACAUAGCAACAAAGCACAUGGAAGUAAUCUACAAGAGAUGCUUGACAAAAGAUGAACACUGAGCUAUGGCUAGAUCACAAUAUAAAAGGUUCAAACAAGCAUGGAAAAAGAGCAAAAGAUAACAGGUUCACAGACUUGGUGAAAUUACUGGACAUGGCAGAAACAGCAUCAGGUAGCAAUGUUCAGAGCACGAAAUCAACAUGCUACAGGAACUUAACAUGGCAAAACAAAGUAUGAAAGUAUUCUACUAAAUGCAUAUGACAAAAAUCCCUUACUGACCAUAAGCCAAACAGGACCAGAAGAUAUGAUGGCAACCAUGUGAACAUAGAAAGUUCCAUUAACAGGUUUCAGACUUGGCAGAAAACAGAGCAUGGCAGAAACAAUAAUUUGAAGGCAUCUUGGUGAGCUUGAUGCACUCACCACAAAGCAAUGCAUGACAAAACAAGCAUACCUACAGAAAUAUGGCAUGUUUAUGAAGCUAUCCAUGGCAAGAUCAAGUACAUAGCAUGAAUGAAACAAGUACAACAAGCUUGGCAAAAUUGAAUAACACGUAAACAAUCUGCUAGAAAUAUUUUAUAGCAAAAGUAGAGCAAGCUUGAGUCAUGCUAUGGCACUCCAUAAUUGCAAACAAUGGCAGGAAUGGAUCAUUACAGCAAUAUCUACAAAACAUCCUUACUGAACAUCUCCAAAAUCAGGAUGGAUCUCUCUGUAGACCCAUGGAUACAUAGCAACAAAAUAACAGCAGACAGACAGAAAUUUAAGUCUCUGAAAUCAGAAACAUUACGGAGCCUAGUUUGCACGCUUGUUCUAGUCACCACAAAGAUCACAAAAAUACAUGGCAUACACCUCUGUAAAUAUGGCAUGGCAUACAACAAAACACAUGUAGAGCUCAUGCCCAUAAGAUGCACAGAUUAAAUGCAACAAAAAUAACAAAUCGCCAAGUUCUGCUAAGUAACAGCAGAUAACAGCAACUAGCACUCUUGCACCAGAGAUUUUGUUAUCAAGAGGGACUCAAAUGAACAUGGUGCAAUGGAACAAAAUGAAGAGCACCACUAGACGAACAUUUCGAUAUAUUACACGCGCGAAACGGAGCUAUAUGCAGAGAGUUAUGAUCCUAUGAACAUGGACAUAUAACGUCAAAUCUUUCAGGACUUGGAGAAAAAAACGGGGAAGAAGGAAGUCAACCACUGGAGAUCUAGAUCGGGCGGCUUCGAGCUCGGGCUGCCGGAGCUUCGGCCGGAGCAGAGGUGCAGUCGCCGGCGUCCGGCGUGGAGGAGGGAGACGGCGAGGCGGCGAGGUGGAGGAAGGAGGCGGCAGCGCGACGGCGGGAGGCGCCGCGGGGUCGGACAUGGCGGGGCCGCGUUGGCGCGAGGCGCCGGCGAUGGCGCGACGGGAGGCCGGCGGGCGGCCGGGACGGCGGGGCUCAGGNNNNNNNNNNNNNNNNNNNNNNNNNNNNNNNNNNNNNNNNNNNNNNNNNNNNNNNNNNNNNNNNNNNNNNNNNNNNNNNNNNNNNNNNNNNNNNNNNNNNNNNNNNNNNNNNNNNNNNNNNNNNNNNNNNNNNNNNNNNNNNNNNNNNNNNNNNNNNNNNNNNNNNNNNNNNNNNNNNNNNNNNNNNNNNNNNNNNNNNNNNNNNNNNNNNNNNNNNNNNNNNNNNNNNNNNNNNNNNNNNNNNNNNNNNNNNNNNNNNNNNNNNNNNNNNNNNNNNNNNNNNNNNNNNNNNNNNNNNNNNNNNNNNNNNNNNNNNNNNNNNNNNNNNNNNNNNNNNNNNNNNNNNNNNNNNNNNNNNNNNNNNNNNNNNNNNNNNNNNNNNNNNNNNNNNNNNNNNNNNNNNNNNNNNNNNNNNNNNNNNNNNNNNNNNNNNNNNNNNNNNNNNNNNNNNNNNNNNNNNNNNNNNNNNNNNNNNNNNNNNNNNNNNNNNNNNNNNNNNNNNNNNNNNNNNNNNNNNNNNNNNNNNNNNNNNNNNNNNNNNNNNNNNNNNNNNNNNNNNNNNNNNNNNNNNNNNNNNNNNNNNNNNNNNNGGCGGGCUUCGGCGGGCCGGCGGGCUCGCGGCGAAGUGGGGCGCCCGGGGUGGUGACGUGGCGCGCCCCGAUUGGAUGAGGGCGGCGGCGCUGGUUCGUCCGGCGGCGGCGGACGCGUCCGGCCGCGGAGAGGGCGAUUUUUAGGGUUUGGACUGCGAAUGAUUUCGGGAGGGGUGCAAAUAUAUAGGUAAAGGGAGCUAGGAGAGUCCAAAAUGAGGUGCGGUUUUCGCCCACAUGAUCGUGAUCGAACGACCUAGAGCAUGGAAGUGACUUAGAGGGGUUUUGGGAUGUUUAGAGAAGGGUUUUUGCUGCAUACACAAACGGACUUUGCGGAUGCCCUGUUAACCGUUGGAGUACCAAACGACCUCCAAAUGGAACGAAACGUGACCGGUGGUCUCCCGGUGGUAUACCAAGGCCACUUGACAAGCCUCGGUCCAUUCCGAGAGCGUUCAACACCCGCUCACGAAAGAAACACAAGAGGGGUGCGCCGGAGGAGGUGGGAAGGCCGGAUUGCAAAACGGACAACGGGGAAAAUGCUCGGAUGCCUGAGACGAACACGUAUGCAAAUGCAAUGCACAUGAUGACAUGAUAUGAGAUGCAUGACAUGAACAAAAUGCAAAACGAAAGACAAGACCCAACCACGAAGGGAAUAUCAUAACACAUAGCCGAAAAUGGCAAGAGUUGGAGUUACAAAUAUGGAAAGUUACAUCCGGGGUGUUACAACACUCCACCACUACGAGGGGAUCUCGUCCCGAGAUCUAGGACUGAAAGAACUCCGGAUAUUCGGAACGGAGAUGGUCCUCGCAUUCCCAGGUGGCUUCUCGGUCGGAAUGGUGCAACCACUUCACUUUCAGGAAUUUGAUUGACUUGUUGCGAGUCUUGCGCUCAGUUUCUUCAAGAAUAGCAACGGGGUGCUCAUGAUAAGACAGAUCUUCUUGGAGGUCAAUCUCUUCGAAGUUGAUAGUGCGCUCAGGCGUCUUGAAGCACUUGCGGAGCUGUGACACGUGGAACACAUCGUGCACGUUCGCGAAGUUGGAGGGAAGCUGAAGUUGAUAGGCGAGGUCGCCUCUUUUGCCAAUGAUCUUGAAAGGACCCACGUAUCUAGGGGCAAGCUUCCCUUUGAUACCGAAGCGACGAGUGCCUUUCAUUGGAGAGACGCGGAGGUAGACAUGGUCUCCGAUCUCGAAAGCCACAUCACCGUGCUUACUAUCAUAGUAACUCUUCUAGCGCGAUUGCGCGGCUUUGAGAUUUUCACGGAUGACUUUACACAUUUCUUCAGCCUCUAUGAUUAAGUCAUUGCCAAGAAGUUGGCGUUCACCAGUCUCAGACCAAUUGAGAGGAGUACGGCACUUUCUGCCAUAGAGAAUCUCGAAUGGGGCCUUGCCCGAACUCGCUUGGGAGCUGUUGUUGUAGGAGAAUUUGGCAUAUGGAAGACAAUCUUCCCAUUUCAUGCCAAAGGAAAUGACACAAGCCCUGAGCAUAUCUUCAAGAAUUUGAUUGACUCGCUCGACUUGGCCACUAGUUUGAGGAUGGAAAGUUGUGCUGAAGCGAAUGUUUGUGCCCAUGGCCUUCUGGAAAGAGUCCCAGAACUUAGAGGUGAAGAUGCUUCCACGAUCUGAAGAAAUCAAUUGUGCAAUGCCGUGCAAGGAGACAAUCCUGGAGGUCUAUAGCUCUGCCAACUGCGCUGCUGUGAUAGAUUCUUUGAUUGGAAGGAAAUAGGCCACUUUAGAAAGCUUGUCGAUGACAACGAAGAUAGCAUCAUUUCCACGCUUGGACUUGGGAAAUCCAGUCACGAAGUCCAUUUCGAUAUGAUCAAACUUCCACUCUGGGAUAGCAAGAGGUUGGAGGAGACCAGCUGGUCGUUGGUGUUCUGCUUUCACUCUUCGACAGACAUCACAUUAAUUCAUGAAUUGAGCAAUCUCCCGCUUCUUCGAGUCCACCAAUACGACUGCUUGAGGUCAUGGUACAUCUUCGUACUUCCAGGAUGAAUGGACAGAAGAGAAUUGUGCGCCUCGUUCAUUAUGACUUUCCUUAGAUCACCUUUAGGAACCACAAUCCGGUCCUCGAAGAAUAAAGUGUCUCUGUCAUCAAUGCGAUAGCACUUGUAUUUGGAAACACCCUUGUCGAUACCACGUUUCACCUUCUUCACUAUGGUAUCCAGGAGUUGUGCCUCACGAAUCUGAUCUUCCAAAGUAGGAGAGACUAUGAGGUUGGCAAGAAAGCCUUGAGGAACAACUUGGAGAUUCAGCUUGCGGAAAGCUUCACAAAGAUCCGGUUGGAAUGUCUUGAGAAUUAAGAUGUUGCAAUAAGCCUUCCUGCUUAAAGCAUCUGCAAUGACAUUGGCUUUGCCUGGAGUAUAUUCAAUACUCAGAUUGUACUCUUGAAUCAUUUCGACCCAUCGAGUCUGCCUGAGGUUGAGGUUGGGCUGAGUGAAGAUGUACUUGAGACUCUUGUGAUCGGUGAAUAUGUCCACUUGUCUUCCCAACAAAAGAUGUCUCCACGUUAUUAAUGCAUGGACAACUGCCGCCAACUCAAGAUCGUGAGUGGGGUAGUUCUUUUCGUUGGGCUUCAACUGACGAGAGGUAUAGGCCACAACUUUCUUCUCUUGCAUUAACACAGCACCGAGACCUUGGAGAGAAGCAUCACAGAAAACUUCAAAUGGCUUGGAUUCGUCAGGAGGAGUUAAGACAGGAGCUGUGACUAGUUUCUCUUUGAGAGUGUUCAAAGCAACGUCACACUCAGGAGACCAGACAUACUUCACAUGCUUCUGGAGGAGGUUGGAAAGAGGCUUUGCAAUCUUAGAGAAAUUCUCAACGAAUCUUCGGCAAUAGCUUGCAAGACCAAGAAAACUGCGGAGCUGCUUGACAUUCUGAGGAGGUUCCCAAUUCACAAUUGCGGACACCUUCUCGGGAUUAACAGUGAUGCCCUUGGCAGAGAUGAUGUGACCAAGGUAAAGAACUUCAUCAAGCUAAAACUCACAUUUUGAGAACUUUGCAUAGAAUUGAUACUCUCUGAGCUUGUCGAGCACCAAUCGCAAAUGUUUGGCAUGAUCUUUCUUAUUCUUGGAGAAGACCAAUAUAUCAUCGAGAUACACCAGGAUGAAUUCAUUGGUAUAGGGGUUGAAGAUGAAAUUCAUCAUCCGAGAGAAUGUUGGAGGAGCAUUGACAAGACCGAAAGACAUGAAAGUAUAUUCAUAAGAACCAAAGCUUGUUCUGAAUGCUGUCUUGGGAAUAUCUUCUUCACGAAUGCGAAUCUGAUGAUAACCCAUACGAAGGUCAAGCUUGGAGAAUACUUUAGCACCUUUGAGUUGCUCGAAUAGCUCAUUGAUGUUCGGAAGUGGAUACUUGUUCUUGAUAGUCUUCUUGUUCAAUGGACGGUAGUCGACACAAAGUCGGUCUGUGCCAUCCUUCUUCUGGACAAAAAGAAAACCACAACCCCAUGGAGAAGAACUCGGUCUGAUCAAACACAGACGCUCUUUUUCAUCGAGUUGUUUCUUCAACUCCUUCAGCUCCUUGGGUCCAAGCUUGUAUGGACGCUUGCAAACGGGUUCCGUGCCAGGCUCUAGAUCGAUAACGAACUCAACUGGCCGGUGAGAAGGCAUACCCGGAAGCUCUUCUGGAAAGACAUCUUGGUACUCACAAACGACUGGAAUCUGAGAGAUGGCAUUCAAUUCGCCCUUCUCAUUGAGAGAAAAUAACCGAAUGGUUUCAUCACGAGCGGCAUAAAUGAUAACAUCCUCAGAAGAGUGUGUCAAUUGAACUUCCCUGGCAGCACAAUCAAGUUGAGCCUUGUGCUUAGAAAGCCAGUCCAUCCCGAGAAUUAGAUCAAUAUCCGAGUCACCAAGAACAAAAGGUUUAGACAGAAAUUUAUAGUUGCCCAUCUUGAUAGAAACAUCCGGAAUCAUUGUGGUAGCCCUCAUAGAAGAGCCCGGAGAAACAACUCCCAUGGGUUUUUCCAACAUUUCCGAAAUGAAAUCAUGCUUUGCAACGAAUGAUCUUGACAUGAAACAAUGCGAUGCACCAGUGACAAAAGAACUUUUGCAAGAAAGUCAUUAACAGGAAGAUUACCCAUUAUCACAUCAGUAGACUCCUCUGCUUGAGCUGCAUUCAUCAUGUUCACCUUUGCAGCCUUGGGAUUAUGCUUGACCACUGCAUUGCUGGAAGAUCUGACAGGAGGAGGAGGCGGAAGACGCCUUUGGUUGAAGCAUUUGUUUGCAUAGUGACCUUUCUGCUGACACUUGUUGCAAGUCACCUCUGAGAGUGGACGAUGAUAAGGAGCAUUCGACUUUGGAGCUUGAUUCUGAGACUUGUUCUGAUAGCCAGGGUUGGAAGAGUGGGAAGAUCCAUGGCCACCUUUGUUCUUCUGCUGGUAAGGCUGACGAAACGGAGGAGGAGGCAACCAGAACUUCUGUUGCUUAGCAGCCAUUAGCGAGGAAGAAGAAGACUGAACUGCGUCCCUGACUCUCUUCAUAGAAGUCUCACACUUGAGCUGAGCAGCCUCUUGCUUCAGUGCCAUGUUAUACAAUUGAUCAAACUGAGUAGGCUCAACAAGAACGAGAGCUAACUACAGAUCCUCUCUAAGGCCACCUCUGAAGUGAUAGAUCAUGCUCUUUUCAUCAGGAACGUCUUGUUUAGCGAAGCGAGCAAGUUUCUGAAACUGGAUGUUGAAUUGAUACACAGACACGUUGCCUUGCUUGAGAUUGCGGAACUCCUCACGCUUGCUCUCAACAACACUUUGUGGAAUGUGGUGCGCUUUGAAGUCCCGACAGAAGUCAGUCCAAGUGAUCACACGACCUCCUCUGGAAUCUUUGUAUUGUUGAUACCAAUCAGCAGCUUGGUCCUUGAGCUAAAAAGAAGCGAACUUGACAUAAUCCUCAGGCCUGACAUUGCUACAUUCAAAAUGCUUGUUGAUGUCCACGAGCCAAUCAUCGGCAUCCGUGGCCUCGGCACAGUAGCUGAAAGACUUGGGCUGAUUUGCGAGAAACUGAUUGAGUGUAGCGAAAUGAGGCUGAAUGUUGCCUUGACCUGGAUUUCCUUGAUUGCCUUGCCCUUGGGUGCGUUCUUGCAAGAGUUGCAGAAUCAUCUAGGCAUUGGCAUUGGUGGCUGCCAUGAUAGCUUGCCAUGCCUCCGGAGCCGGAGGUGGUGGCGGAGGGUUCGCCUGACUCCCUUCAUUGCGAUCCGGAUUCUGACGCGUUGGCGGAGCCAUCCUGAAGAGGGUGACAUCCGUUAGCAUCUUGAUAGACAAAUAGACAAGUAGAAUCAACGGAUAGAAAUUGCAACAUAUAGUCUUCACAAUAAACAUUCGAACGAAGAUGAACGAAUGAAUUCCAUAGUAAAUCAUCACACUUCCAUUAAGUUGAGAAGCCACUUAAAAAAAGGUAUGGAAUCAACAUUUGACUUCGAAGCAACUCGAAUACCACAAUACAAAACAAAACAAGGUAUUGGCUUGCAGAAUAAGCCAAAACAAACAUAUGAUAGAUAUUUCGUCCGAAGUUUUCGUGGUGGGGCCCACACGGGCUCGAUCGUACAGCACCAUCAUGUACAAGGCAGUGCACAUGACAUACGAAGCGUCCCCGAGUCGGCAUAGCCAAGGACUCUUUAAGACACUACGAGACCACUGUAAAACCAACCGUGGAAAGGCGGACCACUAGACGUCGAACCCCAAUCUCAUAUCAUGCGUCUGUCGGAAAGAUAUCCUAGGAGCUACUUGAAUUCCCACUUAUAAACUCCCGAAACUUUCUGGUUAUGCAAUCUGGUGUUGGGGAUACAGGGGACACAAAAUAUAUCACCCAAACUAGAAAUCCCUAGAUCCAGCUGUAUCCAUCCGUCAACACAUAACCAAGAAACCUUCGGAAAUCGUGUACCUCAACCUUCGAAAAGCAUCUGUUAUACGAGUUAUGGCAAUACUCCCGAACUCCUGCCCCCGUACUAGGUGGCGUCGAGGUGAUCUCACCAACAACUGCAUAAAAGAGAUUUCGAUGUCGGCGAAACUCAGGUAUUCCAUAACUGCAAUGAUAAAAUUGUGACGACAACACCUCGGAGCUCAACUCCCCGGGACACUGCCACAACCCCUAAAUGUCAGGAGGCACCAAGAACAAUGUUCUCGUCACAAAACCAUCGGAACGAUUCUAAGAUACCCGCGUGAUCCUAAAAUUUUUUUUAGUGAAAUUUGAGGAGAGAAGAGUCAAAACUUCUACAUCAGGAGACCUCACUAGAGCGACGAAGGGACUGAGGAGUAAAAAGAAUCCUACUCUCCGAUAUAUAUAAUCCUAAGACUCAAAAACAUUUUUGUUCUAGACUCAACAACGCCAGCGAUUCGAUCAAGCAGGGGCUCCUAAGUCGGGGAUGGCUCUGAUUACCAACUUGUAACGCCCACGAUGCGGCUAUAUCUCCCACGUGUCGAGGCACGACUUAGAGGCAUAACCGCAUUGUGGUUUUGUCGCAAGAAGGGUCAUCUUCACACAAUCCCAUGUAAUGAACAAGAAUGGGAUAAAGAGUUGGCUUACAAUCGCCACUUCACACAAUACAUAAAUAUAAUCCAUAAAUCAUCCAAAAUACACACAUAUAGACCGGCUACGGUCAAAAUCCAAAUGAAAAUUAUAUAACCCCAAAUGCUAGAUCCCCGAUCGUCCCAACUGGGCUCCACUACUGAUCAUCAGGAAAAGAAACAUAGUAACAACCACGUUCCUCGUCGAACUCCCACUUGAGGUCGAUCCCAUCAUCUGCAAUGGCAUCGUCGGCACCUGCAACUGUUUUAGUAGAAUCUGUGAGUCACAAGGACUCAGCAAUCUCACACCCGCGAGAUCAAGACUAUUUAAGCUCAUAGAAAAGGAUGGUGAAAUUGGGUGGAGCUGCAGCAUGCACUAAGCAUAUAUGGUGGCUAACAUACGCAAAAGAGAGCGAGAAGAGAAGCAACGGAACGGUCGUCAUCUAGUAAUGACCAAGAAGUGAUCCUGAACUCCUACUUACGUCAUUCAUAACUCAAACCGUGUUCACUUCCCGGACUCCGCCGAGAAGAGACCAUCAGGGCUACACACACGGUUGAUGUAUUUUAAUUAAGUUAAGUGACAAAUUCUCUACAACCGGACAUUAACAAAUUCCCAUCUGCCUCAUAAACGUGGGCACGGCUUUCGAAAGAUAAUACCCUGUACGGGUGUCCCAACUUAGCCCAUCAUAAGCUCUCACAGUCAACGAAGGAUAAACCUUCUCCCGAAAAGACCCGAUCAGUCUCGGAAUCCCGGUUUACAAGACAUUUCGACAAUGGUAAAACAAGACCAGCAAGACCACCCGCUGUGCCGACAAAUCCCGAUAGGAGCUGCACAUAUCUCGUUCUCAGGGCACACCGGAUAAGCUAAGCGUACAGGUACCAACGUAACCCAAGUUGCCAAGGGACGGUCCCGCACGGUGCUCUAGUUUGGACCAACACUUGGAGGAGCACUGGCCCGGGGGUUUAAAAUAAAGAUGACCCUCGGGCUCUAGAAAACCCGGGGGAAAAAGGCUUAGGUGGCAAAUGGUAAAACCAAGGUUGGGCCUUGCUGGAGGAGUUUUAUUCAAGGCGAACUGUCAAGGGGGUCCCAUAAAUCACUCAACCGCGUAAGGAACGCAAACUCAAGGAACAUAAUACCGGUAUGUCGGAAAACUAGGGCGGCAAGAGUGGAACAAAACACCAGGCAUAAUGCCGAGCCUUCCACCCUUUACCAAAUGUAUAUAGAUGCAUUAAUAUAAUAAGAGAUAUUGUGAUAUCCCAACAUAAUAACCAUGUUCUAACAUGGAACCAACUUCAACUUCACCUACAACUAGCAACGCUAUAAGAAGGGCUGAGCAAAAGCGGUAACUUAGCCAGACAACGGUUUGCUAGGAAAGGAUGGUUAGAGGCUGACAUGGCAAUAUGGGAGGCAUGAUAUAGCAAGUGGUAGGUAGCGCAGCAUGGCAAUAGAACGAACAACUAGCAAAGCAAAGAUAGAAGUGAUUUCGAGGGGUGGUCAUCUUGCCUGCAAGGUUCUUAGAGUUGUCGAAAGCUUGAUCCUCGUAAGCGUACUCAACAGGUUCCUCGUUCACGAACUCGUCUCCCGGCUCUACCCAAAACAAGAACACAAGCAACGGAACCACAAUCAAUCACGGAAGAUGCACAAGCAACAUGAUGCAAAACAUGUAUGAUAUGUGAGAUAUGAUAUGCGAUGCAUAUGCGUGCCCCGGAAGGAAAAUGAUGAACAAGGCAGUAACUUGGCAAACCAAGCAUGCCACUGGAAACAUGAGAUGAUUUCGGUUGAAAUCGAUAUAAAGAUCACCGGAAACGGAUGCACGGUUUGCAAAUGGCAAGCAAAACAAGAAUGACACGAAUCUGCGAUUAACAGCAUGAUAGCACAUAGAAUGCAACAAGUUACAAUGCUACAGCACUCCAACAUAGCAACAAAGCACAUGGCAGUAAUCUACAAGAGAUGCUUGACAAAAGAUGAACACUGAGCUACGGCUAGAUCACAAUCUAAAAGGUUCAAACAAGCAUGGCAAAAGAGCAAAAGAUAACAGGUUCACAGACUUGGUGAAAUUACUGGACAUGGCAGAAACAGCAUCAGGUAGCAAUGUUCAGAGCACGAAAUCAACAUGCUACAGGAACUUAACAUGGCAAAGCAAAGCAUGGAAGUAUUCUACUAAAUGCAUAUGACAAAAAUCCCUUACUGACCAUAAGCCAAAAAGGACCAGAAGAUAUGAUGGCAACCAUGUGAACAUAGCAAGUUCCGUUAACAGGUUUCAGACUUGGCAGAAAACAGAGCAUGGCAGAAACAGUAAUAUGAAGGCAUCUUGGUGAGCUUGAUGCACUCACCACAAAGCAAUGCAUGACAAAACAAGCAUACCUACAGAAAUAUGGCAUGUUUAUGAAGCUAUCCAUGGCAAGAUCAAGUACAUAGCAUGAAUGAAACAACUACAACAAGCUUGGCAAAAUUGAAUAACACGUAAACAAUCUGCCAGAAAUAUUUUAUAGCAAAAGUAGAUCAAGCUUGAGUCAUGCUAUUGCACUCCAUAAUUGCAAACAAUGGCAGGAAUGGAUCAAUUACAACAAUAUCUACAAAACAUCCUUAAUGAACAUCUCCAAAAUAAGCAUGGACCUCUCUGUAGACCCAUGGAUACAUAGCAACAAAAUAACAGCAGACAAAGACAGAAAUUACCAAGUCUCUGAAAUCAGAAACAUUACGGAGCCUAAUUUGCACGCUUGUUCUAGUCACCACAGAGAUCACAAAAAUACAUGGCAUACACCUCCGUAAAUAUGGCAUGGCAUACAACAAAACACAUGUAGAGCUCAUGCCCAUAAGAUGCACAGAUUAAAUGCAACAAAAAUAACAAAUCUCCAAGUUCUUCCAAGUAACAGCAGAUAACAGCAACUAGCACUCUUGCAGCAGAGAUUUGGUUAUGAAGAGGGACUCAAAUGAACAUGGUGCAAUGGAACAAAAUGAAGAGCAUCACUAGGCGAACAUUUCGAUAUAUUACACGCGCGAAACGGAGCUAUAUGCAGAGAGUUAUGAUGCUAUGAACAUGGACAUAUAACGUCAAAUCUUUCAGGACUUCGAGAAAAAAACGGGGAAGAAGGAAGUCAACCACUGGAGAUCUAGAUCGGGCGGCUUCGAGCUCGGGCCGCCGGUGCUUCGGCCGGAGCAGAGGUGCGGUCGCCGGCGUCCGGCGUGGAGGAGGGAGACGGCGAGGCGGCGAGGUGCAGGAAGGAGGCGGCGGCGCGACGGCGGGUGGCGCCNNNNNNNNNNNNNNNNNNNNNNNNNNNNNNNNNNNNNNNNNNNNNNNNNNNNNNNNNNNNNNNNNNNNNNNNNNNNNNNNNNNNNNNNNNNNNNNNNNNNNNNNNNNNNNNNNNNNNNNNNNNNNNNNNNNNNNNNNNNNNNNNNNNNNNNNNNNNNNNNNNNNNNNNNNNNNNNNNNNNNNNNNNNNNNNNNNNNNNNNNNNNNNNNNNNNNGAACUGGCGCGGAGGAGACGGGCUCGGGAGGGCCCGCGGCGGGUUUCGGCGUUCCCAGGUGGCUUCUCGGUCGGAAUGGUGCAACCACUUCACUUUCAGGAAUUUGAUUGACUUGUUGUGAGUCUUGCGCUCAGUUUCUUCAAGAAUAGCAACGGGGUGCUCAUGAUAAGACAGAUCUUCUUGGAGGUCAAUCUCUUCGAAGUUGAUAGUGCGCUCAGGCGUCUUGAAGCAUUUGCGGAGCUGUGACACGUGGAACACAUCGUGCAUGUUCGCGAAGUUGGAGGGAAGCUGAAGUUGAUAGGCGAGGUCGCCUCUUUUGCCAAUGAUCUUGAAAGGACCCACGUAUCUAGGGGCAAGCUUCCCUUUGAUACCGAAGCGAUGAGUGCCUUUCAUUGGAGAGACGCGGAGGUAGACAUGGUCUCCGAUCUCGAAAGCCACAUCACGGUGCUUACUAUCAUAGUAACUCUUCUGGCGCGAUUGCGCGGCUUUGAGAUUUUCACGGAUGACUUUACACAUUUCUUCAGCCUCUGUGAUUAAGUCAUUGCCAAGAAGUUGGCGUUCACCAGUCUCUGACCAAUUGAGAGGAGUACGGCACUUUCUGCCAUAGAGAAUCUCGAAUGGGGCCUUGCCCGAAAUCGCUUGGAAGCUGUUGUUGUAGGAGAAUUUGGCAUAUGGAAGACAAUCUUCCGAUUUCAUGCCAAAGGAAAUGACACAAGCCCUGAGCAUAUCUUCAAGAAUUUGAUUGACUCGCUCGACUUGGCCACUAGUUUGAGGAUGGAAAGUUGUGCUGAAGCGAAUGUUUGUGCCCAUGGCCUUCUGGAAAGAGUCCCAGAACUUAGAGGUGAAGAUGCUUCCACGAUCUGAAGAAAUCAAUUGUGCAAUGCCGUGCAAGGAGACAAUCCUGGAGGUCUAUAGCUCUGCCAACUGCGCUGCUGUGAUAGAUUCUUUGAUUGGAAGGAAAUAGGCCACUUUAGAAAGCUUGUCGAUGACAACGAAGAUAGCAUCAUUUCCACGCUUGGACUUGGGAAAUCCAGUCACGAAGUCCAUUUCGAUAUGAUCAAACUUCCACUCUGGGAUAGCAAGAGGUUGGAGGAGACCAGCUGGUCGUUGGUGUUCUGCUUUCACUCUUCGACAGACAUCACAUUAAUUCACGAAUUGAGCAAUCUCCCGCUUCUUCGAGUCCACCAAUACGACUGCUUGAGGUCAUGGUACAUCUUCGUACUUCCAGGAUGAAUGGACAGAAGAGAAUUGUGCGCCUCGUUCAUUAUGACUUUCCUUAGAUCACCUUUAGGAACCACAAUCCGGUCCUCGAAGAAUAAAGUGUCUCUGUCAUCAAUGCGAUAGCACUUGUAUUUGGAAACACCCUUGUCGAUACCACGUUUCACCUUCUUCACCAUGGUAUCCAGGAGUUGUGCCUCACGAAUCUGAUCUUCCAAAGUAGGAGAGACUAUGAGGUUGGCAAGAAAGCCUUGAGGAACAACUUGGAGAUUCAGCUUGCGGAAAGCUUCACAAAGAUCCGGUUGGAAUGUCUUGAGAAUUAAGCUGUUGCAAUAAGCCUUCCUGCUUAAAGCAUCUGCAAUGACAUUGGCUUUGCCUGGAGUAUAUUCAAUACUCGGAUUGUACUCUUGAAUCAUUUCGACCCGUCGAGUCUGCCUGAGGUUGAGGUUGGCUGAGUGAAGAUGUACUUGAGACUCUUGUGAUCGGUGAAUAUGUCCACUUGUCUUCCCAACAAAAGAUGUCUCCACGUUAUUAAUGCAUGGACAACUGCCGCCAACUCAAGAUCGUGAGUGGGGUAGUUCUUUUCGUUGGGCUUCAACUGACGAGAGGUAUAGGCCACAACUUUCUUCUCUUGCAUUAAUACAGCACCGAGACCUUGGAGAGAAGCAUCACAGAAAACUUCAAAUGGCUUGGAUUCGUCAGGAGGAGUUAAGACAGGAGCUAUGACUAGUUUCUCUUUGAGAGUGUUGAAAGCAACGUCACACUUAGGAGACCAGACAUACUUCACAUGCUUCUGGAGGAGGUUGGAAAGAGGCUUUGCAAUCUUAGAGAAAUUCUCAACGAAUCUUCGGCAAUAGCUUGCAAGACCAAGAAAACUGCGGAGCUGCUUGACAUUCUGAGGAGGUUCCCAAUUCACAAUUGCGGACACCUUCUCGGGAUUAACAGCGAUGCCCUUGGCAGAGAUGAUGUGACCAAGGUAAAGAACUUCAUCAAGCCAAAACUCACAUUUUGAGAACUUUGCAUAGAAUUGAUACUCUCUGAGCUUGUCGAGCACCAAUCGCAAAUGUUUGGCAUGAUCUUUCUUAUUCUUGGAGAAGACCAAUAUAUCAUCGAGAUACACCAGGACGAAUUCAUUGGUAAGGGGUUGAAGAUGAAAUUCAUCAUCCGAGAGAAUGUUGGAGGAGCAUUGACAAGACCGAAAGGCAUGACAGUAUAUUCAUAAGAACCAAAGCUUGUUCUGAAUGCUGUCUUGGGAAUAUCUUCUUCACGAAUGUGAAUCUGAUGAUAACUGUCGUGGAAUUUUCACGGCAGAUGUCCUCGAGCUAGGACUUAGUCGUGGAGCCAUCGCAACUAGGAAGCUUGAAGGGGUUAAUGCGGGACAAGGAACGCGAGGGUUUAUACUGGUUCGGCCCCUUACGGUGAAGGUAAAAGCCUACGUCCAGUUUGAGGUGGUAUUGAUUAGGGUUACGAUCACCAGGGAGCUAAACUGCUAUGCCCGGCUCUCGAUCAGGUUGUUCUUGUGCCCAAACCACUGCCGGGUCGUCCCUUUAUAUAGGGAGGCUGACGCCCAGCAGCCCUUAGAGUCCCGGCCGGCUCAUAAGAGUGUCCGGCUCGGACUCUCAACUAUACUUGCCUUACACUGCAAGUUCUACCAUAAUAAUGAUUGUAACUACGGGCCUUAAGCCGUAUCCGGGUCUUAAGCCCAUCUCUGUCCCAUCGUCUUCAAGCUUGGCUCCGGGCUUCUGGCAAAGACCAUAUGAGUAACCCGGCCCCUCCUGGUGGGUGACUCUAAGGUCUAUAUCCUCAACAUUAGGCCCCAGAUUGAUUUGAGCCGGCUCAUGUCAAUCUUCAAUUCCUUCGACAGAAAAAACCUCCGGCUUACCAUUCAUGUGAAAGCCAUAACCCGGCGUGACAUCAUCCUCUGGACUCCGGAUAAUCCGCCGUGACGUCAUCUUCCAUUAAGCCCGUUUUUUACUCCACCAGAUCCGCAACGGAUCUUUGCUUUUACUGUCAUCCCGAAAAUCGAGGCAUUGUGGGGGGAGAUAACCACGCCACGGUCUCCUUGAUUCUCGCGCCCGCUUUACGAUCUCGCCUUAUAAAUAGGCCGGCCUGACGGGCUUCUCUGCCACCCUUCUUCCUCCUCGCGCCACUGCCUCUCUGCCUGAGCUUGCACUCCACCGCCGUCACCUCGCCUCCGGUCUUCGUCAACCUUGGCCGCUGCAUCACCCUGACAUGGACCAGACAAACGGCGGCGACCCCCGCACCUUUUCAGCUCCGGUAAGUCCCGCUUGACCUGUAGAGUAGAUCUGCAGUAGGGUUCAUCCACGUUCUUCGUGUUCGUCGCCAUUGCCCGUGAGUUUUGGUAGUUCUCAUAGUUACUGCCCCUGUUUGAUCUUAGACCUGCCUAGAACCAGUGCGGUGGUUGUUUGGUACCCAUUUUACACGCAAGCAGCUCUCCUUUUACUGCAUAGGAACUUUGUUCAGACCCAAGAACUCCCUCACUUCUAUUCCUAGGUCUAGAAAUUUUUUCUUUUGCUCGGCCAUUUUGAUCCAAAAAAGUUACUGCAAUAUGUGAAACCUGUUUUACCACACUUAGUAAAAGCUGUAACCAUUGAAUCUUGGCGGCUUACAAUUCCGGUUUAAAGAAACCACGUGCCAUAGACCCUUCCGGCUUAAAGAAAACCAUGCUUCGUAGAAUCCUCCGGCUUAGUUGUGAUAAGGCCGCAGAUAAUCAAUUUAUUCUGAAUGCCCCUGCGGCUUAAAUAACCCACUGUACCUGAGUAUAUACCAUUAGUCCCCUUCAUAAGCCGCCACCUUAGUUUUGAACUAUAGAUCUCCUCCGGCUUAUAAUUAACCCGGACAUUUUUUCCUUUUUGUCAUAGACUGCCGACUUUCACCAUGCCUCCCAAAGCUCCCAUUACUUGCAACUAGAUGAGAUCCAAUGUCACCAACUAGAUGCUGAUUUUGUUAAGUCAGGAUAUCUGCCCAAGAAAGACAUCAUGUCCUACCGUGCCCCUGACCCGUCAGAAGAGAGGCCACAGCCAAAGGAUGGGGAGGUAGUGAUUUUUGCGGAUCACAUGAGCCGGGGCUUCGCACCGCCCGGCUCAAAGUUUUCUAGGGACGUGCUCAACUUCUUCGACCUGCAGCCUCAAGAUAUAGGACCCAACUCAGUGUCCAACAUCUGCAAUUUUCAAGUCUUCUGCGAGGUUUACCUUGGAGAAGAACCUAGUCUGCUGCUCUUCAGAGAGCUUUUUUACUUAAACCGUCAGAAUGAGUGCGCCAAUGGACCAAGUCUGGAGUUAGGUGGUAUCUCCAUCUAGCGGCGUAGGGACUGCCUUUUCCCUUAUGCAGAGCCGCCGAGCCACCCAAAGGACUAGAACAUGACUUGGUUCUACUGCCAAGAUACGUCCCCGGCUGAUGAAAGCCCGCUGCCCGGCGUUCGCCCAACACGUCUGGAGCCGAUUCACCCACUGUCGGACAAGCUGACUCAAGCAGAGCGCCAGCCUCUGCUCCCCACUAUCAACAAGAUCAAGGCUCUCCUGGGCAAUGGUCUGAACGGAAUCGACCUGGUCCGGGUCUGGAUCUCAUGGCGGGUGAUCCCAUUGAGCCGCCGCCCCGGCUUAAUGUGUGAGUACACAGGACGAAAGGAUGAUCCUCAGAGACACAGCCGCAAUGAUCUUCCAGAAGACGUUGCAGAGGAGAUGACCAAGGCUCUUUUAAACGAGAGCCUGGCAGACUGCGGAAGGACCGGGUUAGCCCCCUUCUGCAAGACCAACCCAGCCCCAGCGGUAAGCCGCUGGCUUUAACUUUUUAUCUUCUUCUGCAUAUAACCUUCAUCUGAACCGUUUUAAGAAUUCAUCAUUGUAUUUUUUAGGCUGAUGAUAAGUUCUGGCGGGUCAAAUAUGACCAUGAGGCGGCCAAGAAGGCCAGGAAGGCGAAGAAAGCCGCCAAGAAAACCGCCCCUCGCAAGAAAGGGAGCAGGCCUACUGCCUCCGAGCUGAUGCAAUUAAGCGACAGCUCCGAGUCAGAGGUAACCCCUGAGCUUUUAAGUCCUUACUAUAUUCACUGUUUGUUGCUGUCCGCCUUAUCAAUACUUGCUCAUUGACAGGAUCACACCGGCGCCAGUAACCCGGUGGUUGAAGAGGUAAUGUCACUUUCCUCCGACUCGGAGCCCUUGCCAUAGCUGAAAGUCCGAAGGGUAACCCGGAAAGUAAGCUUUUCACAUCCUUUAGCUUAUCAAGACCCUCAAUUUAUUUUGAAGCGACAGGUUCAUGAAAGCCGGCGUCACACCCGGACCAAUAAGGACACCGACCUCCCCGCCGGGUUACCCGACGCAACAAGGAAACGCCGAACUAAGGUUAUUUCCCACUUGUACCCUUUUCACCCAUUGGCGGGUGUUAUCCGUCAGCCACUUAAUUCCUCUGACUCCAAUUAUCAGGAGACCUCCCCCUCUUCGGGCGAUUCUAUGCAGUCGAGUCUUCCGACUUUCAAGACCGCGCCCAGGUAAUGACAACCAUCUCAUAUUAUAUUUGUCUGUACUUACUCUUUUUGUGCUUAACGUUUCUGUCCUUUCAGCGCCCAGGCAAAGCUCACCAAAAGAGCCAAGAAGACCAAGUCAGCCGGAGUGCCGGAUUUGCCUGAACCGGAGGUGACGGCUCAAGAACCGCCAGCUGCCUCCGCCCCCGAAGCCACCACUCCAAUGGACACGGCACCUGAGGCCACUGGCCCAACUACUAAGGCAACGACCGAAACUUCUGUUAACCCGGAGGCCUCCAGCUCGGCUCCACCAGCAGACGACCCGGACGUGGUAAUCACCCGGACGGAGUUCGUUGAGCCGAGGAGACCUACCGUGCUGGCCAAGUGCUCCGCUAAGGGGGAGUUGCUGCAGCCCCCCCGGGUGAACCUGGACCUCUCCGACUACACCAACUUGAGCAUUGGAGAGCUCGUCUCUGGCUACAUCAGCCAAGUGCACAAGAGCCGGGACGCAGAGGUCGCCAUGGUGAACCAGAUCCAGCAAAAAUCUGAGGUAUCAUUCUGAUGUCCUCUUACUUACUGCAUAGUUACCUUUACCAUGCUAGCCCCCAAGUCGACGACUUAUGAUUGAAUAUGUUGUAGACUUAGGUUCCGGCUUACUCAAUUGAACCGGCAGUUUGUAGAUAGAUACGUUCAAUAUGCAUUAGCCCCCAAGUGCCAAGUGUCUUUGCUUGGAAAACGCUUGGGACUUAUAUAAUGACUAUUAAUAACCCGGAAAUUUAUGCAAGCUGUUGGCAAGAAGCUAGAGGCGGACCUUGCGGAUCUCAAGAGCCGGCUGAAGACGCAGGAGAUGGAGACCCGGAAGGCAAACGCCAAGUUUGUAUCCAGCAUCGCGGCUCAAGAGAAGCUGAAGACAGAAUUUGAUGCUGAGCGGAAAGCCUGGGCUGAAGAGAAGGCCGCACUGAUGACCCGGGCGGAACAGGCGGAGAAGGCUCUCUCUGAGAAGACCGCCGAGCUCUCCGGCCUAAAGCGCCAGGUUUCCCAAAUGGUGGCCGCCAUCUUCGGUAAGUCGCCUCACCGGCUUUCAUCAAGUUUAGAAUGUUUAUAUCUCAUGAUUCAUCCUUGUCGCCGGCUUAUCUGAUUCUGUUAAACAGGUCCCAGAAGUGCCAACCUCAACCAAAGCGUGGUCACCAACCUAAAGGGCGUGUAUACCCUGGUGGCACAGCUCUACACCGGGUCACAGCGUGCCUUAGCUGUAGUGGCCCUAUCCAACGAGGUGCCGACUCACCUGGCAGAAGUCCUGCGCCGGCUCGCCGUUCUGCCUCAGCGGAUCCAAGAGCUGCGACGGGCCUCUGCGAGAGCCGGAGCGAUCGCCACGCUGAGCCGGGCCAAGGCAUUCCUGCCGGAGUUAGACCCGGCGGACAUUGCCCUUGGCUAUCCAAGCCUGAAGGAAGACGGCUCGGCUUUUGAUCAGAAGGACUUCGCAGCUUGCAUGAAGGCCGUACGCCCGGUGGCCACCCUCAUCGGGAACGACACAGAUAUAACCAAGUACCAGCCGGGCUAUGAUGCGGAGAAUCAGAGGAUUCCAACCCCUCGCUAUGAAGCCCUUAACUUGAUCCCGCCGGCUCGUCAGCACACUUUCGCCCCGGAGAUUGACCCAGCCGGGUUAAUUGACGAGGAAGCCCAAUUCGAAGCUCUCAGCGGCAUCGACUGGAAGUCAUCAACUUUCCAGGUCUUGGGAUCAGCCGGAGGAGAAGAUAGGAACGAGCCGGAGACUUCAACUCAGCAAGCGUUGUAACUCGGCUGGCGGUUUACCAAACAAUGCUCCACCCUUUGAGAUUUUGAUGAGUUUUGUAAUAGAGUAGGUGCAACAGUUCAUCUCUGCCGUGCCAUCGUGCACGUAUUGAAUGCGAAAGUCUUUUGAAGUUGCCUCUUUGAUAUUUCUCCGGGUCAUAAUCAAUCCUUUGUUUUUCUUAACCUCAAAGAGGUGCCUUUAAUUAUCCUGCAUAGAAGGGCAAAUCACAAGUCUCGAGGCGUCUUACCGUCUUGAGAAUCAUAAAUUUUAGAUAACCCGGAAUAUGAAUUGAAAAGGACUUGUCUUCAAUAGUAUCCUGAACACAGCCGUAAGAACAUGUUGAACGGCCUGCAAGUAUACUUCCGGCUUAGAUAAUCCGGAUGAGAAAGUUGGUACCGCAACUCCGGUUUACCUGCCUUAUAACACCCAUUGCGUUCAGCAAUAUUGUAAACUAGGGUUAAGCCGGAAAAGUGAGACCCGGCUGUACACACCUUGACAUGAUCAAAGAAAACUUGUGAUAAAGCAGAAGAACUUAGGGGCUUCCGGUUCGAAUACGACCAGAGACCCGGCCCAAAGGGGUUAAGCUAAGAUUCGGAUACGAUCAUAUAGCCCCCAGUGGGUGUGGCGAUGCCAAUCAAGAGGGUACCGACAGCUAUGUUCUCUUUGGUUCGAAUACGACCCAUGUUUGAACAGGAAGCCCCCAAGCGAUUUUAAGAAUUGUUUAACGACGCUGAUUCGAAUACGAUCCUCGUCGGUUCUCAGAGGGGUUAAACUAUGAUUCAAAUAUGACCAAAGGUAACCUCCCAAUGAGCUCGGCACUUUGCCAAUCAAAUGGGUAUCGACAGCUAUGUUCUCUUUGGUUCGAAUACGACCCAUGUUUGAACAGGAAGCCCCCAAGUGACUUUACUGUUUACGGCUAGAUUCGAAGACGAUCAUAAACUGGAUCCUCCUUUAAGUCAUCAUGUAAUCUUGCAAUAAGAACAACACAUGCAUAUUUGGAGGAGAAAAAAGGACAGAGGUCCUGCUUUAUUGCUUAUCAUAAUAUAUACAUGGCUGAGAGAAAUAUGUACACCACGAGAGCCGGUGGCUCAAGUGUAGUAAGGCCGAAGCUGAGCUAUGUUCCACGGCCGACGGGUCUCCUCCUCCGACUUACGUGAAUCUUUGUGCUCCCGAAUGUCAAUGAGGUAAUAUGACCCGUUGUGCAAGUUCUUGCUGACCACAAAGGGCCCUUCCCAAGGCAGGGAUAACUUGUGUGCAUCUGUUUUAUCCUCGAUGAGCCGGAGCACGAGAUCGCCUUCCUGGAAGACCCGGGAUUUAACCCGGCGGUUAUGGUAACGGCGCAGGUCUUGCUGGUAAAUCGCUGAACGAGCUGCUGCCACAUCACGCUGUUCGUCCAACAGGUCAAGAGCAUCUUGUCACGCCUGUUCAUUAUCCGCCUCAACAUAAGCCGCUACUCGAGGUGAGUCAUGACGGAUGUCACUGGGGAGGACUGCUUCUGCUCCAUAAACCAUGAAGAAAGGCGUGAAGCCUGUAGACCUGUUAGGAGUAGUGUUGAUGCUCCAUAAGACGGAGGGCAACUCCUCCACCCAACAACCCGGCGUCCGUUGCAAAGGGACCAAAAGCCGGUGCUUGAUGCCCUUCAGAAUCUCCUGAUUAGCUCUCUCAGCUUGACCAUUGGAUUGAGGAUGAGCCACUGAGGAAACAUCAAGUCGGAUAUGCUCACGUUGACAAAACUCUUCCAUGGCGCCCUUGGAGAGAUUGGUGCCACUGUCAGUUACAAUGUUGUGCGGAAAGCCAAAGCGGAAAAUCACUUUUUUCAUAAAUUGAACCGCCGUGGCUGCAUCGCACUUGCUAACUGGCUCAGCUUCCACCCACUUUGUGAAUUUAUCAACUGCCACCAAGAGGUGGGUCUUCUUAUCCUUGGACCUUUUAAAAGGCCCAACCAUAACAAGCCCCCAGACCGCAAAGGGCCAAGUGAUUGGGAUCAUCCUCAGCUCCUGAGCCGGCACAUGAGCCCGUCGUGAGAACCUCUGGCAACCAUCACAUUUACUGACCAAGUCCUCUGCAUCAACAUGAGCCGUCAACCAAUGAAAACCAUGACGAAAAGCCUUGGCCACUAGGGACUUUGAGCCGGCGUGAUGGCCACAAUCUCCUUCGUCGAUCUCACACAAGAUCUCUUGACCUUCCUCAGGGGAGACACAACGCUGAAAUGCUCCUGUAACACUGCGAUGAUGCAACUCGCCAUCGAUAACAAUCAUUGACUUGGCCCGCCGGGUUAUUUGCCUGGCCAAAGUUUCAUCCUCAGGCAACUCGCCCCGGGUCAUGUAAGCCAGAUAUGGCAUUGUCCAGUCUGGUAUGAUAUGGAGAGCCGCCACCAGUCGUGCCUCCGGGUCAGGGACAGCCAAGUCUUCCUCCGUAGGCAAUUUAACCGAAGGGCUAUACAGGACAUCCAGGAAAGUGUUAGGCGGCACCGGCUUUUGCUGAGAGCCUAGCCGGCUUAGAGCAUCAGCCGCCUCGUUCUUCCUGCGAUCAAUGUGCUCUACUUGGUAGCCCUGAAAGUGCCCAGCAAUGGCAUCAACUUCGCGGCGAUAAGCCGCCAUUAGAGGGUCCUUAGAGUCCCACUUGCCUGAUACUUGUUGAGCCACCAAGUCUGAGUCACCGAAGCACCUUACCCGGCUCAAGCUCAUCUCCUUAGCCAUCCGAAGACCGUGGAGCAAGGCCUCGUACUCAGCCGCAUUGUUAGUGCAAGGAAACAUCAACUGUAACACAUAAUGGAACUUGUCACCUUUAGGGGAAGCCAAUACAACGCCAGCCCCCGAGCCCUCCAACUGCCUGGACCCAUCGAAGUGAAUAGUCCAAUAUGUGUUAUCUAGCUUUUGCUCGGGCACUUGUGACUCUGUCCAAUCAUUGAUGAAAUCCACCAAGGCCUGAGACUUAACAGCAGUGCGUGGCACAUAUUUGAGACCAUGAGGUCCAAGUUCUAUAGCCCACUUAGCAAUUCUCCCUGUGGCCUCUCUGUUUUGAAUGAUAUCACCAAGGGGGGCAGAACUGACCACAGUGAUGGGAUGACCCUGAAAAUAAUGCUUAAGCUUCCGGCUCGCCAUGAAAACACCAUACACAAGCUUCUGCCAAUGCGGGUACCGCUGCUUGGACUCAAUGAGCACUUCGCUGACAUAAUAAACCGGCCGCUGAACCGGAUGCUCCUUACCCUCCUCCUUGCGCUCCACCACAAUAGCCACACUGACGGCUCGUGCGUUUGCCGCCACAUACAGUAAUAAGGGCUCCUUAUCAACCGAAGCAGCAAGGACUGGGGGCUCUGCCAGCUGCUUCUUCAAAUCCUCAAAAGCGGUAUUGGCUGCAUCAUUCCAGACAAAGUUAUCAGUUUUCUUCAUCAACUGAUAUAAUGGCAUGGCCUUCUCACCCAAACGGCUUAUAAACCGGCUUAAAGCAGCGAUGCGACCCGCCAGACGCUGAACGUCAUUUACACACGCCGGCUUAGCCAGGGAGGUGAUGGCCUUGAUCUUCUCCGGGUUAGCCUCAAUGCCUCUAUCAGAAACCAAAAAUCCCAAGAGCUUGCCUGCAGGGACACCAAAUACACACUUGGCCGGGUUAAGCAUCAUCUUAUAGACCCGGAGAUUAUCAAAGGUUUCCCUUAAAUCAUCUAUCAGGGUUUCCUCUUUUAUGGAUUUAACCACAAUAUCGUCCACAUAAGCGUGAACAUUGCGCCCAAUCUGUUUAUGAAGACAGUUCUGUACACAACGCUGGUAAGUCGCCUGUGCACACUUGAGUCCAAAGGGCAUAGACACAUAGCAGAAGGCUCCAAAGGGAGUGAUGAACGCCGUCUUCUCCUGGUCCUUAACUGCCAUCUUAAUCUGAUGAUAACCGGAAUAAGCAUCCAAGAAACUUAAACAUGCACAACCUGCCGUAGCAUCAAUGAUUUGAUCAAUACGGGGGAGGGCAAAAGGAUCAGCCGGACACGCCUUGUUUAAGUCCGUGUAGUCCACAGACAUUCGCCAAGUGCCGUUCUUCUUGAGUACGAGCACCGGGUUAGCUAACCACUCUGGGUGAAAGACUUCAACGAUAAACCAGGCCGCCAAGAGCCGGGCCACCUCUUCACCAAUAGCUUUCCGCCUCUCUUCAUUAAACCGCCGAAGGAACUGUCUGACCGGCUUAAAUUUCGGAUCAACAUUUAGAGUAUGCUCAGCGAGUUCUCUAGGUACACCUGGCAUGUCAGAAGGUUUCCAUGCGAAGAUGUCCCUAUUCUCAUGGAUGAACUCAAUGAGCGCGCUUUACUAUUUUGGAUCCAGAUUUGCACUGAUGCUAAACUGCUGAGAUGAGUCACCUGGAACAAAAUCAACAAGUUUAGUCUCAUCAGCUGAUUUAAAUUUCAUUGCCGGCUCUUGUUCUGUAGUUGGCUUUUUCAGAGAGGUCAUAUCUGUUGGGUCAACAUUGUCUUUGUAAAACUUCAACUCCUCUGUAGCACACACAGAUUCUGCAUAAGCCGCAUCGCCUUCCUCACACUCCAGAGCCACUUUCUGGCUGCCGUGAACCGUAAUGGUCCCAUUGUGACCCGGCAUCUUGAGCUGUAAGUACACAUAACACGGUUGUGCCAUGAACUUGGCGUAAGCCGGCCGUCCAAAUAUAGCAUGGUAUGGACUUCUUAUCUUGACCACCUCAAAGGUCAAUUUCUUCACCCUGUAGUUGUUCUCAUCACCAAAAGCCACUUCCAAUUCGAUCUUGCCGACUGGAUAAGCCGACUUACCAGGUACCACACCAUGGAAGAUAGUGUUUGACUGGCUGAGGUUCUUAUCAACCAACCCCAUACGGUGAAAAGUCUCAUAAUAGAGGAUGUUGAUGUUGUUGCCUCCAUCCAUGAGCACCUUUGUGAACUUAUAUCCUCCCACUUGAGGGGCCACCACUAAUGCCAAGUGGCCCGGGUUAUCCACCCGGGGAGGGUGAUCCUCCCUGCUCCAUACUAUAGGCUGCUCAGACCACCGCAAGUAGCGUGGAACUGCCGGCUCAACAGCAUUCACAGCCCUCUUGUGAAGCUUCUGAUCUCGCUUGCACAGACUAGUGGUAAACACAUCAUACUGUCCACCGCUAAGCUGCUUUGGAUUGGUCUGAUAGCCCCCCUGCUGCUGUUGAUGACCCUGGCCAGACUGCUGAUUAAAGCCCCCUUGACCGUUCUAAGGACCGGAAUUUGAGCCGCCGCCCGGGCCAUGAAAGCCGCCGGCGCCUGAGCCGCCGCCCGGGCCAUUGUAAUUCUUAAAAGCCUUCAUGAUUGCACAAUCCUUCCACAGAUGAGUCGCUGGCUUCUCUCUAGAGCCAUGCCUUGGACAAGGUUCAUUCAACAGCUGCUCCAGCGUCGGACCUGACCCGCCGCCCCGGGGAGGGGCCCUCCCCUUGCGUCGCUGGUUAUCACCUUGUGAGCUGGCGUUGGCUACAAACUCUAGGCUGCCAUCGGCCUUGCGCUUGCCUCCUCCUUGGUUCCCCGGGUUAAACUAAGGACCCUUGCCAUUGCCGUUCUUCUUUCCCUUCCCUGUGCUUUCAUCAUCUGAAGGGGGAUCCUUGGUACCAUCAGAAUCGGCAUACUUGACAAGAGCCGCCAUUAGUGUACCCAUAUCACUGCAGUCGCGCUUAAGCCGCCCGAGUUUCAUCUUCAGGGGCACAAAACGACAAUUCUGCUCCAGCAUUAAAACCGCUGAGUCGGCAUCCAUCUUGUCUCACGAGUGUAUGAUCUCCUUAACCCGGCGAACCCAAUGUGUCGUAGACUCACCCUCCUGCUGCUUACAGUUAGUCAAAUCCACAAUUGACAUAGACUGCCUACAGGUAUCUUUGAAGUUUUGGAUGAACCGGGCUUUCAGCUCAGCCCAAGACCCAAUGGAAUUCGGUGGUAGCCCUUUCAACCAAGUGCGGGCAGUCCCAUCUAACAUCAUGGUGAAAUACUUCGCCAUGGCCGCCUCACUGACCUCCAGCAGUUCCAUAGCCAUCUCAUAACUCUCGAUCCAGGCUGCGGGUUGUAAGUCAGCUGUGUAAUUAGGCACCUUCCUAGGGCCCUUGAAGUCCUUAGGUAGACGUUCAUUACGGAUAGCUGGCACUAAACAAGGGAGACCCCCGGUCCUGGUAGGGAUACCCACAUCGACGGAAGUCGUCGGAUAAGCCGGGGGGGUCUGGUAAGCCGUCAAUUGAGGCACUUGCUCCGCCUCUUGCCGCGCUUUGUCCUGGUCUGCUGCGUAAAAGGCUCCAUUAUGAGCCGGGCCAUGGCCAGGGGGCGGGUCAUGGCGUCGGACGUUACUCGAACCGGUUGCUGAGACCAUGUGCCGGCUGUAACUCGGGCUCUGGACUGGACGAGGGGUCGAGUGGAUCCUGUCCCGGCUGUAGGAGUACGCCUCUUGCUGCACCAGUGCUGUCUGAAGGAGUUCCCUGACCCGGCGGGUUUCCAUAGCCAUCGGAGAGUCGCCGUCAACUGGUAGAGCUGCCAGCCGUGCUGCCGCAGCGACCAUGUUCUCCAGGGGGUUAUUAUAAUGACCCGGGGGUAUUGGCACAUACUGAGGCGGGCCAGGGGGCACCUGGGGAGGCCCCAUCCCUCGUGGCUGAAUAAGGGGUCCAGACCCGGGCGCUAUGACCCCUGGCGGGUUACUAGGCCCUGCACCUGGCAUGUUGAAGAGGUUGCGUGGAUCUUAAACCGGAGGGAGUCAAGAUUGGGUUUUUUGAUGCCUCCUUCUCAUGACCUCAUUGGCCGCGUUCUGAUCCAUCGUGAGUUGGAAGGACUGCGCCUGGAUCAGCUGAGUUUGGGCAUCGAGAGCCGCCCUCUCCGCAGCCAGCCUGAUCCCUUCCACUGCAAGAUCCUCUUUAGCUUUCAUUAGAUCCAAUUUUAACUGUGCCACCUCUGCAUCGUGCUGAGCUUGAUCUGCCGGGUCAACCGUGGCGGUUAGCAGGGCCGUCAUCUUGUCCAUGAGAUCCAUCAGCACCUGAGCCGGAGAAGGCACCGGGUUUCCCGCUCCAGCAGCGGGGUUCUGAACAGGCUGCGCACCAGCCAUAAAGACUCCAACCUGACUUGGCAGCUCAAAUGGGUCCGGAAUACUGUCACCAAUGGAACAGCCCAUGAGCCUGCCAUCUUGAAGUUGAUACAACGAGUUUGACUCAUCGGUGGCCGACUCGCCGUCAGAGCCGGCGGCCGUUUCAUCCCCAGAUCCAGAUCGAUCAGAGAGUCCUCCAUGGAUACACCCCACAAAAGCAUGCCUUAAGGCAGGCCGGGCCCGGGCGGGUCGCACACGCUGAGCCGUCUCGAUGAGAUCGGCGCAGAGACCCGGCUCAGGGCCUGGCUCACUAAUCUUGCCAAUGAAAACAUGAAUUCCGCCGAAGGGGACCCGGUACCCGUACUCAAUUGAGCCGGCGUCGGGGCCCCAGUUUGCAUCGUCGAUGUAGAGCUUGCCGCGACGACUCUUGGUCAUCCGGCCCACAGCGUAUCCCUUGAGCCCUUCGAAGCUACCCUUCAAGAACUCAAAUCCACCGUGCGCCGGCCCCACGGUGGGCGCCAACUGUCGUGGAAUUGUCACGGCAGAUGUCCUCGAGCUAGGACUUAGUCGUGGAGCCAUCGGAACUAGGAAGCUUGAAGGGGUUAAUGCGGGACAAGGAACACGAGGGUUUAUACUGGUUCGGCCCCUUACGGUGAAGGUAAAAGCCUACGUCCAGUUUGAGGUGGUAUUGAUUAGGGUUACGAUCACCAGGGAGCUAAACUGCUAUGCCCGGCUCUCGAUCAGGUUGUUCUUGUCCCCAAACCGCUGCCAGGUCGUCCCUUUAUAUAGGGAGGCUGACGCCCAGCAGCCCUUAGAGUCCCGGCCGGCUCAUAAGAAUGUCCGGCUCGGACUCUCAACUAUACUUGCCUUACACUGCAAGUUCUACAAUAAUAAUGAUUGUAACUACGGGCCUUAAGCCGUAUCCGGGUCUUAAGCCCAUCUCUGGCCCAUCGUCUUCAAGCUUGGCUCCGGGCUUCUGGCAACGACCAUAUGAGUAACCCGGCCCCUCCUGGCGGGUGACUCUAAGGUCUAUAUCCUCAACAAUAAUCCAUACGAAGGUCAAGCUUGGAGAAUACUUUAGCACCUUUGAGUUGCUCGAAUAGCUCAUUGAUGUUCGGAAGUGGAUACUUGUUCUUGAUAGUCUUCUUGUUCAAUGGACGGUAGUCGACACAAAGUCGGUCUGUGCCAUCCUUCUUCUGGACAAAAAGAACAACACAACCCCAUGGAGAAGAACUCGGUCUGAUUAAACCCAGACGCUCUUGUUCAUUGAGUUGUUUCUUCAAUUCCUUCAGCUCCUUGGGUCCAAGCUUUUAUGGACGCUUGCAAACGGGUUCCGUGCCAGGCUCUAGAUCGAUAACGAACUCAACUGGCCGGUGAGAAGGCAUACCCGGAAGCUCUUCUGGAAAGACAUCUUGGUACUCACAAACGACUGGAAUCUGAGAGAUGGCAUUCAAUUCGCCCUUCUCAUUGAGAGAAAAUAACCGAAUGGUUUCAUCACGAGCGGCAUAAAUGAUAACAUCCUCAGAAGAGUGUGUCAAUUGAAUUUCCCUGGCAGCACAAUCAAGUUGAGCCUUGUGCUUAGAAAGCCAGUCCAUCCCGAGAAUUAGAUCAAUAUCCGAGUCACCAAGAACAAAAGGUUUAGACAGAAAUUUAUAGUUGCCCAUCUUGAUAGAAACAUCCGGAAUCAUUGUGGUAGCCCUCAUAGAAGAGCCCGGAGAAAUAACUCCCAUGGGCUUUUCCAACAUUUCCGAAAUGAAAUCAUGCUUUGCAACGAAUGAUCUUGACAUGAAACAAUGCGAUGCACCAGUGACAAAAGAACUUUUGCAAGAAAGUCAUUAACAGGAAGAUUACCCAUUAUCACAUCAGUAGACUCCUCUGCUUGAGCUGCAUUCAUCAUGUUCACCUUUGCAGCCUUGGGAUUAUGCUUGACCACUGCAUUGCUGGAAGAUCUGACAGGAGGAGGAGGCGGAAGACGCCUUUGGUUGAAGCAUUUGUUUGCAUAGUGACCUUUCUGCUGACACUUGUUGCAAGUCACCUCUGAGAGUGGACGAUGAUAAGGAGCAUUCGACUUUGGAGCUUGAUUCUGAGACUUGUUCUGAUAGCCAGGGUUGGAAGAGUGGGAAGAUCCAUGGCCACCUUUGUUCUUCUGCUGGUAAGGCUGACGAAACGGAGGAGGAGGAGGCAACCAGAACUUCUGUUGCUUAGCAGCCAUUAGCGAGGAAGAAGAAGACUGAACUGCGUCCCUGACUCUCUUCUUAGAAGUCUCACACUUGAGCUGAGCAGCCUCUUGCUUCAGUGCCAUGUUAUACAAUUGAUCAAACUGAGUAGGCUCAACAAGAACGAGAGCUAACUGCAGAUCCUCUCUAAGGCCACCUCUGAAGUGAUAGAUCAUGCUCUUUUCAUCAGGAACGUCUUGUUUAGCGAAGCGAGCAAGUUUCUGAAACUGGAUGUUGAAUUGAUACACAGACACGUUGCCUUGCUUGAGAUUGCGGAACUCCUCACGCUUGCUCUCAACAACACUUUGUGGAAUGUGGUGCGCUUUGAAGUCCCGACAGAAGUCAGUCCAAGUGAUCACACGACCUCCUCUGGAAUCUUUGUAUUGUUGAUACCAAUCAGCAGCUUGGUCCUUGAGCUAAAAAGAAGCGAACUUGACAUAAUCCUCAGGCCUGACAUUGCUACAUUCAAAAUUCUUGUUGAUGUCCACGAGCCAAUCAUCGGCAUCCGUGGCCUCGGCACAGUACCUGAAAGACUUGGGCUGAUUUGCGAGAAACUGAUUGAGUGUAGCGAAAUGAGGCUGAAUGUUGCCUUGACCUGGAUUUCCUUGAUUGCCUUGCCCUUGGGUGCGUUCUUGCAAGAGUUGCAGAAUCAUCUGGGCAUAGGCAUUGGUGGCUGCCAUGAUAGCUUGCCAUGCCUCCGGAGCCGGAGGUGGUGGCGGAGGGUUCGCCUGACUCCCUUCAUUGCGAUCCGGAUUCUGACGCGUUGGCGGAGCCAUCCUGAAGAGGGUGACAUCCGUUAGCAUCUUGAUAGACAAAUAGACAAGUAGAAUCAACGGAUAGAAAUUGCAACAUAUAGUCUUCACAAUAAACAUUCGAACGAAGAUGAACGAAUGAAUUCCAUAGUAAAUCAUCACACUUCCAUUAAGUUGAGAAGCCACUUAAAAAAAGGUAUGGAAUCAACAUUUGACUUUGAAGCAACUCGAAUACCACAAUACAAAACAAAACAAGGUAUUGGCUUGCAGAAUAAGCCGAAACAAACAUAUGAUAGAUAUUUUGUCCGAAGUUUUCGUGGUGGGGCCCACACGGGCUCGAUCGUACAGCACCAUCAUGUACAAGGCAGUGCACAUGACAUACGAAGCGUCCCCGAGUCGGCAUAGCCAAGGACUCUUUAAGACACUACGAGACCACUGUAAAACCAACCGUGGAAAGGCGGACCACUAGACGUCGAACCCCAAUCUCAUAUCAUGCGUCUGUCGGAAAGAUAUCCUAGGAGCUACUUGAAUUCCCACUUAUAAACUCCCGAAACUUUCUGGUUAUGCACUGGUGUUGGGGAUACAGGGGACACAAAAUAUAUCACCCAAACUAGCAAUCCCUAGAUCCAGCUGUAUCCAUCCGUCAACACAUAACCAAGAAACCUUCGGAAAUCGUGUACCUCAACCUUCGAAAAGCAUCUGUUAUACGAGUUAUGGCAAUACUCCCGAACUCCCGCCCCAGUACUGGGUGGCGUCGAGGUGAUCUCACCAACAACUGCAUAAAAGAGAUUUCGAUGUCGGCGAAACUCAGGUAUUCCAGAACUGCAACGAUAAAAUUGUGACGAUAACACCUCAGAGCUCAACUCCCAGGGACACUGCCACAACCCCUAAAUGUCAGGAGGCACCAAGAACAAUGUUCUCGUCACAAAACCAUCGGAACGAUUCUAAGAUACCCGCGUGAUCCUAAAAAAAAUUUAGUGAAAUUUGAGGAGAGAAGAGUCAAAACUUCUACAUCAGGAGACCUCACCAGAGCGACGAAGGGACUGAGGAGUAAAAAGAAUCCUACUCUCCGAUAUAUAUAAUCCUAAGACUCAAAAACAUUUUUGUUCUAGACUCAACAACGCCAGCGAUUCGAUCAAGCAGGGGCUCCUAAGUCGGGGAUGGCUCUGAUUACCAACUUGUAACGCCCACGAUGCGGCUAUAUCUCCCACGUGUCGAGGCACGACUUAGAGGCAUAACCACAUUGUGGUUUUGUCGCAAGAAGGGUCAUCUUCACACAAUCCCAUGUAAUGGACAAGAAUGGGAUAAAGAGUUGGCUUACAAUCGCAACUUCACACAAUACAUAAAUAUAAUCCAUAAAUCAUCCAAAAUACAUACAUAUAGACCGGCUACGGUCAAAAUCCAAAUGAAAAUUAGAUAACCGCAAAUGCUAGAUCCCCGAUCGUCCCAACUGGGCUCCACUACUGAUCAUCAGGAAAAGAAACAUAGUAACAACCACGUUCCUCGUUGAACUCCCACUUGAGGUCGAUCCCAUCAUCUGCAAUGGCAUCGUCGGCACCUGCAACUGUUUUAGUAGAAUCUGUGAGUCACAAGGACUCAGCAAUCUCACACCCGCGAGAUCAAGACUAUUUAAGCUCAUAGGAAAGGAUGGUGAAAUUGGGUGGAGCUGCAGCAUGCACUAAGCAUAUAUGGUGGCUAACAUACGCAAAAGAGAGCGAGAAGAGAAGCAACGGAACGGUUGUCAUCUAGUAAUGACCAAGAAGUGAUCCUGAACUCCUACUUACGUCAUUCAUAACUCAAACCGUGUUCACUUCCCGGACUCCGCCGAGAAGAGACCAUCAGGGCUACACACACGGUUGAUGUAUUUUAAUUAAGUUAAGUGACAAAUUCUCUACAACCGGACAUUAAAUCCCAUCUGCCUCAUAACCGCGGGCACGGCUUUCAAAAGAUAAUACCCUGCACGGGUGUCCCAACUUAGCCCAUCAUAAGCUCUCACGGUCAACGAAGGAUAAACCUUCUCCCGAAAAGACCCGAUCAGUCUCGGAAUCCCGGUUUACAAGACAUUUCGACAAUGGUAAAACAAGACCAGCAAGACCACCCGCUGUGCCGACAAAUCCCGAUAGGAGCUGCACAUAUCUCGUUCUCAGGGCACACCGGAUAAGCUAAGCGUACAGGUACCAACGUAACCCAAGUUGCCAAGGGACGGUCCCGCACGGUGCUCUAGUUUGGACCAACACUCGGAGGAGCACUGGCCCGGGGGUUUAAAAUAAAGAUGACCCUCGGGCUCUAGAAAACCCGGGUGAAAAAGGCUCAGGUGGCAAAUGGUAUAACCAAGGUUGGGCCUUGCUGGAGGAGUUUUAUUCAAGGCGAACUGUCAAGGGGGUCCCAUAAAUCACUCAACCGCGUAAGGAACGCAAACUCAAGGAACAUAAUACCGGUAUGUCGGAAAACUAGGGCGGCAAGAGUGGAACAAAACACCAGGCAUAAGGCCGAGCCUUCCACCCUUUACCAAAUGUAUAUAGAUGCAUUAAUAUAAUAAGAGAUAUUGUGAUAUCCCAACAUAAUAACCAUGUUCUAACAUGGAACCAACUUCAACUUCACCUGCAACUAGCUACGCUAUAAGAAGGGCUGAGCAAAAGCGGUAACUUAGCCAAACAACGGUUUGCUAGGAAAGGAUGGUUAGAGGCUGACAUGGCAAUAUGGGAGGCAUGAUAUAGCAAGUGGUAGGUAGCGCAGCAUGGCAAUAGAACGAACAACUAGCAAAGCAAAGAUAGAAGUGAUUUCGAGGGGUGGUCAUCUUGCCUGCAAGGUUCUCAGAGUUGUCGAAAGCUUGAUCCUCGUAAGCGUACUCAACAAGUUCCUCGUUCACGAACUCGUCUCCCGGCUCUACCCAAAACAAGAACACAAGCAACGGAACCACAAUCAAUCACGGAAGAUGCACAAGCAACAUGAUGCAAAACAUGUAUGAUAUGUGAGAUAUGAUAUGCGAUGCAUAUGCGUGCCCCGGAAGGAAAAUGAUGAACAAGGCAGUAACUUGGCAAACCAAGCAUGCCACUGGAAACAUGAGAUGAUUUCGGUUGAAAUCGAUAUAAAGAUCACCGGAAACGGAUGCACGGUUUGCAAAUGGCAAGCAAAACAAGAAUGACACGAAUCUGCGAUUAACAGCAUGAUAGCACAUAGAAUGCAACAAGUUACAAUGCUACAGCACUCCAACAUAGCAACAAAGCACAUGGCAGUAAUCUACAAGAGAUGCUUGACAAAAGAUGAACACUGAGCUACGGCUAGAUCACAAUCUAAAAGGUUCAAACAAGCAUGGCAAAAGAGCAAAAGAUAACAGGUUCACAGACUUGGUGAAAUUACUGGACAUGGCAGAAACAGCAUCAGGUAGCAAUGUUCAGAGCACGAAAUCAACAUGCUACAGGAACUUAACAUGGCAAAACAAAGCAUGGAAGUAUUCUACUAAAUGCAUAUGACACAAAUCCCUUACUGACCAUAAGCCAAAAAGGACCAGAAGAUAUGAUGGCAACCAUGUGAACAUAGCAAGUUCCGUUAACAGGUUUCAGACUUGGCAGAAAACAGAGCAUGGCAGAAACAGUAAUAUGAAGGCAUCUUGGUGAGCUUGAUGCACUCACCACAAAGCAAUGCAUGACAAAACAAGCAUACCUACAGAAAUAUGGCAUGUUUAUGAAGCUAUCCAUGGCAAGAUCAAGUACAUAGCAUGAAUGAAACAACUACAACAAGCUUGGCAAAAUUGAAUAACACGUAAACAAUCUGCCAGAAAUAUUUUAUAGCAAAAGUAGAUCAAGCUUGAGUCAUGCUAUUGCACUCCAUAAUUGCAAACAAUGGCAGGAAUGGAUCAAUUACAACAAUAUCUACAAAACAUCCUUAAUGAACAUCUCCAAAAUAAGCAUGGACCUCUCUGUAGACCCAUGGAUACAUAGCAACAAAAUAACAGCAGACAAAGACAGAAAUUACCAAUGUCUCUGAAAUCAGAAACAUUACGGAGCCUAGUUUGCACGCUUGUUCUAGUCACCACAGAGAUCACAAAAAUACAUGGCAUACACCUCCGUAAAUAUGGCAUGGCAUAAAACAAAACACAUGUAGAGCUCAUGCCCAUAAGAUGCACAGAUUAAAUGCAACAAAAAUAACAAAUCUCCAAGUUCUGCUAAGUAACAGCAGAUAACAGCAACUAGCACUCUUGCAGCAGAGAUUCGGUUAUCAAGAGUGACUCAAAUGAACAUGGUGCAAUGGAACAAAAUGAAGAGCAUCACUAGACGAACAUUUCGAUAUAUUACACGCGCGAAACGGAGCUAUAUGCAGAGAGUUAUGAUGCUAUGAACAUGGACAUAUAACGUCAAAUCUUUCAGGACUUCGAGAAAAAAACGGGGAAGAAGGAAGUCAACCACUGGAGAUCUAGAUCGGGCGGCUUCGAGCUCGGGCCGCCGGUGCUUCGGCCGGAGCAGAGGUGCGGUCGCCGGCGUCCGGCGUGGAGGAGGGAGACGGCGAGGCGGCGAGGUGGAGGAAGGAGGCGGCGGCGCGACGGCGGGAGGCGCCGGCGGGGUCGGACGCGGCGGGGCCGCGGUGGCGCGAGGCGCCGGCGGUGGCGCGACGGGCGGCCGGCGGGNNNNNNNNNNNNNNNNNNNNNNNNNNNNNNNNNNNNNNNNNNNNNNNNNNNNNNNNNNNNNNNNNNNNNNNNNNNNNNNNNNNNNNNNNNNNNNNNNNNNNNNNNNNNNNNNNNNNNNNNNNNNNNNNNNNNNNNNNNNNNNNNNNNNNNNNNNNNNNNNNNNNNNNNNNNNNNNNNNNNNNNNNNNNNNNNNNNNNNNNNNNNNNNNNNNNNNNNNNNNNNNNNNNNNNNNNNNNNNNNNNNNNNNNNNNNNNNNNNNNNNNNNNNNNNNNNNNNNNNNNNNNNNNNNNNNNNNNNNNNNNNNNNNNNNNNNNNNNNNNNNNNNNNNNNNNNNNNNNNNNNNNNNNNNNNNNNNNNNNNNNNNNNNNNNNNNNNNNNNNNNNNNNNNNNNNNNNNNNNNNNNNNNNNNNNNNNNNNNNNNNNNNNNNNNNNNNNNNNNNNNNNNNNNNNNNNNNNNNNNNNNNNNNNNNNNNNNNNNNNNNNNNNNNNNNNNNNNNNNNNNNNNNNNNNNNNNNNNNNNNNCUCGGGAGGGCCCGCGGCGGGCUUCGGCGGGCCAGCGGGCUCGCGGCGAAGUGGGGCGCCCGGGGUGGUGACGUGGCGCGCCCCGAUUGGACGAGGGCGGCGGCGCUGGUUCGUCCGGCGGCGGCGGACGCGUCCGGCCGCGGAGAGGGCGAUUUUUAGGGUUUGGACUAGAAUGAUUUCGGGAGGGGUGCAAAUAUAUAGGUAGAGGGAGCUAGGAGAGUCCAAAAUGAGGUGCGGUUUUCGCCCACACGAUCGUGAUCGAACGACCUAGAGCAUGGAAGUGACUUAGAGGGGUUUUGGGCUGUUUAGAGAAGGGUUUUUGCUGCACACACAAGCGGACUUUGCGGAUGCCCGGUUAACCGUUGGAGUACCAAACGACCUCCAAAUGGAACGAAACUUGACUGGUGGUCUCCCAGUGGUAUACCAAGGCCACUUGACAAGCGUCGGUCCAUUCCGAGAGCGUUCGACACCCGCUCACGAAAGAAAACAAGAGGGGUGCGCCGGAGGAGGUGGGAGCGCCGGAUUGCAAAACGGACAACGGGGAAAAUGCUCGGAUGCCUGAGACGAACACGUAUGCAAAUGCAAUGCACAUGAUGACAUGAUAUGAGAUGCAUGACAUGAACAAAAUGCAAAACGAAAGACAAAACCCGACCACGAAGGGAAUAUCAUAACACAUAGCCGAAAAUGGCAAGAGUUGGAGUUACAAAUAUGGAAAGUUACAUCCGGGGUGUUACAACACUCCACCACUACGAGGGGAUCUCCUCCCGAGAUCUAGGACUGAAAGAACUCCGGAUAUUCGGAACGGAGAUGGUCCUCGCGUUCCUAGGUGGCUUCUCGGUCGGAAUGGUGCAACCACUUCACUUUCAGGAAUUUGAUUGACUUGUUGCGAGUCUUGCGCUCAGUUUCUUCAAGAAUAGCAACGGGGUGCUCAUGAUAAGACAUAUCUUCUUGGAGGUCAAUCUCUUCGAAGUUGAUAGUGCGCUCAGGCGUCUUGAAGCACUUGCGGAGCUGUAACACGUGGAACACAUCGUGCACAUUCGCGAAGUUGGAGGGAAGCUGAAGUUGAUAGGCGAGGUCGCCUCUUUUGCCAAUGAUCUUGAAAGGACCCACGUAUCUAGGGGCAAGCUUCCCUUUGAUACCGAAGCGACGAGUGCCUUUCAUUGGAGAGACGCGGAGGUAGACAUGGUCUCCGAUCUCGAAAGCCACAUCACGGUGCUUACUAUCAGAGUAACUCUUCUGGCGCGAUUGCGCGGCUUUGAGAUUUUCACGGAUGACUUUACACAUUUCUUUAGCCUCUGUGAUUAAGUCAUUGCCAAGAAGUUGGCGUUCACCAGUUCUGACCAAUUGAGAGGAGUAUGGCACUUUCUGCCAUAGAGAAUCUCGAAUGGGGCCUUCCCCGAACUCGCUUGGAAGCUGUUGUUGUAGAAGAUUCAUCAGUGCAUCUGGUCGCGCACCGGACAGUCACGGAGUCUUUCUGUUGCUCUCCUUAGGAGCCGAAUACUCCGGACUUCGGGUGGCCGAAGGGUUACCCUCUGGCCUUGGCGGAUCAGGAGAAACCCUCCGUGACGACACCUCAGGGUCAUCUGCUUCACGAGGUGGGGAGGCACGGGGAGGCAUUUCGCUCUCCAUCAUCCCCGGAAGAAGAUCCCCCGAAGACGAACUUUGUCGAGAAGGGCUACGAUCCGAACUACAAGACAUACGUCUCAGUUACUGUUCUCGGAAAUAAAGCAGGGUAUAUUUACUAUGAAGUACUUUUGUUUACUUACAGCUCGGUGGAGGGUUGGUCCCCUUGCGGGUACUCUGCGGUAAGGAUGCCCUCCGGGGUAGGGCCCCCUGACGAAGGUUUCUUCCCUCGUUUGGAAAACCAUUGUUUCCAAGUCUUCAAAGGCGGCCCUCUUCCUUCCUUGGGGGGAAGGAAUUUUAGAUUCUUCUCCCUGGUUAUCCUCCUUCGCGGAGGCACUAAUUCCCCCGGUUUGGAUGAAUAAUGAGUGAGGCUCGCUUUUGGCUUCUUUAUUCCCCCCUUUAUCUUCCCCUGAUGGCGCUUGAUAAGGCACGAGCUCAAGCAUUCUGGCCAGUACUGGAUCUGUUGAGCCUUCGAGAAGGGGGGCCGAACACCUGAUCAUCUUCGCCUUUUUUACCCAGUCCUGGUCAAAGAGCGACUUUUCAGAAUGAUGUUGUGAUAAAUAAAAAGACAGCAUGUUCGGCCGAAGAAUUACUUACUUGGGUAUCUGGACGAUUGCAGCUCAGACCCGCAUCCUCGGUGGUGUCCGGACAUUUUAUUUGUGAUCCGAAGAACAAUCCGUAUAUCUCUUCGUGCGUCAUGCCGAAGAAGUGCUGAAUAGUUCGCGGUCCUUCCAGGUUGAACUCCCACAUACGGAGAGGUCAACGUUUGCAAGGCAGGGCUCGACGAACUAGCAUGACUUGCAUUAUCUUGACAAGGCUGACAUCUCUCUCGAGGAGAUCUCGGAUGCGACUCUGCAAUGUCAGCACGUCAUUUACUGGCCCCCAGUCCAUCCCCUUGUUGACCCAUGACGCCAGUUGUGGCGGGGGGGCGAGCGGAAGGCAGGGGCGGCUACCCACUUAGUACCACGGGGAGCUGUGAUGUAAAACCACUCCCGUUGCCAUAAGCUGGACACCUCCGGGAAGGAACCCUUUGGCCAUGGAGCAUCGGCGCCUUUGCCUAUUAUGGCACCUCCGCAUUCUGCGUGUCGCCCAUUAAUCAUCUUCGGCUUCACAUUGAAGGUCUUGAGCCACAAGCCGAAGUGUGGGGUGACAUGGAGGAAGUCCUCACACACGACGAUGAACGACGAGAUGUGAAGGAUGGAAUCCGGGGCCAGAUCAUGGAAAUCCAGCCCCUAAUAGAACAUGAGCCCUCUAACAAAGGGAUCUAGACUAAAGCCUAGCCCUCGGAGGAAGUGGGAGACAAAUACGACACUCUUGUUAGGCUCGGGAGUGGGGAUGACCUGCCCUCUAGCAGGCAGCCUGUGCGAAAUUUCGGCGGUCAGAUACCUGGCCUCUCUUAGCUUCUUGAUGUCCUCCUCUGUGACGGAGGAGGGCAUCCACCGACCUUGAAGGUUGGAUCCGGACAUGAUUGAAGGCCCGAAGCGCCUAGCCUGAGCCUUGGGUGUUGGAACUCGAGGUGGGGGAAGGAUUCGAUUGAGCGCGAGAAGAAAGGAACAGGCCUUGGCCCCUUUAUAAAGAGGGUGAAUAUCAAGCGUCCUCCGCGUGGCCGUUUGGGACUUGCCUAAAAUCGAGGAGUCAUACCAACAGGCACGAUUGGGUUACCCAUACCCGUAUUGAUGAGAAUCCCGUGAUAAGGGGGACACGAUCUCUGCUUCGACAAGACGUGCCAAUAAAACCGCCUCGCGAAACGUGCAGUGGCAGGCUGGGAGAAACGGUUUGAAUAAUGACCGGGCCGUGGUGUGAUGCCACGUUAUGAAAAGUUGUCAGCAGAUUAGAUUUGUGGAAAUAUUAUUCUCUCUACGGUGGUAUGUGGAAUUUGUUUUGCAGAGCCGGAUACUAUCCUUGUGUUCAAAAUCUUCUAUGGAAUAUUCGGAGGGACCCGCCUUGCAAUGCCGAAGACAAUCUGCGCGUCGGACUCAUCGUCAUUGAAGCCUGGUUAAGGGGCUACUGAGGGAGUCCUAGAUUAGGGGGUCCCCGGACAGCCGUACUAUAUCCUUUAGCCGGACUGUUGGACUAUGAAGAUACAAGAUUGAAGACUUCGUCCCGUGUCCGGAUGGGACUCUCCUUGGCGUGGAAGGCAAGCUUGGCAAUACGGAUAUGUAGAUAUCCUCCCUUGUAACCGACUCUGUGUAACCCUAGCCCCCUCCAAUGUCUAUAUAAACCGGAGGAUUUAGUCCGUAGGACAACAACAAUCAUACCAUAGGCUAGCUUCUAGGGUUUAGCCUCUACGAUCUCGUGGUAGAUCAACUCUUGUAAUACUCGUAUCAUCAAGAUCAAUCUAGCAGGAAGUAGGGUAUUACCUCCAUCGAGAGGGCCCGAACCUGGGUAAACAUCGUGUCCCCCGCCUCCUAUUACCAUCCACCUUAGACGCACAGUUCGGGACCCCCUACCCGAGAUCCGCCGGUUUUGACACCGACAGGUAGCAUUAUAAGAUGAUCUCUCACUAAAUUUCAAGAUAAAAGUGUUCUCCCUGAGUAUGCACCGUUGCUAAAGUUCGUCAUGCCGAGACACCACGUGAUGAUUGGGUGUGAUAAGCUCUACGUCCAUCUACAACGGGUGCAAGCCAGUUUUGCACACGCAGAAUACUCGGGUUAAACUUGACGAGCCUAGCAUAUGCAGAUAUGGCCUCGGAACACUGAGACCGAAAGGUCGAGCGUGAAUCAUAUAGUAGAUAUGAUCAACAUAGUGAUGUUCACCAUUGAAAACUACCCCAUCUCACGUGAUGAUCGAACAUGGUUUAGUUGAUUUGGAUCACAUGAUCACUUAGAUGAUUAGAGGGAUGUCUAUCUAAGUGGGAGUUCUUAAGUAAUAUGAUUAUUUGAACUUAAAUUUAUCAUGAACUUAGUACCUGAUAGUAUCUUGCUUGUCUAUGUUGAUUUUAGAUAGAUGGCCCGUGUUGUUGUUCCGUUGAAUUUUAAUGCGUUCCUUGAGAAAGAAAAGUUGAAAGAUGAUGGUAGCAAUUACAUGGACUGGGUUCGUAACUUGAGGAUUAUCCUCAUUGAUGCACAGAAGAAUUACGUCCUAGAAGCACCGCUGGGUGCCAGGCCCGCUGCAGAUGCAACUGACGAUGUUAAGAACGUUUGGCAGAGCAAAGCUGAUGACUACUCGAUAGUUCAGUGUGCCAUGCUUUACGGCUUAGAACCGGGACUUCAACGACGUUUUGAACGUCAUGGAGCAUAUGAGAUGUUCCAGGAGUUGAAGUUAAUAUUUCAAGCAAAUGCCCGGAUUGAGAGAUAUGAAGUCUCCAAUAAGUUCUAUAGCUGCAAGAUGGAGGAGAAUAGUUCUGUUAGUGAACAUAUACUCAAAAUGUCUGGGUAUAACAAUCACUUGAUUCAACUGGGAGUUAAUCUUCCGGAUGAUAGUGUCAUUGACAGAAUUCUUCAAUCACUGCCACCAAGCUACAAGAGCUUCGUGAUGAACUAUAAUAUGCAAGGGAUGGAUAAGACAAUUCCCGAGCUCUUCGCAAUGCUAAAGGCUGCGGAGGUAGAAAUCAAGAAGGAGCAUCAAGUGUUGAUGGUCAACAAGACCACCAGUUUCAAGAAAAAGGGUAAAGGGAAGAAGAAGGGGAACUUCAAGAAGAACGGCAAACAAGUUGCUGCUCAAGAGAAGAAACCCAAGUCUGGACCUAAGCCUGAGACUGAGUGCUUCUACUGCAAGCAGACUGGUCACUGGAAGCGGAACUGCCCCAAGUAUUUGGCGGAUAAGAAGGAUGGCAAGGUGAACAAAGGUAUAUGUGAUAUACAUGUUAUUGAUGUGUGCCUUACUAGAGCUCGCAGUAGCACCUGGGUAUUUGAUACUGGUUCUGUUACUAAUAUUUGCAACUCAAAACAGGGACUACGGAUUAAGCGAAGGCUGGCUAAGGAUGAGGUGACGAUGCGCGUGGGAAAUGGUUCCAAAGUCGAUGUGAUCGCCGUCGGCACGCUACCUCUACAUCUACCUUCGGUAUUAGUUUUAGACCUAAAUAAUUGUUAUUUGGUGCCAGCGUUGAGCAUGAACAUUAUAUAUGGAUCUUGUUUGAUGCGAGACGGUUAUUCAUUUAAGUCAGAGAAUAAUUGUUGUUCUAUUUAUAUGAGUAAUAUCUUUUAUGGUCAUGCACCCUUGAAGAAUGGUCUAUUUUUGUUGAAUCUCGAUAGUAGUGAUACACAUAUUCAUAAUGUUGAAGCCAAAAGAUGCAGAGUUGAUAAUGAUAGUGCAACUUAUUUGUGGCACUACCGUUUGGGUUAUAUUGGUGUAAAGCGCGUGAAGAAACUCCAUACUGAUGGACUUUUGGAAUCACUUGAUUAUGAAUCACUUGGUACUUGCGAACCAUGCCUUAUGGGCAAGAUGACUAAAACGCCGUUCUCCGGAACAAUGGAGUGAGCAACAGAUUGUUCGAAAUCAUACAUACUGAUGUAUGUGGUCCGAUGAAUAUUGAGGCUCGCGGCGGGUAUCAUUAUUUUCUCACCUUCACAGAUGAUUUGAGCAGAUAUGGGUAUAUCUACUUAAUGAAACAUAAGUCUGAAACAUUUGGAAAGUUCAAAGAAUUUCAGAGUGAAGUGGAAAAUCAUCGUAACAAGAAAAUAAAGUUUCUAUGAUCUGAUCGUGGAGGAGAAUGUUUGAGUUACGAGUUUGGUCUUCAUUUGAAACAAUGUGGAAUAGUUUCGCAACUCACGCCACCCGGAACACCAAAGCGUAAUGGUGUGUCCGAACGUCGUAAUCGUACUUUACUAGAUAUGGUGCGAUCUAUGAUGUCUCUUACUGAUUUACCGCUAUCGUUUUGGGGUUAUGCUCUAGAGACGACUGCAUUCACGUUAAAUAGGGCACCAUCGAAAUCCGUUGAGACAACGCCAUAUGAACUGUGGUUUGGCAACAAACCAAAGUUGUCGUUUCUUAAAGUUUGGGGCUGCGAUGCUUAUGUGAAAAAGCUUCAACCUGAUAAGCUCGAACCCAAAUCGGAAAAAUGUGUCUUCAUAGGAUACCCAAAGGAAACUGUUGGGUACACCUUCUAUCACAGAUCCGAAGGCAAAACUUUUGUUGCUAAGAAUGGAUCCUUUCUAGAGAAGGAGUUUCUCUCGAAAGAAGUGAGUGGGAGGAAAGUAGAACUUGAUGAGGUAACUGUACCUGCUCCAUUACUGGAAAGUAGUUCAUCACAGAAACCGGUUCCUGUGACUCCUACACUAAUUAGUGAGGAAGCUAAUGAUGUUGAUCAUGAAACUUCAGAUCAAGUUACUACCGAACCUCGUAGGUCAACCAGAGUAAGAUCGGCACCAGAUUGGUACGGUAAUCCUAUUCUGGAGGUCAUGUUACUUGACCAAGGCGAACCUACAAACUAUGAAGAAGCGAUGGUGAGCCCAGAUUCCGCAAAAUGGCUUGAGGCCAUGAAAUCUGAGAUGGGAUCCAUGUAUGAGAACAAAGUGUGGACUUUGGUUGACUUGCCCGAUGAUCGGCAAGCAAUAGAGAAUAAAUGGAUCUUCAAGAAGAAGACUGACGCUGACGGUAAUGUUACUGUCUAUAAAGCUCGACUUGUUGCGAAAGGUUUUCGACAAGUUCAAGGGAUUGACUAUGAUGAGAUUUUCUCACCCGUAGCGAUGCUUAAGUCUGUCUGAAUCAUGUUAGCAAUUGCCACAUUUUAUGAUUAUGAAAUUUGGCAAAUGGAUGUCAAAACUGCAUUCCUGAAUGGAUAUCUGGAAGAACAGUUGUAUAUGAUGCAACCAGAAGGUUUUGUCGAUCCAAAGGGAGCUAACAAAGUGUGCAAGCUCCAGCGAUCCAUUUAUGGACUGGUGCAAGCCUCUCGGAGUUGGAAUAAACGUUUUGAUAGUGUGAUCAAAGCAUAUGGUUUUAUACAGACUUUUGGAGAAGCCUGUAUUUACAAGAAAGUGAGUGGGAGCUCUGUAGCAUUUCUGAUAUUAUAUGUGGAUGACAUAUUACUAAUUGGAAAGGAUAUAGAAUUUCUGGAUAGCAUAAAAGGAUACUUGAAUAAGAAUUUUUUCAGUGAAAGACCUUGGUGAAGCUGCUUACAUAUUGGGCAUCAAGAUCUAUACAGAUAGAUCAAGAUGCCUGAUAGGACUUUCACAAAGCACAUACCUUGACAAAGUUUUGAAAUAGUUCAAAAUGGAUCAAGCAAAGAAAUGGUUCUUGCCUGUGUUACAAAGUGUGAAGUUGAGUCAGACUCAAUGCCCAACCACUGCAGAAGAUAGAGAGAAAAUGAAAGAUGUUCCCUAUGCUUCAGCCAUAGGCUCUAUCAUGUAUGCAAUGAUGUGUACCAGACCUGAUGUGUGUCUUGCUAUUAGCCUAGCAGGGAGGUACCAAAGUAAUCCAGGAGUGGAUCACUGGACAGCGGUCAAGAACAUCCUGAAAUACCUGAAAAGGACUAAGGAUAUGUUUCUCGUAUAUGGAGGUGACAAAGAGCUCGUCGUAAAUGGUUACGUCGAUGCAAGCUUUGACACUGAUCCGGACGAUUCUAAAUUGCAAACCGGAUACGUGUUUACAUUAAACGGUGGAGCUGUCAGUUGGUGCAGUUCUAAACAAAGCGUCGUGGCGGGAUCUACGUGUGAAGCGGAGUACAUAGCUGCUUCGGAAGCAGCAAAUGAAGGAGUUCAUAUCCGAUCUAGGUGUCAUACCUAGUGCAUCGGGUCCAAUGAAAAUCUUUUGUGACAAUACUGGUGCAAUUGCCUUGGCAAAGGAAUCCAGAUUUCACAAGAGAACCAAGCACAUCAAGAGACGCUUCAAUUCCAUCUGGGACCAAGUCCAGGUGGGAGACAUAGAGAUUUGCAAGAUACAUACAGAUCUGAAUGUUGCAGACCCGUUGACUAAGCCUCUUCCACGAGCAAAACAUGAUCAGCACCAAGACUCCAUGGGUGUUAGAAUCAUUACAAUGUAAUCUAGAUUAUUGACUCUAGUGCAAGUGGGAGACUGAAGGAAAUAUGCCCUAGAGGCAAUAAUAAAGUUAUUAUUUAUUUCCUCAUAUCAUGAUAAAUGUUUAUUAUUCAUGCUAGAAUUGUAUUAACCGGAAACAUAAUACAUGUGUGAAUACAUAGACAAACAUAGUGUCACUAGUAUGCCUCUACUUAACUAGCUCGUUAAUCGAAGAUGGUUGUGUUUCCUAACCAUAGACAUGAGUUGUUAUUUGAUUAACGGGAUCACAUCAUUAGGAGAAUGAUGUGAUUGACUUGACCCAUUCCGUUAGCUUAGCACUUGAUCGUUUAGUAUGUUGCUAUUGCUUUCUUCAUGACUUAUACGUGUUCCUAUGUCUAUGAGAUUAUGCAACUCCUGCUUACCGGAGGAACACUUUGUGUGCUACCAAACGUCACAACGUAACUGGCUGAUUAUAAAGGUGCUCUACAGGUGUCUCCGAAGGUACUUGUUGAGUUGACGUAUUUCGAUAUUAGCAUUUGUCACUCCGAUUGUCGGAGAGGUAUCUCUGGGCCCUCUCGGUAAUGCACAUCACUAUAAGCCUUGCAAGCAAUGUGACAAAUGAGUUAGUUGCGAGAUGAUGCAUUACGUAACGAGUAAAGAGACUUGUCGGUAACGAGAUUGAACUAGGUAUUGAGAUACCGACGUGUUCGAAAUAUGCCCUAGAGGCAAUAAUAAAUGGUUAUUAUAAUAUUUCUUUGUUCAUGAUAAUUGUCUAUUGUUCAUGCUAUAAUUGUGUUAUCCGGAAAUCGUAAUACAUGUGUGAAUACAUAGACCACAACGUGUCCCUAGUAAGCCUCUACAUGACUAGCUCGUUGAUCAACAGAUAGUCAUGGUUUCCUGACUAUGGACAUUGGAUGUCAUUGAUAACGGGAUCACAUCAUUAGGAGAAUGAUGUGAUGGGCAAGACCCAAUCCUAAGCAUAGCACAAAAGAUCGUGUAGUUCGUUUGCUAGAGCUUUUCCAAUGUCAAGUAUCUUUUCCUUAGACCAUGAGAUCGUGCAACUCCCGGAUGUCGUAGGAGUGCUUUGGGUGUGCCAAACAUCACAACGUAACUGGGUGACUAUAAAGGUGCACUACGGGUAUCUCCGAAAGUGUCUGUUGGGUUGGCACGGAUCGAGACUGGGAUUUGUCACGCCGUAUGACGGGGAGGUAUCUCUAGGCCCACUCGGUAAUGCAUCAUCAUAAUGAGCUUAAUGUGACUAAGGAGUUAGCCACGGGAUCAUGCGUUACGGUACGAGUAAAGAGACUUGGCGGUAACGAGAUUGAACAAGGUAUUGGGAUACCGACGAUCGAAUCUCGGGCAAGUAACAUACCGAUUGAAAAAGGGGAUUGUAUAUGGGAUUGAUUGAAUCCUCGACAUCGUGGUUCAUCCGAUGAGAUCAUCGUGGAACAUGUGGGAGCCAACAUGGGUAUCCAGAUCCCGCUGUUGGUUAUUGACCGGAGAGGCGUCUCGGUCAUGUCUGCAUGUCUCCCGAACCCGUAGGGUCUACACACUUAAGGUUCGGUGACGCUAGGGUUGUAGAGAUAUGAGUAUGCGGAAACCCGAAAGUUGUUCGGAGUCCCGGAUGAGAUCCCGGACGUCACGAGGAGUUCCGGAAUGGUCCAGAGGUGAAGAAUUAUAUAUAGGAAGUCCACUUCGGCCACCGGGAAAGUUUCGGGGGUUAUCGGUAUUGUACCGGGACCACCGGAAGGGUCCCGGGGAUCCACCGGGUGGGGCCACCUAUCCCGGAGGGCCCCAUGGGCUGAAGUGGGAAGGGAACCAGCCCUUAGUGGGUUGGGGCGCCCCCCUUGGGCCUUCCCCUGCGCCUAGGGUUGGAAACCCUAGGGGUGGGGGCGCCCCACUUGGCUUGGGGGGGAAGCCACCCCCUUCCCCCUUGNNNNNNNNNNNNNNNNNNNNNNNNNNNNNNNNNNNNNNNNNNNNNNNNNNNNNNNNNNNNNNNNNNNNNNNNNNNNNNNNNNNNNNNNNNNNNNNNNNNNNNNNNNNNNNNNNNNNNNNNNNNNNNNNNNNNNNNNNNNNNNNNNNNNNNNNNNNNNNNNNNNNNNNNNNNNNNNNNNNNNNNNNNNNNNNNNNNNNNNNNNNNNNNNNNNNNNNNNNNNNNNNNNNNNNNNNNNNNNNNNNNNNNNNNNNNNNNNNNNNNNNNNNNNNNNNNNNNNNNNNNNNNNNNNNNNNNNNNNNNNNNNNNNNNNNNCUUGUAGAUGGGAUCCAGGGCCGGCGCCCCCCCUCGCAGGGGGCCUAUAUAUAGUGGGGGGAGGGAGGGCAGCAGCACCACAGCCCCUGGCGCCUCCCUCUCCCCUUGCAACACCUCUCCCUCUCGCAGAAGCUUGGCGAAGCCCUGCCGAGAUCCCCGCUACAUCCACCACCACACCGUCGUGCUGCUGGAUCUCCAUCAAUCUCUCCUUCCCCCUUGCUGGAUCAAGAAGGAGGAGACGUCGCUGCUCCAUACGUGUGUUGAACGCGGAGGUGCCGUCCGUUCGGCACUCGGUCAUCGGUGAUUUGGAUCACGACGAGUACGACUCCAUCAACCCCAUUCAUUAGAACGCUUCCGCUCGCGAUCUACAAGGGUAUGUAGAUACACUCCUUUCCCCUCGUUGCUAGUAUACUCCAUAUAUGGAUCUUGGUGAUGCGUAGGAAAUAUUUUAAAUUCUGCUACGAUCCCCAACAGUGGCAUCAUGAGCCAGGCCUAUGCGUAGUUACUAUGCACGAGUAGAACACAAAGCAGUUGUGGGCGUAGAUGUUGUCAAUUUUUCUUGCCACUACUAGUCUUAUCUUGUUUCGGCGGUAUUGUGGGAUGAAGCGGCCCGGACCGACCUUACACGUACGCUUACGUGAGACAGGUUCCACCGACUGACAUGCACUAGUUGCAUAAGGUGGCUAGCGGGUGUCUGUCUCUCCCACUUUAGUCGGAACGGAUUCGAUGAAAAGGGUCCUUAUGAAGGGUAAAUAGAAAUUGGCAUAUCACAUUGUGGUUUUACGUAGGUAAGAAAAGUUCUUGCUAGAAACCUAUAGAAGCCACGUAAAAACUUGCAACAACAAUUAGAGGACGUCUAACUUGUUUUUGCAGCAUGUGCCUUGUGAUGUGAUAUGGCCAAAAAGAUGUGAUGAAUGAUAUAUGUGAUGUAUGAGAUUGAUCAUAUUCUUGUAAUAGGAAUCACGACUUGCAUGUCGAUGAGUAUGACAACCGGCAGGAGCCAUAGGAGUUGUCUUUAUUAUUUUGUAUGACCUACGUGUCAUUGAAUAGCGCCAUGUAAAUUACUUUACUUUAUUGCUAAACGCGUUAGCCAUAGAAGUAGAAGUAAUCGUUGGCAUGAAAACUUCAUGAAGACACGAUGAUGGAGAUCAUGGUGUCGUGCCGGUGACGAAGAUGAUCAUGGCGCCCCGAAGAUGGAGAUCAAAGGAGCAAAAUGAUAUUGGCCAUAUCAUGUCACUAUUUGAUUGCAUGUGAUGUUUAUCAUGUUUUGCAUCUUAUUUGCUUAGAACGAUGGUAGUAAGUAAGAUGAUCCCUUAUAAUAAUUUCAAGAAAGUGUUCCCCCUAACUGUGCACCGUUGCGAAGGUUCGUUGUUUCGAAGCACCACGUGAUGAUCGGGUGUCAUAGAUUCUAACGUUCGCAUACAACGGGUGUUGACGAGCCUAGCAUGUACAGACAUGGCCUCGGAACACACGCAAUACACUUAGGUUGACUUGACGAGCCUAGCAUGUACAGACACGGCCUUGGAACACGGAAGACCGAAAGGUCGAGCAUGAGUCGUAUAGAAGAUACGAUCAACAUGGAGAUGUUCACCGAUCUUGACUAGUCCGUCUCACGUGAUGAUCGGACACGGCCUAGUUAACUCGGAUCAUGUUUCACUUAGAUGACUAGAGGGAUGUCUAUCUGAGUGGGAGUUCAUUGAAUAAUUUGAUUAGAUGAACUCAAUUAUCAUGAACUUAGUCUAAAAUCUUUACAAUAUGUCUUUUAGAUCAAAUGGCCCACGUUGUCCUCAACUUCAACGCGUUCCUAGAGAAAACCAAGCUAAAAGAUGAUGGCAGCAACUAUACGGACUGGGUCCGGAACCUGAGGAUCAUCCUCAUAGCUGCCAAGAAAGAUUAUGUCCUAGAAGCACCGCUAGGUGAAGCACCCAUCCCAGAGAACCAAGACGUUAUGAACGCUUGGCAAUCACGUGCUGAUGAUUACUCCCUCGUUUAGUGUGCCAUGCUUUACAGCUUAGAACCGGGGCUCCAAAAGCGUUUUGAGAAACAUGGAGCAUAUGAGAUGUUCGAAGAGCUGAAAAUGGUUUUCCAAGCUCAUGCCUGGGUCGAGAGAUAUCAAGUCUCCGACAAGUUCUUCAGCUGUAAAAUGGAGGAAAAUAGUUCUGUUAGUGAGCACAUACUCAGAAUGUCUGGGUUACACAACCGCUUGUCUCAGCUGGGAGUUAAUCUCCCGGAUGACGCGGUCAUUGACAGAAUCCUUCAGUCUCUUCCACCGAGCUACAAGAGCUUUGUGAUGAACUUCAAUAUCAUGUGGACAGUAUCAUGUGUUUACCACCAGUCUGUGCAAGCGAGAUCAGAAGCUUCAUAAAAGGGCUGUGAAUGCUGUUGAGCCAGCGGUUCCACGCUAUUUAAGAUGGUCUGAGCAGCCUAUUGUGUGGAGUAGGGAAGAUCAUCCUCCCCGGGUUGAUAAUCCAGGUCACCUGGCCCUGGUGGUGGCUCCUCAGGUGGGGGAUAUAAAUUCACUAAAGUGCUCAUGGACGGAGGCAGCAGCAUCAACAUCCUCUAUUAUGAGAUCUUCCGUCGUAUGGGAUUGAUUGAUAAGAACCUCAGCCAGUCCAAUACUGUUUUCCAUGGGGUGGUGCCUGGUAAGUCGGCAUAUCCAGUUGGUAAGAUCGAGCUGGAAGUGGCUUUUGGAGAUGAGUACAACUACAGAGCGGAAAAACUAAUCUUUGAGGUGGUUAAGAUAAGAAGUACGUAUCAUGCUUUAUUUGGGCGGCCGGCUUACGCCAAGUUCAUGGCACGGCCGUGUUACGUGUAUUUGCAGCUCAAGAUGCCGGGUCACAAUGGGACCAUUACGGUUCAUGGCAGCCGAAAGAUAGCCUUGGAGUGUGAGGAAGGUGACGCGGCUUACGCGGAAUCUAUUUGUGCCACAGAGGAGUUGAAGUUUUACAAGGAGAAUGUUGACCCGGCAGAUAUGACGUCUUUGAAAAAGCCAACCACGGAGCAUGAGCCGGUAAUGAAAUUUAAAUCAGCUGAUGAGACUAAACUCGUUGACUUUGUUCUAGGUGACUCAUCUCAGCAGUUCAGUAUCAGUGCCAAUCUGGAUCCGAAAUAGGAAGGCGCGCUCAUCGAGUUCAUCCGUGAGAACAGGGACAUCUUUGCGUGGAAACCUUCUGACAUGCCAGGUGUACCUAGAGAACUCGCUGAGCACACUCUCAAUAUUGAUCUGAAAUUUAAGCCGGUCAGGCAAUUCCUCCGGCGGUUUAAUGAGGAGAGGCGGAAAGCCUUCGGUGAGGAAGUAGCCUGGCUCUUGGCGGCCGGGUUUAUUGUUGAAGUCUUUCAUCCGGAGUGGUUAGCUAACCCGGUGCUUGUGCUCAAGAAGAACGGCACCUGGCGUAUGUGUGUGGAUUAUACGGAUUUAAACAAAGCCUGUCCGGCUGAUCCUUUUGCUCGCCCCCGUAUUGAUCAAAUUAUCGAUGCUACGGCGGGCUGUGAGCGUUUAAGCUUUUUGGACGCUUACCCUGGAUACCAUCAGAUCAAAAUGGCAGUUAAGGACCAGGAGAAGACAGCGUUCAUCACUCCCUUUGGAGCCUUCUGUUAUGUGUCUAUGCCUUUUGGGCUCAAGAGUGCGCAGGCGACUUACCAACGUUGCGUGCAGAAUUGUCUUCAUCACCAGAUUGGGUGCAACCUUCAUGCCUAUGUGGAUGAUAUCGUAGUUAAAUCCAGAGAGAAGGAGACCUUGAUAGAUGAUCUGAGAGAGACCUUUGAUAAUCUCCGGGUCUACAAGAUGAUGCUUAACCCGGCCAAGUGUGUUUUUGGCGUUCCUGCAGGCAAGCUCUUGGGUUUUCUGGUUUCUCACAGAGGCAUUGAAGCUAACCCGGAAAAGAUCAAGGCAAUUACCUCUCUGGCUAAGCCGGCCUGCAUAAACGAUGUCUAGCGUCUGGCGGGUCGCAUCGCUGCUUUGAGCCGGUUUAUAAGCCAGUUGGGCAAAAAGGCCAUGCCACUGUACCAGAUGAUGAAGAAAACAGAUGACUUUAUCUGGAAUGAUGCUUCUAAUACUGCUUUUGAGGAUUUGAAAAGACAGCUAGCUGAGCCACCAGUCCUUGCUGCUCCUGUUGACAAGGAGCCCUUAUUGCUGUAUGUGGCCGCUAACACACGAGCCGUCAGUGUGGCUGUGGUGGUGGAGCGUAAGGAAGCGAGUAAGGAGUAUCCGGUUCAGCGGCCGGUUUACUACGUCAGCGAAGUACUCAUUGAGUCCAAACAGCGGUAUCCACAUUGGCAGAAGCUUGUUUAUGGUGUGUUCAUGGCAAGCCGGAAGCUUAAGCAUUAUUUCCAGGGUCACCCUAUCACUGUGGUUAGUUCUGCUCCCCUAGGAGAUAUCAUCCAAAACAGAGAAGCCACAGGAAGAGUUGCUAAGUGGGCUAUAGAACUUGGGCCUCAUGGUCUAAAAUACAUGCCGCGCACUGCUAUCAAAUCUCAAGCGUUGGUGGAUUUCAUCAACGAUUGGACAGAGCUGCAGGUGCCUGAAGAGAAACCGGAUAAUACAUACUGGACUAUUCACUUCGACGGGUCUAGGCAAUUGGAGGGCUCGGGGGCUGGAGUUGUAUUAACUUCCUCUCGAGGUGACAAGUUUUGCUAUGUGCUACGGUUGAUGUUUCCCUGUACUAACAAUGCGGCUGAGUACGAGGCCUUGCUCCAUGGUCUUCGGAUGGCUAAGGAGAUGAGCUUGAGCCGGGUAAGGUGCUUUGGCGACUCAGAUUUGGUGGCCCAACAAGUGUCAGGCAAGUGGGAUUCCAAGGACCCUCUCAUGGCGGCUUAUCGCCGCGAAGUUGAUGCCAUUGCUGGACAUUUUCAGGGUUACCAAGUAGAGCACAUCGAUCGCAGGAAGAACGAGGCGGUUGAUGCAUUAAGCCGACUGGGCUCUCAGCGAAAGCCGGUGCCGCCAAAUACUUUCUUGGACAUUUUGUAUAACCCUUCUGUUAAGUUGCCUACAGAGGAAGACUUGGCUGUUCCUGACCCGGAGGCACAGUUGGUGGCGGCUCUCCACAUUACCCCAGACUGGACAGUACCAUACUUGGCUUACAUGACCCGGGGAGAAUUGCCUGAGGAUGAAACUUUGGCCAGACAAAUAACCCGGCGGUCUAAGUCAAUGAUAAUUAUCAAGGGCGAGCUGCAUCAUCGCAGUGUCACUGGAACUUUCCAGCGUUGUGUUUCCCCUGAGGAAGGUCAGGAAAUUUUACGUGAGAUUCACGAGGGGGAUUGUGGCCAUCAUGUCGGCUCGAAAUCCCUUGUGGCCAAGGCUUUUCGCGACGGGCUCAUGUGCCGGCUCAAGAAUUGAGGAUGAUUCCAAUUACUUGGCCAUUUGCGGUCCGGGGGCUUGAUAUGGUUGGGCCUUUUAAAAGAUCCAAGGAUAAGAAGACCCACCUCUUCGUGGCGGUCGACAAGUUCACAAAGUGGGUUGAAGCAGAGCUAGUUAGUAAGUGCGACGAAGCCACGGCGGUUCAGUUCAUGAAAAGGGUGAUAUUUCGCUUUGGUUUUCCACACAGCAUUAUAACUGACAAUGGUACCAAUCUGUCUAAAGGCGCCAUGGAGGAGUUUUGUCAACAAGAGCAUAUUCGACUUGAUGUUUCAUCAGUAGCUCACCCUCAAUCCAAUGGUCAAGCUGAGAGAGCCAAUCAGGAGAUCUUGAAGGGCAUCAAGCCCCGGCUUUUGGUCCCUUUGCAACGGACGCCGGGUUGUUGGGUGGAGGAGUUACCCUCCGUGUUAUGGAGUAUCAAUACUACUCCUAACAGGUCUACGGGUUACACGCCUUUCUUCAUGGUUUAUGGAGCGGAAGCGGUCCUCCCUAGCGACAUCCGUCAUGACUCGCCUCGAGUGGCGGCUUAUGUUGAGGCCGAUAAUGAGCAGGCGCGUCAAGAUGCUCUUGACUUGUUGGACGAACAGCGUGACAUGGCCGCAGCUCACUCGGCGAUUUACCAACAAGACCUGCGCCGUUAUCACAGCCACCGGGUUAAGUCCAGGGUCUUUCAGGAAGGUGAUCUGGUGCUCCGGCUCAUCCAAGAUCCAAUCCAAUGGUCAAGCUGAGAGAGCCAAUCAGGUGAUCUUGAAGGGCAUCAAGCCCCGGCUUUUGGUCCCUUUGCAACGGACGCCGGGUUGUUGGGCGGAGGAGUUACCCUCCGUGUUAUGGAGUAUCAAUACUACUCCUAACAGGUCUACGGGUUACACACCUUUCUUCAUGGUUUAUGGAGCGGAAGCGGUCCUCCCUAGCGACAUCCGUCAUGACUCACCUCGAGUGGCGGCUUAUGUUGAGGCGAUAAUGAGCAGGCGCGUCAAGAUGCUCUUGACUUGUUGGACGAACAGCGUGACGUGGCCGCAGCUCGCUCGGCGAUUUACCAACAAGACCUGCACCAUUAUCAUAGCCGCCGGGUUAAGUCCAGGGUCUUUCAGGAAGGUGAUCUGGUGCUCCGGCUCAUCCAAGAUCAAACAGAUGCACACAAGUUAUCCCCGCCUUGGGAAGGGCCCUUUGUGGUCAGCAAGAACUUGCACAACGGGUCAUACUACCUUAUCGAUGUUCGGGAGCACAAAGAUUCACGUAAGUCGGAGGAAGAGACCCAUCGGCCGUGGAACAUAGCCCAGCUUCGGCCUUAUUACACUUGAGCCACCGGCUCUCGUACUGUAUAUAUUUCUAUAGCCAUGUAUAUAUUAUGAUGAAUAAUAAAGCAGGACCUCUCUCCUUUUUUCCCUCCAAAGGUAAAUGUGUCAAUGUUAUUUUCAUUAUGGUAUCAUAUGAUCACUUGGAGGUUGAUCCGGCUUAUGAUCGUAUUCGAAUCUAGCCGUUAAGUAUAUGAUCACUUGGGGGCUUCCUGUUCAAACAUAGGUCGUAUUCGAACCAAAGAGAACAUAGCUGUCGAUACCCACUUGAUUGGCAUAUUGCCGAGCCCAUUGGGGAGUUUUCUUGAUCAUACUUGAAUCAUAGCUCAACCCCCUUUGGGAACCGACGUGGAUCGUAUUCGAAUCAGCGUCGUUAAACAACUCUCAAGGUCAUUUGGGGGCUUCCUGUUCAAACAUAGGUCGUAUUCGAACCAAAGAGAACAUACUUGUCGGUACCCUCUUGAUCGGCAACGCCAAAGCCACUGGGGGCUAUAUGAUCGCAUUCGAAUCUUAGCUUAACCCCUUUGGGACGGUUCUCUGGUCGUAUUUGAAUCAGAAGCCCCUAAGUUUUUGAUCUUUUGGUUUGCAACAAGUUCUUUGGACCAAAUCAAAAAUGUGCACGGGCGGUUCUUACUCCGCCGGCUUAACUUUGAUUAAUAAUGUUGAUAGCACACAAUAGGCAUUAUAGGUGCUGGUGAACCGGAGUUGCGUUCUCAACCUCAUUAUUUGGGUUACAUGAACCGGAGGGGUACUUGCAAGGCUUGCAGGUAUGCUAUUGUGGUUAUCCCCAAGAUAUGAUUGAGAGCCGGUCUUUUAUGACCUCAGUUUAUAUUCCGGGUUAUAUGUAAGAUAUAUGACUCUCCAUGCGGUAAGCCUCCUAGAGACUUGUGAUUUAUUUUUCUAUGCAGAACAAUUAAAGACAGUUCUUCAAGCUUAAGGAAAGUAAAAACAUAACCCAGAGGAAUAUAAAAGAGCAGCUUCAACGGAAUUAAGCACUGCACACGUGCACGAUGGCACGACAAAAUUAACGGUUUUUCCUACUCUAUUACAGGACUCCCCGAGUCCAAAAGAUGAGGCAUUGUUUAUAAGGCGUAACCAUGAGUUGCCUAAGUAAUCAAGGUGCUUGUUGGGUUGAAGCUUCCGGCUCAUCCCUCCCCGCUCCUCCGGCUGUUUCCAUGACCUGGAAGGUUGAUGAUUUCCCGUCAAUGCCGCUCAAAGCUUCAAAUUGAGCCUCAUCAUCAAUUAACCCGGCCGGGUCAACUUCUGGGGCAAAGGUAUGCUUACGAGUCGGAGGGAUCAGGCUGACUGCUUCAUAGCGUGGCGUUGGGAUCCUCUGAUUCUCCGCGUCAUAGCCCGGCUGAUACUUGGUAAGGUCUGUGUCAUUCCCAAUCAAGGUGGCCACCGGGCGCACGCUCUUCACACAGGCCGCGAAGUCUUUCUGGUCAAAGGGGGUGCCGUCUUCCUUCAGGCUGGGGUAUCCAAGAGCGAUGUCGUCCGGGUCUAGCUCCGGUAGAAACGCCUUGGCCCGGCUCAGAGCAGCUAUAGCUCCGGCUCUUGCAGAAGCCCGUCUCAGCUCUUGGAAGCGUUGAGGAAGUACGGCAAGCCGCCUGAGUACGUCUGCCAGGUGAGUGGAAACCUCAUUGGAUAGAGCCACAACGUCUAAAGCACGCUGUGACCUGGUGUAGAGUUGCUCUACCAAGGUGUAAACAGCCUUCAGCUUGGUCAGCAUGUUCUGAUUCAGAUUGGAGCUUCUGGGGCCUGUAUAACAAAAUCAGGUGAGCUGAUAGCAAUGGAGGGACUUAUGAGACGUGAAUGAUGUAAGCUUAUUUAGAGCUUACAGAGUAACUUACCAAAGAUUGCGGAGGCCAUCUGCGAUACAUGGCGUUUUAAGCCGGAGAGUUCGGCGGUUCUUUCAGUAAGAGCAGCCUCCGCUUGUUCGGCCCGGCUGAGCAGGGCAGUCUUCUCAUCGGCCCAGGCUUUUCUUUCUGUUUCAAAUUUUUUCUUUAGUUUUUCUUGUGCAGAGACACUGAGCUCAAACUUGGCAUUGGCCUUCUGGGUCUCAUUUUCCUGAGUCUUCAGGCGAGUCUUCAGAUCAAAGAUUUCCGACUCAAGUUUCUUGCAGGCAGCCUGUACAAGUUCCGGGUUAUAGUUUGAGUGAUUAUCAUGCAACAUUAAAGUCCCAAGCACUUUGCAAGCAAAGACACUUGGCACUUGGGGGCUAAUGUAGGCGGAGAAGCUUUAUUUACAGUGCCGGUUCAUGAAAAUAAGUCCCAAGUACUUUGCAGGCAAAGGUGUUUGGCACUUGGGGGCUAAUGGGCAAAGUUGCUCAAAUACUUGAGUAAAACAUAAGGUAAAAGACCGGUUCACCUAGACUGUUUAACCCGGCCCUUGAGUGUUACCAGGUAAGCCGGUAUUAAGUCUACAACAUAUUCUAUCAUAAGUAAUAGACUUGGGGGCUAGCAUGGUAAGAAUGACUAUGGAGUAAGCAAGAGAAUAAUACGUCAGAUUUUUGCUGUAUCUGCUUCACCAUGUCAAUUUCCAGGUCCCGGCUGUUGUGCACUUGACCAAUAUAACCAGCGACAAUAUCUCCAAUGCUCAGGUUAGCAUAGUCAGUGAUAUCCAGUCUGGCCCUGCGGCGCUCCAGCAGUUCUUCCUUAGCAGAGCAUCUAGCCAGCACAGUGGGUCUUCCCGGCUCAACAAAUUCGGUCCGGGUAAUCACCACAUCCGGGUCAUCGGCCGGUUGAGCUGGGCUGGGAAUCUCCGGCUUGUCAGAACCCUCCAUGGUUUAUUCUUCAGUUGGAGCGGUGGUUUCUGGAGCUGAUGCAGACGGCGGCUCAGAGGCAGAGGCGUUGGGUUCAGUCAAGACCGGCUCUUCGACCGGGUUACUUUUCUUUGCCCUUUUGCUGAGCUUUGCUUGUGCACUAAAAGUCAAAAGGUUAGUGCAAAAACACGAGUAGGAUAAGCACAAAAUAAGCUGAUCAUCAUUACCCGGGUGCGGUCUUGAAAGCCGGCAAGUUAGAUUGCAUGGAGUCACCGGAGGAAGGUGAAGUUUCCUGAUAGUUUGAAUCAGACGAAUUAAGUGGUUGACGAGUGACGCCCGCUAAAGGAUGAAAAGGAUAUAGGUUGGAGAUAACCUCGGUCCGGCGCUUCCUUGAUGCUUCACGUAAGCCAGAGGAGAGGUCUGCAUCCUUGUUGGUCCGGGUGUGCCUCCGGCUCUCAUGAAUCUGUCGCUUCAAAAGAAAUUGAGGAUCUUGAUAAGCUAAAGGAUGUGAAAAUCUUACUUUCCGGGUUACUCUUCGGACUUUCAGCCUUGGCAAGGGCUCCGAGUCGGAGGAAAGUAUAGUUACCUCUUCAGUCACCGGGUUACUCGCUUCGGUGUCCUCCUGCUGAUAAUCAGUGUCAAUAAGGUGGUUAAGAACAAACAAAAAACAAAGAAGAGCAUAAGAAUCAAGGGCUACCUCUGACUCAGAGGUAUCAUCCAGCUGAAGCAGGUCUGAGGUGCUAGGCUUACUCCCCUUCUUGCGGGGAGAGGCUCUCCUGGCGGCUUUUUUAGCCUUCCUGGCUUUUUUAGCAGCCUCAUGGUCAUACCUGACCUUCCAGAACUUAUCAUUAGCCUGAAAAAUACAACAAAGGUUUCUUGAAGUUAAAGACGAAAAUUGUUAAAAUGGAAAGUAAAGUGCUCAGAUCAGUAGCUUACCGCCGGAGCCGGGUUAGCUUUGCAGAAGGGACUUAAGCCGGUCCUCCCGCAAUCUUCUAAGCUCUCAUUCAGAAGGGACUUGGUCAUGUCAUCAAUGACGUCUUCAGGUAAGUCGUUGGGGCUGUGCCGAAGAGGAUCAUCCUUCCGGCCCGUGUAAUCACACAUUAAGCCGGGGCGGCGGCUUAGAGGAAUCACCCGCCAAGCAAUCCAGACCCGGACCAGAUCAACGCCGUUAAGGCCGUUUCCCAGAAGAGCUUUGAUUUUGUUGAUGGUGGGGAUGAGUGGUUGACGCUCAGCUUGAGAUAAUUUGUCUGGCAGGGGGUGGUUUGACUCCAGACGCAGGGCGCGAAAGCCGGGCAGAGGGUUCUCAUCAGCCGGAGAAGUAUCCUGGCAGUAGAACCAUGUCUGAUUCCAGUCCUUUGGGUGGCUUGGCGGCUCAGCAUAAGGAAAGAGACAAUCCCUCUGUCGUUGAAUUGAUAUUCCACCAAGUUCCAAGCUAGGCCCAUUGGCGCAUUCAUUUUGGCGGUUCAGGUAAAAUAACUCCCUAAAGAGUAGCAGGCUGGGUUCCUCUCCAAGGUAUACCUCACAGAACACUUGAAAGUUACAAAUGUUCGACACGGAAUUGGGUCCAAUGUCUUGAGGACGCAGAUCGAAAAAGUUCAGAACAUCUCUGAAGAAUUUUGAGCCAGGAGGAGCAAAGCCCUGGCUCAUGUGGUCAGCAAAUACAACAACCUCUCCGUCUUUUGGUUGAGGUCUCUCUUCGGACGGGUCAGGCGCACGGUAGGACAUGACCUCCUUUUUGGGCAGGUAACCCGUUUUUACGAAGUCAUCUAAGGUGCUUUCAGUAACGUUGGACCUCACCCAGUUGCACGUAAUGGGUGCCUUGGGAGCCUUGGGCAGCAUUCUGGAAAAUGGAAGCCUAUGACAAAGGAAAAAUUCCGGUUCAAAUUUAAGCCGGAGAAAAAUUUCAGUUCAGUAUUCAGGACGGCGGUUUAUGAAGGGGCCUAAUGAUAUAUGACUAAUGGUGUCAGGUUAUUUAAGCCGCCGUGGGUAUUAUAAGCAAUUUAAGUUAUUUAACCCUAUAUGAGUAAGCCGGAAAUUUCCCAAAGCAUGGCUUCUGUUAAGCCGGUGAUAUGAGCCGUCAUGGCUAACAGAUGCAGUUUUUGUCUAAGAGUUGCAUAAACAAGUUUCACAGAUCGCAGGGAUUAUUUUGGAUCAAACGAUCGUCCAGAAAGGAAAAAUUUCUAGACCUAAAAAGCUGAUACAGAGAAGUUCAUAAGCUCUAAACGAGAUCUUUUUGCGGGCAAGAGGGAUCUGCUAGCAUAAGAAUGGGUGAGAAACUACUACCGCAGGAAUUUUGUACCAUUUUCGGAUCAAAAGGAGCCGUGGUGGAGGAACUGUGAAGAACUUGAGAUGAAACUACGAAGAACAGGGGAGGAGGAUAGAACCCUAAUGCGAAUCUACUAUAUGGAGUGGCAAGGACUUACUGGCGCUGAUGAGCCGCGGAGGUCGCCGCCGUUUCUCUGGACCAGUUCAGGGUGAUGCAGCGGCCGAGGUUGAGGAAGACGAGAGGCGCGGCGGCGGCGGUGGAGCUCGGGCUCUGGAGCGUCAGAGGAGGAAGAUGAUGGAGGAGAAGAGUGACGAAGGCUUAUGGGCCAGGCCUAUUUAUAAGGGGCGGCUGGUAAGUGGGCGCGAGAAACGAGGAGGCCGAAGACGUGAUUAUCUUGCCGCAGAAACGCCUCGAUUCUCGGAUGGUCAUUAAGAUAAGAUCCAUUAGGAUAUGACAGAAUAAAAAAUGAGUUUAAUGGAAGAUGACGUCAUGGCUGGUUACCAAGAAUCCAGAAGAUGACGUCACGGCGGGUUAUAACCUUUGCACAGGCAGAAGCCGGAAGAUUUUGAAGAUUUUGAAGAUUGACAUGAGCCGGCUCAAGUCAAUCUGGGGCCUAAUGUUGAGGAUAUGACCAUUAGAAUCACCCGCCCAGGAGGGGCCGGGUUAUGUCAUAAUGAUCAUCACGUGAAGCCCAGUAUCAAGCUUAAGGAUGGCGGAUCAAUAGUGGGCUUAAGACCCGGAGGCGGCUUAAGGCCCGAAGUGAUAAACCGCCGUUAUGGCAAUGACUUGUAAAGUAAGGCAAGAUUAGUUAAAAGUCCGAGCCGGAUAUUGUUAUAAGCCGGCCGGGACUCUGAGAGCCGCGCGGCAUCAACCUCUCUAUAUAAAGGGAUGACCCGGCGGCGAUUCAGGACGAGAGACAACAGAUCGAGAGCCAGGCGCGAUUAAGCUCCCUGGUCAUCGAAACCUUAAGUAAUACCACCUCAACUGGACGUAGGCUUUUACCUUCACCGUAAGGGGACGAACCAGUAUAACCCUCGUGUUCCUUGUCCCGCUUAACCCCUUUAAUCUUCCUAGCUGCGAUGGCUCCACGACUAAGUCCUUGCACGAGGACAUCUGCCGUGACAAUUCCACGACACCUCUCGUUGCUAUGCAUCAUGAUACGUCUCCGUCUUAUCUACUUUUCCAAACACUUUUGCCCUUGUUUUGGACUCUAACUUGCAUGAUUUGAAUGGAACUAACCCGGACUGACGCUGUUUUCAGCAGACUUUCCAUGGUGUUAUUUAUGUGCAGAAACAAAAGUUCCCGGAAUGACCUGAAACUCCACGGAACGUCUAUUUGGAAAUAAUAAAAAAUCUUUGCAAAAGAUGAAGACCAGGGGGGCCACACCCUAGCCACGAGGGUGGAGGCGCGCCUGCCCCCCUACCUCGUGGGCCCCCUGGAGCUCCUCCGACCUCAACUCCAACUCUAUAUAUUUGCUUUCGGGGAGAAAAAAAUAAGAGAGAAGGAUUCAUCGCGUUUUACGAUAUGGAGCCGCGGCCAAGCCCUAAAACCUCUCGGGAGGGCUGAUCUGGAGUCCGUUCGGGGCUCCAGAGAGGGGGAUUUAUCGCCAUCGUCAUCAUCAACCAUCCUCCAUCACCAAUUUCAUGAUGCUCACCGCCGUGCGUGAGUAAUUCCAUCGUAGGCUUGCUGGACGGUGAUGGGUUGGAUGAGAUUUAUCAUGUAAUCGAGUUAGUUUUGUUAGGGUUUGAUCCCUAGUAUCCACUAUGUUCUGAGAUUGAUGUUGCUAUGACUUUGCUAUGCUUAAUGCUUGUCACUAGGGCCCGAGUGCCAUGAUUUCAGAUCUGAACCUAUUAUGUUUUCAUGAAUAUAUGUGAGUUCUUGAUCCUAUCUUGCAAGUCUAUAGUCACCUACUAUGUGUUAUGAUCCGGCAACCCCGAAGUGACAAUAAUCGGGACCACUCCUGGUGAUGACCGCAGUUUGAGGAGUUCAUGUAUUCACUAUGUGUUAAUGCUUUGUUCCGGUACUCUAUUAAAAGAAGGCCUUAAUAUCCCUUAGUUUCCAUUAGGACCCCGCUGCCACGGGAGGGUAGGACAAAAGAUGUCAUGCAAGUUCUUUUCCAUAAGCACGUAUGACUAUAUUCCGAAUACACGCCUACAUUACAUUGAUGAAUUGGAGCUAGUUCUGUGUCACCCUAUGUUAUGACUGUUACAUGAUGAACCGCAUCCGGCAUAAUUCUCCAUCACCGCUCCAAUGCCUACGAGAUUUUCACAUAUUGUUCUUCGCUUAUUUACUUUCCCGUUGCUACUGUUACAAUCACUACAAAACACCACAAAUAUUACUUUUCCUACUGUUACCUUUGUUACCGUUACCACUACUAUCAUAUUACUUUGCUACUAAACACUUUGCUACAGAUACUAAGUUAUCCAGGUGUGGUUGAAUUGACAACUCAACUGCUAAUACUUGAGAAUAUUCUUUGGCUCCCCUUGUAUCGAAUCAAUAAAUUGGGUUGAAUACUCUACCCUCGAAAACUGUUGCGAUCCCCUAUAAUUGUGGGUUAUCAAGACUAUUUUCUGGCGCCGUUGCCGGGGAGCAUAGCUCUAUUCUUUGAGUCACUUGGGAUUUAUAUCUGCUGGUCACUAUGAAGAACUUGAAGGACGCUAAGACAACAAUUUAUCCCUCAACUACGAGGGGAGGUAAGGAACUGCCAUCUAGCUCUGCACUUGAUUCACCUUCUGUUUUGAGUAAGCUUGCGACACCUAAACCUGCUUCUGCUAUUCGUUCUGAUAUGUCGCAUGUUAUUGAUGAUGCCACUUCUGCUAUGCAUGAUACUUAUCAUGAAACUACUUCUAUGCUUGAUACUACUGUGCCACUUGGUGAAUUUCUUGAUGAACAAAUUUCUAGGGCUAGAGAGAAAGAAAAUAUUGAAACUGAUUAUAUUGAUGAAAGUGGUGAUGAAGACUUGCAUGUUAUUCCUGAGGGUUAUGUUUUUGAUAAAGAAGCUACUUUAGCUAUUUUAGCUUGCAAAGAUAGAUAUGAACUCAAGAGGUUAUUAGCUAAAUGGAAGCAGCAAUCUCUUAAUGAUAGAAUGAAACCUGACCCUGCUUUUGCUCCUUCACCUAUCUGUGUUACUGAUAAGGAUUAUGAAUUCUCUGUUGAUCCUGAUAUAAUUACUUUGGUUGAAUCUGAUCCUUUUCAUGGCUAUGAAUCUAAAACUGUUGUGGCACAUCUUACUAAAAUUAAAUGAUAUAGCCACCCUGUUCACUAUUGAUGAGAGAUCUCGCUACUUCUAUAUCCUUAAAAUAUUUCCAUUCUCAUUAAAGGGUGAUGCUAGGAUAUGGUUUAAUUCUCUUGAUCCUGGUUGUGUGCAUAGUCCCAGGACAUGAUUUAUUACUUCUCUGCUAAAUAUUUCCCUGCUCAUAAGAAACAAGCUGCUUUGAGGGAAAUAUACAACUUUGUGCAAAUUGAACAAGAGAGUCUCCCACAAGCUUGGGGGAGGCUUCUCAAGUUACUUAAUGCUUUGCCUGAUCAUCCUCUUAAGAAAAAUGAAAUACUUGAUAUCUUUUAUAAUGGACUAACCGAUGCUUCUAGACAUUACCUAGAUAGUUGUGCUCAUUCUGUUUUGAGGGAAAGAACACCGGAUGAAGCUAAAAUUUUAUUGAAUAAUAUGUUGACAAAUGAAAAUAAUUAGACACUUCCUGAGCCAGCUCCUGAGCCAAUUCCUGAGCCUAUUCCUAAACCAACUCCGAAGAAGAGAGGUGUUCUAUUUCUCAGUCCUGAAGAUAUGCAAGAGGCAAAGAAAUCUAUGAAAGAAAAAGGUAUAAAAGCUGAAGAUGUUAAGAAUUUACCCCCUAUUGAAGAAAUACAUGGUCUUAAUUUACCGCCUGUUGAAGAAACAUAUGAUCUUAACCCAUUACCCAUUGAAGAAACUCAUGGUCUUGGUAACCCGACACAGGUAGUAAAGGUAAAUUCUCUCUAUAGAUAUGAUAAAGCUAAAAUCCCUCCUACUAAAAUUGCUAGCCAAUGCUUGGAUGAGUUUGAUAAAUUUAUGGUUAAGCAAGAAGAUUUCAAUGCUUAUUUUGGUAGACAAUUAAAACAAAAUGCUUAUAUGAUUGAGCACUUGGGUGAUUAUAUGGCUAAUGUUAAAGGUGAACUUAAACUCAUUAGCAAACAUGCUUCUAUGGUUACCACUCAAGUAGAACAAGUACUUAAGGCUCAAAAUGAUUUGCUCAAUGAAAUGAAUAGUAAGAAAAAUGAUUAUGCUGUUAGAGUGGCUACUAGAACUGGUAAAAUGACUUAGGAACCUUUGUAUCCUGAAGGCCACCCUAAGAGAAUUGAGCAAGAUUCUCAGAGAAAUAAUAUUGAUGCACCUAGUCCUUCUAAAAAGAAGAAAAAGAAAAAUGAUAGGACUUUGCAUGCCUCUAGUGAACCUAUUGUUGAAACACUUGAGAAUCCAAAUGAUAUCUCUAUUUCUGAUGCUGAAACACAAUCUGGUAAUGAACAUGAACCUAAUGAAAAUGCUAAUGAUGAUGUUCAUGAUGAUGCUCAACCUAGUAAUGAUAAUGAUGUAGAAAUUGAACCUGCUGUUGAUCUUGAUAACCCAUAAUCAAAGAAUCAACGUUAUGAUAAGAGAGACUUUGUUGCUAGGAAACAUGGUAAAGAAAGGGAACCUUGGGUUCAGAAACCCAUGCCUUUCCCUCCCAAACCAUCUAAGAAAAAGGAUGAUGAGGAUUUUGAGCGCUUUGCUGAAAUGAUUAGACCUAUCUUUUUGCGUAUGCGAUUAACUGAUAUGCUCAAAAUGAAUCCUUGUGCUAAGUAUAUGAAAGAUAUUGUUACAAAUAAAAGAAAGAUACCGGAAGCUGAGAUUUCCACCAUGCUUGCUAAUUAUACUUUUAAGGGCGGAAUACCUAAGAAACUUGGAGAUCCAGGAGUACCAACUAUACCAUGCUCCAUUAAAAGAAACUAUGUUAAAACUGCUUUAUGUGAUCUUGGAGCCGGUGUUAGUGUUAUGCCUCUCUCUUUAUAUCGUAGACUUGAUUUGAAUAAGCUGACACCUACUGAAAUAUCUUUGCAAAUGGCUGAUAAAUCAACUGUUAUACCUGUCGGUAUUUGUGAGGAUGUGCCUGUUGUGGUUGCAAACGUUACUAUUUUAACGGACUUUGUUAUUCUUGAUAUUCCCGAAGACGAUAGUAUGUCUAUUAUUCUUGGAAGACCCUUUUUGAAUACUGCAGGGGCUGUUAUUGAUUGCAACAAAGGCAAUGUCACUUUUCAUGUUAAUGGUAACGAGCACACGGUACACUUUCUGAGGAAACAACCUCAAGUUCAUGGUAUCAAUUCUAUUGGGAAAAUGCCAUCGAUUAUUUUUGGAGGUUUUGAAUUUCCUCUUCCUACUGUCAAGAAGAAAUAUGAUAUUCUUAUUAUAGGGGAUGUGCAUAUCCCCGUUGAGGUAACAUAGUGUUAUUUGAAAUUUCUCCGGUUCCAUGUUAUUCAAAAUGAGUUUGUUAACAAGACGUGAUCAACCUUUUUAGUGGAUUCCUUUUGAUGAGAAUGAGAUGGAUGAAACUAGAAGGCACAACCUUCUGUACCCUCUUUCUACUUUCUGUUAUUUAGUUGAAAUAAAGUAAAAUUAGUAGUUUCCUGUCUGUUUCCUGAUUUAUCCGUGCAAUAUAGAAAUACCCGGAAAAUAAAAGUUCUCCAAAUGCCCUGAAAAUGGAAUAUGAUUUUUUCUAGAAUUUUUUAGAAUAUCUGGCACUGAGAACACAGCAGGAGGGGCAAGCACCUGGCCACGAGGGUGGAGGGCGCGCCCUACCCCCCUGGGCGCGCCCCUGCCUCGUGGGCCCACGGUGGCUCCCCUCCACUUAUUCCUGCACCCACACACUUCUUCUUCCUCCCACAAACACCAAUAUCCAGCUCAAGCACGAGUUCUAGCUCAUUUUGCUGCGAUUUUCGAUCUCCUUGCUCAAAGCACCUCUCACAAAACUGCUUGGGGGAUUGUUCCUUGAUAUGUGACUCCUCCAUUGGUCCAAUUAGUUUCUCCUUGUUCUUGAGCUUGCAUGUCAAAUUUAUAUGGUUCCAAGUAGUUCUAAUGCAUGACAUGGUCUCUAAGAACUUGUAGGAGUAGUUGCUAUCAAUUUUGUUGAGUUUGUUUUACUUUUGUUUGAAGUUACUAAAAAUUUCAGAAUUUUUCAGAAAAUAAUGAAGAAAUUUUUGAGGGGCUCAUCGAGCCGAAGCUCGAAGGAAAAGCAAAAUGAAGAAGCACAGAGGCCCAAAUAUAAUUUGCCUCGCACCGCGGAGGUUCGGCCUGUGAAUGGCCUUCCGAUGAUUUCUUGAGAGAAGCCGGGAUUUAUGAUGAUUUCUAUUCAUUGGCUGAGAAUGCUGGCCUCACCGACUUCGUCCGCGACCAACGUCAUCAGUAUCUCUUACUCACUAAUACUUUUGUGCAAAACUUCUACUAUUUUCCUAAGGAAUCACCUCCUUCAGUAGAGUUUCAUUUAUAUGAUGUUGUUAAGAAAAUGCCACUAGAUGAAUUUUGCAAGGUUUGCAAAAUACCCUUCGAGGGUACCUUAGAUGAACCACAUCGUAAAGAUAUGGACGGGUUUAUUGACACCAUUACUGUGGGGGAAACCAGGAAGGUUUCCGACGCAAGAAUCACUAGCAUACAUUUUCCUGUUUUGCGCUACUUUACCAUAUUUGCUAGUCGUUGCUUGAUUGGUCGUGGAAACUGUGGAAACCUUAGUGUUCCUGAUAUUAUCAUUUUGUUCCAUGGUUUAUUUUCCGAUAACACUGUUAGUAUGGGCGGUAUUAUUGCUAAACGGUUAAGUUUGAACCGUACAAAGGGCCCUAUCUUUGGAGGUAUUUAUGCUUCACGCCUUGCUGCACAUUAUAACAUACCUAUUAGGCUCUAUGAGAAAGAAGAAAAAUUUCUGCCCAAUGCUUAUUUAGAUUAUAAGAGUAUGGUAGCGCACGACUUUAUUGUUAAGAAUAAGGAAGGGGAGCUUAAAUACAAAUUGUUCUUUGAUAAACAUCACCCUGAGACUAUUACCUUGCCUGCUCCUUCCUUGUUUAAUUUAUCUGCAGGCCCGUAUCUCGUUUCGUGGGCGGCCAUUUACGCUUAUAGGAACCCUACACCAGCCCCUGAGCCGGAACCACAAUUUGAGCCUCCAUGACAGUCUGAUUACUUUUGGGAUCCCGAGAUGACUGCCAGCCAGUGGCAAUCAGAGUCUUCUUCAUCUCAGUACGACCCCGGCUACAACUAUGGAUAUCCGCCAGGCCAUCCGUGGCAAUAAACCAACUUAGGCCAAAAGCCUAAGCUUGGGGGAGUACGUAUUUCCCACCGACAUUACAUUUAUGUUUACACACACUCAUUGCUAGAUGUCGGUGCUCAUACUCUUUCACUGUAAUAUCCAUGCUAGUUUAUUUUCUUUUUCUCGCUUUCUUCUUGUGUGUUUAAUAAACCUUAAGAAAAACCAAAAAAAUAGUGUAGCUUUUAGCUAGUUUACUUUUCUUGAUGUAGUAGUAAUAAUUAAAAAGAAAACCCAAAAAUAUUUCCUAUUCUUCUUUUGCCUGUUGGGAGCUUUCCCGUGUAAAUAGCUUUAUCUCUUUUCUUUUCUUUGGGGGUCGAUAGGAGAAGACCAUGAUUAAAUUGUUGAAGUGGCUCUUAUAUGCAUUAUUGUUGAUUUAACCAAGAGCCCAUAUUGCCUUGUCUUCUCCUGUUUAUUGAAUGAUCGCAGAUUCCAGUUUAGUCCAAUGCAUGUGCACUCUUAUUAUUAUUCACUUCGUUCGGUCGUGCAAGUGAAAGGCAAUUAUGACGAUAUAUGAUGGACUGACUGAGAUGAGAAAAGCUGGUAUGAACUCGACCUCUCUUGUUUUUGUAAAUAUGAUUAGUUCAUCGUUCCUGAUUCAGCCUAUUAUGAAUAAACAUGUUUGCAAUGACAAUUAGAGAUCAUAGUUGCUCAUGCCAUGCUUGAUUAGCUAUGAGUUAUAAUGGUUUACCUUGCAUGCCAACAUGCUAUUGAAAUGGUUGUGAUGUGGCAUAGUGGGGUGGUAUCCUCCUUUGAAUGAUUUAAGUGACUCGACUUGGCACAUGUUCACACAUGUAGUUGAAACAAAAUCAACAUAGCCUUCACGAUAUUUAUGUUCAUGCUGGAUUAUAUCCUACUCAUGCUUGCAUCCAAUGUUUAUUAAUUUUAAUGCAUGUUCAUGACUGUUGUCGCUCUCUAGUUGGUCGCUUCCCAGUCUUUUGCUAGCCUUCACUUGUACUAAGCGGGAAUACUGCUUGUGCAUCCAAUACCUUAAACCCCAAAGUUAUGCCAUAUGAGUCAACUAUACCUUCCUAUAUGCGGUAUCACUACAAGAAAUAUGUCAACUUGUGACCUUGACUAUUGGUCACUGAAAGGUCAUUGUUUUUCAUUUGCAACCUUUUUGUGACCAAAAACAGAAGGUCAAAAGCUGGCAGUCGUAAACUGAAAUUAACGACCUUCUCUGUGAGAAGGUCGUAGACGUUUACGACCAAAACAGAAGGUCGUUGAACCCAUGACCUUUUGUUUUGGUCACUGGCUGUCUGCCCAGGCCACGUCGGAUCCGACGUGGCAAUCUGACAUGGCAAAAUUGCGACCAAUUGAAAAGUUCGAAAAUUAGAAUCGGCCCGGUCCAAUUGGGUGUUUAUAUGGGCCGAGCCCAUUAAUUCAGCCUUUCUAUAUUUUUUUUUCCUGUCAAACUUUGGUCGACUUCAUGGGCCAAGCCCAACAAUUUGGCCUUUUUAUUUCAUGGGUCAUGGCCUUUUUGUACCAACCGUUUUAGUUUUUUUAUAUAAAAUGGGUCCACUAGUCAAACAGGUCCCACUUGUCAGGUUCUGAUAAGUGAGUCCCAGCUAUUAGGCCCAGAUUCUUCAUAUUUCAAUUUGACAAUAAUAAAAUAACCAGUAGUAUAUACAAGCUUAUUUACAAGCUCUACAAAUGACACGUCCUACAAGAUGUAGCAUUUACAAGUUCUACAAGUUACACGUAAUACAAGCUUAGUUGAUAGAAGCUCUACAACUAUGGGAAUCAGUUACAAGCUCUACAAGUUUUUUCUUCUUCUACAUGUAGCUCCUUCAAUAGCGAUCAAAAUCCGGACUCACUGGAGGGCCAUAGUCAGGACUGGGCCUUCCACGGACGCCCUGUUACAUGAAUCAGCUGAUAAAAAUUAGAAAAACUGGAGCCAAUAUAUUAUGAACAUUCUAUUCAAAAAAGGAGUAAAGGACAUUCUUUGUUUCAUCACGUUACAAAGGAGCAGCACACACCACAACUUUACUCGACACACACACAUACACACAUGAAUAUUAAGCUCAGUUCCAGCAACUAUAUCAUGGUUUAACAGCUGGCCUCAGCAUCAUCAAACCACCAUGCUUAUGAUCAUAAUCUAAGCAUAUCAUCAAACAAAACCUACACAGAUAAAGAUCACAUCACAUCAAGCCACAAGCGCACCAGCGCUGGCAUGAGAUUCAACGCAACAGCAAUGGGGCUACCACAACAGCAUCAAAAACCUAAGCAUACUAGAGAAAAUAGAUAGUUGGUGCUGGAGGGACUCGUGAAUUACCUCAAUGGCGUACUUGAUGGGUGAUGAUGGUCCUUCUAAUGGAAGUAGUUGUCGUCCACAGUUAAGAGGUUUCAUACAUCUGUCUACAACAAUCAGCAAACCAGAAAUCAGAACGAAUACUUCAAUCUCAUAAGAAGUUUAAAAAAGACUAUAGUAGGACAGAAAUAUGUGGACUACUUCUAAAAUGGUACAUAUAGCACAUGCCUAAACAAAUAUGUGCUUUCAAGGUUGAAAGCUUUAACAUAGAACGCUAAAUAAUUCGUUGCCCAAAAGGUGCUAUAUAUACACCAAGUCAUCAGAAACCAUAUGUAGAAUUUAUAAACGUAGGAGCAGAAUUUCUAAAAGAAGUACACCAUUACGUAGUGCUACAGCAAAUGUGAAAUGCUUGAUGAUGUACAUGAAUUCACAUUUAGAAGGAAAGAAAUGUACUGUAAAACGUUCCAUAUCUGAAACAUAUUCACUCAACUAAAAGAAGGUCGAGUAUUACUUGCAAAUGAAAACAUGCUAGAACCUUUCUGUCAAUUUAUGAGAAGUAGAACCACUGUGCCACUUGGUUGUUCUUUAAAUAAAAAAAUGAGUUGUAACGCAGGCUAACAGAAACGCUAUGAGCAUCGUUUGAGCAGGCCAUCCAGGAUGAUGUACAAAUCAUAAUGAAAGCAUGAUUAUAUAUUUCAGGAUGAUGUACAAAUCAGAAUGAAAGCAUAGAGCUGACAAGUUUGAUGAGCUUCGAUAUGAAGAGAAGAAUAGAGAUACUAGGUAAUUCAGUGGGUUUGGGCUUGACAACAGGAAGCAGGAACACAUCAAUUGAUGAAAACAAGAUGCUGAAUUAUAUUUGGUAGUAUAUAUACUGUGGUAUACUAUGUUCGUGUCAAGGGCAACUUUCCUACCAGUGCCUAAAAACAUUGUAAACAAGUACAAAUACUCCGUUAUUACAAGUACAAAUGGACUUGGACUGGGCGACGACGAUAUCAGGGGAAAAGAGUCAAGUUCUUGAUUAGUUAAGAAAAGCUCUAUUUUCAAGAAACUUUCACAUCAGAAAACUAAAGGAAACUUAAUUACUUCUCAAUACUAUGGAGUCACACUUUCAGAAAACCUGUCUAUGUAUAUACAAACUUGAGAGAUUAGCCGUGCAAAGGUUCAGUGGAUCCAAAUAAACAUGCACAUCAGAAAACUAGAGGAACAGACGAACAGUCAACACGUAUAUAUCUAGUCAAUAAAAUAUCUACUACACAAGUGCAUACAGUACUCAACAUCUACUACACAAGUGCAUACAGUACUCAACAUCUACUACACAAGUGCAUACAGUACUCAACAUUCACUCAAAUUAUGUUGUGCAGGAUCGCACCAUUCCAUUUUCACUCAAAGUACAAUAGUACAUCACAUUUUUGGAUUAUCACCAAAGGCAAAACUACUCCUGACUAUGAUCAUCAACAUCUACUACUCCUAACUACUCCCUGUGCAAUCCUACUCUGCAGUAAAACUUCCUCACCCUCCAUUCACCCUGUUCAAGCAGUACUGUAGUAAAACUACUCCUAAUGCUACAACAGUUAACAGCAAGUGAAAUUACUGUGAUGUGCAAAAUUUACAGUAAAUACUGCACUGAAUAUUACUGAAACUUAACAGAAGUUAACUAAGCUUUUUCAGUUUCAGAAUAUACAAGUCAGAAAAUAAGCUUGCAAGCAAGUUUAUGUAAGUAAUGCACACUGGAGUACAAUACUUCUAUGGAUUUCUGCAAAUAAUUCAUGAUUUUCUAAUUAAUCCAAGAUGUCCAUUUAAUUAACUGGAAAAGUAAGUUAAAUCUUGUUGAAUCUUGUUAAAUACUCCAAGCAAAUUACUCCACACAUCUACAGUUCAAUCUUGUUAAAUACUCUAAGCAAAAUUACUGGAGUACUAAAAGUUAAAUGUGUUGCACAUGUCUCAAGGAACCAGCAGGGCUGCUUGCUCCCUUGGUCCAGCUCCUUGCUGUGCAGGAUGACCGAGACUCGGAUGCAGAGCGAGCUCCCUGCAAAUGACAUAUUGUAUCAAGGCUUUGCAGCAACAAAAGGAACUCACAUACAAUAGAACUUGUGCAAUAGUGUAGCAACACCCCAAAGGAGGCAUUACAAAAUUCUCAAAUAAUGUUUCCGAAGGGAUUAACCUCACAGCAACACACCAACCUGAAUAUACUACCACUGUACUGGCACCACCAUACAUUCAACCAAUAGGAUAUAACAAAUACCAAGUCAGGCAGCACAUGCAGAUAACUAUGUUUGUGCAAAUCAGAUCUUCUGCAUAGAACAGUACAUCCUAUUAAAAAGAAUACAGAGAUAAUCAUAGUAUUCUACUGCAUCCCAGUUCCAAUCAAGGGUCGUUUACCAUGUGAAAACUAGAUCUAUAAUUAGGAAAACCUGCCAACAGAACCGCACAAAGCCUCCUAUUGCACAAAUCAAGAGCAGUCGUCGAACGGGACUCAUCACAUCGACGAGUACAAAAGAACAAGAACCGGGCGAGGGAUGGGGGAACAGGGAACGGACGGCACCUACCUCGAUGGAACGAAACCUCUCCUCCUGCACCUCCUCCUCGAGCAGAGCUGGGCCGAAGCUAGGCGCAACCCUCAUCCAUCUCGAGCAGGGCAAGGUCGGCGCCCUCCUGCCGUCAUCGCCAUCUCCACGCCAUGAUGACCUGCAGCAAAGGGACGGAUAGGAGGAGAAGGUGAGGAGGAGCGGGUGGAUCUGGGCGAGGAAGGAGGGGAAGGGCCUGCCUGGACAACAACGGUGACGGAUCUCGCGAGCUCACGUGCGGGUGAAGGUGGCCAUGGACCUCGCGGAGAGGCCCGCGUACAGCGAUGGUGGCUGGGGGCUCGCGGCUGCGGGCACGUCGGGAGGCGCGGCCGGCCCGGAGAUCACGGCGGUGCGGAGGGCCGGGUAGGCGAGGACGCGGCGGAGCAGGGGGCUUGAUGAGCGACCAGAGCCCCGGCACGGCCAGCACGAAGACCCCAGCGAGCUGUAGAAGCUCGCCUGUCAGUACCCCAUCCCCGCCGGCGCGGGGGUGGCCAUGGAUGGGCGCGGGGGUGGCGAUGCGGUGAGGAAGGGCUCGCCGGUGGAGCUGAUGGGGAGGCGGCGGCGGCGAUCUGGAAUGGACGGGUGGCGGCGAGGGCUGGAGGGGAGGGGAUCGAGAGGAGCUCAGCGGAUCUGGAAGAGGAGAGGAGGAGAAGAGAGCGAGGGAAAGAAAGGAGGCGGGGGGUGGAUGCAAAAUGACCACAGGGCAGAGCUAGGGUUUCGGGGAUGGUGUGGAAGGGCCGAGGACUGCCGUUGGAUCCACGAACAUCCGACAGUGUUCAAUGCAUGAUCCGCGUGAGACGUCCACGGACCAAUCAGAAUACAGUACGACCUUAUGACCAUUUAAAUUGGUCAAAAAAUUCAUUUUCUACUUUUCGAGUGCCUAAAUUGAGUUUUUUUGUAAAUGACCUACCAUAUAUUUGUUGCAAAAUGGGACUAGAUCAUUUUUAUAAUAUAUUAGUCCAUAUUUAAUGUAUAAUUGACAAAAUGGUUGGUUGUCCAAAGUUUUUAUACACCUCUGGUGAAAAAGACAAAAUUCCGCCGUUUCAGCAGGAAGCGGGUCAAACUUGAACUACAGCUGCCUCAUAGUUUGCUCUUUAUUUUUUCCAAAAAUCAUUUCUAUGUACAUAAGUAUCUAUUUAAUCAGAGAAACACCAAAAAAAAUUCCAAGAUUCAACCACUAGCUAGGAAUGGUCAUGACCGCCGUUUUGACCGCAUUUUGAAACGGGCAUGAAAAAUUCAAAAAAAUCAAAAAAAUGGAAAACCUUCGCGUUGUGUCAUUAUAUGUGGCCAAGUUACCAGGAAAAAUAAUAAACUUGUAAUACGAUAACUCUUUUAAAAAGUGUUCUCAUAAACGAGCUAUCAUGUGUGGAGAUCAAUGGCAUUCAAGCCAAAUGAUCAAUCUUAUGGCCACAUUCACGACAUAGUUUGUUAAAAUGAUCUCAUAUAGUGAACAAGGGUGCAUAUUGGAAUGGCAAACAAUGUUGUCUAAGGAAGUUUUCAUUUUCUUUGAACGAAAAAAUCAUUUUCCAUUUUUUGAGAGCCCAAAAUGAGGGGUUUUUUUGUGAAGGACCUACCAUAUAUUUGUUGCAAAAUUGGACCAAAUAAAUUUUCUAAAAUAUUAGGCCAUAUUUAAUGCACAAAUGACCAAAUGGUUGGGUGUGAAAAGAUUUUAUCCACCUCUGGUGAAAAAGAGAAACUUCUGUCGAUUCAGCACGAAGCGGGUCAAAUUUGAACUACAGCUGCCUCAUAGUUCACUCUUUCUUUUUACCAAAAAUCAUUUCUAGGUACAUACAUAUCUAUUUAAUCAGAGAAACACCAAAAAAUCCAAGAUUCAACCACUAGCUAGGAACGGUCAUUCCCGUCGUUUUGACCGCAUUUUGAAACAAACAUAAACAAUUCAAAAAAAAUCAAAAAAUUGCAAAACAUUCGCAUUGUGUCAUUAUAUGUGGCCAAGUUACCAUGAAAAAUAAUAAACUUGUAAUACGAUAAGUUUUUUAAAAAGUGUUCUCAGAAACGAGCUAUCAUGUGUGGAGAUUAAUGGCACUCAAGCCAAAUGAUCAAUCUUAUGGCCACAUUCAUGACAUAGUUUGUUAAAAUGGUCUCAUAUUGUGCACAAGGGUGCAUAUUGGAAUGGCAAACAAUGUUGCCUAAGGAAGUUUUCAUUUUCUUUGGACGAAAAAAUCAUUUUUCAUUUUUCGAGCGCCCGAAAUGAGGUUUUUUUGUGAAGAACCUACCAAAUAAUUGUUGCAAAAUUGGACAAAAUCAAUUUUAUAAAAUACUAGGUCAUAUUUAAUGCACAAUUGACCAAAUGGUUGGAUGCCAAAAGCUUUGUUCCACAUCUGGUGAAAAAGACAAAUUUCCGCCGAUUCAGUAGGAAGCGGGUCAAAUUUGAACUGCAGCUGCCUCAUAGUUUGCUCUUUAAUUUUUCCAAAAAUCAUUUCUAGGUACAAAAGUAUCUAUUUAAUCAGAGAAACAUCAAAAGUUUUCCAAGAUUGAACCACUAGCUAGGAACGGUCAUUCCCGCCGUUUUGACCGCAUUUUGAAACGGGCACAAAAAAUUCAAAAAAAUCAAAAAAUUGGGAAACCUUCGCAUUGUGUCAUUAUAUGUGGCCAAGUUCCCAGGAAAAAUAACAAACUUGUAAUACGGCAAUUAUAUUAAAAGAGUGUUCUCAGAAACGAGCUAUCACGUGUGGAGAUCAAUGGCUUUCAAGCCAAAUGAUCAAUCUUAUGGCCACAUUCAUGGCAUAGUUUGUUCAAAUGAUCUCAUAUUGUGCACAAGGGUGCAUAUUGGAAUGGAAAACAAUGUUGCCUAAGGAAGUUUUCAUUUUCUUUGCACGAAAAAACCAUUUUCCAUUUUUCGAGUGCCUAAAAGGAGGUUUUUUUGUGAAGGGCCUCCCAAAUAUUUGUUGCAAAACUGUACCAAAUAAAUUUUCUAAAAUACUAGGCCAUAUUUAAUGAACAAUUGACCAAAUGGUUGGGUGUAAAAAGUUUUGAUCCACCUCUCGUGAAAAAGACAAAUUUCUGCCGAUUCAGUUGGAAGCGGGUCAAAUUUGAACUGCAGCUGCCUCAUAGUUUGCUAUUUAUUUUUUCCAAAAAUCAUUUCUAGGUACAUAAGUAUCUAUUUAAUCAGAGAAACGCCAAAAAAAUUCCAAGAUUCAACCACUAGCUAGGAACGGUCAUUCCCGCUGUAUUGACCGCAUUUUGAAACGGGCAUAAAAAAUUCAAAAAAAUCAAAAGAUGGGGAAACCUUCGCAUUGUGUCAUUAUAUGUGGCCAAGUUCCCAGGAAAAAUAACAAACUUGUAAUACGGCAAUUAUUUUAAAAAAGUGUUCUCAGAAACGAGCUAUCACGUGUGGAUAUCAAUGGCUUUCAAGCCAAAUGAUCAAUCUUAUGGCCACAUUCAUGGCAUAGUUUGUUCAGAUGAUCUCAUAUUGUGCACAAGGGUGCAUAUUGGAAUGGCAAACAAUGUUGCCUAAGGAAGUUUUCAUUUUCUUUGGACGAAAAAAAACCAUUUUCCAUUUUUUGAGUGCCCAAAAGGAGGUUUUUUUGUGAAGGACCUCCCAAAUAAUUGUUGCAAAAUUGGACCAAAUCAAUUUUCUCAAAUACUAGGACAUAUUUAAUGCACAAUUGACAAAAUGGUUGGGUGUAAAAAGUUUUGAUCCACCUCUCAUGAAAAAGACAAAUUUCCGCCGAUUCAGUUGGAAGCGGGUCAAAUUUGAACUGCAGCUGCCUCAUAGUUUGCUAUUUAUUUUUUCCAAGAAUCAUUUCUAGGUACAUAAGUACCUAUUUAAUCAUAAAUACAUGGUUUGGUGGCGAUACAUCAAGGUUUUGGCGGUGGCCGAGGGCCCCAACUCUAGAGCGCGUAAACUCGCAUGCCUGCCGCGUGGUUACCGCGUGACCGUGGCGUUGCCAUGUGUUCUGGGCGGCCUAGGCAUGUCUAGUGGGUUGGGAUCUCCCCAGGUAGGUGCUAGGAAGAAAAUUACAACAUAAGAUUCUCACGAGGAGAUCGAUCGAUGCUCAAACAUGAAUUAGCAGCCAAGUGUUUGAUUAGCGGUACGGGAAAUGUACAUGGCUAAUGGGCGUUAGUUUUGGCUGAGGAUGAUCAGUUACUAAGAAGACCGUCUUCACAAAUUUUCAGCUCAAAAGGAGGAGCCUAGGUGGUACUUGUUUUGCAAAGUACCACACUGGACAUAAAUACGAAUGUUGAAGCUGGGCUCAAAAUAAUGAAUGGAUUGAGCUGGCAUUUGGUGGAGGAUGGUUAUUUGGGCAUAGGAAAGCACUGUAGAAAAUGGAUACUAUUUGGACAUGCUAAAGUGGUACUUCCUUCACAAAGUGCUGCUCUGAACAGAAUAGGAAAAUGAAUAUUGUUGAAUUAUUUUUGAACUAGGCAAGGAAGGUUUUUGACAUAUUUGAUGAAGAUAUGAUCCAAACAAUUUAUGAGAAUUUUUUGGGAAUUUUUGGAAUAACAGAAAUAUAGGUUGCUUCACAACCUAGGGCAAAAAUUGACACAUGGACAUGACACAUAGGCAAAACUGAUGAGAUGGCGCCUAGUCAUCGCAACCCACCACAAUUUACAAGGCUAUGACUAUCUAUAUUGGUCGUUAACAACUAGAAAUAAGGCAGCGGACUAGCGCUGUUUGCUUUAUGACCAUUUCGUGUAAGGAAAUUACGACCUUUCUGACCAAAAUGGUCGCAAUGGUUUAGGGUUUGGAGCCCCCCGAACAGCUUUUGACCAAUUGGUCUCAAAUGGUCAUAGAUCUAUGACCAAUUCUUCCAGGAUCACUGACAGAAGGUCACUAGUUGACAUAUUUCUUGUAGUGUAUCUACCUGCCGUUCCAAGUAAAUUUGUAUGUGCCAAACUCUAAACCUUCAAAUAAAUAUUCUGUUUUGUAUGCUCGAAUAGCUCAUGUAUCAACUAGGGCUAUCCGUAUCUUCCAUGCUAGGCGGGUUAUUCUCAAGAGGAGUGGACUCCGCUCCUCACUCACGAGAAAAUGGUUGGUCACCGGGAUGCCCAGUCCCAUGCUUUAUGCAAACUAAAUCAAAAUAAUUGCAAACAAAACUCCCCCCGGGACUGUUGCUAGUUGGAGACACUCGUUGUUUCAAGCAAGUCAUGGAUUGAUACUUGUUGCUGGAGGGGAGUAUAAACUUUACCAUUCUGUUUGGGAACCGCCUAUAAUGUGUGUAGCAUGGAAGAUAUCGCCAUCUCUUGGUUGUUAUGUUGACAAUGAAAGUAUGCCGCUCAAAAUAUUAAUUAUCUCUAUUUCAAAACUGAGCUCUGGCACCUCUACAAAUCCCUGCUUCCCUCUGCGAAGAGCCUAUCUAUUUACUUUUAUGUUGAGUCAUCACCCUCUUAUUAAAAAGCACUAGAUGGAGAGCACAGCUGCCAUUUGCAUUCAUUACUAUUAAUUUAUAUUGGGUAUGACUAUGACUGGAUCUCUUUUACCAUGAAUUACAAUGUAUAGUCAGUCCUUGAUCUUUAAAGGUGCUCUGAAUUUUUGUUUUGCGGUCUCAGAAAGGGCUAGCGAGAUACCAUCCUGUUAUAUCAUAUUGUGAUUAUUUUGAGAAAGUGUUGUCAUCCGAGAUUUAUUAUUAUGGCUCGCUAGUUGAUUAUGCUAUUGAUAUGAGUAAACAUGAGACCUAAGAGUUAUUGUGAAUGUGGUUAGUCAUAAUCUUUGCUGAAAACUUGAAUGUUGGCUUUACAUAUUUGCAACAACAAGAGCAAACAGAGUUUGUAAAAGUUUUUCUUUAUAACUUUCAGUUUAUCAACUGAAUUGCUUGAGGACAACCAAAGGUUUAAGCUUGGGGGAGUUGAUACGUCUCCGUCGUAUCUACUUUUCCAAACACUUUUGCCCUUGUUUUGGACUCUAACUUGCAUGAUUUGAAUGGAACUAACCCGGACUGGUGUUGUUUUCAGCAGACUUUCCAUGGUGUUAUUUAUGUACAGAAACAAAAGUUCUCGGAAUGACCUGAAACUCCACGGAACGUCUAUUUGGAAAUAAUAAUAAAAUUUGCAAAAGAUGAAGACCAGGGGGCCCAUACCCUAGUCACGAGGGUGGGGGGCGCGCCUGCCCCUAGGGCGCGCCCCCUACCUCGUGGGCCCCCUGGAGCUCCUCCGACCUCAACUCCAACUCUAUAUAUUUGCUUUCGGGGAGAAAAAAAUAAGAGAGAAGGAUUCAUCACGUUUUACGAUACGGAGCCGCCGCCAAGCCCUAAAACCUCUCGGGAGGGCUAAUCUGGAGUCCGUUCGGGGCUCCGGAGAGGGGGAUUCAUCGCCAUCGUCAUCAUCAACCAUCCUCCAUCACCAAUUUCAUGAUGCUCACCGCCGUGCAUGAGUAAUUCCAUCGUAGGCUUGCUGGACGGUGAUAGGUUGGAUGAGAUUUAUCAUGUAAUCGAGUUAGUUUUGUUAGGGUUUGAUCCCUAGUAUCCACUAUGUUCUGAGAUUGAUGUUGCUAUGACUUUGCUAUGCUUAAUGCUUGUCACUAGGGCCCGAGUGCCAUGAUUUAAGAUCUGAACCUAUUAUGUUUUCAUGAAUAUAUGUGAGUUCUUGAUCCUAUCUUGCAAGUCUAUAGUCACCUACUAUGUGUUAUGAUCCGGCAACCCCGAAGUGACAAUAAUCGGGACCACUCCCGGUGAUGACCGCAGUUUGAGGAGUUCAUGUAUUCACUAUGUGUUAAUGCUUUGUUCCGGUACUCUAUUAAAAGGAGGCCUUAAUAUCCCUUAGUUUCCAUUAGGACCCCGCUGCCACGGGAGGGUAGGACAAAAGAUGUCAUGCAAGUUCUUUUCCAUAAGCACGUAUGACUAUAUUCGGAAUACAUGCCUACAUUACAUUGAUGAAUUGGAGCUAGUUCUGUGUCACCCUAUGUUAUGACUGUUACAUGAUGAACCGCAUCCGGCAUAAUUCUCCAUCACCGAUCCAAUGCCUACGAGCUUUUCACUUAUUGUUCUUUGCUUAUUUACUUUCCCGUUGCUACUGUUACAAUCACUACAAAACACCAAAAAUAUUACUUUUGCUACUAUUACCUUUGUUACCGUUACCACUACUAUCAUAUUACUUUGCUAUUAAACACUUUGCUGCAGAUACUAAGUUAUCCACGUGUGGUUGAAUUGACAACUCAAAUGCUAAUACUUGAGAAUAUUCUUUGGCUCCCCUUGUGUCGAAUCAAUAAAUUUGGGUUGAAUACUCUACCCUCGAAAACUGUUGCGAUCCCCUAUACUUGUGGGUUAUCACAUCACCAUGAUCUUGCGUGUGCGUAGGAAAUUUUUUGAAAUUACUACGUUCCGCAACACUACCGUAUAUUGAACUAACACUAACUGUAUCAAGAAGCCAAUAGCAUGUAAUUUCAGCUUGCAAGAAAGCGCCACUUACUCUUAAAGAUUGGUUAAUCUACAUGGCAACUUCCGGGGAUGGUGAUGGAUAAGUACAGUUGGAUUGUUUUUAGGUGUUAAUCUACUAUUAUGAAAAUCAUCUUCCUUUACUUUCAAGGGAGAACUGUAGAGGGGAAAGAACAUCAUUUUUUAAUCUAAUGAUCCAUCACUUAUUCACAACUAUUGCAACAACCAAGUAUGUUGGAUGCAAGGAGGAGGUGAGAGUGCAGGCAGCAUGUAUGUGUUGGUAAUCGUAGCAUAAUUUUAAAAUUUUCCUACGCUCACCAAGAUGCAUCUAUGGAGUAUACUAGCAAUGAGGGGAAAGGAGUGCAUCUACAUACCCUUGUAGAUCGCGAGCGGAAGCGUUCCAAUGAACGUGGAUGACGGAGUCGUACUCGCCGUGAUUCAAAUCACCGAUGACCGAGUGCCGAACGGACGGCACCUCCGCGUUCAACACACGUACGGUGCAGCGACGUCUCCUCCCUCUUGAUCCAGCAAGGGGGAAGGAGAGGUUGAUUAAGAUCCAGCAGCACGACGGCGUGAUGGUGGAUGUAGCGGGAUGCCGGCAGGGCUUCGCCGAGCAUAUACGAGAGAGAGAGGUGUUGCAGGGGGAGAGGGAGGCGCCCAAGGCUGUAGGUUGCUGCCCUCCCUCCCCCCCUUUAUAUAGGCCCCUGGGAGGGGGGCGCCAGCCAGGGAUCCCAUCUGGAUGGGGGGCGGCGGCCAGGGGGUGACUUACCCCCCAAGGCAAGUGGGGCGCCCCCUUGCCCUAGGGUUUCCAACCCUAGGCGCAGGGGGAAGGCCCAUGGGGGGCGCCCAGCCCACUAGGGGCUGGUUCCCUUCCCACUUCAGCCCACGGGGCCCUCCGGGAUAGGUGGCCCCACCCGGUGGACCCCCGGGACCCUUCCGGUGGUCCCGGUACAAUACCGAUAACCCCCGAAACUUUCCCGGUGGCCGAAACUUGACUUCCUAUAUAUAAUUCUUUACCUCCGGACCAUUCCGAAACUCCUCGUGACGUCCGGGAUCUCAUCCGGGACUCUGAACAACUUUCGGGUUUCCGCAUACAUAUAUCUCUACAACCCUAGCGUCACCGAACCUUAAGUGUGUAGACCCUACGGGUUCGGGAGACAUGCAGACAUGACCGAGACGCCUCUCCGGUCAAUAACCAACAGCGGGAUCUGGAUACCCAUGUUGGCUCCCACAUGUUCCACGAUGAUCUCAUCGGAUGAACCACGGUGUCGAGGAUUCAAUCAAUCCCGUAUGCAAUUCCCUUUGUCAAUCGGUAUGUUACAUGCCCGAGAUUCGAUCGUCGGUAUCCCAAUACCUUGUUCAAUCUCGUUACCGGCAAGUCUCUUUACUCGUACCGCAAUGCAUGAUCCCGUGACUAACGCCUUAGUCACAUAGAGCUCAAUAUGAUGAUGCAUUACCGAGUGGGCCCAGAGAUACCUCUCCGUCACACGGAGUGACAAAUCCCAGUCUCGAUCCGUGCCAACCCAACAGACACUUUCGGAGAUACCCGUAGUGCACCUUUAUAGUCACCCAGUUACGUUGUGACGUUUGGCACACCCAAAGCACUCCUACGGUAUCCGGGAGUUGCACGAUCUCAUGGUCUAAGGAAAAGAUACUUGACAUUGGAAAAGCUCUAGCAAACGAAACUACACGAUCUUUUAUGCUAUGCUUAGGAUUGGGUCUUGUCCAUCACAUCAUUCUCCUAAUGAUGUGAUCCCGUUAUCAAUGACAUCCAAUGUCCAUAGUCAGGAAACCAUGACUAUCUGUUGAUCAAUGAGCUAGUCAACUAGAGGCUUACUAGGGACACGUUGUGGUCUAUGUAUUCACACAUGUAUUACGAUUUCCGGACAAUACAAUUAUAGCAUGAAUAAUAGACAAUUACCAUGAACAAAGAAAUAUAAUAAUAACCAUUUAUUAUUGCCUCUAGGGCAUAUUUCCAACAGUCUCCCACUUGCACUAGAGUCAAUAAUCUAGUUACAUCGUGAUGAAUCGAACACCCAUUGCGUCCUGGUGUUGAUCAUGUUUUGCCCUAGGGAGAGGUUUAGUCAACGGAUCUGCUACAUUCAGGUCCGUAUGCACUUUACAAAUAUCUAUGUCUCCAUUUUGAACACUUUCACGAAUGGAGUUGAAGCGACGCUUGAUAUGCCUGGUCUUCCUGUGAAAUCUGGGCUCCUUCGCAAGGGCAAUAGCUCCAGUGUUAUCACAGAAGAGAGUCAUCGGGCCCGACGCAUUGGGAAUCACCCCUAGGUCGGUAAUGAACUCCUUUAUCCAGACUGCUUCCUGUGCUGCCUCCGAGGCUGCCAUGUACUCCGCUUCACAUGUAGAUCCCGCCACGACGCUUUGCUUGCAACUGCACCAGCUUACUGCUCCUCCAUUCAAAAUAUACACGUAUCCGGUUUGUGACUUUGAGUCAUCCAGAUCUGUGUCGAAGCUAGCAUCGACGUAACCCUUUACGACGAGCUCUUCGUCACCUCCAUAAACGAGAAACAUAUCCUUGGUCCUUUUCAGGUACUUUAGGAUAUUCUUGACCGCUGUCCAGUGUUCCAUGCCGGGAUUACUUUGGUACCUUCCUACCAAACUUACGGCAAGGUUUACAUCAGGUCUGGUACACAGCAUGGCAUACAUAAUAGACCCUAUGGCCGAGGCAUAGGGGAUGACACUCAUCUUUUCUAUAUCUUCUGCCGUGGUCGGGCAUUGAGCCGUGCUCAAUUGCACACCUUGCAAUACAGGCAAGAACCCCUUCUUGGACUGAUCCAUAUUGAACUUCUUCAAUAUCUUGUCAAGGUAUGUACUCUGUGAAAGACCAAUGAGGCGUCUUGAUCUAUCUCUAUAAAUCUUGAUGCCUAAUAUAUAAGCAGCUUCUCCAAGGUCCUUCAUUGAAAAACACUUAUUCAAAUAGGCCUUUAUACUUUCCAAGAAUUCUAUAUCAUUUCCCAUCAAUAGUAUGUCAUCCACAUAUAAUAUGAGAAAUGCUACAGAGCUCCCACUCACUUUCUUGUAAACACAGGCUUCUCCAUAAGUCUGUGUAAACCCAAACGCUUUGAUCAUCUCAUCAAAGCGAAUGUUCCAACUCCGAGAUGCUUGCACCAGCCCAUAGAUUGAGCGUUGGAGCUUGCAUACUUUGUUAGCAUUCUUAGGAUCGACAAAACCUUCCGGCUGCAUCAUAUACAACUCUUCCUUAAGGAAGCCGUUAAGGAAUGCCGUUUUGACGUCCAUCUGCCAUAUCUCAUAAUCAUAGUAUGCGGCAAUUGCUAAUAUGAUUCGGACGGACUUCAGCUUCGCUACGGGUGAGAAAGUCUCAUCGUAGUCAACCCCUUGAACUUGUCGAUAACCCUUAGCGACAAGUCGAGCUUUGUAGAUGGUCACAUUACCAUCUGCGUCCGUCUUCUUCUUAAAGAUCCAUUUGUUUUCUAUGGCUCGCCGCUCAUCGGGCAAGUCAGUCAAAGUCCAUACUUUGUUUUCAUACAUGGAUUCUAUCUCGGAUUUCAUGGCUUCUAGCCAUUUGUCGGAAUCCGGGCCCGCCAUCGCUUCUUCAUAGUUCGAAGGUUCACCGUUGUCUAACAACAUGAUUUCCAGGACAGGGUUGCCGUACCACUCUGGUGCGGAACGUGUCCUUGUGGACCUACGAAGUUCAGUGGCAACUUGAUCCGAAGCUUCAUGAUCAUCAUCAUUAACUUCCUUCCCCGUCGGUGUAGGCACCACAGGAACAUUUUCCCGUGCUGCGCUACUUUCCGGUUCGGAAGGGGUGACUAUCACCUCAUCAAGUUCCACUUUCCUCCCACUCAAUUCUUUCGAGAGAAACUCCUUCUCUAGAAAGGACCCGUUCUUGGCAACGAAGAUCUUGCCUUCGGAUAUGAGGUAGAAGGUAUACCCAAUAGUUUCCUUAGGGUAUCCUAUGAAGACGCAUUUUUCCGAUUUGGGUUCGAGCUUUUCAGGUUGAAGUUUCUUGACAUAAGCAUCGCAUCCCCAAACUUUUAGAAACGACAGCUUAGGUUUCUUCCCAAACCAUAAUUCAUACGGUGUCGUCUCAACGGAUUUCGACGGAGCCCUAUUUAAAGUGAAUGCGGCAGUCUCUAAAGCAUAACCCCAAAAUGAGAGCGGUAAAUCGGUAAGAGACAUCAUAGAUCGCACCAUAUCCAAUAGAGUGCGAUUACGACGUUCGGACACACCAUUUCUCUGAGGUGUUCCAGGCGGCGUGAGUUGUGAAACUAUUCCACAUUUCCUUAAGUGUGCACCAAACUCGUGAAUUAAAUAUUCUCCACCACGAUCUGAUCGUAAGAAUUUUAUUCUCCUGUCACGUUGAUUCUCAACCUCACUCUGAAAUUCCUUGAACUUUUCAAAGGUUUCAGACUUGUGUUUCAUUAGGUAGACAUACCCAUAUCUACUUAAGUCAUCAGUGAGAGUGAGAACAUAACGAUAUCCUCCGCGAGCCUCAACACUCAUUGGACCGCACACAUCGGUAUGUAUGAUUUCCAAUAAGUUGGUUGCUCGCUCCAUUGUUCCGGAGAACAGAGUCUUGGUCAUCUUACCCAUGAGGCAUGGUUCGCACGUGUCAAAUGAUUCGUAAUCAAGAGACUCCAAAAGUCCAUUUGCAUGGAGCUUCUUCAUGCGCUUAACACCAAUGUGACCAAGGCGGCAGUGCCACAAGUAUGUGGGACUAUCGUUAUCAACUUUACAUCUUUUGGUAUUCACACUAUGAACAUGUGUAACAUCACGUUCGAGAUUCAUCAAAAAUAAACCAUUGACCAGCGGGGCAUGACCAUAAAACAUAUCUCUCAAAUAAAUAGAACAACCAUUAUUCUCGGAUUUAAAUGAGUAGCCAUCUCGAAUUAAACGAGAUCCAGAUACAAUGUUCAUGCUCAAAGCUGGCACUAAAUAACAAUUAUUAAGGUUUAAAACUAAUCCCGUAGGUAGAUGCAGAGGUAGCGUGCCGACGGCGAUCACAUCGACCUUGGAACCAUUCCCGACGCGCAUCGUCACCUCGUCCUUCGCCAGUCUCCGUUUAUUCCGUAGUUCCUGUUUUGAGUUACAAAUAUGAGCAACCCCACCGGUAUCAAAUACCCAGGAGCUACUACGAGUACUGGUAACGUACACAUCAAUUACAUGUAUAUCACAUAUACCUUUGGUGUUGCCGGGCUUCUUCUUGUCCGCUAAGUAUUUGGGGCAGUUCCGCUUCCAGUGACCACUUCCCUUGCAAUAAAAGCACUCAGUCUCGGGCUUGGGUCCAUUCUUCAACUUCUUCCCAGUAACUGGCUUACCGGGCACGGCAACUCCCUUGCCGUCCUUCUUGAAGUUCUUCUUACCCUUGCCCUUCUUGAACUUAGUGGUUUUAUUCACCAUCAACACUUGAUGUUCUUUUCUGAUCUCCCCUUCCGCUGAUUUCAGCAUUGAAUAUACCUCAGGAAUGGUCUUUUCCAUCCCCUGCAUAUUGUAGUUCAUCACAAAGCUCUUGUAGCUUGGUGGAAGCGACUGGAGGAUUCUGUCAAUGACCGCGUCAUCCGGGAGAUUAACUCCCAGCUGGGAUAAGCGGUUGUGUAACCCAGACAUUCUGAGUAUAUGCUCACUAACAGAACUGUUCUCCUCCAUUUUACAGCUGAAGAACUUGUCGGAGACAUCAUAUCUCUCGACCCGGGCAUGAGCUUGAAAAACCAGUUUCAGCUCCUCGAACAUCUCAUAUGCUCCAUGUUUCUCAAAACGCUUUUGGAGACCCGGUUCUAAGCUGUAAAGCAUGCCGCAUUGAACGAGGGAGUAAUCAUCAGCACGUGAUUGCCAAGCGUUCAUAACGUCUUGGUUCUCAAGGAUUGGUGCUUCACCUAGCGGUGCUUCUAAGACAUAAUCUUUCUUGGCUACUAUGAGGAUGAUCCUCAGGUUCCGGACCCAGUCCGUAUAGUUGCUGCCAUCAUCUUUCAGCUUGGUUUUCUCUAGGAACGCGUUGAAAUUGAGGACAACGUUGGCCAUUUGAUCUACAAGACAUAGUGUAAAGAUUUUAGACUAAGUUCAUGAUAAUUAAGUUCAUCUAAUCAAAUUAUUUAAUGAACUCCCACUCAGAUAGACAUCCCUCUAGUCAUCUAAGUGAAACAUGAUCCGAGUUAACUAGGCCGUGUCCGAUCAUCACGUGAGACGGACUAGUCAAGAUCGGUGAACAUCUCCAUGUUGAUCGUAUCUUCUAUACGACUCAUGCUCGACCUUUCGGUCCUCCGUGUUCCGAGGCCAUGUCUGUACAUGCUAGGCUCGUCAAGUCAACCUAAGUGUAUUGCGUGUGUUCCGAGGCCAUGUCUGUACAUGCUAGGCUCGUCAACACCCGUUGUAUGCGAACGUUAGAAUCUAUCACACCCGAUCAUCACGUGGUGCUUCAAAACAACGAACCUUCGCAACGGUGCACAGUUAGGGUGAACACUUUCUUGAAAUUAUUAUAAGGGAUCAUCUUACUUACUACCGUCGUUCUAAGCAAAUAAGAUGCAAAAACAUGAUAAACAUCACAUGCAAUCAAAUAGUGACAUGAUAUGGCCAAUAUCAUUAUGCUCCUUUGAUCUCCAUCUUCGGGGCACCAUGAUCAUCUUCGUCACCGGCAUGACACCAUGAUCUCCAUCAUCAUGAUCUCCAUCAUUGUGUCUUCAUGAAGUCGUCACGCCAACGAUUACUUCUACUUUUAUGGCUAACGCGUUUAGCAACAAAGUAAAGUAAAUUACAUGGCGUUAUUCAAUGACAUGCAGGUCAUACAAAAUAAUAAAGACAACUCCUAUGGCUCCUACCGGUUGUCAUACUCAUCGACAUGCAAGUCGUGAUUCCUAUUACAAGAAUAUGAUCAAUCUCAUACAUCACAUAUAUCAUUCAACACAUCUUCUGGCCAUAUCACAUCACAUAGCACUUGCUGCAAAAACAAGUUAGACGUCUUCUAAUUGUUGUUGCAAGUUUUUACGUGGUUUGUAGGUUUCUAGCAAGAACGUUUUCUUACCUACGUAUGACCACAACGUGAUUUGCCAAUUUCUAUUUACCCUUCAUAAGGACACUUUUCACCGAAUCCGUUCCGACUAAAGUAGGAGAGACAGACACCCGCUAGCCACCUUAUGCAACUAGUGCAUGUCAAUCGGUGGAACCUGUCUCACGUAAGCGUACGUGUAAGGUCGGUCCGGGCCGCUUCAUCCUACAAUACCGCCGAAACAAGAAAAGACUAGUAGCGGCAAGAAGAAUUGGCAAACUCAACGCCCACAACUGCUUUGUGUUCUACUCGUGCAUAGUAACUACGCAUAGGCCUGGCUCAUGAUGCCACUGUUGGGAAUCGUAGCAUAAUUUUAAAAUUUUCCUACGCUCACCAAGAUGCAUCUAUGGAGUAUACUAGCAACGAGGGGAAAGGAGUGCAUCUACAUACCCUUGUAGAUCGCGAGCGGAAGCGUUCCAAUGAACGUGGAUGACGGAGUCGUACUCGCCGUGAUUCAAAUCACCGAUGACCGAGUGCCGAACGGACGGCACCUCCGCGUUCAACACACAUACGGUGCAGCGACAUCUCCUCCUUCUUGAUCCAGCAAGGGGGAAGGAGAGGUUGAUGAAGAUCCAGCAGCACGACGGCGUGAUGGUGGAUGUAGCGGGAUGCCGGCAGGGCUUCGCCGAGCAUAUACGAGAGAGAGAGGUGUUGCAGGAGGAGAGGGAGGCGCCCAAGGCUGUAGGUUGCUGCCCUCCCUCCCCCCCCUUUAUAUAGGCCCCUGGGGGGGGGCGCCGGCCAGGGAUCCCAUCUGGAUGGGGGGCGGCGGCCAGGGGGGGUGACUUACCCCCCAAGGCAAGUGGGGCGCCCCCUUGCCCUAGGGUUUCCAACCCUAGGCGCAGGGGGAAGGCCCAUGGGGGGCGCCCAGCCCACUAGGGGCUGGUUCCCUUCCCACUUCAGCCCACGGGGCCCUCCGGGAUAGGUGGCCCCACCCGGUGGACCCCCGGGACCCUUCCGGUGGUCCCGGUACAAUACCGGUAACCCCCCAAACUUUCCCGGUGGCCGAAACUUGACUUCCUAUAUAUAAUUCUUUACCUCCGGACCAUUCCGGAACUCCUCGUGACGUCCGGGAUCUCAUCCGGGACUCCGAACAACUUUCGGGUUUCCGCAUACAUAUAUCUCUACAACCCUAGCGUCACCGAACCUUAAGUGUGUUGACCCUACGGGUUCGGGAGACAUGCAGACAUGACCGAGACGCCUCUCCGGUCAAUAACCAACAGCGGGAUCUGGAUACCCAUGUUGGCUCCCACAUGUUCCACGAUGAUCUCAUCGGAUGAACCACGGUGUCGAGGAUUCAAUCAAUCCCGUAUGCAAUUCCCUUUGUUAAUCGGUAUGUUACAUGCCCGAGAUUCGAUCGUCGGUAUCCCAAUACCUUGUUCAAUCUCGUUACCGGCAAGUCUCUUUACUCGUACCGCAAUGCAUGAUCCCGUGACUAACGCCUUAGUCAGAUAGAGCUCAAUAUGAUGAUGCAUUACCGAGUGGGCCCAGAGAUACCUCUCCGUCACACGGAGUGACAAAUCCCAGUCUCGAUCCGUGCCAACCCAACAGACACUUUCGGAGAUACCCGUAGUGCACCUUUAUAGUCACCCAGUUACGUUGUGACGUUUGGCACACCCAAAGCACUCCUACGGUAUCCGGGAGUUGCACGAUCUCAUGGUCUAAGGAAAAGAUACUUGACAUUGGAAAAGCUCUAGCAAACGAAACUACACGAUCUUUUAUGCUAUGCUUAGGAUUGGGUCUUGUCCAUCACAUCAUUCUCCUAAUGAUGUGAUCCCGUUAUCAAUGACAUCCAAUGUCCAUAGUCAGGAAACCAUGACUAUCUGUUGAUCAAUGAGCUAGUCAACUAGAGGCUUACUAGGGACACGUUGUGGUCUAUGUAUUCACACAUGUAUUACGAUUUCCGGACAAUACAAUUAUAGCAUGAAUAAUAGACAAUUACCAUGAACAAAGAAAUAUAAUAAUAACCAUUUAUUAUUGCCUCUAGGGCAUAUUUCCAACAGUAUGCCACAUCAUGCGAACAGGUGGGGAUCAUGUUAAGUCAAUGCAGAAGGAUGCGUUGUGUGUCCGCGCACCGUCAGCACCGUCGUGUAAAGUAAACUAAAUCUGGGGACCGGUGCUCUACCUUCCCAGCUACUUCGACUGGAAAUCAGAUCCUCCACACUAAAUAAGAAACACCGUUUAGGUUGAAGUAAUAGAGGGGAAAGAGACCACUAACCUUUGACAAUGUCACACGUGGCUCGCGUGAAGGUCAGGUUGAAUCCACGGUGUUGGGCUAGCGUAGCACCCGCUGGUGGCGAUCAUGGGGCUCCGAGAUGGCGUCACCGUGUGGAUCUCUGGUGUUGUUGGCCAUAGACGGCUUUGUCGACGGCGACGCAUUAUGGAAAGAUGGAGAGGUAAAAUAGGGGAGGGGAAGAAUCAGGAAGACAAUAGAGAUUUAUUGGUGAAGGGGAGAUGAACGGAAUCAUCGAGCGAAGAGGUGAUGGCUAGUGUCCGCGUCAGUAUUUUCCCCGGGGAGGAAGGGAUGAUGCAGCAUAGCUACGGUAGGUAUUUCCCUCAGUGAUGAGACCAAGGUUAUCGAACCAGUAGGAGAACCACGCAACACUAUGUAAACGGUACCUGCACACAAAGAACAAAUACUUGCAACCCGACGCGUAAGAGGGUUGUCAAUCCCUCCCGGGUAAAAGAUAGAUUGGUUUGUAGUAGAUUGGAUAAAUAGAUCUCGCGGAAACGCAAAAUAAAAUAAAUAACAAAAAAUUGCAUCAAGGUAUUUUGGGUUUUUAGAAUAAUAGAUCUGAAAAUAAAAGAGGCAAAUAAUAGAUCGGAAAGCAAAUAUGAUAAAGAAUAGACCCGGGGGCCGUAGAUUUCACUAGUGGCUUCUCUCGAGAAAAAUAGCAUACGGCUGCUAAACAAAUUACUGUUGGGCAAUUGAUAGAACUUAAAAUAAUUACGACGAUAUCCAGGCAAUGAUCAUUAUAUAGGCAUCACGUCCAAGAUUAGUAGACCGACUCCUUCCUGCAUCUACUACUAUUACUCCACACAUCGACCGCUAUCCAGCAUGCAUCUAGUGUAUUAAGUUCAUGGAAAAAUGGAGUAAUGCAAUAAGAAUGAUGACAUGAUGUAAACAAGAUCUAUUCAUGUAGGAAUAGACCCCAUCUUGUUAUCCUUAAUGGCAACGAUCAAUACAUGUCUUGCUACCCCUUCUGUCACUAGGAAAGAACACCGCACGACCGAUCCCAUCACAAAGCACCUCUUCCCAUGGCAAGAAAAGUCGAUCUAGUCGGCCUAACUAAACCAAAGAUUUGAAGAAGAAAUACGAGGCUAUAAGAAUCAUGCAUAUAAGAGAUCAAAACUCAAAUAACUUUCAUGUAUAAAUAGAUCUGAUCAUAAACUCAAAGUUCAUCGGAUCCCAACAAACACACCGCAAAAAGAGUUACAUCAAAUAGAUCUCCAAGAGACCAUUGUAUUUAGAAUCAAAAGAGAGAGAGGAAGCCAUCUAGCUACUGCCUAUGGACCCGUAGGUCUAAAAUGAACUACUCACGCAUCAUCGGAGAGGCACCAAUGAGGAUGAUGAACCCCUCUGUGAUGGUGUCUAGAUUGGAUCUCAUGGUUCCGAAACUUGCGCAGCUGGAAUUGUGUUUCGUCGACUCCCCUAGGGUUUUUGGUUUUUCGGGGUAUUUAUAGAGCAAAGAGGCAGUGCAGGAGGGCACCGAGGUGGGCACAACCCACCAGGGCACGCCUCGGCCCCCAGGCGCGCCCAGGUGGGUUGUGCCCCCUCGGGGCACCCCUCUGGUACUUCUUUGGCCCAAUUUGUUCCUUCUAGUCCAGAAAAAUUCUCCAAAAAGUUUUGCUGCGUUUGGACUCCGUUUGGUAUUGAUUUUCUGUGAAGUAAAUAACAAGCAAAAAAACAACAACUGGCACUGGGCACUAUGUCAAUAGUUUAGUCCCAAAAAAGAUAUAAAGUUGCUAUAAAAUGAUUGUAAAACAUCCAAGAAUGAUAAUAUAACAGCAUGGGACAAGCAAAAAUUAUAGAUACGUUGGAGACGUAUCAAGAGGCAAUAAGAGGAAGGCGCAGCAAUCAGUGCGACGGUGGUAAAAAAAUACACGAUUCGUUCCAUUGAAAAGGGAAAAAGGAAGCAUUGCUGACGUGGUAGAUUUGCUUACGUGGAUGGCUGCAUGUUGAUUGCUGAUGUGGAUAGGCUACAUGUCAAGAGAAAUAUGGUAGUGGGGAUGAACUAUUUAGGUAUUAUAGAUGCGCAACAUCACAUCUAAACUUUUUAUGAAAUUUCGAAACACGAUGGUUUUAAAAAUGGAUAUUUUUUGGAACACAAACUUUUUUCAAAUUUAUGAAUAAUUUUUUGAAAACUUGAACAAUUUCUUGAGUCUAUGAACUUUUUUUGAACGCGGACGUUUUUUCAAAAUUUCAAAACGCAAUUAUUUUUUUAAUGCAACCUUUUUCAAAAUUUCAAAACAUGAUUGUUUUUAAAGUGAAUAUGUUUUAAAAUUAUAGACAAAAUUUGGAAGUUGAACAUUUUUUGAAAAACACCCGAAAUUGUGGAUGUUUUCUAAAAACGGCAAAGAAUUUUGAAAAACAUCAAACAUUUUUCAAAGCACGGACGUUUUCUGGAAAAAUGAAAAAAAAAACAAAUUCGAAACAUCUUUUAGAAAUUUUGAAUUUAUGAAAAAAGAAAAAGAAACAGAAAAUGAAAAAAGAAAGAAAGCAAGGAAAAGUAGUGAAGAAAGAAAUCGGAAAAAGGGAAAAAACCUGAAAAUAGUGUAAAAGACUGAUCCUAGCUACUUGGGCUGGUCUAUCUACGGUUUACACGCUGCUCAUUUCGGAGAUUUCUUUUAGGGGUAAAACCAAGUUUUAUACAUCAAACACCAUAGAGUGUGGGAUAGAGUUUGGGUCGUGGCAUUUGCCAAACCAAACAUGGCGUCCCAGACCUAACGAAAGAGAAAACCCGCCUAGAUUAUGUGCUUCGACAUUUACAGCAUGAUCUUUAGAUACAAAAAUUACAAUCAAAUACAUACGGUUGCAACUUGAUCUCGUUGAUAAUGGCUCGUUUCCACAUAGUUUGCCCACAUUUCUGAGAGAAAAUUUAGCCUUGAUGGGCUGGGAAAUUGGGCCAGCCAUCCUCAAGUGCGACCGGCUUGUCUUUGUCUAGUAUAAAGCCCAUCACGUUGCCCAAGAGCCCACCCUUAUCUGUUUUUCUACAGGACACAUAUAUGUUCGGUUCCUUAAGCACGACAGGCCGCCACCCAGCCUCCCUCGCCUGCUCAACAGCUCCCCCGCCAUCGGAACUAGGCCCUCAACCCUCCCCCCACCCCAAGCUUGCGAGCCUGUCCCUUCCCAACAUCUCUUCCACGCGGCCUCGCCCCACCCCACGUUCUCCCCCAAGUGCUUUGUCGAGUGUGGUGGAAAAACUUUUGGCAAAAUAGUGGAACUCACGCAAAAUCUACUUUACCGGGUGCUACACUCGGCAAAAGGGGGUAUGCAGGGAAGCAAAAUCGUGCUUUUUUCCUUCUCGGGAAGCUGUGCUUCCCGUGGAAGGCUUCAUCAAAAACCAGAAAAAAAAGAUUUUUUCAUCAAAACCUAGGGAAAAUAAAAGACAAAAAACAUGUGUAAAAAACAAAAUUUUAAGGGUGUACCAGCACACGACAUGUGGCAGAAGUUGGUCACAUCAAUUGAUGCGCUCUCAGGGCCUCAAAGUAACAUGUGCAGGAACCAUCGAUGAAAAACCCAUUAGAUAGUUGGAGUCCUCCUUGCGUCAAAUAGGAGUGUGGCCACAAGGGGAGCGCGUCCUGGUGGGCCGGCCCAGCAGCCUGUAGCACUCUACCGCAAAUUGGUCAAAAUCUAAAACAUGACGUUUGAGCAAAGCAUGCAUGGCUAGCCAGUCAAGCUGAUGAAACUUUGCCAACUACUAGGUUGCUUUGAACAGUAAAAACUAUGUGCAACAUCACAUAUGAGCUUUUUUUGAAAUUUCAAAACACGAUUGUUUUUAAAAUGAAUGGUUUUUGUAACAUGAACUUUUUUCAAAUUUGUGAAUAAAAUUUGGAAACUAGAGCAAUUUUUUGACUCUACGAAGGCUUUUUUUAAACACAAACUUUUUUAAAAAAUUUAAAACACGGUUAUCAUUGUAAUGCAACCUUUCUUAGAUUUCAAAACACGAUUUUUUAAUAAAUAUUUUUUUAAAAUCCAAACAAAAUUUGAAAACUUGAACAUUUUUUAAAACACUCGGAAUUGUGGACAUUUUCUAAAAAACAUGAAAGAAUUUAGGAAAACUUCAAACUUUUUCAAAGCACGAAUAAUUUUUGGGAAAAAUAAACAAAAUCAAAUUCCGAACAGUUUUUGAACAUUUUUUAGAAAUGUUGAAUUUAUGAAAAAAAAUAUGAAAGAAAGGAAAAUCGAUGAAGAAAGAAAACAAAAGAAGGAAAAAAUUAAAAAAAAGUGUAAGAAAAAAACCAAUCCUAGCUACUUGGGAUGGUACAUAUGCGGUUUGCUCGCUGCUCAUUUCCCAGAUUUUUUUAGGGGUAAAACCAAGUUUUAAUCAUCAAAUACCAUAGAGUGUGGGAUAGAGUUGGGGUCGUGGCACUGGUUAAACCAAACGUGACGUCCCAGACCUAAAGAAAGAGAAAGAUUGGCUAGACUAUGUGCUUCGACAUUGACAACAUGACCUUUACAAAAAAAAAUACUAUCAAAUAAAGAUGGUUGCAACUUAAUCUCGUUGAUAAUGGCUCGUUUCCCACAUAGUUUGCUCACAUUUUUUGAGAGAAAAAUUUAGCCUUGAUGGGCUGGGAAAUCGGGCCAUCCAAUCUCGAGUGCGACCGACUCGUCUUUGUCCAGUAGAAAGCCUGCCACGUUGCCCAAGAGCCCACCCUUAUCUUUUUUUACAGGACCCGUAUAUGUUCUAUUCCUACAGCAAGACCGGUCGCCGCCAAGCCUCUCUCGCACGCUCGACAGCUCCCCCGCUGCCAGGGCUAAGCCCUGGAUCCCCCACCCCCAGGUUGCGAGCUUGUCCCAUCCCUCCCUCUCUUCUGCGCAGCCUCGCCCCACCCCGUCUUCUCCCCCACCGGUGCUUUGCCGAGUGUCUUGGAAAAACUCUCGGUAAAAUAUUGGAACUCUGGCAAAAUGUGAUUUCCCGAUUGCUACACUCGGCAAAAGGGGGUAUGCUCUGCACUGUUUUGGUUGUCCAGAUUGCAUAUGACCUCGGAUGAAGAUGAUCCCCAAAUCAAAGUUUUUCAUUUUGACGAGAGGAUUAAUUUUCAUGUUCAGAACUUUUCCAUUUUAGGCCAUGUUAUUUACACUUUUUGCAAUGCCAAAAUAUGGUCUCAAAUGAAUAUGGCGAUGGUCAUAUUUAUUGCAUAGUUCUGACAAUGGGCCUAAACUUGGCAUUUUGGUGCAUCUCGCCAUUACAAACAAUGAUGCCAAAUAGAGUUUCCAACAUUUUGUAUAAAAAAUAAUUUUCCCAUUUUCUGUGUAAAAAAUGGAUAUUUUGUGAAGCGGGUAAAAAAACAUAGUGCAAAAUGGCACCACCCAAUUUUCAUAAAAAGUAGACCACAUGUUUUAGAAAAUUCCCAGGUUUUGUGGAUCUUCUAGAUUUCUAGCUACUUUCGCACAGUUAAAUUCAAAUUUGAACUUUAAGUGUGUGACAGACCUGUCCUAAAAAUUAGCAAAAAUGUAAAUUUUUUUAGGUAUGCAAGUAGUCAUUUUAUGAAAUGACCACUUAAGUUUGAGAGAUUCAGCCCCUUGCCAUGACUAUCCAUGCCGGGCAUUUAGACCCCGUUUUGGAAAAAUGAAACAAAAAGAAUACAAGUUCAAAAAAUGCAAUCCAUUCGUAUGGACUCCUUUUAUGUGUACUAGUUAGGAUGAAAAUACAAACUUCAAUAUGAAAACUUUGAAAGAAAAAUAUCCAUCACAAAACGGGCUAUCGUGUAUGAACCUUCACGGCUUUCAAGUCAAACGACCAAGGUGACGACAAUGUUCAUUGCAUAGUUUAUUAUAUUAUGCCCAAAUUAGACAUAUAGGUGAAUCAUGCCAUUACAAAUAAUGUUGCAAAAUAGAGUUUCCAACUUUUUGUACAAAAAAAUCAUUUUCUAUUUUCGAAGUGUCAAAAAUGGGUGUUUCUUGUGAAGCGGGUUCAAAAAAUGGGGUGGAAAAUGGCACCACUCCAAUUUUCACAAAAGUAGACCAUAUUAGAUGGACAAUUACCAAGUUUUGUAGAUGUCUAGUUAAAAACUAACAAUUGGUGUAUUUUUUAAUAUUUAGUGAAAAUAAAAAAAUGGGAAGGGCGGAUACUUAAUGGAUAGCGUGGACAUCUGAGGGUGUACCUUUAAGUGUUGGAGAUGCCUUUAUGUGCUGGUUUAUGCCCUGCUCUACCUGCAAUGUACUAGAGUUAAUCAUGUUGGGAAACUUGCAUGGAAAACCAAAAAAAAUCUACACACACGCAAUGAUCUAUGCAUGAAGAUGCAUAGCAACUAGGGGAGAGUGUGUCUACGUACCCUCGUAGACCGACAGCAGAAGCGUUUGACAACGCGGUUGAUGUAGUCAAACUUCUUCUAGCUCCGACCGAUCAAGCACCAAACGUACGACACCUCCGAGUUCUGCACACGUUCAGCUCGGUGACAUCCCUCGUUUUCUUGAUCCAGUAAGACGUCGAGGAAGUAGAUGAGUUCCGUCAGCACGACGGCGUGGUGACGAUGAUGGUCAAGUGAUCCGCGAAGGGCUUCGCCUAAGCACCCCGAGAAUAUGACCGGGGUGUAAACUAUGGAGGGGGGCGCCGCACACGGCUAACAAUUGAUGUUGUGUGUUCUAGGCGCCCCCUUCCCCACAUAUAUAUAGGUGGGAGGAGAGGGGAGGCGGCCAGGGGCGCCCCAAGUAGGAUCCGAAUCCUACUUGGGGUUUCCCCAAGUGGCGCCCCCUUUCCUUUUUCCACCGGAGAAGAAAGGAAGGGGGAAGAAGAGAAGGAAGGGGGCUGAACCCCCUCUUCUCCUUCUCCUAUUCGGUCACCUGCCAUAGGGGGGUGCGCCACCCCUUGUGGGCCGGUGNNNNNNNNNNNNNNNNNNNNNNNNNNNNNNNNNNNNNNNNNNNNNNNNNNNNNNNNNNNNNNNNNNNNNNNNNNNNNNNNNNNNNNNNNNNNNNNNNNNNNNNNNNNNNNNNNNNNNNNNNNNNNNNNNNNNNNNNNNNNNNNNNNNNNNNNNNNNNNNNNNNNNNNNNNNNNNNNNNNNNNNNNNNNNCGGUGUCCGAAUACUAUUGUCCUAUAUAUCAAUCUUUACCUCUCGACCAUUUCGAGACUCCUCGUCAUGUCCGUGAUCUCAUCUGGGACUCUGAACAACAUUCGGUCACCAAACCACAUAACUCAUAUAAUACAAUAUCGUCAUCGAACGUUAAGCGUGCGGACCCUACGGGUUCGAGAAUUAUGUCGACAUGACCGAGACACCUCUCCCGUCAAUAACCAAUAGCGGAACCUGGAUGCUCAUAUAUAUUGGCUCCUACAUACUCUAUGAAGAUCUUUAUCGGUCGAACCGUUAUGACAACAUACAUUAUUCCUUUUGUCUGUCGGUAUGUUACUUGCCCGAGAUUCGAUCGUCGGUAUCUACAUACCUAGUUCAAUCUCGUUACCGGCAAGUCUCUUUACUCGUUCCAUAAUACAUCACCUCGUGACCAACUCCUUACUCGUUUGCUUGCAAGCUUAUGAUUUGUAUUACCGAGAGGGCCCAGAGAUACCUCUCCGAUAUUCGGAGUGACAAAUCCUAAUCUCGAUCUAUGCCAACUCAACAAACACCUUCGGAGAUACCUGUAGAGCAUCUUUAUGAUGACCCAGUUACGUUGUGAUGUUUGAUAGCACACUAGGCAUUCCUCUGGUAUUCGGGAGUUGCAUAAUCUCAUAGUCGAAAGAAUAUGUAUUUGACAUAAAGAAAGCAAUGGCAAUAAAACUGAACGAUCAUAAUGCUAAGCUAACGGAUGGGUCUUGUCCAUCACAUAAUUCUCCUAAUGAUGUGAUCCCGUUAUCAAAUGACAACUCAUGUCCAUGGUUAGGAAACCUUAACCAUCUUUGAUCAACGAGCUAGUCAAGUAGAGGCUCACUAGGGACAUAGUGUUUGUCUAUGUAUUCACACAUGUAUUAAGGUUUUCGAUCAAUACAAUUCUAGCAUGAAUAAUAAACAUUUAUCAUGAAUAAGAAAAUAUAAAAUAACAACUUUAUUAUUGCCUCUAGGGCAUAUUUCCUUCAAAUCAGUAUAUGUUGGCUGUUAGUGAAGUGUUUUAUGCAUAUGUGUGCAUGCUUGGUUGGGCCAACUCUGUGUAUUACAUUUUUUGAAAUACAAACUUGAUAUAUGCCACAUUUUUGUGUUAACGACCAAUAACUAUAUACAUAACUAUAUUUUGCCUUCUUUUUCCUCCUCCACAAGAAAAGGUCCCACGCUUUUCUCCUCCUCCCAUCGGCUCCGUAGCUGGUCCGCCCCAUCUCCGAUGGCCUUUGGGCCACUGAGGUGAGUAGGACCUCAGGCCCUCACUGGCGGGAGGGAACCCGUUCUCAUUCUUGUUUCGUUCAAUGUCUUGCUGGAGCUGUGUUGCGGCUGUGAUGUCUCUCAGUAGGAAUAAUGUUUCCCAUGUUCUAUCCCCGUCUCGAUGGUGCCUCUAGCGUCAUCGAAGGGCGUGUGGAGGUGUGUCUCUGUCGGAUUUCGCAGGAUUCGGUUGGCAUUGGUCUUCAGUGGAUCUGUUUGGACACAGUCUUUGUUCGUCUUUGUGGUGUUUAUACUAUUGAUCCUUCCGAUCUAUGACUUUCUUCAUCGACGAUGGUUGCUGCUUCGGUGCGCUGGUCCUAUGGGUCCUUAGCACGGCAACUUCCUGACUAUCGACUACAACAAGGUUUGCCCGGCUCCAGCGACCGGGGGGUGAUGGCGACGCACAGCUUGCUUUAGUGCUUGUAGUCAUCGCUAGGUGGUCCACGGACCUGGUUGUAAUUUUUCGUAUCUCUGGUGUUCUUUGUACUGCCAUGAUUGAAGAUGAAUAUAUUGGAAGUUUCUCACGCAAAAAAUAACUAUAUAAAUAACUAUUUUAGCAAAAUUCGCAAAAAAACUAUUUUACCAAGUAAUAAAUUUUGACACCAAUUAUAUGGUAGUAAUUAAUAUUUCCCCGAAUAAUAUCCCCACUGGAUCCAGGUUUUAUACUAUGUAUACAGACGGGAGUAUGUUUGGAUAAUUUUCUGAACACAAGGAUAUAUCCUAGCAAAACUAUUUUUAGCAACAAGUAGUUAAUGAAUUGAUAUAUGCUAGCUAUACUCUGCUGGUGAAAACAUGGUGUAUUAGUUGUACAAAGCAUGCAACACGGUUUCACUCCCCUUUAUAUUCCUGGGCAGAACACAAUUUCAGAUCUAAGUUUUAUGUUUGUCUACACACUCCCAUCUUCUUCCCACAUCAGCACGAAAAUUCACUCCAAUCAUCUCGCCAUUCUACACUUGGGAAAUCAGGUUUGCUUCAAUCUACCAUCCUUGAAUAUAUGCCCCACAUCUUGUUUCUGCGUCCUAAUCUCAUUAAGCUUGUAAUUAGUAGUUAGUGCAAGAUCGAAAAGGAGCUAUGGGCAAAACACCAUCCUCACCUGCUGAUAAAAUCACUAUGAGACAAGUGGCGCCAUAUCAUGAAAUAGCAGCAGAUUCAAGUGACAGUGAGAGAACAAUCAGUGAGGGUUAUGUGGGGAUCAUGUAUGGUGGUAGCCAAACCCACGAUGGCAACCUGGAAGGAGAAUCUGCUAUGGUAUUGCUAGCAACAGAUUCAAGUGACAGCGAGAGAACAAUCAGUGAGGGUUAUGUGGGGAUCUUGUAUGGUGGUAGCCAAACCCAGGAUGGAGACCUGGAGGGAGAAUCUGCUAUGGUAUUGCCUGCUGUAGGAGAGAAUACCACGGAAAGAUCUAACAGUCAUGGUUAUACGUGCAGCUUGGAAAUUGAUUCUGCCUCUCGUACUGAGAGGCAUGCUGCCAUGUCAGAUUCUGUUCUAGUGGCACAGCGCUGAGACUGCAUACAAAUUUACCCUAAGUGGCUGGAGAAAAUUGAUUCAGGCAAAAAGAUGUGGACAACUAUCAAACAAUUUCAAGCAAAUGGGAAGCAUGAAG
This 194631-nucleotide long non-coding RNA is filed under the name Triticum aestivum (bread wheat). RNAcentral describes it as "long non-coding RNA (TAES_LNC017440)". Lineage: Eukaryota; Viridiplantae; Streptophyta; Magnoliopsida; Poales; Poaceae. The record is from RNAcentral.